RNAcentral lists this long non-coding RNA (184545 nucleotides) under Vitis vinifera (wine grape). Its description in RNAcentral is "long non-coding RNA (VVIN_LNC003867)". The record is from RNAcentral. Lineage: Eukaryota; Viridiplantae; Streptophyta; Magnoliopsida; Vitales; Vitaceae.
AGGGUUGCACAAUCUCCUCAUUUACUCACUAUCCUGAAGAGAAAUCAACCCCUCUAAACUGUCUUUGUACUUUUGAGAUAGAAACCCAGAAUGGCUUCCACAAGCUCCUUCAGAGCCUCUUCUUCUUCUUCUACUCCUUCCAUCCCUCAAACAAGUACUUAUGAUGUUUUCUUGAGUUUUAGAGGCGAAGACACCCGCUAUAAUUUCACUGAUCACCUCUACAAAGCUUUGGUUAACAGAGGCAUUCGCACCUUCAGAGACGAUAAACUCAGGAGAGGAGAAGCGAUCGCUCCAGAACUCUUGAAAGCCAUCGAAGAAUCAAGGUCUUCCGUAAUUGUUUUCUCUGAAAACUAUGCUGGUUCGAGAUGGUGUUUGGAUGAGUUGGUAAAGAUCAUGGAGUGCCACAAAGAUCUGGGACAUGUUUUCCCAAUUUUCUAUCAUGUGGAUCCAUCCCAUGUACGAAACCAAGAAGGAAGUUUUGGAAAGGCCUUUGCCGGUUAUGAAGAAAACUGGAAGGACAAGAUACCAAGGUGGAGGACGGCCUUGACGGAAGCAGCCAAUCUUUCUGGAUGGCAUAUACUAGAUGGGUAACUAUAAUUUCCUUUCAACUAUUUGUAAGUAUAGGAAUGAGUAGUUUUGCAUUUAUAGAGUGAUGAUAAGCUCAAAUUUUUUAUUUGGAGGUCUACUACUUAAGCACAAAUUUCUCCUCAAAAUGCUUUUAGUUGAAGUCUUUUAUGUGUAAAUGUGUUUAAUAUUCUUUUAUAGGAAAUGUUUUCACUAUAAGUGUUUUCUAGAAAAUCAGCUAUCUUUUCCACGAAUUUAUUUUUUCUAACCUUUUUAUAAGUGUUUUUUUCCUUUUUCUUUACUUUUUAUAAAAAGAAUAGUAGAAUAACAAUUAUAUUGAGUUAGAAUUCAUGAUAAAUGGUAGAAUGAACUUAUUAAAACCCAAUUAAUGAGUUUUACUAUUUUAGGUCAAUUUAUGAGAAUCUAUAUCUAAACUAAUUUAAUCAAAAUUUAUUACUAAUUUUUCAAUUGUCAAGAUUCAAUCCACAUUAAUGUUACAAAAAUUAAUCAAUUUAUUUGAAAUUUUGUUUGAAUAAUUAUAUAACAGGUAACAAUAAAAUUAAUGACUAUUACUAUCUGUUGAAGAGCUUCAAAAUUUUCAAUUAACCAAUCUCUUGUGUAUUCAUAGAACAACUUAAUCAAAUUAUGUAACAAGUAACAAUAACAAAAUUAUUUGACCAAAUAGUUUGAUUAAUUAUGUGACAAUUACUAAUAACAAAAUUAUGUGACGUAAAUUAUUUAGUAGGAAUUCAACUUCCCUGAGAGUUUGUGUGUGUGUAUAUAUAUAGACAAUAAAGAACAAUGGUUAGGCACUUAAUUUUCUUACAGAUGAUGCUGAAGAAAUCAACUCAAAAUAAAGAUAAAUGAAUAACUUUUUUGCAAGCCUUUAAUUUUUUUUUUUUAUUAUACAAAUCAAUAAUAAGGAGAUGAUCUUGCAGGAUAGAUAAGUUUUGAAGCUUGAGGAAUUGAAAAUGGGGUCUUUAAACUAAAAACUUCUUAUAUUAAGAGGUUGAGUACUAUAUCUACAACGAGGCUUCAGGCAUUACAAGAUAUAAAACGAAUGUCAAAGAAUAAAAUAUUUGCUCCUGCAAGGUUUCUAAUUGCCAUGGGCUGUUAAAGCGUUUUGGAAAUGUGCAUAAAUGAUAAUGCCACACAAGGAGCACAACUAACAAAAUUCAAAAUUUAUGUUUUAUUUUUUAUUCUCAUGAAUACUUGAUACAAAGAAAAAUGUCCUAAAAAUGUAAAUGAACUAAUAUCUUUGAUAGGUAUUGUUCUACUUUAAUUUAUUUCUCGUAAAUUUGUCAAACUUAAUGUGUUUUAUUUACCAUUGUGGCUUAUUGCUUAAAAUGUUGUACUCUUAUAAUUGGCAGGUACGAGUCCAAUCAAGUUAAAGAAAUAACUGCUAGCAUAUACCGUCGAUUGAAAUGUAAGAGGCUUGAUGCUGGUGACAAUUUAGUUGGUAUGGAUUCCCAUGUAAAAGAGAUGAUUUUGCGGUUGCAUAUGGAAUCAAGUGAUGUUCGUAUUGUUGGGAUAUAUGGAGUUGGUGGGAUAGGUAAGACUGCCAUUGCAAAGGUUAUAUAUAAUAAACUUUCUUGCGAAUUUGAAUGGACGAGUGUGGACCCCGCAUUUCGAUUGCUCGAUGUGUUUCCCACUCGAUGGCGAGCUCGAUUUUUAUUUGAAAUAUUGAUUUUUAUUGAUUAUUUGAAAAUGACUUGGAGUCGCCACUUAUUUUUGUUUUAUUUUUUAAAGGGUAAACAAAAUAAGAAAGAAAAACCCUAAGUGUGACUCCUUAUUUUGGAAAAGGCGGUCUGUGAAAAACCGGAUCGGGUUCGGGGGUCAGGUUACUUAUCGGGAAGGUACGGUACGGACCGUAGCACCCCUCUAAGUCCCUAAUGUCGGGUCUCUACUAAUAGAAUGAAGAUGAUGUGACAGUCAACAAGAAAAUCGAUGAAUACUCAAAUCGAUCAUGCACAAUAUGAGAAGCAAAGCAUGUAUAAAGAAUGAGCAAAAUAUGAAUAGAUGCGUACCUGGGCGGUAAUCACGAAUGCGCUAUCAUGAAACAUGGUUAGUGAACAAUGAACAUAUAUAAUAAAGCGCAUAUCAAGGAAUAAAGUAAAUCAAUCACAUGUGGCCAAUGAAGCAAACAAUCAGUUAAUCAAUCUUGAAAUCUCAUAUGUAGGCCCCCACCAAAGCCCAUUUAUUUUGCAUGAACCAAAUCUGUAAAUUCCAUCACUAAGAAUUACAAAAUUUGAUUUUUGCUUAUUUUAAAACAUUUAAAAAAAAAAAAAACAAAGAAAAUGAAAAAGGAUUGCCAAAGAGAAAAUGGCAACCAAUGUUAUUGGAAAAACGGAAUUUUUGAUGAAGGAACAUAUAGAGUUGCGAUUAUUUAAAAAGAUUAAAAUCCGAAAAAAUUAUUUGAAUGAAGGGAUUUGGAAAAUUAUUUUCAAAACUAGGGAUGGUGACAUGAGAGAAGUAAAAGGAGAUGUCAUGUGGCCACUAAGAUUUGCAUGGUGAACAGGGCCAUGCAAAGAAAAUCCCUUUCUUAGCCCAUUUGAAAAAAACAGGUCAAUUUCUGAAUCUGUGGCUUCUCAGCAAUCCUUGACCUGGGCAGGUAUGUCAAGACCAUGAACGUACCUCUCCCCUAUAUUUUGCCCCAGCAACCAAAGCACCCAUAUCCAAUGCCAUAGGUCUCACUUCAGCGAGAUUACUAGGAACGCCCCCCUCUUACAAUUUUCUGAGCUAAUCUUUCAACAACAGCAGUCUUACCCACACCUGGUUCUUCAAUAAGAACAGGGUCGUUCUUAGUUUCCCUUGGAAGAAUCCUGAUGACCCUCCAAAUCUCUUCGUCUCGGCUAAUGACAGGAUCAAGCUUUCCAGUUUACUCAACAAGGCCACACCCAUAAGUCUUCAAUGCUUGGAAUGCAGUGUUCCCAAAAGCACUUUCCUCUCCGGACAUUGGCGUCUUGUGAAGCUACUGGCACAAUGCCAUUUUGAAGGAUCACAACAACACUACGAUACACUGGUCCAUAAUCUAACCUCCUUAUUGUAGUGGCUGUUCAAACGGGAUCACUAAACAUGACUGGCGCAUUCUUGUCAUUCAACUAAAACGGUUCAUACUCCCCACAGUAAUUAUCAUAUCCAAAACCUGGACUUUUAUAUCCAGAAGCAACACUUGGAGAUUGGCCCAUGGGUCCUGAAACACCAGCAUCGACCAGAGCAUCCUGAGGACCUGUAGCUCCAUAGGUUGCAUUUGAAACGAAGUCUGCAGCACCAUAUCCAGAAGGAGUUUGGUUGUUCCCAUAAACAUGAUGUGGCGACAAUUUCUGCUGCUCAUCCGAUAUAUAGCUACUGCCGGCAGAGAACCUCGAGGUUCCAGUACUAUUAUGUAAAGAUAAACCAGCCAAGAAGAGACCCAGCGCCCAAGGUACAUCUUUUCCCGUGACCUUUCUUUAGAACCAUUUCCACGUAAACAUCUUGACUAUGUUUUAAGCUUCCAUCAGGUAAGUGUAGCUGAGGUGAUCUUGAAUCUUUUGAAGGCUAGGUACAACACGUCAUGUCUUGGAGGUGUAUGGAUCAAAGGUAUCGUGACUUUGCAUCUUCAAACCAGAGGAUGAUCCCUUAGGUUGACAGUAAACCCCUGUAUUCGUGCCGAUCACCUUCAGGUAAAAGCUUCCUUUGGCGUCAACAGUGGUCAAGGCCACGACCAUGGCAGAUUCGGUGAUGAUGCCCAUCGACGGUGCUACGCAAGGCAUUGAGAGAUAGACAUUGCGGCUGAAUUUAGUACCCAGCUGGACUGAGUCGACAGUGAAGUGGUGAUGGUGGAGGCGUUUCGCCGCCGGCGGCUUGCCGCCGGCGUCGUUCGAGGGCAGCUUUGCUUGUUACAGUCCAUUGGAGAUUCAAAAGUUAAACACCAUGCACAAACAGGUAGGCAACAAAAAUACACCCGCAUAUGAUUCACGCACUAUCCGAGACUGUAUAGGUGCCACGGCCUGACGUUCUUUUCGUGCUCUUUGAAUAAAUCAUAUGAUGCACAAUCCAAUGCAUGAGAAAACCGGUGCAUGCAUGAGGGUUGGUGUCAUGUGGAGUAAAGAGAGAAACUAUAAUAAUGAGAUGGAAAUAUUAGAAAAUGGGUAUGAAGAAUGAGUGAGUCAAAUGGGUUGUAUAGUGGUAUGAAGAUGAGCUUGGAGCAUGAAGAUAAAGGUUAAGAGAUGGGUGCAAUAGGUAGCAGAAACUGGUGAGAGAAAAGGGGUAUGUAUAGGGGCAUGGUGGGUAUGGGCAUGAAAUGUACGUUGAAGGAUAGCCCUAAGUGCAUGCAUGAUAAGAGACAAAUGAUAUGGGAGGAUAUUUGAACUCUGUACAUGUGGAUAUCAUGCAUUUCAUCCCCUUAAAGUUGCACCGAAAUUCCUUACUCAUCAUCCCAUUGAUAUAAGCAAAACAGAGUCCAAUGAAAACACUGCUUCCUAAAGAAAAAUGGUGCCUAGCACCAGAACCUGAAAGCAGACCUCUCAAAUCGCAAGCAGCUCCAUCCGCAGCAUCUCAGAAUAUCGAGCAGGGCUCAGAUUGUUUGUAUACCUAAACUCAUCCUCACAAAAGAGAGUUGAUAUCUGAGGCCAAUGGAUCCACUCAAAGUACAGAUCUUCCAAGCUUUCUGGUAAACAAAGACCAUGACCAAUUGGAAUGAGCUCCAGCUGACCAUACGUCUCAAUUCCAUCAAAUUUUCUGACCAGAAAGUUUCCUGUUUGAUGAAUUCUAUAGCUUCAGGACUUUCCUUUGAAAAGGAUGCGGCACUGUCACCAUUCACAAACUGAGAAAGCAAGCUUUGGAAGGAGUAAUGAUGUUGGAUAUCAAAAGGAGUAGAUGUUAAAUGGAGGGUACAAAACUGAUGAAGCAGACAUGAUGCUUUUUCGAAACCUUCUACAGACUGCAUCUUAAAAAAAACACUGUGAUAUUCCGGGGCAUAGUUACUUAGCAUCUUUCAUUCCAUUCAUCAACGGUCAUUUUACCUCAAUCUCCACUGAUUCAUGUUUCAUCUCUGUUCAUCUUCAAAUCUUAUUCAGUCUUUUCCCUCUGGAAGCAAUUCUAUAAUGCAAACACCAACACCCCACGUUCUGCUCAUUUCAUUGACAUUCCCCCGUGAGCUUCCAUUCACUAUUAGCAAAUAGCCAUCCUAUACCACGAUGAUUCCAUCAACACUGUUGGCUACUCAGAGGCCAUCAAAUGAACCCGAAACUGGAGAUUCUCAAUCAGUAAGGGCACACUGAGAUAGAAUAGACCUGAGUUGACCCACUGACAACUCUUAUAUGGCUUCCUCAGGCAGAGAUGAGAAAUCAGAUGUGUGCCAUGGAUGAAUACCAAGAACAGAGAAAGAUAGCCAAGACAGAGUACAAUGGAUAGGAACCAAAUGAAUCCAUACAAGCCCCCUUUCCCAUAACCAUCAAUGAGCCCAGAUGUAAAAAUGGAUUAAAGCAAAUUUCAAACAAGUUUUUAAACAAAGAAAACAGAGGUGGGAAUACUGAUAUCUCAUAAGAGAUCUCAAAAUAGGGGAUACGAAACAAGUUAGAGAUCAAGCAGCAUGUGAGAACAAGCAAGUACAAAUUCCAUGAGAAAAAAAUAAAUAAAUAAAUAAAUAAAUAAAAAGAAUAAACGAGAAGCAUACCACCAAUCACCUUCAAACACUAAAGCAGAGUUUCAUGAUGCCUAAAAAAAAAUUGAGACGGCCAGAACAUGGAAGAACUAACCCAUAGAAAUAAUACCUGAACCUUCUUCUUUUCAGUUUGCCCUUCUUCUCUCCAAAACGGCCAGGUCCCCUCCACUGCAGCUGCCUCACCUCUCUAAAAAAUAUCUCCUCACUGCAACCGGAAUCCCCCCAUCUCCUAAAAUCUCUCCUCCACGACCCCAAAAAUCCUCUCUGAAAAGCCCCACCACUCUGCCUGUAGGAGACGCUCCUCUAACCGUCUGCAGCUUUUUUUUUUUUUUUUUUUGCAGAUUCUUUGGACACGUGUCGACCUCUGGUUGGCCAUCAAAAACACCACUCUGGUGCCCCAACAGCCAACCAUGCAUGGACAAGUGGCUCCUUGAGAUCGUGACACUUGGCAAAAUCAAGCUGCAGAAAAUGAGCCCCAAAUGGGGGUCAGGGGAGUCAAAAUAUAAAUGGUGUUGCUCGUAGAGCAGGUAUGAUAAAGGACAUUCUCUUAUCUAAAAGAGUUUUUAUGGUUCUUGAUGAUGUUGAUGAUCCAAGUCAAUUAGAAUAUUUACUUGGACAUCGUGAAUGGCUUGGAGAAGGAAGUAGAGUCAUCGUAACUACUAGAAAUAAACAUGUGUUAGCUGUACAAGAAGUGGAUGACUUAUAUGAGGUUAAGGGAUUGAAUUUUGAAGAAGCUUGUGAACUUUUCAGUUUGUAUGCCUUUAAACAAAAUCUUCCCAAAUCAGAUUAUAGAAACCUCUCACAUCGUGUUGUAGGCUAUUGUCAAGGGCUUCCAUUAGCUCUAAAAGUUCUAGGUUCUCUCUUAUUCAAGAAGACAAUACCUCAGUGGGAAAGUGAAUUGCGUAAAUUGGAUAGAGAACCUGAAGCGGGAAUUCACAAGGUGCUUAGACGAAGCUAUGAUGGAUUAGAUCGUACAGAACAAAAUAUAUUUCUUGAUGUUGCAUGUUUUUUUAAAGGUGAAGAUAGAGAUUUUGUGUCAAGAAUAUUAGAUGCUUGUGAUUUCCCUGCAGAAAUUGGAAUAAAAAAUCUAAAUGACAAGUGUCUUAUAACUCUCCCAUACAACCGUAUAGCUAUGCAUGAUUUGAUACAACAUAUGGGUUGUGAAAUUGUUCGUGAAAAAUUUCCUGAUGAGCCAAACCAAUGGAGCAGAUUGUGGGAUCCCCAUGAUAUUCAACAGGCACUUAGAACAUCUAAGGUAAGAGCCAAGUGCAUAAAUUCACAUAAACUUCAAUAAUAUCAUUCUUGUAUAAGAACUUACAUAUCCAUAUAAGUUGAGUUAGUUUGUAUUUAUGUUUACCUUAUCCUUGUUAUUUUUCAGGAAAUACCAAAAGCUCAAACAAUAUCCUUGGACUUGUCUAAGUUAAAAAGAGUAUGCUUCGAUUCAAAUGUUUUUGCAAAGAUGACUAGUCUUCGAUUGCUCAAAGUUCAUUCAGGUGUCUAUUAUCAUCAUUUUGAAGGUAUUCACGAGAAGGAUUAUUAUGCUAUAAUAAAAAAUACUUCUAAAAUGCGACUUGACAUGAAAUUCGAAUUUCCUUAUGAGUUAAGGUAUCUUUAUUGGGAUGGAUAUCCUUUAGAUUUUUUACCAUCAAACUUUGAUGGAGAGAAGCUUGUUGAACUUCACUUGAAGUGUAGCAACAUAAAACAGUUGUGGCAAGGGCAUAAGGUAUUAUUAUCAUUUAAUAAUGACUUCUUUAUCUUUGUAUUGAUUUUGAAAUUUAUGAUUGUUAUGUCUUUAUUGAAACCAAUUUUCGUUUGGCACAGGAUCUUGAAAGGUUAAAGGUCAUUGAUCUAAGUUGCUCAAGGAAUCUCAUUCAAAUGUCAGAAUUCUCAAGCAUGCCAAAUUUGGAGAGACUAAUUCUUGAAGGUUGUGUAAGCUUGAUCGAUAUUCACCCAUCUGUUGGAAAUAUGAAGAAGCUUACUACCUUAAGUUUGAGAUUCUGUGAUCAGCUUAAGAAUCUGCCAGAUAGCAUUGGAUACUUGGAGUCUCUCGAGUCUCUUGAUCUCUCUGAUUGCUCAAAGUUUGUGAAAUUUCCGGAGAAGGGAGGGAACAUGAAAAGUUUAAUGAAGCUUGAUUUAAGAUUUACUGCUAUUAAGGAUCUGCCUGAUAGCAUUGGAGACUUGGAAUCUCUUGAGUCUCUUAAUCUCUCAUUUUGCUCAAAGUUUGAGAAAUUUCCGGAGAAGGGAGGGAACAUGAAAAGUUUAAGGCACCUUUGUUUAAGAAAUACUGCUAUUAAGGAUCUGCCUGAUAGCAUUGGAGACUUGGAAUCUCUUAUGUUUCUUAAUCUCUCUGGUUGCUCAAAGUUUGAGAAAUUUCCGGAGAAGGGAGGGAACAUGAAAAGUUUAAUGGAGCUUGAUUUAAGAUAUACUGCUAUUAAGGAUCUGCCUGAUAGCAUUGGAGACUUGGAAUCUCUUAGGCUUCUUGAUCUCUCUGGUUGCUCAAAGUUUGAGAAAUUUCCGGAGAAGGGAGGGAACAUGAAAAGUUUAGUGGAGCUUGAUUUAAAAAAUACUGCUAUUAAGGAUCUGCCUGAUAGCAUUGGAGACUUGGAAUCUCUUGAGUCUCUUGAUCUCUCUGAUUGCUCAAAGUUUGAGAAAUUUCCGGAGAAGGGAGGGAACAUGAAAAGCUUAAAGUGGCUUUAUUUAACAAAUACUGCUAUUAAGGAUCUGCCUGAUAGCAUUGGAGACUUGGAAUCUCUUUUGUCUCUUCAUCUCUCUGAUUGCUCAAAGUUUGAGAAAUUUCCGGAGAAGGGAGGGAACAUGAAAAGUUUAAUGAAGCUUGAUUUAAGAUAUACUGCUAUUAAGGAUCUGCCUGAUAGCAUUGGAGACUUGGAAUCUCUUAGGCUUCUUGAUCUCUCUGAUUGCUCAAAGUUUGAGAAAUUUCCGGAGAAGGGAGGGAACAUGAAAAGCUUAAAGAAGCUUUUUUUAAGAAAUACUGCUAUUAAGGAUCUGCCUGAUAGCAUUGGAGACUUGGAAUCUCUUGAGUCUCUUGAUCUCUCUGAUUGCUCAAAGUUUGAGAAAUUUCCGGAGAAGGGAGGGAACAUGAAAAGUUUAAUGGACCUUGAUUUAACAAAUACUGCUAUUAAGGAUCUGCCUGAUAGCAUUGGAGACUUGGAAUCUCUUAAGUUUCUUGUUCUCUCUGAUUGCUCAAAGUUUGAGAAAUUUCCAGAGAAGGGAGGGAACAUGAAAAGUUUAAUUCAUCUUGAUUUAAAAAAUACUGCUAUUAAGGAUCUUCCCACCAACAUUUCUAGGUUGAAAAAUCUUGAAAGACUUAUGCUCGGUGGCUGCUCAGACCUGUGGGAAGGAUUAAUAAGCAAUCAGCUUUGCAAUCUGCAAAAACUUAAUAUCAGUCAAUGCAAAAUGGCUGGACAAAUUCUGGUGCUUCCUUCAAGUCUACAAGAAAUAGACGCAUACCCUUGCACAAGCAAGGAAGAUUUAUCAGGUCUGCUCUGGCUUUGCCACCUCAACUGGUUGAAAUCCACAACGGAGGUAAUUUAAUAUAUAUAUAUAUAUAUAUAUAUAUAUAUAUAUAUAUAUAUUUUAAUUAUGCCACUUAAACCUUUUUUUAUUUUAUUUGAAGUCAAUAUUUACAUAAUAAUUUGUGCAGGAGUUGAAAUGCUGGAAACUCGGUGCUGUUAUUCCUGAAAGUAAUGGAAUUCCAGAGUGGAUAAGGUAUCAGAACAUGGGAAGUGAAGUAACAACAGAGCUUCCAACGAAUUGGUAUGAAGAUCCUGACUUCCUAGGAUUUGUUGUAUCAUGUGUUUAUCGGCAUAUUCCUACAUCUGAUUUUGAUGAACCUUAUCUUUUUCUCGAGUGUGAAUUGAAUUUACAUGGCAAUGGAUUUGAAUUCAAGGAUGAAUGCUGUCAUGGAUACUCGUGUGAUUUUAAAGAUUUGAUGGUAUGGGUUUGGUGCUAUCCUAAGAUUGCUAUUCCGAAAGAGCAUCACCAUAAAUACACACAUAUUAAUGCUUCAUUUGAGAGUUAUUUGAUAAACAUAAAAAAAUGCGGCAUCAAUCUUAUAUUUGCGGGAGAUCAACAAAAUCAUAUGCCCAUGUUGGAGCAUCCUCAGAAUUCUGGUGACAAUGGAUCAGCAUUACAAGAUACCGAUGGUAAUGUUCAUGGGGCUAAUCAAGAUGAUGAACACUACCAUAUUCCCAUCGUGUUAGAUCUUCUUGGGAAUUUUGGUGACAUUGGAUCAGUAAUACUUGAAGGCACUGAUGGAAACCGUAAGAGAAGACGUGAUGAUUCCUUACCCGAUGUAGUGGAGGAGCCACAUUAUAAAAGAUUGGGAGCACCCAACACCCAUCUCUCGCUUUGAACUCCAUCAGUAAGUGCAUUAUCAACCCUUUUUCAUGUAUUCUAACUUCUCUCCUUUUUAAAUUAUUUUUAAAGUUAAUAAACUAUUUUUGUAUAUUUCUUUAAACUCAUUUCACUUAUUUUUCUCCAUUAUAUAAAAAUUAAAUAAUUUAAAAAUGUAUACAUCUCUAAUCAAUUUUAAAUAUAUUUUAUUUUCUUUCAUAUUUUCUAUAGAAAAACCAAGCAUAAAAAAUAAUUUUUCUCAGUGUUUUUUUUAUUUCCUAAGUACUCUCUAAGAUUCAAACAUAGUUUAUAGUGAUUGAUAUCAUAACUAUGCAUGUACCACGUUUUAUAGAAUUUCUUCAUUUUCAAAAAAUAUGAAAAAUAACUUCAACUAACUUUGAAAGUCAUCAUUAGUUUAAAAACAUGUAUAGUUUUUUUUAUUUUUUUAUUUUUUUUUAUUUUUUGUACAUAUAUAGCAUAGAUAUGGUAGAGUGAAUUGCUUUUCUUUUCUUUUUUUUCAUUAUUUAUUUAUUUAAUUAGUUAUAUAAAAACCUCUACAAAGUGAUUAUGAAGCUCUAGGGAUUCUUCAUUACCUUAUUAGAGAUAGCAUUAAUUAAUUAUUUGUUUAAUUAAUUUUUUUUAUACUUGUUUUUAAGAUAAAAUUUGAAUAAGUUAUCAAAAUUAGUUAGAGAAGAUCAUGUACACAAAUUAGAAGUUAAAUUUGAAUGUAUUAUGAGGUAGAUAUAUGUAAAAACUUAUAGUGUGUUUGGUAGUAAUUCUGGAAAAUGUUUUUAGUAUUUUUAACAUUUGAAUGAUAAAAUUUUUCAAACGUUAAAAAAGUUAGAAGUGCUUUCUAAAAUCACUGUCAAACAGGAUCUAACGUACUCUUAAUAUUUUUAAUAUUUGAAAAUUUUUAUCAUUCAAUUGUUAGAAAUAUUAUAAAUGCUUUCUAGAAUCACUUUCAAACACACUCUUACUUGAUGGCAGUAAAUAAUGAAACUCCCAUAUAUUGAUUUUAAUAGUUUUAAGAGUCAAAUUGUUUAUAGUUUUUGUAUUGAAGAAUUAAAUUUCUUUAAGUAUGCUAAAACAUUUUUAAACAUGCAUACUUAUUGUCUAUUUCUUGAGAUGGAAGUCUUGGAUUAAUCUUAUAUUUACUUAUGUGAAAUUUGUGAUAUGCUCGUGAAGUUUACUUAACAAAUGAUCAUACUAAUCUUAAGUGAAAUUUGUGAUAGUACCGAUCAGAACGAAAUCACAUGUGGUAGCUGCAGGUGGACUUCAUGUUUUUUCCUAACAACUGAUUGGUAAGUCAUUUUGUUCAUUUAUCCUUUUAGUACGUGUAGAAAAUUGAUUAAAGCCUCUUCAACUUCUUUACUAUUUUCUCUUUCCCUUGAUCCCUGUUUUGUGCGAUUAUGUUUGGUUUUUGGAAAACUUAAAGGAAAAUAUAAGGAAAAGAAAAUAGAGAAAAAAAAUUAAAAGGAAAUAAAAAGUGAAAAAGAAUAAAAACAAGAUUUAAAGUCAAUCAAUUAUUUUCAUAUGUUUCUUCAAUCUUAUUUCAAUUAUUUUGCUUCAUUAUAUAAAAAUUAAAUAAUUUUAAAAUGUAUAUAGUUCAAACAUAAGUUUUAAAAUGUAUAACUAAUUUUAAUUAUAUUUAAUUUUUCCAUAUUUUUUACAAUGAAACCAAACAUUUAUCAUUUUUCUUGACAUUUUUUUAUUGUUUCCUUGGUACUCACUAAAGUCAAACAUAAGUUUAAACCCACUAGAGUGAUCCAAUUGGUGAAGGCAAAUAUUGAGAAGUGUGGUCCCACUAAGUGACACAUGGUCCUGAGUUUGAAUCCUACCACUAAUGAUACUUUGAAUUUAUCUAGUGCUAGUUAUUGUGACGCGAUUAACACUUUGAGGUUUGGUUCCCCAUAGAGUCCUAUAGGCUUAGCCAAGGAAGGUUUUUCAAUUAUUAAAAAAUAAAAUAAAACAUAAGUUUAAUGUUUUAGGAGGUAAAAAAAAAAAGUGGUAGCGCAAUUGACAAUUAACUAGGAUAUAUAUUUUUUCUCAUGUGCUUGGUAUAAGGCACUAAGUAUCAUUAUAUUAAAUCCUCCAUCUACCGCAUGAUAGUUAGUUAUAAAUUCCUUACUAUUAUUAUAGGUAAACAAUAAUUUAUAUAUGUUUAAAUUAAUUCUUAAGUUAAUGGUUAAUAUCUAUUAAUUAUGUUUUUAGUUCCUUUGAUGAUUAUGUUAUAUUUGAACAUUUUAGGGGUAUGAUUUUAGCUUCAUUAGCAUGAAGUGUAUCUAAUGAUAUGUGAUUCCCUAUCACUAUGUUUGAUUUCAAGAAAGUAUAAGGAAAGAAAAAUCCUCAUGAAAAUUAUUUUCUCAUGAAAAAAUCCAAGUACGAAGGAACAUGAAAAUGAAUUUUGGAAAUCAGACACAACCUUGUGAAAUAUACUUGUGUUAAUAAUUACAGUGUGUUUGUUGUACUAUGUUAAUGACAUUGAAAUGUUGUGUUUUAUUCUUUAGCUUUAGGUGGAAACAAGGACAAUGAGGAGAAGUUAAUCUCAAGAUGCAAAUGAGAUUCCAAAUGUUGCUAAGGUGGUCUACUCUUGCACAUGAUUAGUCUCUUACAAUCAUGACCAUCAAGAAAGAUGGUACAAUUUGUGUAUUGAAAGUGUGAAUUAGGAAUGUUAAAAAAUGAAAACUUGAAUUGAUAUAUGUUUUUGCCCAUAAGAUGUGUGGUUAUGGUCAAUUCUUGUGGGUAUGUAAUUGACCUUGAUGUUGCAUAUGAAGCAUGUCACCCUCUCUGUAUCUUCAAGUUAGUGGUUGGAGCUUCUAUAGAUGGUGGAAGACAAGUGUCACCAAUUUAAGUAUUUCUUAAGCUCUCAUGUGGCACUUAGACAAUUCAAGUCUAUUGAAGUUGUUGCUAAGUCUUUCAUGUUGUGACAAAGGUUUUUCACAUUUCACACAUUAUAAUCAUCACAUUUUAACUCAAGUUUUUAAAAGUAUUAAAUUAAUACCAUUCCCUAAUCUUACUCGGCUUGGUUUGUCAACUUCGGUGGUUUAUUACUUUUUAGAGCCAACUUUCAACUUAAUCAAUCCAACGUAAUUGUUAUUGAUUCAUGGUUAAUAAUUCUCGAUCUAAUGUUAUGAUUGUUUUUUAAAAAAUUUGAGGAAAAUAAAAUAAAGAGAAAAAGUACAAGGAAAGGAAAUGUGGAGAAACAUAAAAGAAUUAUAUUUAAAAUUAAUAAAUUAUUUUUAUUUGUUAUUUCAAACCUAUUUUACACACAAAAUUAUAAUAAUAUUUAAUUUUUUCUCUAUUUUCCAUGAGAUACCAAAUAUAAAACAAAUAUUUUUUUUAACAUUUUUUUUAAUGCUUUUUGGAAACUAAACAUAACUUAAUACUUGUCUUUGUGUUUCAAGAUACCAAUAAUACUUCUUGAUAAAAUCAUAUCUAUUAAUGUGGCAUGUAUACAUGUGUGGGAUAUUCAUGGUUCAAUACUAUCACUAUCUUACAAUUGUGGAUUCUAAUUGAAUUUUAUGAAUUAAUGAUAUGAUCUUUCUUCAAACAAAAUGUCUUUGUGAGUUGAAUUAUUUCAAUUGGUCAAACCUCUAUAUUCCAAAUAUUUCUACUUUGAUUAAUCAAGGUCUUUGUGAGUUGACUUUAAUUUGCUUUUAAAUAUCAUCUAUUAAAGUAUUUUAGAUGCUUCUUUGUUUUGUGUAGUAUUGUAAUAGAUUAUGAGAUAAUUGUAGACCAAAUGAUAUACAAAUUAUCUCCUUUAUAGAUGUUUUUUCACUUGCUUUAAAGCUAAGAUUUUGUAAACUAGCUUUUGUCUUUUCUUAGCUUUAAUUUUUUUACUCUAAAACACCCAAAUAAAGUCAUUUAGUUUUGUAUGUGCUAUUUUCUUUAAAAGAGAAACUAAAAAGGGAUGCAUCCUAGUAUAUAGUUGAAGCAGAGAAGGAUUUUAUUCUAAAAUUAAUAUAAAAAAUAUACUUUGAUAAUAUAAUUUUAAACCUCUUUUAGAUGGUGUUUGGUAAACCAACUUAAUAAUUUAAUAUAACAUAAUAACUUAAUUUGUUAUUAAAUAGAUUAAUUAUUUUUGGUAAAAUAAUUUAAUAUUAUAAUAUAAACAUAGUAUUAAGUCAAAAUAGUUAACUUAAGGGUAUUUGGCAAAUCAACUUAAUGACUUAAUAUGAUUUAAUAAUUUAAUUUAAGUCAUUAAAGAGAUUAAACAUGUUUGAUAAAAUAACUUAAUAUUACGACUUAAAGUUAUUUUUAACUUCAAGUAAUAAGUCAAAAGGGUUAAUUUCAUUGAGACCCCUUGAGGUUUGAUAUAAAUAUACUCAAUUACUGUUGUUUUCAAAUUUCAUCAAUUAGCACCCUUAUGAAUUUAUUUUGUUUAAAAAAUUUAUUUUUUUAAGAGAUUUCAAGUAAAAAUAUUUUUGAUAGGAGUGUUUAAUAAUUCACUAAAAACUAAAUUUUAUUUGUUAAAAAAUAAAAUUUAUAUACAUAAUACAUUUAUAGGGAUGUUAAUUGAUGAAAUUGAAAUUUGAAACUUAUGAUGACUUAAUGUAUUUACACUAAACAUGAAGAGUCUCAAUAAAAUUAACUUUAAGUUAAAAUAGUUAACUUAUUCUUAAUCUCAAAUCUUUUUUACCUUAUUUGUCUACAUUUAUUACUUAUUUUUUAUGAUUGUACUUGUAUCUUUAAUACUUUAAAUAUGAAUAUUUAACAAAUAAAUUUAUUAUUUAGGAUUAGUGAAAAUAUAAUUAUUAGUUAAAAUUAAUAAGGAUGAAUAUGUCAAUUUGACAAUUUAAAAUAAAAGUUUUAAGUUUACAGUUUAAGAACCAUUUAACUUAAAAUCAAUUUAAAUCAUUAAGUAAUAAGUAAUAAGUAAUAAGUUUUACCAAAUGCCCACUUAAAUAUAGCUUUUAAAUGAAUUAUUUAAUCAAAAGACAAAUAUAAAAAAAUAAAAAAUAAAAUAAAAAGGAACACACUAAACAGGCAUCAUAAAAUCUUUCACAUGAUUUCUUUACUUUUUUAUUCACCUUCUUAGAAGACGAUUUUAAUAUUUCCUAAGAAAAUUAUGAAAACACAAAAUUGGUGUUUCCAGAUUUUCUAUUUUUAUAAAACUCUAUUUUCUGAAAUAUUGAUUUAUGUUUUCUUUACAAAUGAAAACAAUUUAAACAAAAAAGUGAUUUAUAGUUUCCAUUUUUAAAAUUGAUUUUCACUUCUUUUGACUUAAGGCAUUUUCAAGAUAAGAAAAAAAAAGGAAUAAAAGCUAUUUUUAGAGAAUAAAAAUAAAUGAAAAACAUUUUCCAACCGAAACCCAUUGUUAAUGUUUUCAUCUCAUUGUGCCUUUUUCUAAUCUCCAUCCCGCACUUUGAUGGGCUAAACUCGAAAAUGGAAAGUUAUAUCUUGGCACUUGCUUUAAUUUACAUUUGUUAAAUUGGUUUUGACAUACAUUUUUCAUAAUAAAUGCAAAACAAUAGCCUGAGUUACAAACAUGAUUUCCAUGGUUUUUUAGGUCUCUAAUCACAUAAAGUAUUGAUUCCCAAAUUAAUGAUGCUCUAAAUUUAGUGCAUAGGGCAUUCAGACUCUCAGUUCCAUCAACAUCCAUUUUCAUUUUCUCACCUGCCAAAACCUUAUUGUACAAAUUUCCAUUCAACCUUCAGAUCCAUCCCAUGUUCCAUUUUCAAUCCUAGCCACAUUGUUACCAUAGGGCAAGUUGCUAGUACCAAAUAUUUAAGACAAGUAUACAUACAAUGCAAAUCAGUCCAUUACCCUAAAAGAAAAGGAAAAAGAAAAAGAACUUGUGUCACAGAAAGGAAUAAUCUAUUGGGUCAGUGGCUUGUAUCCAAAGUGAUACCAAACUGUGCUGACAAGGAGCCUUUGUAAGAAUCUGAUACAGCUCCUGCUGUUUCUGAAAGGUUGCUCUUCAUCUCUGAAAUUUUUGAUACCAUGGGCUCUUUGUAUUUCGAAACUGAGUCAACCAAAGCAUAGAGUUCCCAAGCACAUAUCUGAAUUUCAUCCUCAUUUUGCUUGAUUGCUUCCUGCAACUUCAAUUUGGACAUCUUCAUGACGACAUCAAAGUCUAGUCAGAAUCCCUUGAAUUUUUCGAUAAUAUUCACAUUAAUCAAGAACAAUUAUAAAGCCAGGUAGAAAUUUUUAGCUCUGAAAAGGGAAACCAACUUAUGUUAAAAUAAGUUUCUUUCAGGUUUACGAGAUCCACCCUGGCAAUAUUGAUAUCCUUAACUAACUAUUUAAGAGAAGAAAAACAAAAUUAUACCUCCAGAACAUCUGCCACUUCUCUUUCCACAAUAUCUACAUUAUGGGUUUCUAUCUCAACAUCCUCCACCAACUUCUUAGCUUCCAUUGCACAUCUGGAGGUGUAGUUUUGCGUUUCCUUCUUCAAAAAAUUUAAUUGAGCUUCCACCUGACAAAUUGAUCAUUCAUCCAUGGUUAACCUCAUACAACAAUAGCCUAAAAAGAAUUCAUUCUGAUGCCUUGUCAAAAAUCAACCAGAAGAUAAAUAUCCAUGAACGAAAAACAAUUAGAUUAAACAAUGUGUAACCCAAUAAUUUAUGUUGCAAAAUCAAGUUAAACAUCAGAUCCAUCAGAAACAACGAGAUGCAUGAUACUAUUCGAUAGCUUAUUAAUAAAAUCACAUUAUUAGGAAGACACUACUCAAUAGCUCGACACUAAUAAUGGAGUUCUUUAAUAAUGGAAUAACCUUACAUGGCAUAGUUAUGCAAGCAUUGUUUAAGCUAAUGUCAAAUAUAGUCAAAGCCUUGACAAUAAUUUCCAAUCAGCAAGUUGGAAAAUUACUUGCUAAAAAAUAUACUUGGAAAAGGAAUCAAAUGUAGUCAAUCCUUUGUAGGGACUAAUUAUCAUCCAAAAAUAAUUUUUCUUAAGUGUUUUAUAAGCCAUCAAAGCUACUUUGAAAAUUUGGGGCCUGACAAUCUAUGUGCAAUAACAAUUGACAUCUCCAACAGAUUAUUUUUUCUUUUUUAAUCCAAAACAAAUCAUUCAUUGAUAUGAAUUUAAUUACAAACCAAGGAUGAGAAACCCUUUCAAAAUAUAAAGGAUGAUUAAAAAUUGAGGAAAAAUCUAACAAAAGUAGCAAGAUAGCUAUACUAAUCAAGGACGAUACAAGAACUUGAAUAUAGCGACAAUGUACACUUGAAGGGGGUAAAACAUACCUUACAGAAGAGUCCAUUUGCAUGGCUCCACAUUUAGCCAAUCAAUCUGCAACCUGAUUCACUAAAUGAGGGGACCAAUAGAAGGAACAACCCAAGCUACUAGCUAGAUCCAGGGUUUUAGGGAGCUACAUGUCAUACAUCCCAAGACAUGUGAUGGGGGAAAGCCUUUCAAAGUAUAUUCAAAAAGGAAAGGAAGGCACAAAUAAACUUUAAGUGGGAUUAGUAUUAGUUAGAAUAAAAUUAGAAUUAGUAUUUAUUGGAAUCAAAUUAGGAAUAGCUAAAUAAUUUAGAGGAGACUUAGAGUCAUAAUAGGUUAUAUUAGAAUCCUAGUAGGCUUUGAAUUUCUUAGAGAAGCCUAUAAAUAAAGCUAAUUGAUGUAAAUCAAAGUAAUGGAUCGAUAAUUAAUAAUAUAACGUUUCCUUGCAUACUUUGCAAUUUUGAAUGGUAAGACUCUUGAUUUUCUUCUAGGUGAGACUCUUAGAAGGCCUUAGUGAGACUCAAAGCUUUCUAGCUCUUCUUCUCCGUAUCUUCUUUCUCAAUGUUUUUUCAUUUUAUUUUUCUUUACCAUAAACUUUAUCCUUUAUUCCUCACCUUAAAUGGUUAAACCCUAAAAAAUAAAAACCGUAGCCCACUUAUUUGAUUGUAGGCAACCAUCAUAGGGUUGUCUUACGUCAAUAUGUCCAACAAUUUAAUCAUCCCUUUUAAUCCAAUUUGAAAAUAGCACCUAUUCUUAACUGAAUUAUACUAAAGCAUAUUUGGGUCACUUUUCUAAAGCACAUGUCUGGUUUCCAAAAGUGGACACAAUUCUAGAAUUAUGCAAUUGGAGUAUGUGCAUCUAGGGCAUCCUGAAGAUAUGUGCAUUCUGAAAAUGAACACGUAUUCCUAUUUCUUCUCCCUCUUCUCCCUCUUCCCUAUAUUUAUUAUUUAUCAUAUCUUUACAUCACCUAGGUACCAUAUCAAAACCAUACAACAAGCUGGCCCUUGAUCAGCAUCCAUCUGACCCUGAUCAAUGGACUUCAGAAACAAUGGCAUGCACCCUACAUUUAACUUCCAAGUCCUCUGGACCAAUUUGACAUAACUAUGGUAGCACACUUUUUGGGUCACCCUUUGUAUUAGUUCAAAGGAACAUUACAACCUGAGCUGUCCAUUGAUGCCAAAAAGCUGUAAUGUGGGUAAUACAUGCUUUGCUCAUAUACAAUAAUUGUUUUUAGCAAUGGAUACAAAAUGGAUGUCUAUCUAAGGCAUCCAAAAGCUAAGAUUUUAUCUACAACCAGAAGAGUACAACCCCUAAAGUUGAAUGGAUACAAAAUGCCCAUGAUUGUCCCUUAAUAAUAACCCCUAACCCACAACCGGCUCCGAUUUCCCAAAAAGCAACCUUCCCAGGAAGUGUUUCUAGGAGGAAUAACAAACUUAUCUCUCAACUUAUCCCCUUCAUCACCCACAUAGUUUUAAAAGGUGCAAGGCGCACCUAAGAUGCAAAGUUUCCUAUAGCUUAAGCACAAGGCGCAACACAAGGUGUGCGUCUAAGUGAAGUGAAAUGUGACCUAGAAUACACAUCAAUUUUAUAAAAUAUGAUUCAAAAUCUAAUCUGAUCAAUAAAAAAUUUAAAAUUCGAAACAUUUAAAAGAAGCAUUCAAUAAAAAAGUAAUGAAAUUAUAUACAUUUCAGUAUAUAAUUAGAAAUUUAAAAAAUAAAAGUGUUUACAAAGGAAGAGUAAAGCUGACAAGGCACACUUUUUCAAUAAGGCACAUAUCUUGGCAAGCAAGCGCUAUAACUUGGGAGUGGUGGCGCCUUGAGCCUAGGCGCACUUAAAGCACGCCUUUUAAAACUAUGAUCACCCAUUAGACAGAUGGUUAGACCAGGCAGCUCUUGCUUUUUUUUUUUGAUAGGUAGACCAAGCAGCUCUUGCUAUUAAAUUUUGAGUGACAACUGCUUGUGUAACUGACACCAUUUGCCCUUUGUACCAAAUUUUAGAUUGACCAUCGGGUGGUACUAUACUCCUUUCCAAUUAUUUUCCCUCCCAUAUUUCAUUUGAGUCAUUCUGGAAUUUAGCAAUAUUCUAUCCCAAUGGAAUUUCUAGGAACAACAUUUUUCUGUCAAAAUUUGAAUACAUCCAAAUUAUCACCUUUUUGAAUUCUAAUUGUAGUCCAAUCAAUUUAACCGCAGUAAUUGAUUUUCCAAGAAAUUUUCUUAUGUGCAUUCAACUACUAGCAAUUCAAGAAAACAUUUUUUUUUUUUUGGAUAGGUAAAUCACAAUUAAAAAAACAAAUUAAACGAAGGGGCAAGCAAGAUUAAAAAACAAUUGUCUUUUAGAUUGCAAAGAAAAUACCAAAGAAGCUUACGGUUACAACUUUAGUUUUCCUGGAGUGGCAUCCAUGCAAUAUAAUGACCAUGCAAUUGUAUAUGCUACUGCUGGUACUUUAGAAAUGGUAUUGCUAACAAAGUCAGACCACUAGGUAAAGAAGACCUGCUUUGAUUUGUUAUAUAGAUAGAUGGAUACAAAGAGAGAGAGACAGAGAGAGAGAGAGCGAGAGAGAGUUUGGCCUUUUCUGAGAGCAGCAAAAAGAGGUUGAGUUAAUUUGUACUUCAGUUAAUUGCAUAUUCAAUAGGGGAUCAUUGGCUCCAACUAUGUGCCCACCCCCUCCAUCUGUAUCCUUAUGUAUGUGUCUGAGAAUUUUAUGGGUCUGUCAUUCUUUCCAAAAUUUUUAUGUGCUGAGGAGUUCUUCUUUCUUGUAACAUGAUCAAUCUUGUUAUUUGUACCAAAGAUAUUCAGGAAUGUCUUUGAGAAUUUUAUGAGUAGAGGAUUCAUCAUCCUCUCCAAAAUUUUUGUCUUCUGGAGUUAAUCUGUAUCUAACAUCACCAAUACUUUUACCCUUCUUUAAAAUUUUUAGGAAAACAAAGUGAAAAUCUGGCUGCUCCGGUUGACACCCUAAAAGCAUAUAAAAAAGGCAUAGUUUUUUAUUCUUCGUGAGAGGUAUAUAAAUGCAUAGCUGCUGAACAAGAAAAAUGAGUUCUAAUUCACUUACUUCAUCACAACUAGUUUGAAGUGCAGCAAGACGAUUUUUUUUUGCUUCAAUUUUAGCAGCAUUUUCAACUGAUUGUUCCUGAAGAGAAAUCAACUCUUCCAACUUUAGCAUAGAGCAUUUUAUUUAUGUCAUCAGCAAAGGAGUCAAGUGCAGGCUUAAGCGUUGAUUUGUAAUCAAUUCCCAAAACCUCAGCAGGCAAAGACCCUUUGGCAUUCAAAACAUACUGCAAACCAUUUCCUAACUUUAACCUGGAAACCAUCCAAGAGAAAAUACUUCAAUCACACAAUAGAUUGUAGUUUAAUAGGUUGAAAGAGUUGCAUGAGGUGGCAUGCUAAUUUUUCAAUUCAAAGAUGCUCCUGAAAAUUAAGUAUUUAGUGUUGUCUCUUCAUGGCUAUUAGUUUACUUCAAAAAGUUAAAUAGAACAUGGUCCCAAGGGAAACAAUAGGCUCCUAAGGCAGGGCUCAGGAGGCAAAGGGUUGGGUGGGAAUGGGAAGGUUCCAAGUUGAAAUUCAUCUACCGAGAGAGAGAGAGAGAGAGAGAGAGAGAGAGGGGAGGGGGGAAGAGGGGAGGCUACCUCAAAAAAAGAGGUUGCCAAGGGCAACUGUAUCACCUAUCUCUUUCUAAAUAAAUUAUUAGAAAACUUGUGAGGAUGGAAGUGUUAAAUGGAGGUUUUUUUUUUUAAAGCCAAAUCGAGAAUGAACAUUAACUAACCUUAAAAACCUUUUUAUUUUUCUUACUUUGACAAAGCUCCAGAAUGGUUAGCAGUUUGAGAGUAACACUUAGCUCAAAAGGUUAAAGAAGAUGAACAAACAUGAAAUCAUAAACCAAUACAAAAGAUGUAAUGCACCCAAAAGAUAAAUGCACGUAAGGCAAAUUACAACUCAGAAACUACCCAUUGUUGGUGUUGAAUCACAACCCAAGUAAACAAAUGAAGUUUGAGUUGGCUACGUGGAAAUAAUGCAUGUGACUCAAGAAGACAUAAGCCAUUGAAUGAUUCAGCAACUACAUUCACCUGGUCUGAAUUUUUGUCGACUGAAAUUUUAUUUUUUUGUUAGGUAAAUUUUUUUGUCCCUAUUGGGAUUUGAACCUGAAACUUCCACAAACCCUCCCAAACCUUUACCUCUUGAGCCAGGCCUCAAGGGCAUGUUCACCGGAAUAAUUUAAGCAGAGAACAGCAGCUGGAUCCUUCUUAGGAAUCAUCAACUAGUCAUGCUGUAACUACAGAGCCAGAUCCUAUGUUCUCACUGAAGUUAUACUAAAAUGUUGUAUAUGUUAAUGUAUUUGCUAAGAACAGGAAAAUAUUUCAUAUCACCCAUAAAUGACAAAAAAAAUCUUGUAAUCUAAUUCAUGGAGGUAGAUAACCUAAUGUUGAUAAGAAUCACAGUAGACUUCAAUGGAAUAGAGAAAAUUAAUUCCAAGCAACACCAAACCUAAGAAAGAACACGAUUCUACCAUGUUCAUUAAUUAUCAGAAAGCAUACUGAAGAUUACUAGAAAGACUUUAGAGUAUGCAACUUAAGAAAUUAAGAAAAUCCUAGUGGAGUGGAUUAUAGAGGUACCAAAGCCAAACAAAGAGGAUAAGGAAAAGAAAACCUCCAGAGAGCCUGGUUGCAUUCAAUUGAAAGAGCUUCAAGCUCCUUAAACUUGUGCCCAAUUGUCGUGUCAACAUCCCAAGACUUCUCCUCCCAACCAUUCCUUGCAACCUCAGCCUCCGUGAUAUCUCUCUCAACUGCCUGCAACUCCCUCUUCAUCCUCUCUGCAUCUCUUGCAUUAAACGUCUGCAACUCAACCCUCUUCUUCAGCUCUUCAUUCUCCUCGCAAAUUCUAUUAUUCUCUUCAACCUUCACCCCCAACUCCUUCUCCUUCUCAUCCAAAAUCUUCUCCACAGAUGCAAUCCUUCCUGAAAAUUCUGCAAUUAUUGCAUGAAAUUUCUUCACAUCCUCCUCCAACACCCCCCUCUCCUUCUCCACAACCUCCUUAGCCGAAGGCCCCGACCUCAAUUCCUCCAACCUCCCCUCCCUCUCUGCCACCUCCUUCUCCAAUGCCUUCACACCUUUCGCCACUGCGUCCCUCUCCCUUUCCAACUUCCCCAUAAACUCCCUACCCACCGCCUCCAUCCCAUCAUCAUCCCCGCGAAUAUAAUGCAAGUAACUAUCCAAUGCAUACACAAAAGUAUUGUCAAAAUACUCCAAAUUCGACACAAGAUGGUCAUUAUACAAUGCGAUUUGAGCCAACCAAUGCAUUACGCCUAAAAGGGAAGGCCAAACAGGCGGGGUUCCGGGGGCUUUGAGAGCGGACUUGUUGAGCUUGAUCGGGCAAUUGAGAUGCUUGAGGAGGAUAGGAAGAUCGUCUUCAAGUUUGGUUGUGGGGAAAUCGNNNNNNNNNNNNNNNNNNNNNNNNNNNNNNNNNNNNNNNNNNNNNNNNNNNNNNNNNNNNNNNNNNNNNNNNNNNNNNNNNNNNNNNNNNNNNNNNNNNNUGAGGGGGAGAGGAGAGGAAUGGGAGGCGAGAAAGGAGUUGAUGGUGCGGAUGGCGGAGAGUUGGUAGGACCGGUUGGUGAGGGCAUCGCCGGCGGAGGAGCGGUUGAUUCCAAGGGAGGAAGGGUGGCUGCUGGCGAAACUAGCGUCAGAGUUGCGGCUGAAUUGGCGGUGGUGGUCGACGGAGGGAGGUGGUGGCGGCGGUGGGUGGAUAGAGUCCUUCGGACGGCGGCGGCCGGUGGCUUUCAUCCCCGGCUGUGAUGGGCGUCUCUCUCUCUUCUGAGUUCUUGUGAAUUCUGAAUCUCUCUUUCCCGCCUAUGGGCUACUGGGAAAAUGACACUGCUUUUUAAAUUUUAUUUUUGAAAACAUUUUUUUUAAAUGAAUUAUUUUUAAAAAUAUUAAGAUAUUAUUUCGUAUUUUAAUAAUAUAAAAUAUUUUCACCGAAAGGAAAAAACAAAUCAAAUUACCGAAAAAACACUGUUGACUGAUCAAGGACGGGCGGGCAGCAAAGUAUUGAUGAACUUCAACAGGUUAGAAGGAUGAAAGGUGCUGAUUGUGUAUUAGUUCAAUUCUUCUUUAAAUCUAUUUUCCAUACAUCUUGAUUAACCUCUAAGUAAUUGCAUACUCAGAUUAUGCAGUCAAAAGCAAUUUCAUAUUGAUCCAGCCUGCAUACGUGAGGUUCAGGAGAUCUCUCUUUCAAGUCAGUUCCAACAUAAGCACAUUGUUCAAUAUUAUGGCACAUUCAAGGUAUUUUUCAAAUUUUUCUUGUUGGAUUGGCUUCUUGUUAUGUACCACUCUUGGAAUCAGGGCUACCGUUUGCAAAUUUGCAUUUUUUGNNNNNNNNNNNNNNNNNNNNNNNNNNNNNNNNNNNNNNNNNNNNNNNNNNNNNNNNNNNNNNNNNNNNNNNNNNNNNNNNNNNNNNNNNNNNNNNNNNNNUUUGGGAGAAUAAUAUCGAUAUAUAUAUAUAUAAAAAACCCUACAUAAUGCUGCAUGCAAGACACAAAUUUAGGAACUUGAUCUGGGUCUUGUAGAGUUGUUGCAUGAGUCCUCUGGCAUCUUUGUACCUCAGAGGACUUAACUCGCUGCUAGUGCUGGGUUGGGCCUAAUUUAUAGGGAAGAAACAUUGGUGGAGGCAGUUGAUAAAGCCCAGAGUUGACGGCUGUUAACACUGGUGAAGAGGACGGGAAAAUUUUUAGCUUUGAAGAGUUACCUCAUUCUCUUAACUACAUCUGUGCUCAAGUGGCAGAUUACUAGUCCUAAUAUUCCUCAGAAUGCUCCUGGCUUUAGGAAGAAGACAUGAAUUAUGGCAUCAAUUUGGGCAUACGUCCCUCCUCUGCAGUAAAUCUAGAGUGCCAACUAAAACUUGGGACUGAUAAUUUGUUGCUCUCACUUGGGAACCCCCAUGCAGUAACAUUAGUUAGGUCUUUUCCUCAUAGAAUAACCAUGAAAGUCUUUGUGCUUAUUAGUAUAAUGGCUACUCUAGUGAAGGCCCAAUGUUCAAGAGGACUUAGAAAGGAUCUUAAUGUUAUGGGAUUCAAAAUCCUUAGAAGGCAUGAAUCUUUGGUGGUAUCUGUCUUAAGUUCAAUUAAAAUUCGAUUGAAACUUAUCUGGAAGAUCCGUAGGUGUUUGAGGUUUUGGACCAAAUCAAUUGCAGCUUAGGGAGAAGCUGAGUAACUGCUCAGGGUAGCUUUUGAUUUGGUGCACUGAGGAGAGUUCAAUGUUAUUGGGUCUUUUAGGGAAAAGCUAUUUUGUCUAGAAUUCCCAGUAGCGUGAAUGACACUGAUGAGCUAAUCAAAAGUUGUGGCUUAGUUGAUUCAUCUCUUAGAGUGAGGCCUUUCCAUGGUCAAACAAGCAAGAAACCCCAGUUUGAAGAGGUUUGGUAGGUUCUUGAUCUCAACAGAGUGCAACAUCAUUCAAGAAUCUUACCUAGGCUAGUAUUUGAUUAUGGUUCCAUGAUAUGGAGGUUAACUAAUUAGAUGAUUCUCACCCUCUUUUCUUUUGAAAAUAUGUGGUUGCUGCACCCAAAAUUUGGUGAUAUUAUUAUGGAUGUUGCAUGAGAUUCAGGUCUCAGUAUGGGAAUGAUAGAUUUAUUGUGUAGCCUUAAGUCAAUCAAAGCUUUCUUUGAAAUAUUGAAGAAAGAAACUUUUGAUAUUUCUGGCAAGAGGAACACUGUGAUAAUCACACUUGAAGGAAUGGGUCAUAUGAUGGAAGAACUUUGAUAUCUUAGAAUGAAAAGGAAAAUAAGGUUGGAGGAAUUAUGGGAGGGAAGAGCUAGAGACAAGAGUCUAGGUUGAAAUGGGUCAGGGAGGGUAAUUGCUACUCAAAAUUGUUUCACUGGGUGGAUAAAUUAUGGCAGGUAGAAGAAGCUAGAAAGGAAUGCCUGGGUAUUUGAAGAUAGGAAGAGUUAGUCUACUGAAUUUCAGGAGAAUUACUAUGGAUAUUAGUUACCAAGAAUUUAUCAGAAUUCCCUUCAACAUCAGUUACGUUCCCAAUUGGAAUAGUAGUGAGCUGCUUUGACAGUUGGUGUUUUGAAGCUUAAUUUUGCUGAUGUUCCUUGGAAAUUGGGAUUGGAUGGCUAUUGGCAAUCUAAUAUAGGAUCACAGGCAAGUUUAUUCAAGGUUCUCAAAGAAAGCUGGUUUUGGGCUGACUAUUGAAGCAAAAAUUUCUUGCUCUAAUGGUGGAGGUGGAUUAACUAAUAGUUUUAUCUUGGGUGGCUAGUAGUCGGAGAGUGUUGUGCGAGAUACAAUCAUUGGGUGCUGAGGAUCAUGCAAUUUGAUAGUUGUGUUCUCUUUUCCCUGGAAGCCUAGAUCCUUGAAUUAGAAAGGCUAUUAGUUGGCCAAAAAUGGAUCCUGUUCUUGGUUGGUUUAACUGGGGAUAUCAUGCCCCGUGUUUUGGUGGUUAAUUUCCUUAAGGUUGGGCAGCGAAAGGCUCUCUGGUGUGCGGACUUCUGUAUUUGUCUUUUUAUAAGCCUGUGCAAUUUUUUUGAUGGAUUUGUUUUGCUUGUUCCUUUUUACAAAUUCUUUGUAUAUUUUCUUAAUUUCUUCAUAACUAAAAAUAAACAGUACUAAAGCUCUGUUUAGAUUGACUUUUUGGAAGCAAAAAGAUCCUUUUUAAGUCUAAUAAGAUCUUCAAUAUGUGUUUUUGGCUUCACUGAAGUACUUCUAACCUUAAAAGGAGUUCAACACAUACGUAUGGGCAAGCUGUUUUUCAGUUUAUGUGGGAAAUUGUUUUAUGUUUAGUGAAAUCACACCAAUGCCAAGAUUGCCCCUUUAAAAUAAUGGUUUUAGCUUUAGCUUCAGUUCCUCACCAAAGUUAAAGGCAAAAUAAUAUCCUCAAACAAGACCUAAAUCUGAGGCCACAGCAGCACUGUUGCAAUCUUCAUGAGGUUGACUGAGUACAUGUCUCUGUUAGAGAGUUAAUAGGGAUUCUGAGUCUAUGUUGAGUAACCAAGGUUUUGCUUUUAGAGUUGUUAUUAUUUUCAAUCAUAUUUUUGGAUGUUAAUCACAAAAUUUUAUUUCAGAGGCUAUAGAAGGAUUGCCCUGACUGGAUGACUCUUAAAGUGGCAUGUUCUGUUUUAGCUGCUUGAUGAGAACUAAACCUUAGACUAAAAUUCAUGAGGGGGUCUCUUGAGCUUCCCAUCUGUUAUUUUUCAAGUUCACUUUUUCCUCUAAAGAACCUUUUUUUAAUCUCUCAUCUACUUAUCGUAUCAGCUAUUUUAUCAUGGUAUUUGGCCUUAUUGUUGUUUCAAGCUAUGUUCUUGCCUUGUAGGUCUGCUUCUGAAUGCAUGUUUCUAAACAUUCAUGCAUCAUAUGCAUCUUUUAUUUCCCUCGCAGGCUGUCUAAUUGACAGUCUAAAUACUCAGUAGUUACAUUUUUCUGUUCUUUGGGGUGAAUUAGUAUUUUUCAUGUUUUUGUUGUUGUCUGUUCCUUUAUGAUCUGGUUCUGGUACUGCAUCAAGAGGAUUGGAGUUCAUGUCAUAUUUUUUUUCUUGCUUACUCACAAAAUGUCUUGCCAUUCCAGGACAAGACCAAACUUUAUAUCUUUCUUGAGCUUGCAACUGGAGGUUCACUUUUAAAUCUCUAUCAAAAGCAUAAACUGUCAGACUCCCAAGCCUCUAAAUACACAAGGCAGAUUGUGAAAGGUUUGAAAUAUCUACAUGAGCAUAAUGUAGUUCACAGGUGAUUCAAAUGAUCUUACUACUACAUUUUUUGGUUAUAUUGCUUGUGCUUUAUUUGUUUAUACCUUGCUCUAUCCACAUGCCAUUACUGCUUGAAACAUGUGCUGAUUAUUUCAAUUAUCUGCCUUUGCUACCAAGAGAAUUGCAUAUGCAUAAACUAAAUGGCCUUCUUACUCAGGGAAAAUUGGUUCACUCUGUUGAGAAAGUUCUUCAGUUUUUAUUUUAUUAUUUUAUUUUUGUUUUUAUCUUCUUGAAACCUUCAAUAUUAUUUGGAUUGCACCGGUUAGCCCACUUACUGAAUUCUGUGAUUACAGACUGCUUGGUGAAGUGAAAAGUUCAACACUCCCACCUGCCCUCUUCCAGGAAAAGAAAAAUGGAAAAACCAAAAACAAAAAGAAGAGUCAGGAGCAUGGAUGUUAAACAUGGUCAUUGUCUGAUAACUAAGAUGAAACUACCCAAAGCCUUGGUAUAGAUAUAGAUAUCCCCAAUUUUCUGUGUACCUUACAUUGUGUCUUCACAUGUGGGGUUUACGUUGUUUGUUUUGAGAUUAUUGUGUAUCUUAAUAGUUUAAUCCUUUCAUAAAACUCCAUGUAAGUUAUGAUAUGAGGUGUGGUCCAUUUCCAUUUGACUUCAUGCAAUUAGCUGUAUUAUAUAUCACUUUGUAUAUUCUGCCUCAGUGCUUGAUCUUGCUAUAAUAUAAUUUUUUUUUUCUUUUUUCUUUUUUCUUUUUUCUUUUUUAAUUUGUAAGUCAAAAUUUUCUUUAAAAGCAACAUAUAAGAAAACAUACAUAAUAAUGAUUCAACUUUCUCUCUCUCUCUGAUUCACUUGAUUUGAGUGUCUCUUCAGGAGAGUUUUUGGGUCAUGAUUACAGAAUGGAAACCUGAAAAUUGAAAGAAUCCUAAUGCAAAAGCCAUUUACAAUGCUACAAACUCUCUCUCUCUCUCUCUCUCUCUCUCUCUCUCUCAUAUGAUUGAGAUGGUAAAUGGCAUAACUAGCAAGGCUAGAACCAUGGAGGGAUGUGAUCAUGGGACUCAGAAGUACCACCAGUAGGUCAUAAGGGAAAUUAGGCUUAUUGAUUUGGUCAUGCGCAACAAAGGCCAAUAAUUGCAUUGUUAAGAAGAGAUGGGUGGACAUUGGGAAUCAAUUGAGGUUACUUCAGGAAAUUAGACAUUUGGAAUGACAGUUGAAGCCACAAUGUUGUACAUUUACUUACACAUAAAUUGUUUCUGUUGUAAGACUAAUAGGUUCUGUAUCAUCUUCGAGGGAUAUCUGGUGGAUGUAAAUGGAACCGUGAAACUUGUGGAUUUUGGAUUGGCAAAGGUUAGUUUCUAUUUACUAGAGUUAUCUCUCUAUUGUUUCAAAAUGCUAGACUUCUAAAUAUUAUAUUUCUGGUUGUAUAUCUUUUCAGUUUUGCAAAUUGAACGACAUAAAAUCUUUUAAAGGGACUGCAUUCCGGAUGGCCCCUGAGGUAUCUUCCUCUCUUUCAUUCCUUCAUUUCUUAAACAAAUCAUGUUUGGUUUUGAAUUGAGAACUAUAUUUUAUGGAACUGUACUCGGUAGAAUCUUCUUAUACCAUGAAGAAGCAUGCAUGCUUAAAAUGUAGGCUCUGAAACCCUUGCCUUUUAGCAGGUGGUUGCGUCAGAAAAGGAAAUGACAUGAUUGAAUUGGGUUAUUGAAUAGCUCGAUUAUUGGACUGGAGCUAUCCCAACUAACAAAUUGAUAAGUUGUUGUUUUCCCAAAUUGUUGCUCUUUCUAAGAUUUUAUCCUACAAGGCAUUUAGUCCAUGCCAUGUCUUAUUACCAAUGCAUUUUGAUUUAGCAUCAGUCAUUAGUAUCUUUCUGUACAACUGCCAAUAUACUGACACUAAUAGAUGCAUGGAACCACUGAGUGCUCAAUUGAUGAGGAUUUUCCAUUCAAAUCUGAGAAUUUAGGCAUCAAGCUACCUUUUUCCAUUAACUCUCUCUACUUCUAAGGGUGGUUAAACCCUUGCUUCAUUAUUUGGUAACAAAAAUUAGUACAUCACCAGAAGAUUGGUAGGGGGAUCCUACAGUUAGGGAUGCAAUGAAGUGGAUUGGAACUGAGUGACCCAUCCUUCUUCCUGAGAACCCGAUUUAGUACAUUUCAUUCCAAAGCUGCUCCAUUGGGACAAAUUCUUUAACUUUCUGGACUGCAGGUUUGUGAAGAGAUGUUAAAGCCCUGGCUAAAAAUGAAAUAGUGGUGUCUGUUUUAUAAAACAAAAUAUGGUCACCAGCAAUCUACAUUUUAGCUCGAUAUUGCCCUUCUGAAAUAAAUUUCUGACUCUUUGCCCCUGAGAAUGAAUUGUGGUUUUGCAACCGCCCAGAUCUGUGGAUUUGAAUCAGUUUUUACUUUGAAAUCAUGCUCAAACACCCUCGUCUUACAACUGUGUUUAUUUAUAAAUCCUGCACCAGUUGGGAGUAGAACUCUUAAAUCCCUGUUCUAAAUCAUGUCCAAACAUGUUAUAAGUCUUUGUGUUAACCAUAUUUGAAAGUUUUUUACCAAGGACAUUUGUCAUUAUAUUAUGUGGCACUGGCACAGGAUGCUCCAAGCAUUAUGGUUUCUUAUAAGUGUUGAUUUUACAAAUAAUUUGUGCCACUGUAGGUCAUUAAUGAGGACAAACAAGAGAACGAUGGUUAUGGGUUUGCAGCUGAUAUAUGGAGCCUCGGGUGCACUGUAUUAGAGAUGUUAACUCGGCAACAUCCAUAUCCCAAAUUGGAGCCGGUAUGUAUAAGCUUCAAUGGAAACAAAUAAUCAUUCCAACAUUACAUUCUUAUAAUGCAUCCAAACAUAAGAAUUAGAAUCACCAAAUCUAUUUCUAUUCAAGAAGAUAUAGGAAUGAAAACAAAGUUUUUAUUCUUAUUCCUCAUUCCCAUAUACUAAACAUGGCUUGAGGGCAAUGGACUGAUUUCAAUGGUAUGUAUACUUGUCUUAAAUAUUUGGUAUUAGCAACUUGCCCUAUGGUAAAAGUGUGGUUUGGGUUGAGAAUGGUAUAAAGAUGAGCCUAGGGUUGUCAAUGGAGCCUGCAAAUAGCUGUUGGAUUUGAAGGUUGAAUAGGAAUUUGCACAAGAAGGUUUUGGGAGGUGAGAAAAUGAAAAUGGAUGUUGGUGGAACUGAGAGUAUGAAUGUCUUAUGUACUAAAUUUAGUAACACUCUUUCAAAAUAUACAAUAUAAAAUUAAGAAAAUAAAAUUUAAUUCAAUAUCUGUAAAACAGUAUUGGGAGACCGCAUAUUGGACGUUGUUUUCAUAAUCUUGUGUUUGUCCUAAGUCUUAACUCUUAAUAGGAAAAAACAUGUUUUUGAUGGAGUAUAUUCCCUGCAAUGAGGUGUACUUGUCCUUAACCUCCUUUCAAAGUCGAAUCAAAAAACAAUGUUAGGAAUCAAAAUCGAAUCAAAAAGAGGGAAGUGAGGGUUUAGAUAUUAUCUUGUCCGAGACCAUCCAACCUUGAUUAUAUAUAAAAUUAAUUUUAAAAAAUAAUUUUAUUGAUUUUUUUCUAUUAUCAUUUUUAACACAUAAAAUAUUAAAAAAUUAUUUUUUAAAUAAAAUAAGUUAUAGAAACUAUAAUAUUUUACUUAUUUAUAAAAUAUAUUUAUUUUUAAUAUAAUUUAAAAAUUCUAAAAUUAUUAAUUUUUUUUAAAUAAAGAAAAUACAAUGAGUAUGGUGGCCAUGAAAAUUACUUUGUAUAAAUGUGAUAGGAUUGAUAUGGGUAACUCAUCGUCAACCCAACUAAUCAUCAUCCUUACAAUUAAAAUUUUACGUAAAGGAAGGGUACAAUUGGUAUUUUUAUUUAUUAUAAAGAAAGUAACUGAAAUGGCUUUUGAAACCCGAUGAUAUCCAAUUGGAGAUAAAUUCCCAACUUCAAAAUUAGUAAAGUUAAUUUUUUUUUCUUGAACAAAUUUAGGAACUUUAUGAAUGUCACGUUGUUGCAAGUGUUUAUACUAUAAAAAUAUUCUUAAAUAAUUUUAUUGGUAAACAUUUUUAGGAAUAAUUAAAUUAUUUUUAAUAAAAAAUCUUGAAGUAAUAACAUAAUACAUCGAAUAUUAAUUUUUUAAAUAUAUUUAUGUAAAUUAUAUAUACUUAUUUCCAUCCAUUGAAGAAAUUCCAAUGUUAGUGGAUGGGUGAAAAAAAUAUGAACAAUAAAAAAAGAAAAAAAGUUGAUAAUAACAAUUGCAUAACUAAAAAAGUAUUUGCAAUUUAGAAUCAAUCAUUUGAUGGUUAAUUUUUGAAAGAUAUUAGAAAGAUUAGUUUUGAAGAUUAUUGUGACUUAUUUUUCAAUUAUAUUUGUAGGUAUUCUACUUCGUAGUUUCCUUUUAAAAAAUGAUAAUAAUAAUAAUAAUUUUCUCUUAUUUUAAUAUCUUUGGUACAAAACAAUAAUUUGAUUUUUCUCUUAUUUUUAUUUCUUUGAUACAAAACAAUAUUAUAGUUUAUAUUUGGACCACCAAAAUGCAAUAUGAUUUAGAAAAAGGUAAAAAGUUUUUUUUAUAAAUUAAAUUUGUAUUAUAUUUAUCAACAUUGUAAGUUCUAAAUUUGUUAUACUUCAAAUAUUUUUCUUAAAAAUGUAAUAUAUUGAUCAUAAGAAAUCAAGAUUAAAAAACCUGAGAAAUCAAAUAUUUUUCUUAAAUAUUUGUUGGUGACAAAAAAAAACAAAAGAAAUUAAAAAUUAAUAAUAGAAAAAUGUGUUUUGUAUUAUUUUAUAUGAAAUAACUACCAUUCAUUAGCGCUAGUUCCAUUAAAUGCUUUAUUAUCACACACUUAAAAGAUGUUUAAAAUCACAUUAUUAAAAUAUAUAUUUUAUAUUAAUUUGAGACUAAAAUCCAUCUUUAUUUCAAGUACCUACAAACUAGGAUCCAUUUUUUUAAAAAUAAUUUUUAUUUAUUUAUUUUUAUUUUCUCUUUUAAAGAAAAUGAUGUAAACAAAACUAAAUGUUCAUAUCUUGAGGUUAUGUUUGAUAUGUGGGAAUGAAGAGUGAUAAUAGAUAUCUUAUUCAUUUUCACAUUUAUUUUUAUAUUUAGAUAACUCAAGUUACUUAUAAAUGAUAUUUCAAUUUAUCCUAUGAGGUAUUUUGAUUCUAUAAAACAAUUUGUUUUUAAAGAUAUUUUUCAAAAAUUUAAAAAUCUAAACCUUUUACUGAUAAGUUGUUUUUAAAAAUAUUUUAUUUUGAUUUUAUAAGAAACGAAUUGUAAAUUCAAGUUAUAUAAUAUAAACUAAAUUUAAUUUGUGCCUUAUUAAAAAUAAAAAAUAAUUUGUAUUUAUAAAUAAAUUAAAAAUAAAUAUUUUAAAUAAAAUAUUAAUAGUAAUAUUAUAAUAAAAUCAUAAAUUAUAUUUUUUUAAAUAUUAUAAAAAUAUGAUAACGUAAUUGAUUUAUUUUGUUAAUAAUAAUAAUAAUAAUAAUAAUAAUAAUAAUUCAAAAUUAAUAAUUGCUAAUACUAAUUUAUUUUAAAUGAAUUUAAAAUUAAAUAAAGUUUAAUUUUUUAAGUAUAAAUGAGUCAAAUUUUUCAUUACAUACAUACAUUUAAUACUCAAACAUGGUAUUCUUAAAUUUUUUAUUUAAUUUAUAAUUAAUAAAUCAGUUUUUUGAAUUUCAAAUUAUUAUUAAAAAUUAAAAUAUUUAUUAAAAAAUUCAAAAUAUUAAUUAUUUCCAUUAUUUUUUAUAGUCCUUAUAUAUAUUUUUUGAGUUUCAAAUUUUCUUUUAAAAAAUUAUUAAACUUAUUAAUAAAUUUAAUACAAAGUCUUCCUUAAUUUGAAUUUCUAGUAAAAAAAAAUGGUUUUCUAUUUUGCUUUGUUUAUAGAGCACGAUAAUCAAAUAGUGGUACAAUUUUUUUUAAAAACAAAUUUGUUUGUAAAUCAUAUGUGCAAAUAGUUUUUAUUAUUUAGCAAAAACGUUAUAGACCCUCUAUUUUGGCCCUAACACACACACACACACACACACACACACACACAUAUAUAUCUAUAUAUAUAUAUAUAUAUAUAUAUAUAUAUAUAUAUAUAUAUAUAUAUAUAUAUAUAUAUAUAUAUAUAUAUAUAUAUAUAUUUAUUAUUUUUUCUCUCACCCCACUAUUUUUUUAGCAUGUAUUUAGAUCCAUUUUUGCUCAGUUUUUCAUCAUCCCGGUCCAUGUUUCACAUUAUUGAUUUUUGAGCUAUAUUUUGGAGACCAUUUAAAGGGUUAUUUCAGGUCCUAGCAUGAUUACCGGACGCCCAUUAGGAUUAGUUUUUUUUUAGGGUUUGCUUUUGGAAUUUUAGAGCCUUUGAGUAGUUGGGUUGGGAUGAGGACACGUGUACUCAUUCUAGCCUUCCUUUGUCUCUUUUAAAGGCCUUUUUGGCCUUUAGUGAAGGGUUUUUUUUUUUUUUUUUUUCAGUCUUUUGGCUCAAGUUUUCUUGGAGGGGGUUUGCUAGCCACCUUUUAAGGGUAGUGGAGAUGCUCUCUAUAGCUAAGGAAAAGGGACAGAGAAUUGAUUUUUAUAGCGAGAAUGAGACAGAGAGCAAGGGGUUUAGGGGAGUUUUUGGGAAAAGUAGCAGACGAAGAAAAGUUGUGGGCGAGGCAUUGUGGUGGUGAGUGGGCUGCAGAGUAAGACGUUGCAGGGGGGGCACCAUCUAUUAUGAUGGGGAGUCUUAGAAAAGAGGGACAUGAGCUACAGGCCAUCUCGGGGAGGCAUUAUUCUUCUUUAUUCUUGGUGAGAGUAAGAGAGGAGACGUUAGAGAGAGUAAAAUAUCUUUCUUUUGGUGGUUUUUGGUUUUGAGUAGAGGAGAAGAAUAGCAUUAAGAGAAGGGAAGCAGAUGGGACCCUUCCAGGAAUGGAUAUUUUGAGUUCCCUAUUCAUCUUCAUUUAUCAUAAUUGUUAGGGUGAAUUCACAAUAUUUCAACACACACCAGGAUUUUUCUACCAUUUCUUUGUGUAAAAUUAAAUAGGUAAUAGCAACUAGCAGUAAUAAAUAAAUAAACUUAUGCAAUAGAAAAAUAAACCAGACACCAAAAUUUUUAUAUGGAAAACCCCUCAAUGCGAAGGAAAAAACCAUGGGACCUAGUCUAGUUCAAACUCCACUAUCAACAAUAUUGGGUUACACCUGUCUUCUCUAGAAUAAUCUCUAGAGGCUACUAAAUACAUCAAGAGCAUAUAUAGCCUUGGAUUAUAUAAUCUUUCUUGGUAAAAAAACAAGGAAAAAUGGAGAAAGAACACCCAAAAACACGUUGUUACUGUUCAUGGGCAAUAACACCAGUUCCCGAGCUCAAAAUCUGAUCUCCACCUUUUAGAUUGUAGCUACUCGAGUUUUGAACCUCUCCUCCAAAUUUCAACUCGAUCGAACCAUAGAUGAAGCGGGAUUGGCUCUUUGAUGAAAUCUGGGCAAUGAGAUGUGUUUUUUUUUUUCUUUCUCUCUUCUCUCUGUUUUUUCCUUUUUUUUUUUCUUUUUUUUUUUUAAUCUCUUCUAUUUUUGUUUAUUUAUUUAUUUUAUUGUAACUGACUUAGGCCCCAAGAAUAUGGGGCUCACUCCCUCACAUACGAAGGAGCCUAACAAAUCUCCAAUUGGAUUCUAAUUGAUUAAUUAACCUAAUAGGGUGUACUAAUUAAUCAAUUAGCUUAAUCCAAAGACCUUGUUCACUUACCCCUGUGCAACCUUAUGUUAUUACCAAAAUGCCCUUAUACAUAAAGUGAACCUAAAACCAAUCUGAUCCUCAUAACCUAUGCCAACAAGGUAUAUGAGCUCAAACCGGGGACCAUAACUCCAGUAUUUUAUGUAAAUAACAACAAGACACUGUAUACUCGGGUCCGUGACUUGUUAUCCAUUGUGUUCAGUCUCCCUAUGAACUAAUGUCCAUAGUUUAACAAGGUAAAAAUUGUCAAUAUUUUAAGACUACCUUUAUUAUCAUUGAGUUAUAGAUCCUUCUAUUAUGUGUUCAACUAAAAUGUCUUAGCUCUCAAAGAGCCUAUGUCAAGUUCCACUUAAGGAACUACUAUAACCAUAGUUUCCAUUAACACACCUCCUUAGAACCACCCAAGGGGACACAUUGUCUCCAUCCUAUGAGAUAUCAUGGUGCUUCUAUUAAGAAUACCUAUUGCUACCAACUUCCAUCAAUAGUGACCCAAUCCAUAAGGAAUAUAUGAUCAACUUACAAUCUCACCCAUAGGUCAAAACCAUUGCUAACUUUGGCUUAAGCUUCAAUAUUCUCUUAAGGUUGAGAGACAACACAAUGAAGUAGCUUGGUAAGGUCACGAAUACUUGAUAGCCUUAAGUCAUGACUCACCAUAAGUCCUGUCCAAUAUGUAACCAUACACACCAGUGUACUCACCAUGGAAAACUCAUCUCGAUAUUCAAGACCAGUUAUCCCUCCAAUUAGAAGGUGGUGGUGCACUAUAGCCUCUAAUAAGUUGUCUAAACCCACGAACCGACUUUGAACAAGUCAUCUAUUUGCAAGGAACCCAUGACUUGGAUUUUCCCUAUAACUCAUAAAUGCACUCAUGUCACACACACUACAAAAGAUGUAAACAAGAAUACUCAUAAAGUGUAAUGCAUGGAAUACAGAUAGAUAAAAGUGAAAUUGGAAUACCAUUAAAUAAAUAAGGAAUUCCAAAUCUAUUACAUCAUGUCAUGCUUUUAAGAGUUCCAUCCUAACACAACCUUCACAUUUCAUGGACAGUACAAAGCGAGAAUUUGUUUAGGUUGAUAACAAUUUUCAGAGUGCCUUGUCUUUGAGUUUAAAACCUUUUCCUAUAUUCAAUGAUUCUAAUGUGAGCUCUAGCUUCCUUGGUCUUUAGUAGUCAGGCAUGCAAUUUUCAUUGGAAAGUAAGUGGAAGAGGUGUCUUGCAAAGUCUAGUAAUGUGUACAUUCAAGCUGAGAAGGCAUGAGGUACUCCCUCGAUGACUAUUAGGUUGUAAAAAAACAGUACUUGGCUUGUCCAUGUGAUUUGCACUCUUGAGAGAUAUGUGAUUGGAUUAUCCUAGAGCCCAAUGGAAGAAAAUGGGAAAUCAUGUUGCCAUGAGCAACUGCAGAGGGAAUGAAAGUGAGAGAUUAUGCUUAGUGUGGUCCUGAUCCCACAUCUAUUGUAGUUAUGACAGAGGAUGGCAUUACAACUACUGGUCAUAUUAUUAUAGGAGCAUUGCCAAUCGUUGUACAUAUGACUAGGAAAUCCAACCUGUGACACAAUAAGUUCAAUUGUGGUUGGAAAUUUAUAUAGAAUAGUAGCUAUAUUUCUCAUCCAAGGAGUUGUUCCAUUUGCGAUGAUGAUAAAUGGGAAGUUAUAUGUGAGUGCCCUCUGCCUAUAGAAAAUGAUAAUAAGAAAGACUAUCCAUGUUCUUUUUUGUCCAUUCCAUCAAAUUUGACAUGUGAUUUCAAACACAAAAAGAUCUUCCAAUAAAUGGAAUGAAGAAUAGUUACCUGCUAUGCUCAUUUGGGAAAAAGACUCCAAAUUUGGAAUUAGAAAUGAAAAGUUGCAAUGGUUUCUUGGUGCUGUGAAAGCACAUCCUAAUGAGUUGAAGCUUGUGGGGGUCAUUACCAUUUGGGGUCUGCCAUUACUAAGGUGGGCAUUUUCAGGGAUGUUGUAGUUCUAUUUGGGUUAUGUCCACAUGGUUGAAUUUGAAAGCCAUAGAGUUGGGGCUUGAUCUUCUUGGAUCACAAGCUCCUGAAAGAGAUUCAAACCUUUUUUUUCCAAAAUCAAGAAAAUUUAUUAAGAAGCAGUUUGGAAUGUACUUUUUUCCUUCUUUGCCAAAUGGCAGUAAACUAUUUAAUAAAAAUUAAUUAAAUUUUUAUAUUAAAAACUUUAGUUAAAAUUAAUUAGAAAAUGUGGUAAGAUAAAAUGAAGUAAAACGAACUUUAAAGGAUCUUUUAGACAUUUUAUUUAAUUCUUUUAACUAUGACAUCAUUAAUCAACCAUGAAAAUCUUUCAAGAUUUGAUAACAUCAUUCAAGCGAUUGUUAUGCUCCAUUAUGGUCAGGUGGUGUUAAUGUAAUUUAAAAAAUUUAAGGGUGGUUAAGUGCAAUUGUCAAAUAGCUGAGGGGGUUAUGCUAGGGUACCGAAAAUCACUUUUCAGUACCAUACCCACUUUUUCUGGCUAAUAGGAUUAAGACAUAUGGCAUGCAAAAUAAAAAAAUUUAAAGAAAACCAAUUCUUCAGGUUACCCAAUCGGUUGCCAUGGGAAUUAAUCCCAUGCAACACACAUUUUUAUACUUAUUACAAUAACCAAUUAUAUUUCAAUGACCAAUUAUAAAAUCAUGUUUAAUGUAAUUAUUUCGUUUGGAGAAUUUCUUUUAUGAAACAGAAAAAUAAAGAAAAUUUUGGAAAAAGAUAAACAAUAUAAUUUGGUAAUAUAAUUUAUAAAUUAAGGAAAAGUAAAUUUAAUUUAUUUUAACAUUAAAUAAUUUGUUGAUAAAAUUUGAUGAAUAUUUGAAGUGUGAAAAACAAUAUAAUUGGUUUAUGAAGUGAAAAAAUGGGAAGAAAUAGAAAGAAAUUUUAUAAAAUAUAUAUUAACUUAAAAUUUAAUUAGUUGUGUACUAAUUAUUAAUUGAGAAUAUAUGACUAAAUUAUUUCUUAGCGUUUAAAUUGAAUUACACAACAAAAUUGGUUGAAAUAUUGAAAAUAUGAAAAAGGUAUAAUUACUAACAAUAUGGAAAUCCAAACCCCUCGCCGAUUUUUUUUGUAAAUUUCCAUUCUGAAUUUUUCAAGGAUCCAUUUAACACCCUCAAAAUGGACUGAACUUAUCUAAACAAAAUCUAAGUCAUAUGAAAUCCCAAUUAAAAAAAAUAAAUCAAAGAAAUGGAUAGUAGGGAGGGCACGAAGAAUGUGAGAUUCCCUCACUAAUUUGUUAGUAUUUACUGAUUUUGAUUUUUUCGAACAUCAUUUAAAUACCUACUAAGUGUAAUGAAAAAAAUUCAAAAAAUGUAUAAGCCAUACGAAGUCCCCAAACAUAUUUAACAUAUCAUAUAAUCGGAGAAUAGAGAGGGCUCCUCAUAUUCCUCAUACCCUUGCUAAUUUUUUAGUAUUUUUGGAUUUUUAUUCUUUCGAAAAUCAUUAGACUACUUCCUAAGUGUAAUGAACCUAUUUAAACAACAUCCAAGCCAUAUGAAGUCGCCAAAAUUUUUAAAAAGUUCAAAGAAGUGAAGAAAUGGGAGGGUACGAAGAAUGUAAGGACUCAUCACAUUCUUCGUACCCUUCCUAAUUUUUUAGCAUUUUUGGAUUUGGAUUUUUUCGAAAAUCAUUUGAAAACCUCCUAAGUGUAAUGAACCUAUUUAAAUUAUAUCUAAACCAUAUGAAGUACCCAAAAUUUUUAAAAAAUUCAAAGAAGUGUAGAAAUGGAAGAGUACGAAGAAUGUGAGGAUUCCUCACAUUCUUCGUGCCCUUCCUAAUUUUUCAGUAUUUAUGGAUUUGGAUUUUUUUGGAGAUCAUUUCACCAUCUUCUAAGUGUAAUGAACCUAUUUAAACAAUAUCCAAGCCAUAUGAAGUCCCUAAAAUUUUUAAAAAGUUCAAAGAAGUGAAUAACUGAGAGAGUACGAAGAAUGUGAGGAUUCCUCACAUUCUUCGUACCCUUCCUAAUUUUUUAGUAUUUUUUUAUUUGGAUUUUUUCGAAGAUUAUUUGACCACCUUCUAAGUGUAAUGAACCUAUGUAAAUGAUAUCCAAGCCAUAUAAAGUCCCUAAAAUUUUUAAAAAGUUCAAAGAAGGGAAAAAAUGGGUGGGUACGAAGAAUGUGAGGAAUCCUCACACUCUUCCCACCCUUCCUAAUUUUUUAGUAUUUUUGGACUUGGAUUUUUUUAGAGAUCAUUUGACCACCUCGUAAGUGUAAUGAACCUAUUUAAACAAUAUUCGAGACAUAUGAAGCCCAAAAAAUUUUAAAACGUUCAAAGAAGUGAAGAAAUGGGAGGAUACGAAGAAUGUGAGGAUUCCUCACAUUCUUCGUACCCUUCCUAAUUUUUUAGUAUUUUUGGAUUUAGAUUUUUUCGAAGAUCAUUUGACAACUUCAUAAGUGUAAUGAACCUAUUUAAACAAUAUCCAAGCCAUAUGAUGUCCCCAAAAUUUUAAAAAAGUUCAAAGAAGUGAAGAAAUGGGAGGGUACGAAGAAUGUGAGGAAUCCUCACAUUCUUCGUACACUUCCUAAGUUUUUAGUAUUUUGGGAUUUGAGUUUUUUUGGAGAUCAUUUGACCACCUCCUAAGUGUAAUGAACCUAUUUAAACAAUAUCCAAGCCAUAUGAAGUCCCUAAUUUUUUUAAAAGUUCAAAAAAGUGAAGAAAUGAGAGAGUACGAAGAAUGUGAGGAUUCCUCACAUUCUUUGUACCCUUCCUAAUUUUUAGUAUUUUGGGAUUUGGAUUUUUUCGGAGAUUAUUUGACCACCUCCUAAGUGUAAUGAACCUAUUUAAACAAUAUCCAAGCCAUAUGAAGUCCCCAAAAUUUUUAAAAAGUUCAAAGAAGUGAAGAAAUGGGUGGGUACGAAGAAUGUGAGGAUUCCUGACAUUCUUCGUACCCUUCCCAUUUUUUUAGUAUUUUUUUGGAUAUCAGUUGACCACCUCCUAAGUGUAAUGAACCUAGUUAGACAACAUCCAAGCCAUAUGAUGUCCCUAAUUUUUUUAAAAAAAGUUUAAAGAAGUUAAGAAAUGGGAGGGUACAAAGAAUGUGAGGAUUCCUCACAUUCUUCGUUUCCUAAUUUUUUUAGUAUUUUUUUAUUUGGAUUUUUUUGAAGAUCAUUUAACCACCUCCUAAGUUUAAUGAACCUAUUUAAACAAUAUCCAAGUCAUAUGAGGUCCUCAAAAUUUUUAUAAAGUUCAAAGAAGUGAAGAAAUGGGUGGGUAUGAAGAAUGUGAGGAAUCCUCACAUUCUUCGUACCCUUCCUAACUUUUUGAAAUUUUUGGAUUUGGUUUUUUUUCAGAGAUCAUUUGACCACCUUCUAUGUGUAAUGAACCUAUUUAAAAAAUAUCCAAGCCAUAUGAAGUCCCUAAAGUUUUUAAAAAGUUCAAAGAAGUGAAGAAAUUGGAGGGUACGAAGAAUGUGAGGAUUCUUCACAUUCUUCGUACUUUUCCUAAUUUUUUAGUAUUUUUGGAUUUGGAUUUGUGGAUCCUACAUAUAAUCUUUACUUGGGACAUUUUAUAUUUCUCGUAGUGUAUAAUUGGAUUUUCAAAAUAGGGUAGCUAGGAAAAAUAAUAAAAGAAAAAUAAAACAGUUAAAAUCAUUAGAAAUAAUUUGGGCCCAUUGAAAAGAAAUGUGACUUAUGAAAAGCUUGAUAUGAAUGUUUAAUAUCGUCUACAACUUAUCCAAUGGAUAAAUUUGCAAAGAAGGUCCAACCACUUGCCCAUAUAGUCGUCUUCAUCAUCAUGGGCAUGAACAACAUUAUCAUCAAUAUUCUUUGUUAUUGACCUGAUUGGAGUAUGGUCGCAACCUGUACUUAAUGUUUUGUCACUACCUCUCUAUGCAUUAACAUUAGCAUCUUCAAGUACUGAUUUGUUGUCACAGCUUCUCUGCACAUUCAUGUACUGUGUCAUUGUUGCAUGAUUGUGCUUGACUCCUACAUAUUCAAGUAAUAUAUUUUAUUACGACUAUCUAUAUGAACAAAGUAAAUUAUUUAAAGUUUUUUUAGUUAAUUUAUCAUGUUAUUUUCAAGAAUAAAUGGAAAUUACUUUUAGCAUCUCAAUCACAAGUUUGGUCAUUAGGAAAAAAUUUAACUCUUCGAUAAAAUGCCAUGGUCUAAUUCAAUGCAGAAGACAAAUUUCCCCAUCUACAAAUGAGGUUUAUUACAUAAACAAUGGCCUACCUCAAGGCUCUAACAAAAGAGUAAAAUGUCUAAUCAAACCACGAUGUCAAAAUAGGGAUUGUCGAAUCGAAUAAUAUACAUUUUCAAUUAUAAGAUUCAUAUCAUUUACCCCAAAAAAAAAUUAUUCCCUAAACAUAUAUAACCUGAUAGAGUUCGCCACCAGGUCAGUCUAGUGUCAUUGCAUUCACCAUCAUACUUGAUCUUUUUGCUAGAGGAUUAUCCCUACCUUGUGUACUACUAUAUUAGAACUUCCAUGUUUGGAGGACAACAAUUCAACCUUAAGGCCUUCAAUUCCAGCUUUAUUAUCUAUGCACCUACUCAUAAUAGAUAUAACUGCUACCACCCAACUAAAUGUUGGUUUAUAUGGAUGUUGGAUUAGCAAAAUGAUGUCUCUUUAAAGUAAGAGCAAUUAGAUGUAGCAAAAGACCAAAUUGAGUAUCAAUACAACAAUCUAUGUUGGAAGCCAAUCACAUUACAACUUCUAAAAGUAAAGAUUAAUCAGUCAACUGGUUACAUGUAACCGGUUGACUAAUUAUCUCUAUCGGUAGAUACUACCAAAGUGUUGAUGCAACACCCAAAUGGGCAAUGGCUACCGGUAGCAAAAAAAAUGGAACCGGUUUAUUUGAUGAUCGACCGAAAUUGGACUUUCCUUUUGUUUUCAUUUAGGUAUGUGAUCUGGCGAUCAUACAGUUAUGCAUAAAUAUUAAAUACUAAAAAGCAAGAACUUGAACAAUAUCACCUUUCAUCAGGAUAGAAGGUUAAUUACCUUAUGAAAACUUAUCAAAAGAGAAUAGUUUAGCAUAACAAUUCAAAAUUUAUGACAACAAUCAUCUCUUCCUACCAAGAUCACCUAGCUAUUGUACAUGGCCAUUAUUUUAGACCUCCUUGUCCUACAUGCAUCAUCCAUUGCUGUUGUGACUAUACUUCCACCAACAUUUAGUUCUUGUACCAUUAAUAUAACACAUUUACACAUUCUUCUUUAUUGUGCAAGAAAAUUACAUGAAAGCCACAACCUUAGUCCAUAGUCACUAGUAGACCAAAAAUUUUAUAUUUAAAAUAAGCUUGUUUUCAGAUUGUAGCCAUCAUUCAGGAUAUGCAAGCAUAAAUAAAAUGGAGUAAAGAACUACUUUCACCACUUCAAUCACAAGUUUCGCCAUUAGUAAAAAAAUUUUAACUUUUCUAGAAAAUGGGAUGAUCCAAUUCAAUCCUAUUGCCACUUUACCCUAUUGAAACCUGAAAAAAAAUGCACAUCAAGGAAGUUAACGCUUCUAGAAAAGAAGAAUAUCAUAUUACUAUACUUUGUGCAUUUUGAGGUAGCUGGAUCAAAAAACUUGUAUAGGUCAAAAGAAACAAGUGUAUCAUUAAAAAAGAUUGUCAUUCUAAUUCCAAGUUGAUAAUCCUAUUGAGUACAACUGGAAGUUUAGUAUCCUUUAAAACCUACUAGACCAUUUAUUGGGUCUUACAAUUAGCCUACAUAACAGGCCAUACUAGAGUUCCAAUAUUUAAAUGGUCUUCUCUACAACCUAGCUCAUAACUUUUAUUUACUAGGUUUGAAAAGUUUCUUGAUUGUGGACUACCAAAGAAAGAAAAAUCCCUCAAUUGUGAGCAUCACAGGAUCCUCCAAUUGAAUUUGCAGAUAGGGAAAGAUUUAUGGCUAAACCCAGAUGUUGCUUGACGAAGUAGGAGGAUGUCUUAACAACAAUGGUAAGAGCAUGGUGGAGUAUGAUUGAUGCCUAGACUAGGUUUCUUUGGGAAGACCCUUCUUAGUAGCCUCAACUGCUGCUUUCUUUGCUUUGAUAUCAGCAACAAUGGCAUCGAUCUCAGCUUCUGCAAACUUAAAGAGUAGCAUUCUUCUGUAGAAGCCAGAUUCCAUUAGAGUGUCAUUGCAUUCUAUUUCAUUUCUCAACAAAUGACCAUAAAGAACUUCUCAACUAGUCAACUAAUCUAGCAAAUGCACAUCAAGUUCAAUAUAGGGUAACAAUUACAUCUUAUUAUACUUUGCAGCUGGCAACACUAUUCAUCAUGUAACCAGUUUCUUGUUUGCUAGGCAGCAUAGCAUUUAGGAGGGAAUGAGGGUUCCAAUCUUGAGUAGGGAAUUUGGACUUUGUAAUUAUAUCAUACUAAAUAGAUGAUUCCUAAAAAUCAAAACUCAAACUUCUCUAUAACUGAUGCUUUAAGUAAAGCAGUGAGAAACAAUGUCAUUGUUAGUAUGGUAAGUAAAUAUUGUUAUGAAAUGCAGUAAGAAAUUUCAACUUAGAGUAAAUUGAUAAAUAAAAUGUAGUAAUUUUUUGUUGUAUUACUAUUACCUAAUACAAGAAUCAAAUUCUUUGGUAGUUAUUAUGAAAAGUCAAAUUAGAAAGCCAAAGAAGCACUAGGCAGGUAAUGGAAGUUGCGAUUAUAAUAAGUGAAUCAUCAGAACUACCCAGUCCUUGCUUCAGUGCAUCUGGUCCAAAAACAGAGGCUAGUAUCAUGCUAUUCUUAUAUGUAGCUUUCAUUUUUCAUUUUUGAGUUAUAGACUUCUUUAAGGGAAGAGCUCUAAGUUAAAAUUUUAGCAUAGGACCUUAAUUGCCUGUUAUUAGGGCUUUAACUAGAGUGGAUCAUGUAGGAUGCAAUUGAGAUUGUAGGAAAAUUUAUAAAAGAGAUUAUAGGAAUAUUUUGAUUUUUUUCUUUUUUUUUCUUCAUAUUGUUAUAAGCUUAUAAAUAUCCUUGUAACCUCAUUCAAAACGUCAUGAACAUGAGAUUAAUUCUCUUGCCUUCAAUAUGGUAUCAAAGAAUGGUUGCCCUACAGCUGCCAUCUUUCCAUCCUAAUUAUGCCAGCAUCUUAUUCCCAUCUAUCAGUCCUUAACCCUCAACCCUCAUAUUUAAGUCAUUAGUCCUCCUUCAUACCUAGCUAUUCACUAUCAUCUUAAAGUCUACUUAUGCUGAUGUUAUUUUUCACGGCUUUUUUUUUUCAUCUCUUGGAUGUCUAUUCAUCUUCUUGAUCUCUUGUUAGGAUCUUGAAACUUAUUUCUUUCUCAGACAUCAUGUGUGACAACAUUCCAACUAAAGACAUACUCUUCUAUGGCUUUAUGACUCAUUCAAAUAAAAUGGAUCUAAUUAUCUUCCAUGGUUUUCUUCAAGGCAUGUGGUAGGAUUUCUUGUAUUUGGUAACAUAAAUCUACAUAUGCAAAGUUGAUAGAAACUUGGGAAGUAAGGGAUGCACUAGUCAUGAUUUGUGUUUGGAACAACAUAGAACUAGAGGUAUUGUGUCUCUUAUCUCAUUUUUAGUAAGGAUAUUUGUAAUUGGCAGAGAUGUGUUAUUUUUCCACAAAUAUCUUGCUUACCCAAAAAGGCAUCAGUCUAACAAUAUUACAUUAUUACUUGGAAUUAAAGGACAUGUAGGAAGAGUUGAAUGUCUAUCCCCCUUUGACUUUAGAUCUAGAGAUUCAAAAGCACCACUAAGAAUAAUUUUGCUUGGCCAAAUUCAUCUUUGGUAUUUGGCCAGAGGUUGAACUCACAUAUUACAACAAGUCAUGGAUGAAGGUAAUCAGAUGACAACUUACAAAAGUAAAGCUUAACCGGUUGACCGGUAAUAUGCUACCAGUUUACUAAUUAUCUCUACCGGUAGACACUACCAAUGUGUUGAAGUAGCACACAAAUGGGCAGUGGCUACCGAUAGCAAAAAAAAAAAAAAAAAUUGCAACCGGUUAAUUUGAUGGUCGACCGGAAUUGGACUUUCAUUUUGCUUCCAUUAAGCUGAUGAAAAAAAGACCAAAUUGAGUAGCAAUAAGCAUGUAUCUUCAUUUAUUUUAAUAAGAAGAUAAGCAUAAUACAUUUAAAAAGGUGUUUAACAUAGAUAGGGCCCACAUCUCAUGUACACACAAUAUAUACAAGCAAUGACUAGAAAACACACUACCUCACAACUAUGCUUACCAAUCCCCAUACCAUCCACAAAAUCCAAGAAGGACAACAAAUGAAGCCCCAUGCCCCACAUAAUCACACAUAACUUCAAUCCCCAUACCAGACACUUGAGCUUAUAUGAGGAAAAUUUCUGAUGGGAAAGGUGUGCAAUGAUAUGCUCUUUCAAAUGACUUGCAUUGGAAAUUAAGGAAUACAUAGUUCACAAACAACUCCCAAGUGUCAAAAUUCAAGCAAGCAUGAAGCUUGGGAAGAAAUAAUAAUGCGUUGAUAAUUCAAAUUACUGCAAAACUAACAACUAGUCAUCAAAAAGCAACACAUGCCUUAGGACGCCGUAUUCUGUCUUUGAAUACUUGCCGACACACUUCAAUGAUAAAUUUGCCUUUGUAGAAAAUUCAGCCUAAAGUGGCACCUUAUCUUUGUGUUUCAGACAAACAAGAAAGAAUUUAGAACUUGAAAUUUUCUUAGUAAAUCCCAGACCAUAAUAACCUUGACACUCCCACUAAUGGAAUCAUCAGGUACACAAACUAAAUGUGCAUCUAAUAUUCCAUUAUAUUAAUCCUUGUCACUACAAUGAGUUUAAAGUGUACGCUAAGCUUUUUAAAUAAUGGUACUGCCUGCUUGGAAUUAGACAUAUAGUAACAAUAGUUCAUUUGUAAGUAAUAAGCAUAUUGAUGGUGAAAACACACUUUUUCUACCAUUACCUUCCAAAGAUGAAAAUAAUAAGAAUACAAAAGCAGAAGUGGAUGGCAAUUUAGCAGGAGGCCCCAUUUGGUUAUUCCUCUCCUCAUGAGUGGUAACUCCACUAUGAGAUUUAUUUUAGUACAACCCUAUGGCAAUACGUAUUACGUAAUAGUUUUUCUUAACCAUACACAAUUUGGUAUGACUAAUUUUUUUUCCCCAUAGGUUGGCAUGGGCUCAUUUUCACUAAACACUAUGAUUUGAAGAUCACAUUUUUUCACACUGUUAAUUAGGUUCUGCUCAAAUAACACAGUUUUUGAAAUAUCAUUUGAAGCUGAAUUCUCCUAGCAUGUUCAUAAUCAGUUUACAUGUUCAUUUGAAUGAACUCAAUAUAUGAAAUGUAGGUGAUGCGAUCGGUGAUGGAGAAUACAAUCAAGCAGGAGUUUGAAGUGAAAGAUGAGGAUGUCGUCAAUGACGAUGCAUAUACUGGUGGCAACGAUUUGAAAGAGAAGGUGUUGAAGGGUAUUUCAGUUGAAGAAGUAUACAAAUUGCAAUUCGAUUGCGUAGAUGAGAUUGAAACAUUUUACAACAUGUUAGCCAAAGUAACCGGAUUUAGUAUUCGAAAAGAUGAUUUGAAGUGAGAUAAGAAUGAAGAUAUAAUAUCUCGAAAGUGGGUGUGUUCUAAAGAAAGACAUUGAGCGACAAAGUUUAUUGAAAAUGACAAGCGACAGUGUGAGCCACGAUCGUUGACUAGAGUUGGAGGUGAAGCUGCCUUUCGUUUAGGCUUGAAUAGAAAAGAUGGAAAGUGGAUUGUAAAGGAAUUUAUAAGAGAACAUAAUCAUACUUUGGUUGAUGCUAUCAGCACACAAUUCCUUCGGUCUUAUCAGAUAGUAAGUAAUCCAAAUAAGGCAUAAGUUGAUGUUUUGCAUAAAGUAGGUGUUAAAACCAAACAAAUUAUGGACUAUAUGGUCAAACAAUCAGGAGGACAUCAACAUGUUGGUUUCACAAAAAAAAAUAUAUACAAUUACAUUGAUGCAAUGCAUAGAAUUGAAAUUAAAGACGGUGAUGCGGAAGCUGCAUUGGCUUACUUGUGUGGAAAGAUAGAAAUGGAUUCUUCAUUUUUUUACAAAUUCAACUUCGAUGAAGAAAGUUGACUAGCAAACUUGUUUUGGGCUGAUUCAACUGCUCGAAUGGAUUAUCCAUGUUUUGGAGAUGUCCUAGCAUUUGAUACAACCUAUAGGACAAAUGCCUAUAAAAAGCCUCUAGUAGUGUUGGUUGGUGUUAAUUAUCACCACCAAACUAUGGUAUUUGGUUGUGCGUUAUUGAUGGAUGAAAGUAUUGGUACAUAUGAAUGGGUGUUGGAGACAUUUCUUAUUGCAAUGAUGAAUAAGAAACCCAUAUCCGUAGUAACUGAUGGGGAUAAAGCUAUGCGUAAGGCAAUUAAAAGAGUCCUACUCGAUGCGUGUCAUCGUAUGUGUUCAUGGAAUUUGCAACGAAAUGCAUUCUCAAAUGUGCAUAUUAAGGACUUCACAAGCAUCUUUGCAAGGUGCAUGUUCAUGCAUGGGAAUUCGAAAGAAUUCAAAAAGGUUUGACAUGAAAUAGUUUAAAAGUUGGGUCUUAAUGAGAAUCGUUGGGUAACCAAGAUUUAUGGGAAACAUAAAAGAUGGGCUGAGGCGUAUUUAUGUGGAAAUUUCUUUGGAGGGAUGAGAAACGCAUAAAGGUGUGAGAGUAUGAAUGCAUAUCUAAAUAGAUUCUUAAAAAUCAGUUUGUGACUGUAUGAGUUUGUACAACAAUUUGAUAGGGCGAUAAUGAGAAUACGACAAAGCGAGGCAAAGGCAGAGUUCGAGUCGAACAAUUCUUCACCUGUGCUUUCAACCAAACUAUCCAUACUAGAAAAUCAUGUUGCGACGGUAUACACGAAAUAAUCAUUUCUUAAAUUUCGUGAGAAGAUGAAGAAUGCAGAGUUAUUCUUUGUGGUAGGCCUUGUAAGUGAUGAUUCAAUGCGGACAUAUGCAUUAUCUAAGUUUAGACACCCGAACUUAAAAUAGGAAGUCCAAUUUUGCCUGAAUAUUGUAACAUUAAAAUGCUCAUGCAUAAUGUUUGAGUCAAUUGGCAUCCCUUGUUGCCACAUGGUUGUUGUUAUGAAGGUGGAGCAUUUGGAAGAGAUUCCUCUUUCAUUUAUUUUGAAGAGGUGGACAAAGUUAGCAAAGGUGCAUACAAGAUCAGCACCGGUGAAUGAGACGGAUAAUGACAUGGAUCAGUUUGUACCAUAUGGGUCAUUGAAUUCGAUGUGCAACAAGCUCUCCUACUAUGCGUCAAAUACGUCAUCUUCUUUUCUAGAAGCGAAAAGUGAAAUAGAAAAUUUGACGGUGAGAAUGGAGGAACUUUCUAACAGUAAUUUGAAAGGGAAGAAAGUAGCAACAGAUGGAGCCACAAGUCCUAACCAAGUUCGUGAUCCAAAUAUUGUGAAGACUAAAGGAAAUCCAGGCAAAGUUGCAAUUAAUUUUCAAAAGGGAAGAUAGUGUAGUCGUUGUAAAAGAGUGGGUCACACAAUUCGAAAGUGUCCAGAAGCUAGAAUCCCUCAUACCGGUAAUAAACGUGAUAUGGUAUAUUAGAUUGAAUAAGAAAUUGUCGCUAAGAUGAAGUUUUUUACCUGUACUUACAUAAAUAACUAAUAUAAUUGUUUUCAUUGCAUUAUGAGUAUGUAGCAGGAAAGUAAUUUGUCUUCCCAAUGUGACAUUCGUAUGGAAAUGAUGCCUUCAACAAAUUAAUCAGUUGACAUGUUUGCAACCUUACCUGUAUGUACAAUAGGCUUGUUAUAUAACAACACAAACUUUGAUAACAUCUAAUUGAACAAUAAUUGACAACACUUAAUCAUUGCAAAAUGCAGGGAAUGCUAGGGGAGCAUUUGUCAAAUGACCGAUCUGACAUGUAUUUAGAUUUUGGUGUACUUAGCAAUGUAAGCUCGAGAAUAAAAAACACUUUUGACAUGAAUUUUCCCUAUGCAUUAUUUAAUGAUUUGGUUGAAGUAAUUGGAAUGGAAUUGGAUGGCUCAAUUUUAAUAAUGGAAUGUGCAUGUGCAAAUAGCAGGAUUUCAGCAAUAUGAACAAACUAUGACAAUACCAUGUCAAGGUGGGGAUCUAAGCAAAUAUCCAAAAGAAAAGGAUAUGCAACCUUUUUUUAUUCCUUAACGGAGUAAACAAUGGCAGGUAUUAAAUCAGUAUUUAUAUUAGUUUACGUUAUCGCUUUGGCUAAUAUAUACUUUUAAAUUAACUAUUUAAUGAAAAGUCUGAAUUCCGAUCAAGAGUCAAGUUGAUUGAUAGAAUGCAAUAUCCUUGAUAUUUACAAUUUAAUUGAUAACAAGUGAUAAAUGAUUGGUAAGCUGAUUCAUUUAUAUCACAUCCAAAAAAUAGUUACGCAUGCGGAUAUAAUUAAAUUCAAAUGUGGUUAAAGUUUGACAAUUAGGUGGUUAUGAGUUAACUAUAGGAAAGUAAUCGAUAUGAUGUAAUUCAUAUGAAAUGGUAAAUGUUGUGAUAUAACUCAAAAUGGGUAAAUCAUAGUUUGGUAGUUUGGAAUUGCAUUUUCCAUCACUUCCAAACCUUUUAAUUAAACUUAAUGGCUUAGUCACCAAUGUUUACUGAGUGAAAAGUUUUCAGUACCACCUAUAGCCAUUUAUCGAACGGUAGUUAUACUUAGAAAUUGCAUGAUAGCAUUCAAUAAGUCAACCGGUUAAUAUUUGGCUUCAACCAGUUGAGAAAUCUUCUCUGCUGGUAGACUCCAUUCCUCAACCGGUUCACAUUGGUGAAAAAAUUCCUCAACCGAUUGAGAAAUUUCUUCUGCCACUCACUUCAACUCCUCAACCAAUACAUAUUGCAUCAAACUUUUGUUGAACCGGUUGUUAAAAUUCCUCAACCGGUUCGGACAAAUCCUCAGCUGGUUGACAUUGCAUCCAUAUAGUCAUUAUCCGAUUGAGGAUUGUUCUCAAUCGGUUGCCAUAAUUCUAUGGCCGAUAGACAUUGAACUAAGCUGAACCGGUCAACCGGUUCUUACUGGCUUUACGUCAUUUCUUAACCGGCCUCCAUUGCCUUUACAAGUCGUAGCUAUAAUUCAUACCUACUAAAAAUAUUAGUCGCCUAACCUAUACUCCUACCGGUACUAACUAUAUAAUUUUGAGCAUAGAUAAAUGAAUAUAUAUAUAUAUAAGGAAAAAUCUAAAUACCUAAAAGAUCGUAGAAAAUCAAACAUGUCGAAAAUGAAUGAUGCCUAUAUAUUACAAUUUCAUUUUGCCUACCAUAUUGAAAGAAGAAUAUAACAUAUUCAAAUUAAACAAACUUGGUCAUGAACAAUGUAUGGUCAUGCAAGGUCACAACUUCCCAAUAAACAUGAAGAUAUGUGGAGAUGGAAAUAAUAAAUAUUAGAAAAACAACAAAUAUCAUAAUAAUAACUUUUUCAUUGCUCGUGUAGACUUCUUUGUACAAACAAUAACCACAAUGGUUUUUUUUUUUUUUUUUUUUGUUUCUCUCGUGUAAAACUAAAUCACUUGCUAUUUCCCAACGUAUUUUAAUAGAAUUACAUAAGUCAGAGCCCGUCAUCGAAUCACCAUUUUUGAAUAUCUGUAUAUGUUUAAUGAAGGAGCCUAAUCAAUGGAGAAUUGAAAGACAUCUUUCCCUAUGUCAUACAGUUUGAAGAACAUUUGACAAAAUUCAACCUAAUUUAUUUUGAAAGUGUUAAUAAAUAUAGAAGAGAAAAACAAAACAAAGUAAAAGGAAAACAAAAAGCUAAAAGCAUACCACUAUUUUGACACUCUUAAACCGGAACUCGUCCCGACUCUUUUUUAUUGUAAUGAAUCCAAAAUUUGGAUAUGAGAGUUUUUAAAGUCAAUGACGCACAAAUACCAAUGAUCGAGGCAAUUGUCAUGCAUUGGAAUAAAUAGUUGUAAAGUUAGAAAAACAAUAUAUAUGAGUUGGGCCACAAAAUAUCUACUAUAUUAUAGGUGAAAACAAUAUCUACUCUAAAUUUGAUAUAUGCAAUUAAACAUUACUAACCUUCUCGCAAUCAUCCAAUUCGCUAAUGUACUUACUCAUGAUGAAUGUUUUUCUAUCAAAAAAAAGAUGAAGACUCCUGCACAAAAUCAUUUGCUAAUAAUAAAACAUAAUACGAAUAUUAGUAGAUUGUACUUAAUAUGUAAGUAAACAACAAGAGAAAUAUGAGCUUACUGAAAAAUGUCGUGGGAAUAUACUUCGUAUGCUUAUGAAUUGCCUCUUAAAAUAAUUUAGCUUUGAGGCUUCUAGAUUUAUUACCUGUUGUUAAACAAUAACUUCAAUAAAUUUAUUUAAUUAAUAUAACAUGCAUUUGAUAUAAAUGAAGUAGGUACUUACAACAUCCAUCAAAUUUUGUUUAGGAUGUAAGCACUCAAAAUGUCCACGAACUCCAUGAACUCCAUGUUCAUGAUCAAAGUUAACAAGAAGCCCACUAAAAUAAUAAUAUAUUAAAGCAUUCUUGACUAAAUUGGAACCAUAUGAAGACUAAAAUUGUAACAACACAUCUAUGAAUGUUCUAGACACUACAAACCUUUUUGACAAUGCUUUAUUGAAAACAUAAUCAACAACAACAGAUUGAAGUACAUUGAAUGAUUGAGCAUCCACCACGUCUUCACGAAUGGACAUGGGGAUUAACUAAAUAAAAAAAACAAGACAUAAUUAUUAGCUAUAUAUGUUGAGUAUCAAAAAUAAGAAUAUGAUAUUAAACUAUGUGUAUUAUACCUUUAAUGCUUGACAUUUUCCAUUUUCCUUAAAUUAUGUACAAACAGGGAGACCUUGAAUUUACUUGGUUUCCUCUUCCUUGAUGUACGUGUUUUCAUGACUUGAUCGGGAUAACCACAUAGUGCUUGUAAUGGUUCCUAAUAUGGAAAAUGUCAUUAAUAUACAUCUAUUUACUAUGUAAUGGUUUAAGUAGUUGUAAAUAAAAUAUUUUUUUUCUUUUAUAUGAUACAUACCUUUCCAUAAUCUCUUCUACUGCUUUUGAUUGGAAUUGAUAAAAUAUCUACAUUUUUGUUCGGAAUGAUAUUUACUUCAAUUGAUGUAGCACAUGCAUCUUCAUUAUUUCCAUUCAAGUCCUUAGUGCAUAACUUCUCAAUUGACAAAGUGUGAACAUAAUGUUCAUUUCCUUUCUUAUUGUUCUUAUCUUCCAAACUUCUCUCGCAUGAGAGAAUAUCAUUCUUUGUUCCCUCCUUGUGCAUUCUCAAAGGUUUUUCGCUUAACCUAAGGAAGAGACCUUUCAAUGUAGUAUAUUUUUCCUCAAAUUCAGUCAAAACUUUUUCAUAACUACCAUUACUUGCACCAUGACACAAAUCAAUUAGAUGUGUCUUUAAUUGUUGAAAGGUUUUAUCCAUCUCCAUUAAGCUCCCACCAUCAACCUAGUGAUAUUUAGGAACUUGAUUAAUAAUAUCACAAUACAAGGGUUCACUAUUAAUAUUGAUACUCACGAUGAAUAUUGUAAAACUUGUUUAAUAACAUCUUUUUUUGCAUUGAUUUCAAAUUUCUCAUCAUUCUCAUUCUCCCCCUCCAUUGUCAUCGCACUUCUAUCAACACAAUCCCUUAUCUCAUUUUGUAUCACCCAUAUUUUGACCUACAAUAUAUUCAUCAAAAUAUAACACAUCAGAUUAAAAAUCAUUAAAAACUUAAACCAAUAUUAAACAACUUUCAAAACUAUAACUUACAUUGUCAUCUGCAUAUCCACCUAGUUUUUUCAAUCUUCGUUUCAUGUCCAGUGCUUCAUCAUCUCCCCAAGCAGUAAUCCAAGGACAAAGUCGAGUAUAUAAUGGUAGAAAUUUCUCUUCGAACGAUAUAUGCUCGUGGUAGAAUAAUUGCGCUUAUUUGACAUAGAUAUAUAGUUAGUUAACAAAUUUUAUUAUAACAAAUUCGAAAUUCACUAUGAUGUAAAUUAAUUACAAGGACAUUACCAUUAAAAAUAAUAAGCAACUGCAAACCCGACUUUGUUGUUUCCUCUUAAACUCUUCAAUCCCGUGUACAAGAUAAGACAACACAAAUUCAGCCCAAUUCAUCUUCUUUAUUAAAUUGAUGUCUUCCACAAGAUGUAAGAAAGAACGUUUCACAAAUAGCUUCAUUAUUGGGCACAAUAAUGCACCCAACACAAAUAAUACAAAACGAACUUUGAAAUCGUUUCCACCUUCUUUAUCCUCCCUAAUUUGAUUUUCUAACAUCACUAAUGGCAAUCGCUCCUUUUAAUCAUAAUAUUUUUUUUAUAUAUAAAUCAUUCUUAUGGCUAACAUCUUUGUUCAUGCCAAUCUUCAACCCUCUUGCCCUCAAUCCCAUAAUAAAUUCAACAUCAAUGGAGGAUAAUUUGAUACAAGUAUUAUUCAACUCUAACAUGUAAGUGUUCGGGUUGAAACUAUUUAUCAACCAAACACAUAACCCAUGAUCAAUUUUCUUACAUCGAAGUUGCAAGAGGCUACCAAAUCCUAUUUCUUCUAUGGCUGCUCUUUGCUUUGGUUCUAAUUCUUCAAUAAUUUUAAUCACUCGCUUGGGUGAGCAUCGAGUCUAAAGAUAUAACUGAAAAGAUACACAAACAUCAAACAUGUUUACAUUAAUAUAAUUUCCAACAAAUACAUAAAUAAUGAAAUUAAAUAUUCAUUACAAAAAAUUACAUUUGGAACCACACCCUUUUAAAGUGAAUAUUGUUUUGAACUUUCUUUGGACUUUGCCAUGAAAUCUUCUUUUUCUACUUUUGAAAGUGCAUUCCACUUCUUGCCCAAUUUUUUCCUCAACUACAUUAAUUGGUCACAUACUUUAAAUUCUAAUUUUAAAAUGUAAUUAUAUUAGACACAACAAUAUUACUCCUUACAUCAUCAUUUAUCUUCACUUCUUUAUCAGGCUCUUUGAUCAUGGUCAAUUGAUUGUUACUACAAAACAAUUUCAAACAAAUUUAACUAUAACAACCACAAAAAAAAUACAUUAAAAAACAUAUUCUUUUACAUAUUUCUAUUUUCCCUUACUAGUAAUGUAUCCAAGCUCUAAUAGGCCUAUUUGGAUUUCUAACAACUUCAACACCAUCGCAUUCGCUCCUAAAAAUUAAAUCAAAUCAUUUAAGUCAAUUUUUAUAAUAUGAUUUUAGAUAUAAUAAAUCAAACAUACUUUCACCACCAGUACAAAAUCCUCCCUAAAUCUCUAUACAUUUUAAAUGGUCACAAAAUUAGCAUAUAAAUUAUUUUCAAUCUCCAAUUAUGGAUCUAACCACACUAUUUUUCAUUAAUGUGAUCAAUCCAUAAAUCUAACAAAAAACAUGAAAUAUAAUGGAUACAAUAUUAUAAAACACAUUAUCAAUACUCACAUUUUUUUCCUUAAUAUAGAACUCGACAAAUAAUUACAAUACAACCGCCUUUUGAUUAACAAAAAAUUGUGUCCUUUUUAGCUUUCUUUCUCUUAGUACUACACAUCUUCUUCUUCUUCUUCUUCUUCCAGCUAUGUCUUCAAUUCGGGUCUUCAAACCACAAAAUUUAGAACCCGAAAACACCCCUUACACCUCUUAAACAAAAUAUAAAAUAUGAAGAAAAUACAAGGGUUAUGGAGAUGAGAGGGAUGAGCGGGAAUAUCGCACUCUUUACUUCAAAACUCGAAAAAACCCCAAAUAUGAAAAUUAAAUAGGGACAUAAACAGAAGGAGGAUACGAAGAAAACUUGGAAAGAUGCCACCCAAAACGACUACAAUAUCUCACCCGAAAACACCCAACAACAUGAAAACAUCCAACAAUACACGAAGACAACUGAAAGCACCCAAAAAUAAUAGCCGAUGGAGAUGAGUGGAAAACACAAGUACCCGGAGAAGACUCGAGUAUGGAGAAGAGAGGAAAAUAUGGGGAAACUCGGCAAAAGAGGGAGAAAACAGCAACCCGGCCCGACUGUGGAGGAUGAGUGGAGAAGAUACCAAAUUAUGGGGGGAAAAUGGGAAAAAGAGGAGAGAACAAGAGGGAGAAUAGCUGCCCGGUUCAGUAAUGGAGGAUGACUGGAGAAGAGAGCAAAUUAAGCGGGGAAAAAAAGGGAAAUGGGUGAGAGAAUAGAAUGGGGAAAAACAGCUACAUGGCCAGCUAUGGAGGAUGAUGAGUGGAGAUGAGAGCACGGGGACACAAACGGGGGAAAACAGGAAAUGGAUAAGAGAAUAGGAUAGGGAACAAUAGCUACACUAGCCGACUAUGAAGGAUGAUGAGUGGAGAUGAGAGCACGGGGACACAACUGACUAUGGAGGAGAAGAUGGCUGGCUAUAGAGGAGAAGACGGUCAGUUAUAGAGAAGAAAAGAGGGGAAAUAUGGGAAAAAUGGUUGACAGAGGGAAAGAACAGGAGGGAAGAGAGGGGAAAAACAGGAAAAGAGGCUCAGAGAAGGAGAGGACAUAAGGGGGAGGUACUCGAUUAUUAUUAUUUUUUUUCAUUUUUUCUUUUUCUUUUGGAUGGCUAAGAUUUAAUCUCUUUCAUCCAACGCCUAAAAAAAAUGAGGCAUGCUACCUUCCCCAACACCAUAGAAUUUUCCUUGAUAAAAAGAGUCCCAUAUUUUAAAUCUAACCCAUCAUUUUUUUUCCUAAGAAAUUACUAAUUUUUAUAAAUAAAAAAAAUGUACUUGCUUUUUAAAAAAAAAAAACUUCCAUCAAAAUAAUAUAAAUAUCAGAGGAUAUUUAUAUCAAAAAUAAUUUUUUUAAUUAAAAACUUAUAUUUUCUAUUUUUAAAAUUUUAUAUCGAUUAAUUAAAACAAGUUAAAUAAAUUUAAAAUAAUAUAUAAAAAUAUUUUAUUAACUUUAAAUUUAUUUUUUAUUUUUUUUCUUUGUAUUUUUUUGUACAUUUCCUUUCAAAUUUUUCCAAAAAGGAAACAUUACUAAAAGAUCAUGUCAAGUACAAGAACUAAUCCUUUGAUAUGGAUGAAUUAAAAUAUAUUUUGUUUAUACUUUUAUUUUAUUUUAUAAAGGAAUUAAUAAUCAAAGGUUUAAUUUAAAAUAAAUAUUUUAUUUUAAAAAAUUUAAUUUUAUCAUAGAAAAGAUUUAACAAUAAAAAGUUCAUAAUUUAUAAAUCACUAAUCCUAUUUUGUCAUAAGUGAUUAGUUAGGUUUCUAAUGUUAAAUGAAUUCAAUAGUUUUUAGUUGGUUUUAAAUUUUAGAUGGUUCGAAAGUUAUAUUAUCAAUAUCACUUAAAAAUGAAAUCCUCUGUUUUUCUUUUCAUUUUUCAAUGAUUAGUUAUUUUGUCAAAUUCUCGCUUAGUUUCAAUUUUCAAAUAGUUUUGUUUAAUGUUUAAUAUAAACAACUUUAACACUUUGCAACAUUCUAAUGUCAAAAAAAAAAAACACUUAAUGAGAUUAAUCUUUAAUAGGUUUAUAAUUAAAUUUAAAUUUAUUCAAAUAUAAAAAAAUGGUGAUGUGGGGGCUUUCCCCAUAUAGCCACGUGGCAGGCCACUCUUGGUCUACGUGGCAUUCUUCUAUCUCUAUCCAGAUGAUCAUCAUCAAACCAGAGUCUCCUAUUCGACCAACGGGUAUCAGAGACUAGUCACAUUGUGCUCCUCUAAACUACACGAUGCAUUCCAGGUAGAUAUCUUGGCCCACUCCUGCAAGCAAUCAUUCCCCCAAGCCAUGAGUACAUUUGACGGGAUGUAACCCUGCCUUCACAAUUGAGUUGCUAUACGCUAUGCCAUACUUUCUACAGAGUAAGGUGACAAGUGAACCAUCAUGUCAUCCCCACUAGCAGCCCCUGUUAGCCGCCUAAAUGGUGAUGAUUGCCCUGCCACGAACUGUGCUGCCAUCAUGACUGCGAAAGUUAAGAUGUCACCUCAGCGCAGAUGUGACCCCAUCCCAGACACUAUAAAAACCCUCACACAACCAAAAUCCAAGAACGUAAUACAAGAAGCCCGAUAUAGCUCUAGAGAAUAAGCGAUUUCUCGAGCUAGUUUUAACUAAUUGACUUGGGCUUCGAAGGGUGUGUCCGGACAACUUGUCCGAACAUCUUUUUACAGGAAAGAAAAGAGAAGUCAAUCUUCACCGACUGUAUUCAGUCCUUUCUUGCUAUAACGGGGAGAAGCAUCAUCCCCAAUUGAUUCAGCAUUAACAUCGGCAUCAUUUGUGGGAAGGAAACAAGAAUGUCAACACCCUCAAGAAGUCGAUCGUUUGCCAUGGGCGACGAAGGUUACUUUGACUAGCGUGAGAGUAUGGAAAGAUGCUAACGAGAAAGCGAGCGACAAGUGCAAGCCCUGCUCCAAGAAACAAGAAGACUCAGAGAGGAGAAUGAGGUGUUGCGAAUUCAAGCAUCUUUGUCAGGCCCCUCUCGUAGCCAGCAACCAAGGAGUUAGUGAACGAACUCCAGGAAAAAUGAGGAAGCAACAUACCCUAGAAACACAGAGUCCCCCUUUGAUGAGCAUGGUAUACGACCUGAUGAAGGACCCCUAUCGGCCUAUCACGCGCCAUAGGACGAAAACUCUGAUUCCACUCGUGUCUCAUCUAAAAGGAGAUGCGAUAGGAAAUCCUAACUAUUAGAUGCAAUGCACGCAAGGUUAGGGCCACAGGUGCCCGGUAUGGAGAAACCACGUAUAGCCACGACCCAGGAGGUAUACCCUGCCCCAUUUGCUGCACCCGCUAUACUGAACUGGCCUCCAUACCCAACACUACAACAAUUGGAAGAGGAUAUGGUAAGUAGAGUUCCCCUCGGCUCUGCCAGCAGGCGACUAGACAACAUGCUCUCCAUGCCUUUUAGCUCUCGCAUUAUCAAUUACGAACCCCUGAGAGAGUUCAUCGAGCCAAAAUUCUCUACGUAUGACAAAUUCAUUGAUCCAUUUGAUCACAUCAUGCACUACAGAUAGCUCAUGACCCUUGACAUAGGGAAUGACGCACUGUUGUUUCUAGCUAGCUUCCAAGGUUAGGCCCUCUCGUGGUUCCACCACCUCCCAAUGAAUUCCGUCGACAACUUUCGGGACCUAUCGAAGGCCUUCGUGGGACAAUAUCUAUGUUCAACACAACACAAACAAAACAUCAGCACCCUGUAAAACAUAAAGAUGUAGGAGAAUGAGUCGCUGAGGGAGUUCGUAAAGUGGUUCGGGCAAGCUGUACUCUAGGUAGAGUCUUACAGCAUAGACAUUAUUAUCCAAAUCUUUAAAAUGAGUAUCUGUCCGGGCACACCUUUCUUCAAAUCUCUCACCAAAAAGCCCUAUGUAACUAUGGACGAUCUAUUCAGAUGGGCAAACAAAUAUUCCAUGCUUGAGGACAAUGUCCGUGCAGCCACCCAGUAGAUCCUGGUCACCAGUCGACCUGCCAAAAAUGUUGAGGCUAGGAAUUCCAAAACCGCAAGCCAACGAAGGCAAUCAAAUAAGAGGUAGGACAGACAACGCCAACCAAACUAGCCCAACUUCAUCCCACUCAAUGUUUCAUACGAGAAGCUCCUCCCCAUGAUCCGCAAGUUAUCCGACUUCAAGUGGCCAGAGCCCCUAAAAAUGGAUUCAACUAAGAGAGACCGCAACAGAAAAUGUGCCUAUCACAAAGAGCACGAACACACUACGGAGCAAUGUAGUAGUCUCCAUUAUUUGGUGGAGAAUCUAGUAAGAUCCGAAUGCUUGAGACAAUACGUUCACUCAGAAGGUAAAAAUGGGGUGACAUCCCGAAGUCCAACCACCACGACCCCCGCAGCUUCUAUAGCUCCUAGGGUCGUGAUCAACUAUAUUCACGGCGGACCUAUCAACGAGGAAUACAACUCUAAACAAAAGAGAUGGAUGCUACUUCAAGCCAUCUUCGUGCGAGAGCAAGUUAGCUCCAUCAAGCCCAGAUUAAUCAGCAGGAGCAUGCGCUCAAUAGAUAGGGAAAUCACUUUUCCCCUAGUAGACUCCAACCGAAUAUUACAAUCGCAUCGGGACGCCCUUAUCCUAUCAUUGGGAAUCAGUGACUUUGAUGUAAGGUGGAUCUUAGUCGACCUAGGUAGCUCAGCCGACCUCUUACAGGUAUCUAUAAUUAAACAUAUGGGGCUUUCACCAUCGAAUCUGGAAAAUCCUGGACGGAUAUUGUUAGGAUUCUAAGGAGCUUCAACAAUGUCUCUGGGCGACAUUGUGCUGCCCGUCCAGACCGGCCCCAUUGCCCUGAAUAUGCAGUUCUCAAUAGUAGAAGACCUAUCUCCAUUCAAUGCCAUAUUGGGGCGCACCUGGCUGUAGAGCAUGAAAAUCAUUCCUUCUACUUAUCAUCAGAUGGUGAGUUAUCGCAUCGAAGACGGACAGAUUAAUCUCUAUGGAAGCCAACUAGCAGCUCGAUAGUGCUACCAAGUGGCAUAGAAAACCGGAUCUAGUAGUGAUAAUGAGCCACCUCCAAAACUAUGAGCGCAAUCUUUUAAUAGCAAUUACAAUAUCCGACGAAGAAAGAUCCCCUGGUGGCCGACCCCUUGCAGACUAUUAAGAUCUCGAAGAAGGAUGAUCAUUUUACCUACGCAAGCUCCCUCUUAGAGUUGAACGAGGCGCGAAGCCUUGAAGGAGUACUUCACCGGAACAAAGAUGUCUUCGUCUGGACACACUCUAACAUGCUCAGGAUUCACCCAUCAAUUGCCUCCCACCAACUUAACAUUCUUCCAUUCUCAAGACCUAUCCGCCAGAAGGUCCAACAAUUCUAUUUGGAUAGGCAAAAAAUCAUUCAGAAUGAGAUAAACAAGUUAUUGAUAGCCGAAUUUAUCAAAGAGGUUAAGUAUCCUGACUAGUUGGAAAACGUGGUUGUAGUCCUGAAAACAUUGGGGAAAUGGCAAGUCUACGUUGAUUACACUAACCUCAAUGAUGCCUACCCUAAGGACAACUUUCCCCUCCCCCGAAUAGACCAAAUAGUGGACUCCACCACUGAAACACAGAAUGCUCUCCUUCCUACAUGCCUUUUUCGAGUAUCAUCAGAUCCCUAUGUAUCCACCAGAUGAAGAAAAAAUUGCCUUCAUAACACCACAUGGGCUCUAUUACUACAAAGUCAUGUCGUUUGGACUCAAAAAAGCUGGAGCCACUUAUCAAAGGCUGAUGACUAAAAUUUUCAAACCUCUAAUCGGACGCACAAUAGAGGUAUACAUUGAUGACAUUGUAGUGAAAAGCAGGACCAAGGGUGAACAUGACCAACACCUAGAAGAAGUCUUUCACUUGUUGAGAGAAUACAACAUGAAGCUCAAUCCGUCCAAUUGCGCCUUUGGAGUGAGUGCGGAAAAAUUCUUGGGGUUCAUGGUCACUCAAAGGAGCAUAGAGGCCAAUCCAAAUCAAAUCAAAUCAAAGUUGUCAUAGAGACAUCCGCCCCAUGCAACAAAAAGGAAUUGUAAUGCCUCACUGGCAAACUCACUGCACUAGGGUGCUUCAUAACCCAGUUUACAAACAAACUAAGGCAUUUUUUCCUUGCAUUAAAAAGAGCCAGCGCGACAUGAUGGAAGGAAGACUUUCAGUUUGCAUUUGAAGAAAUCAAGUUUUAUCUCACACAAUCGCCCAUUCUGACCAGCCCUCAACUCAGUGAACAUUUGUACGUGUACUUAGCAAUCUCCAACUGUGUGGUUAGCACUGUUUUGUUUUGCUGCAUAUCGGACAAAAAGCAAAAGCAUGUCUACUACAUCAGCAAAGCAAUGUUCGAUGCGAAAACCAGGUACUCAAAGAUGGAGCAGAUAGCUUUGGCCUUGAGAAGCGCUGAGUAGAAACUUUACCCCUAUUUCCAGGCUCAUCAAAUUAUCGUGCUCACCAGCCAACCUCUCAGAAGUAUUUUGCACAAAUCUGAUCUAUUAGGAAGAAGGCUGAAGUGGGUCAUAUAAUUGAGGGAGUACGGGAUCAAAUAUUAGCCUAAGUUAUCCAUAAAAUGAAAAGUCAUGGUUGACUUUAUAGUUAAGAUCCCCCAACAACCCUCUCAACUCAAAGAACCUGGUAGAGAGGGAUGAUGGAUUCUCUUCGUCGACAGAGCCUCCUGGACCUCGGGAUCUAGAAUAGGCCCCCUCCUACGAUCACCAAUUGGAGAACAGCUAGAACAGGCCAUCCGACUUGGGUUCCCAGCAUCCAACAGUGAAACCGAGUACGAGGCCAUCCUAUCCAAACUAAACUUUGCACUUGCUCUCUCAGCUUCUAAGAUCGAAAUCUGCAGUGACUCUCAACUCAUUGUUGGGCAUAUUCAAGGGGAGUACAAAGCUAAAGAUGGAUGUAUGACUCAGUACUUGAUUAAAGUAAGAGGUGCCCUGAAUCAAAUGAAUGAAUGGGCUAUCAAAAGGAUUCCUCACAUAUAAAAUGUACAAGUCAAUGCCUUGGUUGGAAUAGGUACUACACUCCUCGUGAAGGAGGCAAUAUUAUUACCCGUCCAUUUCCAAAUCGUUUCCUUAAUUGUAGUCAUACCUGUCUGCAACGCUAAAGAGGUAGGUGCGGAGUGGGCACAUGAAAUUGAAAAUUACCUCCGGACAGGUGACCUGCCCGAAGAGAACAAACAUGCGCAUAGGGUCCGGGUGCAGGCUACCCGCUUCACCUUAAAUGGGGAUUAUCUCUACAGGCGAUCCUUUGGAGGUUCAUACCUCAGGUGCUUAAAUAGAACGGAAGCUCAGUAUGUAUUAGCAGAGCUACAUGAAGAAAUAUGUGGCAAUCACUCAGGAGGACGAACCCUGGUGCACCUUACCCACUCGCAAGGAUACUAUUGACCCACCAUGAAACAGGAUGCGAAAAAUUAUGUCAAGAAGUGUGACCGGUGUCAAAGGCACGCACCCAUUCCUCACAUAUCAUCUGAAGUUCUCAACCUAGUUACAAGCCCUUGGCCAUUCGCAUAAUGGGGGAUGGACAUAGUAGGACCCUUACCCGUCACAGCCACUCAUAAGAAAUUCUUGCUUGUGGCCACUGACUACUUUAGCAAGUGGGUAGAGGCAGAAGCUUAUGCCAACAUCAAAGAUAAGGACGUCUCUAAGUUUGUUGGGAAAAACAUCAUCUGUCAGUUCGGAAUUCCGCAAACAAAUUAUAGCUGAUAACGAACCACAGUUUGACAGUGUUGAGUUCAGGACCUUUUGUUCAGAGCUAAAAAUAAAAAAUCUAUACUCCACACCACGAUAUCCUCAGAGCAAUGGAUAAGCGGAAGCAACAAACAAGACCCUGCUCUCCGUACUAAAGAAAAUGCUAGAAAAAGCCAAAUGGAAGUGGGUAAAAGAACUACCCGGCGUCCUGUGGGCUUAUCGAACAACACUUGGAUGACCAAUCGGAAACACUCCCUUCGCUCUUGCCUACGGGAUGGACGUAGUUAUCCCAACAGAGAUAGGCAUGCCCACAACCUGAACUGUUGUACAAGACCAAAGGGACAAAUGUCAAGAACUUGAGAGACACUUGGAUUGGGCAAACGAGGUGAGGGGGAGUGCAGCCAUCCGGAUGGCCUCCGAUCAACAAAGAGCUACUGCCUACUACAACCGGAAAGCCCAACCCCAUGCCUUUAAGGUUGGAACCUUAGUCUUCAAAAAGCUCCAAGCUAAUUGGGAGGGGCCUUAUAUUGUCUUGAAGGCUGGAGAAUCUAGGGUUUACCAUCUACAAAAGCUGGAUGGAAUGCCCCUGCUCCACUUAUGGAAUGUAUCUAAUCUAAGGCAAUACUAUCAGUAAAGUAAAAAAAGAAAAAGUGCACAAGAAAGAUAGUGAAAUAUUGCAUUCGCAUUCGUAAGUGAGAAAUUGUUCUUUACAAGUGUUGGCCAGACAAAUCACGGCGAAAUACAAAUGACUUAAUAAUAAAUAAAAAAUGUUUUAUGGCUCGACCGAAGAGUCGGCCAUAGGAAGAAUCUCAUCUCUUCAAGAAGAAUCGUCGGGUACCUCCCCCUUGUCGUCUGAAGGAAAGGAAUGAGUAUCUUAUGUGAUGUCGUUCUUCUUCAUACAACAUCGAUAGCCAUAGAAGAACAUUUCGUCCACUUGCUUUUGAUACUCCUCCUCCAACUCCUUCUUUUGAUCUGUGAAUCCGGCCCAGAGUUCCUCCAACUUUUUCUUCAGUUGGGCAUUCUCCUGCUCGACCUCUUUGCACUUGGCCUUAGUGGCCUUGCCCUCCUCUCUCAACCGGUCAGCCUCAGCAUGGACCGACUCCUUCUCCACCUCCACCAAUUUCAAAGCCUCGACUCCCUCUACAAUAGCCUUCUAUGCAGCGGCAAGGUCGCUCUCCACCUGUUCCAGCUUAAUGCAGAGCUCUUCACCGCCGCCCACGCGAUGGGUGAUGAAAGCCCUCAAAGCCUCAACAACCUCCAAUAGCUCAAAAAGUAGAGCGCGUUGUCGCAUCAGGUUGCGAACUCUGACCACCACCUAAAGGCGAUAACAAAAAUAGAGUAAGCUCGGGAUUAAAGUUCACAUUAUAGCAUAAGAAGGAAGGCAUAGUAGCUUACCACUUUUGCAGUCUCUUGAGUCAUGCAAUCCUGCAAUAGUUGAAUACGGGAGACCGUAGAGUUAGGCGUUCCAAGUGGAAGUUGGGUUGUGAUAGAGAUGAGGAGGUCGCCGCCUAAGCUCACCAAAACUCGGUUAGUGAAAGGAAAAAAGUCUAACAUCUUUGUCGAAUGCAACUCAACAUCAGUGAAGCAAGGCACUCGCCUCAGCAUCUCUAUCAUUUCCUCCUAGCUCGGAAGAGGAACGGAAGUAAGGGCAUCCUUCUAGUCUAAGUAUUCCUCGAUAGGAACCGGACCGUCAGAUGCCCCAUCUUGAACAGGGCAAGUCUCAUUCCUAGUAAGAGACGAGGCAACCAACGCGUUGUUGGACCCUGUAGCAUCUGGAUGGGGCAUUGGCGUCUGGGGAGCAUCUAUGAUAGGCUCUUCGUGAACCUCCUCUGGAUAGGAUCUUUUGGCAGGAGAAGAAACCACCUCAAUAGGAUCAGAUAGUCGUUUGCAUUGUCUCUCCCUAAAGCCCGACCCUCAAGUUGGACGUCGUAUCUUCCUCCACCUCCGGUUUGUAUAUGAUGACGAGUAUCACAGGCUCGAAUUUGGAACUUUGAGGAUCCAAGUCACUCCGUUCAAACCUUGGAAGGUCCAAGUCACCUUCUGAAUCCGGAACAAAGCUAUUUGUUUAUAGAGGUACAGAAAAAGUAGAAGCGGAAAAAGAUUCAGAUACCGAGGCUAGUACCUGAACCACCUUAGUGGAAGACUUCUUCUUCUUAAUUGGAUGGCGGACUACGAAAGAUAAAACAUGGCGUUUCUCACUGCAACCCUUCCUCAACUUUCCCUCUUGUCUUUUCUUCUCCCUCUGAUCAAGGUGCUCCUGGUGAGCUCUAGCGUUCGCCUCAUGUGCUUCUUUGUAGAAGGAGAGAUCCUUCAAAACAUGAUGUUUCCCGAGCACUAUGACCUUUGGGAGCCGCCUAGGGAUAAUGGGGAGAAUGUAAGGCUGGGACUCAUGGAUAACCGCAACCAAAUUCCAGGCAAUCAAAAGCGUCUGGUGGUUCUUUUUGUCGAAAGUGAUCACGAACAGCUUGUUCAGUAGGUCGAACGAAGCUUUCUCCACCCACUCGACCAGUCGACCUCUUCUGUCCUUAUCUGCAUCAAUCAAAAUGGACAGUGUUAGCACUAAAGUGAUAUCAGUUCAACAAAUAAAGACAAUUGAAGAAUCGCUUAAAGCCAUCCCUACCAGGAAUUUUAAGUGAUUCGUCCCAUUAUAGUCGUGCCAUUUGAUUCUGGUCCAGAUGGGUGUUAUCAACAAAAUUUAUAAAACCUAAAUCACCUUACACUAGGGUAGCAUAGCUAACAUAGUAUAGUGGCUCUAUGAUCGUCCACAGGGAUGGGUUUUCAUCAUACAGUUGACUUAAAUGAAGGAAAUAAAAUAGUGUUUUUUCUUAUGAAAAAUUAGCUUUUAAAGAAAAUGAAUUGUGGUUGCAAAGAUUGAUUUUAAGUUAAGCAAAAACAAUAAGUGAAGUUAACUAUAAAGAAAAGAUCUCUUAGAGCUUUAGGUCACUAGGAUUGGGUUUCUUAUACAAAUGGGGAGAUUCCAGAUCUUCUUCUCGCGUUGGGGAUAAUAAUAUAAAGGAUGGUUAUCUCCCGAACCGAUUUUGUAUUUAGCAAUUAAGAUUUGAUCCCAAGGGUUCAUGAAAAAUAAUAGUUGUUUUCCAUUAAUGGCUUCAAACACUAAAGACUCUCACCUUGAACCACCUUCCAAUGGCUUGUAAAUGAUAACUAAUAGACAUCCAUGGAUCUAACAGUAAGCAUCCAUAGAAUCCAAAAAGCUUACCAAGUAUUGGCCAUUCAAGGUGUUUUUAAGGGAUUUAAAGCUAAACCUUAAAAUAAAAACCAUUAAUGGUUAACAACUACUUUCAUUUAAAGCAAGGACAACUCCCAUCUUUGCAUUCGGGUCCUUCACCUAGCUUCCAUCACUCCAAGAAACGUAAAACCUAGCCACUCAUCCCAUGAGAAAUCAUCCUUAAAGGUUGUUUGGCUAGGAAGAAGAGUGAAAACAAAAUGAGAAGGAAAGGCAAAGCAAAAGCUUUGUAUGUUUCUUACUCCUCGAAAUUUACAAGUUUUCAAUGAAAUACAUACAUAUAUAUUUCCCUCUCUCUCUCCCCUCUUAUAUAUAUGCUACCUAAAAGAUAUAUAAAAAGAUAUAAAAGAAAAUAUCUAGGUUGGUUAUAAGGAGAAAUUAGGAAAUUACACAAAAUAUUUGAAGAUGAAAAUCGAACAGAGUCGGUGCACAGGAAGAUUUCGCAUACCAUGCAAAAUUUGGCAUGGUGUGCGAAAUCCUUUGGCUACCUCAAGUGGUUUCGCAUGGUGUGCGAAAUUUCGCACAGCCAUGCAAAAAUGUUGUUUGUUGGAUUUCUUCCUCAGGUUUUCUUCCUUGCAUCUCUGAUUGGCUUGGCAAAGGGCUAUGAAGUGCUCUAAAGCUUGGAUUAUUCAUGUAUUUGAGCUUUAACUUGCAUUGCCAUGGAUUUCACAAAAUUCUCCCUCAUUCUUGGCUUGGUUCAAUAAUCAAAUAGCUACCAAAAACAUUAAAACUGUCAAAAAUUGAUUAGUAACCCUUGCUAGGUUCCUUAAUGUGCCAAUUGAGUUAAAAGGUAUUAACUACUACUCAAAAGUAUUUAAAAUAGUUAGUUUCAAGCUAUAAAAGAGUACUUUUUGAGUAGUAAUCAUUAAGCGAAAAGUUUGGAUGGAAAUCCCUUUCCGAAUGCUCGACUAGGCCAUCCCACGGGCCCCAAACCAGGAUAUGCCUUUGGCUCUACCCUUAUUCAAGUUCGGGAGGUCGGUCACCAAUUGGAGAGAUGGGAUAUGAGCAAACAGGUUGAAGAUAUCUUUUUUGCUCUUCUUGAUGGUAUAGAUAAAGAGGACCUCUAAUAGGGAGAAGUCCAGACAGAAUAACAUGUCUAGGAUAAUGCAUCCCAUCAGCACUCGGACAAUGUUGGGAUGGAUAAAAACGUGAGGAAUUUGGAUGCAGUGUAAAAAUUGUUUGAAAAUAAACAGGAGAGAGAAAUAGAGUCCUGCGUUAAACUACUCCUUGAUGAAGAAAAUAACAUCUCGAGCUUCCUUCUCAGUAGAUGUCAGAUCUUCAUCCACCAAGUGAACGGAGAUGUCACUCAGAAUACAGAAGUGCUCUGAAACUCCCAUUCAAAAAUAAGCUCGGUAGGCUUUUCCGAUUAGGGGCGUCCGAAGCUUGCACCUGUCCGGCCACCCUUCAUAACAACAUUGGUCGAGGCAAUGUCCUUUUUCACUGGCAUACUAGAAGCGAUGGGCCAAGUUAGACCUGCACGAUACAAUGUCGAAUGUUAAAAAAUAGCCACCCGACCUUACCACCAAAAGGCAGUGCCCCUAAAACACACAACAAGCGAUUAUACCAGACUUAGGGUCUGCCCUAUUCAAGGCAUCCGACCGACCCUACCUAUCAGCGAAAAUCCUAACUAUGGAUUUUUUUUCUCUAUGACACCUCAAACAAAGGAAAAACAUACUGCAAACAAACUCUGAAAAAACCCCAACAAAGCAACAAACAUGGCAAACUCUAACCCUAAUAGGGGUUAGCAGGUCAUGCCAUUAACGAGACCUGAUGGCCCAGAAAGACCACAAAUCUAUUUUUACAAGCCUUGAAGCAACCACUUCGCAGUCGACCAAGACCCCCAAACUCCAAAAUAAUCCCCAAACAGCAACAAAUGAAGCUAUCAAGAAAAAUGGAAAAUCGGGGAGUAGUAGAGAAGAAAAACGAGCAUACCAGGAAAAUGUCUUCAACAAAGUGUCGAAGUCGAUCUGUAAAAGGCAAGAAAGAUUAGUCAGAAAGUUCGCUGAAGAAGGAGAAAUGCAGCACAACAAGCCAAAAGGACAAUGACUAUUUGAAUAUGGGAAGUGCGAAACGAAAGAAAAUAGACUGAAAGGACAAAAGUGAAACGACUAGAAAAUGUACUUCUUAGGGAUUAAUUCCCUAUUUAUAAGGAUAGACGCCCUAGAAAUUCCAAAUGACAAGACGCUUAGAAGUGCAUUCUCCAAAGCGACGCGUCGUUUGAUGACAACCUCGAUAACAACGCCUCUCCUUAACACCCUCAGAUGCCACGUGUCCUAAGGUUACUAAAAGGGUUUGAAAAAUGUUUUAACCUGCCAUUUCUGUCCAGACGAAAUACUCGAGUUAAAAUGAGGGAUUGUGGGGGCUUCCCCCAUAUAGCCAUGUGGCAGGCCACUCUUGGUCCACGUGGCAUCCUUCUAUUUCUGUCCGAAUGAUCAUCAUCAAACCGGAGUAUCCUAUCCAGCCAGUAGGUAUCAGAGACCUGUCACAUCGUGAUCCUCUAAAUUGCACAAUGCAUUUUGGGUAGAUAUCCUGGCCCACUCCUACAGGCAAUCAUUCCCCCAAGCCAUCAAUAUGUUUGACGGGACGUCACUUUGCCUUCGCAGGCGAGCUACUACAUGUUGCACCAUACUUUCUGCAAAGUGAGGUGACAAGCAAACCAUCAUGUCAUCCCCACUGGUAGCCCCAAUCAGCCACCUAAAUGGUGAUGAUUGCCCUACCAUGAACUGUGCUACCAUCAUGACUGUGAAAGUCAAGAUGCCACCUCAGCGCAGACGUGACCCCGUCGCAAACACUAUAAAAACCCUCAUACAACCAAAAUCCAGGUACGCAAUACAAGAAGCUUGAUAUAGCUCCAAAGAAUGAGCGAUUUCUCGAGCUGGUUUUAACCAAUUGACUUGGGCUUCGAAGGGUGUGUCCGAACAACUUGUUUGGACAUCUUUUUGCAGGAAAGAAAAGAGAAGUCGGUCCUCACCUACUGUAUUCAGUCAUUUCCUACUAUAACAAGGAGAAACAUCAUCUCCAGUUGAUUUAGCAUCAACAGGUGAGAGUUAAACAUGUAAUUUAUAAGUAUCCACCUCAUUCUCAUUAAUAGACACAAAAAAUAUUAACAUUUCAGCUAUGUUCAAUUCCCAAAAAAAUUGAGGGACAAUAUAAAAGAAAGAAAAUAAAAAAGAAAAAUAGAAAGAAAAAAAAAGUAAAAAAUAAAUAAAAAAUAAAUUUAAAGUUAAUAAAUUAUUUUUAUAUGUUAUUUCAAACUCAUUUCACAUAUUUUUCUUAUUUUAUAUGAAUAUUAAAUAAUUUAAAAAUAUAUACAAUUUUCAUUUAUUUUUUAUUUGAUUUUGUAUUUUUCAUAAUGAGAUUAAAAAUGAGAAAAUAACUUUUUUAAUAUACAUAUUUUUAAUACUUUUUGAAAUCAAACAUAGAAUAAAACAUUUGAACAUGAAAACCACUAAAUUCAAUAUACACUCAACAUUUGUCAAAAUGGAAAAGAUUAACGCUUACUGAGUGAUGGCUUUGUACACUCUUCCAAAACUAUCACUUCUAGAAACCUAACAUUUUCCCAAGAACUGUCAUGGAUCUUCAAUUUCCCAUUGUCAAGGGUUUUAGUAAUAGCCCAAUGCUCUAGUUUUGAAUUUCCACCCAUUCGUUUAGCAACGAUCGGCAUGAUAUUAAAUAAUCAUCAUUAUAAUUAUGUGAAGGUAUAUUUGCAUAAUCAUCAUCAACGUUGAAAUGCAUGCAUAGUACCUGAAAAAUUAUAAAGAUCCAUUAGAACCAAAAAUAAAAAAUAAAAAAUCUAAGCCCAGAGAAGGAUAACAAGGAGUUUUGAAUAUUGAGAAGACUGUUGACACAAUGGAUUAUCUUGAACCUAUAGAGUAACUACAAUACUUUGGAUGUAAACAAUUAUGUUGAACCAUAUCAAAAUUUGCUAUUUACAUCUUCUCUAUACUUUAUCUCUUCUAACAUUUUAUAUUAUUUAGUAUUUAUUUUAGUAUCUAUUACUUGCAUAUUUGUAAAAUUUCUAAAAAUAGACUAUUACUAAUUCACUCCCUUUUUAGGUGAUUACCUAAGUUUUUUAUAGUAAACUUCAGAAUAUUCACUUUCAAAGAUUGUCAUGAGCUCCCCUAAAACAUUAUGUAUUGUAAAUUUAAGAAGUAAAAAUAAAUAAAUAAAUUAAACAAUUGUUGUGAUUUUAAUACUUACUCAUUUCCUAGAACCUUAACUUUUUCCAAAGUGUCAUAGAUCUUCGAUUUCUCAUUUCCAUGGGUGGUAGAAAUAGCCCCAGGCUCUAGCUUUGAAUUUCAACCCACUUGUAAAGGCAACCUUUGUCUAGCAAUGACCCGUAUGAUGUGGAUAAUCAUCAUUAUCAUGGAAAAACAUACGUAAACACCUUCAAGAUUAUAAAAAUCCAUUAAAACUUGAGAAAUAUAGGUAUAAAGAAGGAUAAGAAAAAUCUUGAUUGAGAAGAAUGGUGAUAUAGUAGAUCAUCUUAAAACCUACGAAGGAGCUCCAAGGCAUAGUGUGCUGAACCGCAUUAAAAAUUGUUAUUUGCAUAUUCUCUACCUUUUAUCCAUUUACUUUAAGUAUUUUAUAAUAUCUAGUAUUUAUUUUGAUAACAACUAACCAACACAUUUGUAAAAAUUCUAAAAAUAGACCAUCAAUAAUUCACCUUUUUGGCUGAUUACGUAUGGUUUCCAUGAUAGACUUCACAAUAUUCACUUUCUAAGAUCAUAGUGAGCUCCCUCUUUUAACGGGAUGGGGUAAGGUUUAUGAACUAAAGCUAUGAAUAAAUAAAAUUGCAAGGAUAAUUGCUCACAGUUUUAAAUUGCAGAAUCCAUUUCUUAGAGUUUUUCGAAAACACUUCUAGUAUAAAAAACAUUUUUGAUAUAAAAAAAUAGAUAUUUAACAAAAGUUUCAAACACUUUUAAAAAGUCACAAAAACCAUUUCUAGUGUUUUUUUCGAGAAAUAUUUGAUAGAUGAUUAUCCUAAAAUAUCUUAGAGAGAAAGUAAUUCAAAUGAAAAUAUGUUCAAACUUAGGUGGUGUUUUAUUGAUUUAUUUUUACUUAAUUCUAAAUAGAAAUUAAAACUAAAUAGUCAUUAAAUAGUGUUAAGUAUGAAGUUAUUUGCUUUUAUAAUAUUUUAUUUCUAUUAAGCAAUAAAAAAUAAAGAAAUUUUUUUAUUUCUAUUAAAUAUUAAAAUAUAAAGAAAAACCAACAUAUUAUUUUUUGCAUUUAGAAAAAGUUAAAUAUUUUGCUUUUUUCUAUUCAACAAAAAAAAAUAUAAAAAGCCAUAAAAAAGUAGAAAAACAAAUAAUUUAAAGUCUGAAAGUAAAUUACUUUAAGCAAAAAAUUUAAGAAAACAAACACCCUUUAAGUAUCCACCUCAUUCUCGUUAAUAGAAACAAGAAACAUGAUACGAAGAGUGCAUUUGAUAAUAUUUCUAUUCCAAAUGUUUGUGUAAAAUUAUUUUUUAAAUGAUCACCUAUUAAGUGCUUCUUCAAAAAUUAAUAUUACAAGUAAUUUUUCAAUUUUUUAAAAUGUGUUUUUCUAAAUUUUACCAAAUCUCGUAUUUUUCUUCUACUCAUAAUUCAAUACCCAUUCAACAUAAUAAGAGGAGAGAUUGACGGGUGAUGGAUUUGUACACUAUCCCAAAACUCCCAAGUCCUAGAAGCUCAACCGUUUCCCAGAAGUUAUAAAUCUUGAAUUUCUCAUUCUCAUAGAUUUUAGCAAACGCACUAGGAUCUAGCAUUGAAUUUCCACCUGAAUACAUGCUGGUAGGCAUGGUAACAUACAAUGAUUUAUCCUGUAAGAAGAUCUACCAAGAACUAGACUAUUGUGAAACAAACUUUUGAACAGUUACUAGGGGGAGAAUAACACUUACUGGGUGAUGACUUCGUGCAUUCUACCAAAACUCCCACUUCCUAGAAGCUCAACCUUCGGCCAAGAACUAUCCAUGGAUCCUCAAAUUCCCAUUCCCAUGGGUUGCAGCAGUAGCCAUGGGCUGUAGCUUUGAAUUUCCACCCACUGGUUUGAAAGCCAACUUCUCUUUAGUGACGGCCCACAUCAUAGGGCUAACCAUUUCCAUGGAUGAGAGGACCGAAGCUUAUACCACUUCAAUCAUUACUUCGAUCGAAGAAAGAGGCAUGAUCAGGAUAAUCAGAUGCGUCAACGAUGCGACCAAACUGAGAGAUUUUCUCACCAUUAUCGCUUCCCUCAAAGAAAGCCACAUGAUUUUGGCCCAACCAAGAGAUGCUUUGGUUGAUGAUAGCAAAAGCUCCUGCUUCAAACCAUCAAUAAUAUAUCAAUGGCCCGCCGGAUCUACCCUCUUCCCAUGAAUUAUUUAUUUACUUGAGGAAUGAGUCAAGCUUAUAAAUUAUUUAUAGGUUAAUUUCAUUCACCACCCCUAAGGUUUUGAUUAAAUACAUCUAACUCUCACAGGUUUGAAAUUUUAUCAAAUACCUCAUCUAUCCUUUUCAUUUUUUAUUUUCACUCAGUCUCCCUUCUUACUCAAAAUAAGUGAAGUAUAUGAUGAAAUUUCAAACUUCUCAGUAUUAGAUAUACUUAGCCAAAAACUCAAGGAAGGUGAAUGAAAUUAACCCAUUAUUUAUUUGGUUGGCAGAGUAGUAAAUGAAGGUUCUUAUCAUGCUUGAAGUCAGACAUAGAUCCGAAACUUCAAUUUUGAGAAACACUUUAAAAAAAAAAAUGAUAAAGUAUUAAUUUUUUUUAUAAAGCCUUUGAUAGAUUAUUAGUUUAAAGAUUUUUUUAGAGGAGAUAGCAACACUCUGAAACUCUCACUAUUACUCCACUCAAGAUCAUCAUUCAUUUAUAAAAAAAUGUCACCUUAUAUUUGUUUCUAAAUCUUUAAUUUAAUAAAUAAGAUUAAAUAUAUUGUGUUUAAUUCUUUCUACUUUAAAAAUAAAAAAUAAAAUUAUAAAAAUGGAUCUAAUUUCACUUAACUUUUUUAUUUUCAUUUAUGUUAUUCAUGGCCUCCCAAGAACCUCUGCAGAAAGAGUUCAAAUCAGAAUCAAAGAAAAAUACAAUGGAGUAGUAUCGUAUGACUUUCUAACCUACGAAGAACUAAUAAACUUCGUAAACCAAGAAGUUUAUCUCUUUGCCCGCUUAUCAAAGUUAAUGUUAAGAUCAAGAAAGAUCUUAGAACCUCAAAGAAAGAAUUAGGAUCUUUUUGUGCGGGUAUGAGAAGAUUCUUCCACCCUCUAUUAAAAAAGAAAAUAUUAUAGGUCAAAACAUAGAAAACCAAAAUCAAACUGAAAAUACUCAAAAUAUAGAGGAAAAGAAAAACAAGAUUAUCAAAGAUCAAAAUCUAAAGAACAUUCAAAGAAAAUAUACAAAAGGGAAAUAAAAUUUUUCAAAUGUGGUAAAAAGGGACACGUAGCCCCAAACUAUAAAAUCAAAGAAAUUAUAAAAGACAUAGACAUACGAAGCCUUCUCAAGGAAUAGAUGACUAAUCUAAUCAAAUCAAAAUCUUCUAACUAAAUGUCCUCAAAGACAACAAGUAGUGAGGAACAACUCCUUCUAAUCGAAGAAGACUCUUUUGAAACCUUUGAUGACCUUUCCUUAAAUCCUCUUGCAACUGUGUAGAAAAUUGCCUUUGUAAUAUCAAAACUAUUAAUGUCCUAACAAGUGAACAAAACCUCUUAAUAAAAAUGAUAGAUAAAAUUCCAGACCCUCAAAUCCAACAUGAAUAUAUCAAAAAAUAUUUAGAAUUUCAAAAACAAGAAAGAGAGACUAGGGAAGCAAAUACAAAUCAAUAUAGUCUAAAACCUAUUUUGGAUCAACCUCUAAACCAAAAACAACAAAUAUUCAAGAUCUUCAAAAUGAAAUAAGUCAAAUUAAGCUUCAAAUUAGAGACUUAAUAAUUCAAAAUGAAGGAUUAGACAUUAGGCUUCAAAAAUUAGAAAAUCAUCUAAUAACCUUUAAACAGGAAAAUAAGUUAAAAACAGUAGGAUAUCAACCUGAAACCCUUACACAUAGAUUAUAAAAUUUCAAAUGUAUACAUAUGCAAUCAAAAUGUUUGUUAUAAAACCUCCUUCCUUCUAGUAAAAAAUAUGCAACAAGAAGUAAUAUUGGGAACACCUUUCUUAACUCUACUUUAUCCAUUUAAAGUAGAUAAAGAAGGAAUAAAAACAAUUAUAAAGGGCAAACGAUUUGUUUUGAGUUUGCUAGUCCUAUCAAACACAAAGAACUUAGCCUUCUCCACAAUGAUGGAAUGAAGCAACUGAAUUUAAUUCAAAAGAAAAAAAAACAUAUCAAAUUCCUAAGUAAAGAAAUUCAUUAUCAAAGAAUAGAAGAAAACCUCCUUCAAAGACAGAUCCAAGAUAUAAUAAAUAAAGUCAAAAACCAAAUUGAAACAUAACUAUGCUCUUCAGUUCCUAAUGCUUUUUGGGACACAAAGAAACAUGAAGUUUCUUUGCCUUAUAUAGAAGGAUUUAAUGAAAAUCAAAUUCCUACUAAGGCAAGGCCCAUUCAAAUGAAUGAACAUAUGUUAGAAUAUUAUAAGAAAGAAAUUUAAGAUCUCUUGGACAAUAACCUAAUAUGAAAAAGCCACUCACCUUGGAUUUGUGCGGCAUUUUAUGUUAAAAAGCCUUCAGAGAUUGAAAGAGGUGUUCCAAGACUUGUAAUCGAUUACAAGCCCUUAAAUAAGGUCCUCAAAUGUAUUGGGUAUCCAAUACCUAAUAAACGAGAUCUUAUUGGACGUCUUCAUAAUGCUUUGAUCUUUUCAAAAUUUGACAUGAAGUCUGGAUUUUGGCAAAUUCAACUUCAUGAAAAAGACAAAUACAAAAUUGCAUUCACAGUUCCAUUCGGGCACUAUGAAUGGAAUGUGAUGCCAUUCGUUUUGAAGAGUGCUCCUUCAGAAUUUCAAAAUAUAAUGAAUGGCAACUUCAAUCCCCAUACUAACUUCUCUAUAGUAUACAUUGAUGAUGUACUUAUAUUUUUUUAAUUCCAUUGAGCAUUAGUUUAAACAUCUAAACAUCUUUCAAAAUAUUGUUAAAGAAAAUGGUUUAGUGGUUUUAGCCCCUAAGAUUAAACUAUUUCAAACCAAGAUUAAGUUCUUAGGAUUCGAAAUAUACCAAAGGAAAGUCAAACCUAUUCAAAGAUCUAUAGAGUUUGCUAGCAAGUUUCUUGAUGAAAUCAAAGAAAAAACCCAACUUUAAAGGUUUUUAGGAAGUCUGAAUUAUGUGUUGGACUUCUACCCAAAUCUUAAAACCUUAAUCAAACCCUUCUAUCAUAGGCUUAGACAAAAUCCCAAGCCCUAGACUCAAGAACACACAUAUAUAAUCAAAAUUGUCAAACAAUAGUUUAAAAGUCUUCCUUGCUUAGAAAUCCUUAAUCUUUUAGUAUUUCCUAUUAUAGAAACAAAUGUCUCUAAUAUAUGGUGAUUACUACUCAAAAAGUGUUAUUUUAUAGCUUGUAAUUAACUCUUUUAAACACUUUUGAGUAGUAGUUAUUACCUUUUAACUCAAUUGGCAUGUUAAGGACCCUUGCAAUCGUUUCUAAUCAAAUUGUGUUAAGUUUUGGUGUUUUUCAUAGCUUUUUGAUCACUAAAGCAAUCCAAGAAUGAGGGAGAUCUUUGUAUAGUUCAUGGAAAAGCAAUUUGAAGCUCAAAUUCAUGAAAAAAACUAAGCUUUGGAGCUUCAUAACCCUUUGCCAAAGCCAAACGAGGAUACAAGGAAGAAAAUCACAGAAGAAAUCAACCAUCCAGCAAUUUCGCAAGUUGUGGAAUCCAACUUGCAAAAUUUUCUCAACUUGGAAAUAGGAAGAGCAAAGAAAUCGCUGCAAGAUAGAGAACUAAUUAGUUGCAGGACAAUUUCGCAACUUGUGAAACCACAAUUUCAACUUGCAAAAUGGACAAUUUCAACUUGCAAAAUUUUCGCAAGUUGCGUUUGAACUUGCGAAAUCCACCUGUAAUCUGAGAUAUUUGCGCUCCUACUCCGUUUGAUGUUUAUCUUCAGAUAUUUGUGUGUAAAUCCCUAUUUUCUCCUUGUAACCCACCAAUGACAAGUUUUUUUAUUGGAAAAUUAGCAGAAGGGAUGAAUAGCCUCUCUAUAUAAUAUCUAUUGUAAUGUUCUUUUAAAAAGAUCUCUAGGGAGUUUUUCUCGAAGACGAACUUUGUAUAGUUUUUCAGAAAGUAAUACACAGAGCUUUGCUCUAUCUUACCUUCUCAUUUUGUUUUCUCUUUUAUUUUUAUUUCUAGCAAAUCAAACUCUGAGGAUGUUUUCCUAGAGGAUGAGUGGCUAGGCUUUUUGUUUCUUGGAGUGAAGAAAGCUAGGUAAGGUUCCGAAUACAAAAGUGGAAGUUUCGUUGUUUCAAUUUUUAAUGAAGAGAAAGUGUGACCCGUUAAUGGUUUUUAUCUUUUUAAUUAACUUAAAAUCCCUUAAAAUCACCUGGGCCAACACUUGGUAAGGCAAGUGGACUCCGUCCGUUGAGAUCCACUAAUUUAUCUCUUGCGAGCCUCUGAAGGUGGUUUAAAGGUAGGAUUAUCUAGAAUAGCCAACACUUGGUAAGCUUUUGAACUCCUAGGAGACAUCCAUUAGUUAUCUCUUGCGAGCUUUUGACGGGUAAUCCAAGGUUAAGGAUCACCUUGAAUGGCCAAUACUAGGUGAGAGGUAUGAACCAUUGCAAGACGAUUCAGUGACAGGGAUUUAGUGUUUGAAACCAUUAAGGGGAAGCAUUUGUACCACACCGGUUCAGGAAAUAACUAUAUGUUAAAUCUCCAAUGCGAGGAAAAGAUCCAAGUGACCGGAAUCUCCCUUUUUGUAUAAGGAACCUGAGCCUAGUGAUCUAAAACUCCAAGAAGCACUUUUCUUUGUAAGUAAUUUUAGUUACUUUAUUUUUUGUUUCACUUAAAACCAACCUUUUCACACAUACUUAUGUUUUCUUUUAAAGUUAACCUUGAAAAGAAAAAACACCAAUUUAGUUUUUGAACUAAUAUCAGUUGUAAUUUGAAAACCCAUCUCUGUGGACGAUCCUAAAGCCACUUUGCUAUGCUAGCUAAUGCUACCCUAGUAUAUGGUGAAAUAGGUUUAUAAAUUUUGUUAAUUACUCCCGUUUGAGGACUGAAAUCAAAGCACACCAGUUGGUUAAACACCAAUCAACAGGGCAUACACCAGCUGGGCACGAAUCAAAUGGUGCCGUUAUCGGGGAUGGUGCCAACUUUACAGUGAUAUAACCUUUUCCAAAACACUUGUGAUCUUCAUGACAAGUUUGAUGACUUUUCUCUUCUUUUACUAACUCUUUUUAAUUGUUUUUUUUACUUGUUCAUAUUUUAGCCUAUCUUUUAAUUUAGUUUUUAGUUAAUCUUAGUUUUUUUUUUGUAGUAUUGUUUUCUUUUGUUUUCUUUGUUUUUGUUACAGUUGUUACUAGUUGUGUAUGCCAUAUUGGAUACGAGACAGUGGAGGAAGACAUGUGAAAAUUGAAACACCUCACAAAACAGGGUUGGAAUUGUGCUUGAACAUCAUGGAAGCUACACCUGAAGAUCAGCAUAGUCACCAUGGUCAGCAGGACAAUCCUAAUGCAUUCAGAUCAAUGAGGAACCGCAUGCAUCCACCUCGUAUGAGUGCACCAUCAUGCAUAGUGCCUCCUAUAGAGCAGCUAGUAAUCAGACUACAUAUUGUGCCACUUCUACCUACUUUCCAUGGGAUGGAAAGUGAGAAUCCCUAUGCGCAUAUUAAAGAAUUUGAAGACAUUUGUAAUACAUUCCAAGAGGGAGAAGCUUCAAUCGACUUGAUGAGGCUAAAACUAUUUCCUUUCACUCUAAAGGAUAAGGCCAAAAUUUGGCUUAAUUCUUUAAGGCCAAGGAGUAUCUGAAAUUGGACUGAUUUGCAAGCUGAAUUUCUCAAGAAAUUUUUCCCUACUCAUAGGACCAAUGGCUUGAAAAGGUAAAUUUCAAACUUCUCAAUUAAAGAGAAUGAGAAAUUCUAUGAGUGUUGGGAGAGAUACAUGGAAGCUAUCAAUGCUUGUCCUCACCAUGGCUUUGAUACAUGGAUAUUGGUGAGCUACUUUUAUGACAGUAUGUCUUCCUCAAUGAAACAACUCCUAGAGACUAUGUGCGAAGGAGAUUUCAUGAGUAAGAAUCUGGAGGAAGCCAUGGAUUUCUUGAAUUAUGUUGUUGUCAAGAUGAUGGGAUGAACCAAACAGGGGAGAAGUGGGAAGAAUGAAGUUUCAACCAAAUGCUCUUAAUGCUAAGGUUGGGAUGUAUACCUUGAACGAAGAUAUUGACAUGAAAGCAAAAGUUGAGCUAUGACAAGAAGAUUGGAGGAGCUAGAACUGAAAAAGAUACAUGAAGUGCAAGCCAUUUCUGAAACACCAGUGCAAGUUAUGCCCUGUUCCAUUUGUCAAUCUUAUGAGCACUUGGUGGAGGAGUGUCCUACAAUUCCAGCUGUUAGAGAAAUGUUUGGAGAUCAAGUAAAUGUUAUUGGACAAUUCAAGCUCAAUAACAAUGCUUCAUAUGGAAAUACCUACAAUUCAAAUUGGAGGAAUCAUCCAAAUUUCUCCUGGAAACCAAGAGCACUUCAGUACAUGCAACCAGACCAAGCAUCUCAACAAACUUCAAAUCUUGAGCAAGCAAUAGUGAAUCUAAGCAAGGUCGUGGGAGAUUUUGUUGGAGACCAGAAAUCCAUCAACGAUCAACUCAGUUAAAGAAUCGAUAGUGUAGAGAAUACGGUGAAUAAAAGGAUGGAUGGAAUGCAAAAUGAUCUAUCUCAGAAGAUAGAUAAUCUCCAAUACUCAAUCUCAAGGCUCACCAACCUUAACACAGUGCAAAAGAAAGGAAGGUUUCCUUCUCAACCUCACCAAAACCCCAAGGGUAUCCAUGAAGUGAAGGCUCAUGAGGGAAAAUCUUCAUAGGUGGGGGACAUCAAAGCCAUGAUCACUCUGAGGAGUGGUAAAGAGGUUGGGCUGCCAACACCUAAGCUACAUGAUGAAAUAGAGAGUGAAAAAGAGACAGAGAAGAUGGAGGAAAUCAAAGGAAAGAAGAAAGGGAGCAGUGGAAGGAAAGAGGACCAUGAUUCAACAGUGAAUGAAGAUCCGGAAAAGAUAGUUAUCAAUGAAGAUGUGAUGAAGAAACACAUGCCUCCACAUUUUCCUCAAGCUUUGCAUGGGAAAAAGGGAAUCAACAAUGCAUCAGAAAUUCUUGAAGUAUUGAGGCAAGUGAAGGUCAACAUCCCAUUGCUAGACAUGAUCAAACAAUUGUCGACUUAUGCAAAAUUCCUGAAGGACUUGUGCACUAUAAAAAAAGGGUUGAAUGUGAAUAAGAAAGCCUUCUUGACUGAGCAAGUAAGUGUCAUCAUACAGUGCAAGUCUCCAGUGAAGUAUAAAGAUCUGGGUUGUCCUACCAUCUCAGUGAUGAUUGGAGGGAAGUUAGUGGAGAAAGCUUUGUUGAACUUGGGGGCAAGUGUGAAUUUGCUACCAUACUCUGUCUACAAGCUAUUGGGACUUGGUGAAUUGAAGCCAACAUCAAUCACUCUAUCUCUAGUAGAUAGAUCAGUGAAGAUUCCAAGAGGGAUGAUUGAAGAUGUCUUAGUUCAAGUUGACAAUUUCUACUAUCCAGUGGAUUUUGUUGUUCUUGAUACGGACCCAAUUGUCAAAUGAACUAAUUAUGUUCCUAUCAUACUUGGAAGACCAUUCCUACCUACAUCAAAUGCAAUCAUCAAUUGUAGGAAUGGACUCAUGCAACUCAUGUUUGGCAACAUGACAUUAGAGCUCAAUAUCUUCUAUAUGUGCAAGAAGCCAAUCAAUCCGGAAGAAGAAGAAGGUCCAGAAGAGGUGUGCAUCAUUAACACUUUAGUGGAGGAGCAUUGUAAUAAAAAAAAUACAAGAGGAGUUGAAUGAAAGUCUUGGGGAUCUUGAUGAAGGGUUACCUGAACCCUCAUAUUUGCUUGCUACUCUACCACCUUAGAGGAGGAUAGAAUAAAUUCUACAUUUGUUCAAUGAGGAAGAGACACAAGAAGCUGUUAAAUAGGAGGCCUCAAAGUUUAUUCUGAAGCCACUACCCACGGAGUUGAAGUAUGCAUACCUAGAAGAGAAUAAGAAGUGCCCCGUUGUUAUAUCUUCAUCUCUUACCACUCUUCAGGAGGAGUGUUUACUUGAAGUUCUCAGAAGAUGUAAGAAAGCAAUAGGAUGGCAAAUAUCUGACUUGAAAGGUAUUAGCCCUUUAGCCUAUACACAUCAUAUAUACAUGGAAGAAGAAGCUAAGCCAGUUCGUCAACCUCAAAGAAGAUUGAAUCCUCAUAUGCAAGAGGUGGUGCGAGCUGAGGUUCUUAAGCUACUUCAAGCCGGUAUUAUCUAACCCAUAUCAGAUAGCCCAUGAGUAAGUCCUACUCAAGUAGUGCCAAAGAAAUCAGGGAUCACAGUGGUGCAAAAUGAUAAGGGAAAAGAAGUUGGUACAUGUCUCACUUCAGGUUGGAGGGUGUGUAUUGAUUAUAGAAAACUGAAUGUUGUGACAAGGAAGGAUCAUUUUCCAUUGUCAUUUAUUGAUCAAGUGUUGGAGAGAGUCUCAGGCCAUCCUUUCUAUUGUUUCUUGGACGGCUACUCCAGGUAUUUUCAAAUAGAAAUUGAUGUUGAAGACCAGGAGAAGACCACUUUCACAUGUCCAUUUGGAACAUAUGCCUACAGAAGAAUGCCUUUUGGUUUAUGCAAUGCACCUACAACAUUCCAAUGAUGUAUGUUAAGUAUUUUCAGUGAUAUGGUGGAGCGUAUUAUGGAAGUUUUUAUGGAUGAUAUUACCAUAUAUGGAAGCACAUUUGAGGAAUGCUUAGUCAACUUGGAAGCUGUUCUGAACCGAUGCAUUGAAAAGAACUUAGUGCUUAACUGGGAGAAAUGUCAUUUUAUGGUACAUCAAGGAAUUGUCCUUGGCCACAUCAUCUCCAAGAAAGGCAUUGAAAUUGAUAAAACAAAGGUGGAACUUAUUGUCAAAUUGUCAUCCCUAACAACUAUAAAAGGAGUAAGGCAAUUCCUUAGCCAUGUUGGGUUCUAUAGAAGGUUUAUUAAAGAUUUCUCUAAACUUUCAAAGCCUCUUUGUGAACUAUUGGUGAAGGAUGUUAAAUUCGUAUGGGAUGAGAGAUGUCAAAAGAGUUUUGAGCAACUAAAAUAGUUCUUGACAACCGCUCCAAUAGUGAGGGCUCCUAACUGGCAACUACCUUUUGAAGUGAUGUGUGAUGCCAGUGACUUUGCUAUAGGAGUUGUUCUGGGUCAAAGAGAGGAUGGAAAGCCCUAUGUGAUCUACUAUGCAAGCAAAACAUUGAACGAAGCGCAAAGAAACUACACAACCACAAAGAAAAAAUUGUUGGCUAUAGUUUUUACCUUGGACAAAUUUCAUGCUUAUCUGGUAGGGUUUUUCAUUGUGGUUUUCAUUGACCACUCAGCUUUGAAGUACUUAUUGACAAAGUAAGAUGCAAAAGCAAGGCUGAUUAGAUGGAUUCUCUUACUACAAGAGUUCAAUCUCCAAAUUAAAGACAAGAAAGAAGUGGAGAAUGUGGUAGCUGACCACCUUUCAAGGCUGGCUAUAGCGCAUAAUUCCCAUGGUUUGCCUAUUAAUGAUGAUUUUUCGAGGGAGUCACUCAUGUUGUUAGAAGAUGCUCCUUGGUAUACUCAUAUUUCUAACUAUCUAGUUACUAGUGAAGUUCCAAGUGGGUGGAAAGCACAAUAUAGGAAGAACUUUUUCUUUUCAAGUAUUGUGCAGAUCAAAUAAUAAGGAAGUGUGUCCCUAAACAAAAGCAAUAGGGGAUCCUCAGUCAUUGCCACAAAAGCGCAUGUGGAGGCCACUUUGCCUCUUAGAAAACAACCAUGAAGGUGUUGCAAUCAGGUUUUAGUUGGCCAUCACUUUUCAAAUAUGCUCACACCAUGUGCAGGAGCUAUGAUAGAUGCCAAAGGCUUGGGAAGUUAACACGUAGGAACCAAAUGCCUAUGAACCCCAUUUUAAUAGUUGAUCUUUUCGAUGUUUGGGGCAUUGACUUCAUAGGACCUUUCCCUAUGUCUUUUGGUAACUCUUACAUUUUGGUGAGGGUAGACUAUGUUUCUAAAUGGGUUGAGGCAAUCCCAUGUAAACACAAUGACCACAAAGUUGUUCUCAAGUUUCUCAAAGAGAACAUCUUCUCAAGAUUUGGGGUGCCCAAGGCCAUAAUCAGUGAUGGAGAUACUCAUUUUUGCAACAAGCCUUUUAAAACUCUCUUAGCCAAGUAUGGGGUGAAGCACAAGGUAGCUACACCUUACCACCCUCAAAAUUCUGGGCAAGUUGAGUUAGCAAACAGGGAAAUCAAGAAUAUAUUGAUGAAGGUAGUGAACACGAGUAGAAGAAAUUGGUCUGUUAAGCUCCAUGAUUCACUAUGGGCAUACAGAACAGCUUACAAGACUAUUCUUGGCAUGUCUUCUUAUCGCCUAGUCUAUGGCAAAUCAUGCCAUCUCCCUAUGAAAGUUGAAUACAAGGCUUGGUGGGUAAUUAAGAAGGUAAACAUGGACUUGAACAAAGUCGGGAUGAAGAGAUGCUUAGAUCUUAAUGAGAUGGAGGAAUUGAGAAAUGAUGCCUACAUCAAUUCCAAAAUUGCAAAACAGGGGAUGAAGAGGUGGCAUGAUCAGUUAAUAUCUAACAAAGAAUUUCAAAAGGGACAAAGAGUCUUACUCUAUGACUAUAGGCUCCACAUCUUUCCAAGAAAGCUCAAAUCAAGGUGGAUAGGCCCUUUCAUUAUUCACCAAGUGCAUUCCAAUGGAAUAGUGGAACUACUCAAUUCCAACAGCACAAACACUUUCAAAGUCAAUAGUCACCGUCUCAAGCCAUUCAUGGAGCCUUUCAAUCAAGACAAUGAGGAAGUCAGUCUCCUUGAGCCACAACAAUCUUAACCAAAAAGGGGUAGAUGGACUUAGUAUUUCUAAAGACUAACCAAAGUCCAUGUUUUUUGUUUCAAUUUUGUUGAUUUAAAAGCUUUAUUAUUUGUUUUAAUUUUAAUUCUAGCUUUAAUUUAUUUUAUUUUGAUCUAACUUAGACUUUUUGGAUGAUCAAAAUUAGAAGGAACUUCAAAGGAAUUGAAGGAAAGCCUUAAAGAACCAAAGAAGGAGAAAAAGCCUGAAAAACAAAGCAAUAUUUCAACUUGCAAAAAUUUCGUAAGUUGAAAUUCCAACUUGCGAAAAUGGGGGCCAACUUGCGAAAUCCUCAAAGCUCAAAUUCGCAAGUCCACCAUUCAACUUGCAAAAAUUUUCGCAGCCUGCGAAAGCACCUCCAAGCACACAUGUGCCAUUUCGCAAGUUCGUUUUCCAUUUUCACAGCCUAUGAAUCAACUUACGAAUCAAGUUGCGAAAUGGGGCAACUUGCGAAUUCCAGGGAACUUGCAAAAAUGCCAACCGUCAUUAAAUCCAUAUUUAAACCCCUAAUUCUUCCAUUUUCAUUUUGCACAGCCAUUCCAAGUUGCGAAAAAGCCCUAUCAAGUUGUAAAGCCCCAAAUUCCAGAGCAUCUCCUCCAUUGUAAGCCCUAAGGUCGUGCAUCUGAAGAGGAAACGCCUCCGCGUACCCAACAUGCACCCUGUGGAACACAAGCCGAGAAAUUCCUCUCCAUUUCAGCCAUGGCCAAGACAAGAGGAGCCCAUGUCGUGUUUCCAUCAACUCGCAAUCCAAGGCCAAGAGCUUUACCUGCACGGGAUUCCACAUCUGAGGCCCCAUAGGCCCCUACCAUUCCACCUUUUGAGGGUAGAGUGCGAUCUAACCCUCCUCAGCAUAGGUAUGAAACGAGGAGACCACCCACUACACUUGGGGCAAGCACUUUGCGCCCCAAGAGAUCAGUUCGUCACCCUCCUGCAAAGAAAGCUAAAGUUUCAGGCCCAGGAGAGUCAUCUGCACCUCCACACCCUCAGCCGCCUGCUAUAGAGUCUCAGAUUCCUUCUAGGAUGACUCCAGAAGCAAUUAUCAAGCGACCUAUGGUUACACAACCACCUAUUGAGGGAAAUUUGGAUUACAGAGCUAGGCUAUUCCACUCCAAGCUAUGUUUUGAUAUGUAGACUUUCAAACAGAAGCCGAAGCUUAGAGAUUCAUUCCGCCUACUACAGAGAUACCAUUUGGAGCACCUGAUGACUCCUAGAGACUUCUUCUAUCCUAGAGUAGCACUAGACUUCUAUCAGUCUAUGACUACUCAUCACGUCCAGAAUCCUAAUGUCACACUUCACUAUUGAUGGACGCCAUGGUAUCCUUGGAGCUAGACAGAUUGCAGAGGCCCCGCAUAUUCCAUAUGAGCCUGUGAGUCCAGCAGAUUUCAGAGAGUGGUCCCAUUUUUCUCAGAGAGACAUGGUCCGUAUAUUGUCCAGGGGGACCUCUACACGCUCAUUUCUUCUAAGGAAAGAGCUUCCACCUGGGAUGCUCCUUGUAGAUGUGGUGUUGCGCUCCAACAUCUUUCCACUUCAGCAUAUGGUGCAAAGUAGAGGAGCUAUAUUGGAGUUUUAUUCCGAAUAUCAGAGGGUUUCUGCUUUGGCCCUCAUCAUUUGAUUAUGACCUCUCUUCUCCACUUUGAAGAGAAGGUCCACAGGAAGAAGCUCCAAAGAGCAUAUGCCAUUCCAUUACUUUUUCCCAGGCUACUCUGUCAGAUAUUAGAGCAUUUGGGUUAUCCUUCUGAGCCUCAGCUUGAGCGUCACCGCAUUUUUCGAGAGCUAUUCACUCUUAACAAAUGAAAUCAUUUAACGGCCUAUGUUGCACCUCCAAGAGCCCCAGAUAUGCCAGCACCUCUAAAGCCACCACAGGAUGAGCAGCCACCACAGACACAACAAGCACAGUAGGCUGAGAUACCUACAGAGAUCAUACCACCUGCCCCUGCAGCACCUUCUACAGUGCCCACACCUGAGGCUACAUCUUUUGCUCCUCCUACCACUCCUAAAGCUCCACCAGUUGUACCAGUUACAUCAUCACCUCCUCCAUCUAAGUCCUCUAUCACCAUAUCCACUUCAGAGUUUAGAGGCCUAUGUGAUACAUUGCAAACAUUGAGCACCACUCAAGGUGCUCUCUUCCAGCAGAUGGCAGUCAUACGUGCACAUCAGGAUCAGCUUAUUACCAUGCAAACCCAGCAUACUACCAUCAUUAGUCAGAUACAGCAGCAUUUGGGUAUUCUGCCACCACCUGAGCAUGAUAUGCCUAGCCCAUCAGAGCCUACAGCUCCAUUUAAGGAAGCUACUCCAGCAGAGCAGACUAUGCCUCAUGAGGAGACUACUACAGCAGAGGUCGAGACUCCUAUCCAGAGCACUCAGGAGACCACAGUAAAGUCAUUGUCUCCACAUGAUCCUCCCACCACUACCUGAUCAUCUAUAUACUUUUUGUAUUUACUUAUUAUAGCAGAACUGUUAAUCUCAUGUUUUUUAUGUUUUCUAUAUUGGGAUUGGAUGUAGUACUUGCGCAUACUUUCUUAAAGUAAUACAUAUCCAUCAUUUUUUAGUAUACUUGGCAUAUUUUUAUUUAUUUCCUCUACUCAUUAUUUUUUUUUUAGUUUUUUGAAUCAUGUGGUUUCUCCUAUACAAUUCAGACUCUAUUCCACUCAGGAGGUACCACUUCCUCCCUUUAUUUUCAAUUACUCUUCACACAUUGAGGGCAAUGUUUAGCAUGGUUAGGGGGAGUUGAGAAAGGAAGUAUUUUUUAUAAUGCUAGGUUAUAAAUGGUAAUUUAGUUACUUUUUGUUUAAAUUUUUUUAAAAAUAAAAUUAAAUACUCUUCAUGGUUAUCAAGGAAAAAUUCUCAAAAUGAAAUGGGAGAAAUUGAAUUUUUGUCUUUUUACUUGACUUAGAGUUUGUAUUAUGCUUAUUAAAGUUGAUGAACUGUUGAAAAUUCUAUUGAAUUCAACCUUAUUUCUUCCACUUUAAGCUUACCACACACUGUGCACACUAGGUUCCGAUUAUAAGAUGAAAAACUAUUUCACCCAUUGACUUAGGAAAUUUUAAACUUGGUACCUUUGACCUCAUUUUAAUAAUUUUGGGACACCUUAGAAAAGGCCGAUGAGCCUUUGAAAAGAGAAUAAAGAAAAAAAAAUGUUUUACUUGCCUUGAAACCCGAGCAAGGUCUGAGGAGUAUAUGGUAAAAAUCUUUAAAACCUGAUGCCCUAAACCUUCAUUGGUUGGGAGUCACCAACCUCAAUGCUCGUUACAAGGGUGAAUAGGUGGAGUUUAACAUACUGUAGGUGCUUGGGUAUUGAAUUCCAAUCUCAAAAGUCCGGGGUAAAAUCCGAGGAGUUAGUAGUCGAAAGAUCCUUAAGCUUGAUGCCCUAAACCUUAAUUAGUUGGGAGUCAUCGAUGGACCCCCGUUACAUGGACAAUUUAGAAAAGAAUACCUUUAAGCUUUGUACUCCUACAAGAAAAAAAAAGUGUGAAAUAAAUGAGAUGUGUUCUUAGCCUAUUGGAGGUUGUCAGUUUGCUAAGAUUUGAAAAAGAGCUAAGUUGGGGGGAGAGAUUAGUUCAGCAUACUAUAUUCAGAAACUAAUAAGUAACACUUAGAUUUUUGUGGAAGAGUAAGGAUUGACCCUUUGGGAGUGGAAAUUCUUUUAAAGCUUAAAUUUGCAUAAUGUCUUCUCUUUAUGAAUUGUGAUUAGGCAAUUUAUUUGAUAACUCUUGUUGAAGUUUGAGUUUUAUAUCUUUAAUGUUCCAUGUGAGAGUAUGAUCAUCAUGCCACUUGAAAUUUUUUAGAAUGAUCAGCAUGAUGUUGCAAAUUAUAGUACUAUUUAUUUUUAUUUUUCUCUCUUUCAUUACUAAGGGACUAGUAAUAUGUCGGUUGGAUGGAGUGAUUACUACUCAAAAAGUGUUAUUUUAUAGCUUGUAAUUAACUCUUUUAAAUACUUUUAAGUAGUAGUUAUUACUUUUUAACUCAAUUGGCAUGUUAAGGACCCUUGCAAUCGUUUCUAAUCAAAUUGUGUUAAGUUUUGGUGUUUUUCAUAGCUUUUUUAUCACCAAAGCAAUCCAAGAAUGAGGGAGAUCUUUGUAUAGUUCAUGGCAAAGCAGGUUGAAGCUCAAAUUCAUGAAGAAACUAAGCUUUGGAGCUUCAUAAGCCUUUGCCAAAGCCAAACGAGGAUGCAAGGAAGAAAAUCACAGAAGAAAUCAACCAUCCAGCAAUUUUGCAAGUUGUGGAAUCUAACUUGCGAAAUUUUCGCAACUUGCGAAAUAGGAAGAGCAAAGGAAUCGCUGCAAGACAGAGAGCUGAUUAGUUGCAAGACAAUUUCGUAGCUUGCGAAACCACAAUUUCAACUUGCGAAAUUUUCGUAAGUUGCGUUUGAACUUGCUAACUCCACCUGUAAUCUGAGAUAUUUACGCACCGACUCCGUUUGAUGUUUAUCUUCAGAUAUUUGAGUGUAAAUCCCUAUUUUCUCCUUGUAACCCACCAAUGACAAGUUUUCUUGGUUGGGAAGUUAGCAGGAGGGGUGAAUAGUCUCUCUAUAUAAUAUCUAUUGUAAUUUUCUUUUAAAAAGAUCUCUGAGGAGUUUUUCUCGGAGACAAACUUUGUAUAGUUUUUCAAAAAGUAAUACACAGAGUUCUGCUCUACCUUACCUUCUCAUUUUGUUUUCUAUUUUAUUUUUAUUUCUAGCAAAUCAAACUCUAAGGAUGUUUUCCCAGAGGAUGAGUGGCUAGGCAUUUUGUUUCUUGGAGUGAAGGAAGCUAGGUAAGGUUCCGAAUACAAAAGUGGAAGUUUCGUUGUUUUAGUUUUCAAUGAAGAGAAACUGUGACCCGUUAAUGGUUUUUAUCUUUUUAGUUAACUUAAAAUCCCUUAAAAUCACCUGGGCCAACACUUAGUAAGGCAAGUGGACUCCAUCCAUUGAGAUCUACUAGUUUAUCUCUUGCAAGCCUCUAGAGGUGGUUUAAAGGUAGGAUUAUCUAGAAUAGCCAACACUUGGUAAGCUUUUGGACUCCUAGGAAACAUCCAUUAGUUAUCUCUUGCGAGCUUUUGACGGGUAAUCCAAGGUUAAGGAUCACCUUGAAUGGCCAAUACCAGGUGAAAGGUAUGAACCAUUGCAAGAUGAUUCAGUGACAGGGAUUUAGUGUUUAAAACCAUUAAGGGGAAGCAUCUGUACCACACCAGUUCAGGAAAUAACUAUAUGUUAAAUCCCCAAUGCGUGGAAAAGGUCCAAGUGACCGGAAUCUCCCUUUUUGUAUAAAGAACCUGAGCCUAGUGAUCUAAAACUCCAAGAAGUACUUUUCUUUGUAAGUAAUUUCAGUUACUUUAUUUUUUGUUUCACUUAAAACCAACCUUUUUACACAUACUUAUGUUUUCUUUUAAAGCUAACCUUGAAAAGAAAAGACACCAAUUCAAUUUUUGGAACUAAUAUCAGUUGUAAUUUGAAAACCCAUCCCUGUGUACAAUCCUAUAGCCACUAUGCUAUGCUAGCUAAUGCUACCCUAGUAUAUGGUGAAAUAAGUUUAUAAAUUUUGUUGAUUACUCCCGUCUGAGAACUGAAAUCAAAGCACACCAAUUGAUUGAACACCAAUCAACAGGGCAUACACCAGUUGGGCAUGAAUCAUAUGGUAUGGUGGUAUUCUCAAACAAAAUUUUCAAAAUCAAAUGUCCAUUGCCUAUUUUUAUUCAAGAAUAUGGAGUGGACCCCAAGAAAACUAUUUAACUAUUAAAAAAGAAAUUUUGGCAAUUUUUUUAUACAUUCAAAUAUUUCAAGAAGAUGUUUUUAAUAAAAAAAAAAAUUCUUCUUUGAGUUGAUUGCAAAAGUGCCAAAGAAAUUAUUCAUAAGGAUGUUCAAAAUAUUAUUUAAAAAUAGAUUUUUGCUUGAUGGCAAGCACUUUUAUCUUCUUUUUUUUUUUUGAAAUUGAAUUUGUAAAAAAAGAUUCAAACUCUCUCCCUGAUUUUCUCUCUCAGGAAUUUCUACAGGGAAAAUGAGCAACUCAAAAUCCAACAAACACAUGCCCAAUUCAAAAGCAUCUUAUGUUAUACUUAUUGAAAAACCUAAAGUUUCGAAGACCCAAUCUCAAACCCCUAUUUCAAACCAAUUCCAAGUCUUAGGAAAUAUUCCUAAGCCUUCUCAAACCUUUGCCUAUGCAACCCAAACCUCAAAAUAGGCGUCUUGCAAUUAUGUUACAAAAGGCCAUUUGAUGAAGGUGUGGAUUCUUGAAUCUCACCACUUUUCAAAGUCUGGUUCGUUGGACAUUACAAAAAUAUUUUCAAAAGGAAUUUUUUUUUUUCAAAAUGAUUUAGUCAAAAUAAGAAAAUUUUAUGAGUUUAUCCUAGUUGAUAUUGACUCUGUGGAAAUCACUCAUAUACAAAACAAGGAUUCCACAUACAUUUGCUAUUCAAAAUGUAAAAUUUUCAAAAUUAUUUUCAGAAACCCAAUGGGGACAGUCUCCUGAUACCUAUAACAUGUUUCUCAAAACUUCAAACCAGCAUCAUACGAUUAUCAUGAUUAUGUAGAUGCUUGGUUUUACACAUUUUUCUUCAAUUUUUUUUUAUUUAUCAUUCUUGGUUCUUCCAAUGGAAUGAUAAAAUUAAAAAUGACUUUUCAAAUUCGUUUCAAGAAUGGUGGCUAUGUUUUGGCACCAUCCCUGAAAUCUUUUGUCCUCAAAUCAAAUCUACCUAUGAUUAUUUCAAAGAGCAUGUUAGGAGAUUGAUCCCUACUCCUUGUUUUCAAGCCCUUUUCUUCACUUCUAGAUUCCAAAUCCCAUGGAUUCUAUGUUGGGACUUUGUCAAAACACAAAUGAUCAAAAGUUCAUUUCCCACGCAUUUGGCAAAGGAAUUUAAAGUCAAAUGGUGGUCAAACUUUGUACCUGCCACUUCCUAGUAACUUCCUCAUAUAAAAAAUUGGAAUGCAACACAUGCUCUUUCCAAUAUUGAAACACUUUUUCAAAUACCUUCUCUUCUUUCAAAUAACUUUAUCCCCUCUCAAAAAGUCUCUCUUGCAAUACUUUCUUCAAACAAGUAGUUUCAGGCUCAUCUCAAGUUUUUAUAGCAAUAAGCCACUAAAACCUUGUCAUAGCUUGGUUCUGCUUAUGAUGACGACACUACUUCCCCAAGCUUUAAAGAGCCUUAAAAUGAAGACAUGUGCUAUAAAAUGCCAUACAUGGCCUUGGAGUGAUGCUUCAAAAGCCUCUUCAAAAACAAUAUUCAAAUCUCUUCAAAAGUCGGAAUUGGGAGGUCAUGUCAACCGACAGUUGGUAGUUCUCUCCUUGGAUUAUACCUUCUAAAGAGAUUUUGGACAUCGUGGCAAGCUUUUAAAACUUUUCAAGACAAUCAAAUUUUCAACAACUAGAUGAAACUUUCAUCCUGUUGUGGACUUCAAAAUUUUCAAAUCCUGGUGGACACCUCAACAAAACUGCCUACAAAACAGUGGACUCAAACUUGUGGAUUUCAAAACCAUUGACAACUGGCAUAUGAUGACAAGUUACUUUCGAUGGAUCCAAAGUCUUUCAAAUUCGUGGAUUUUAAAGCUUUUCAAAUAUGUCACUAGAGCUCUAUAUAAGGGGUCUCUUCCUUCAUUGUGGGACAUUAGCCAAAAUUUGUGAGAGUUGAGAGAAACUAGUUGUGAGAAAAUCCAAAGCCUUGUAAUGAAGAGUUCUGCUUAAAGAAGCUCUACUCAAAGUUUGUAAUUUUCAAAAGUUUGCGUGUUCUCCUAUUUUAAUAACAUUUUAAAUUCCAAAUUCAAUUUUUGUCUUUCUUAUUUUAAAUAUCUUGUUUGAGGAUGAUGAACUCUAUUGAAUCUUUGUCUAGUAGACUGGGUUUUAAGUGAGACUGCUUGUGACUCCUCCAGUCUUUACUGAGAGAAUUCAUCAAAGUUCAUAUUGAUUUUGAAAUUUGAAGUCUUUCAUCUUUCUCUUUUGAUUUCAAUUUCAAUCCUACUAAAAGUUGGUAUAAGAGCCAUGUCUUGUUCAUUUCAUUAUUUAAAUUUGCAUUUUAAUUUAUGAUUAUUUGUUUUAUGAUUCAAACAGUUAGUGUUGGUCAGUCCUCAGUUAGCGUUGUCAUUUGUUCCUUGAUUAUUGAUAAAUGAUUAGUCUAAAGACUUUUUUAGAGGAGAUAGAAACACUGUGAAACUCUCACUAUUACUCCACUCAAGAUCAUCCUUCAUUUAUAAAAAAAAACAUCUUAUAUUUGUUUCUAAAUCUUUAAUUUAAUAAAUAAGAUUAAAUGUAUUGUGUUUAAUUCUUUAUAAUUUAAAAAUAAAAAAUAAAAUUAUAAAAAUGGAUUUAAUUUCACUUAAAUUUUUUAUUUUCAUUUAUGUUAUAAAAUGGCAAUAUAUAUAUAUAUAUAUAUAAACCCAAGUGAUACUUCCUUGGAUUUAAAAUAAAAAAAUUAAUAAAUAUAUAAAUUGAAUGGAUAGAUUAUAACACAACCUCGAAAAUCAUAAAGCAUGUGCCUUAAAAGUAUCAAAAGUAUGGCAUUAUUCAAAAAGAGUAGGUAAUAGCAGCAGAUAUACCUAGUGCCUAAAAUUAAAAAUAUGUCUAGCCUUAUUCAAAAGUAGCCACUAGAAAGUGCCUUAAAAAAAAAAAAAGAGUGUUUAGCUAGGUUGGCAAUUCCAGACAAAGUUCCUAAGUGUCUCCUAACUCAAUUUUUCCAAUCCUUCUAUGGACUACUAACGAAGAUCAAGUUGUUGAAUUUGUCAAGAGACUAAGGUAUAUAGUUGAAGUUGGAGUUGGAUGGAAUUGAAUCAACCAUAUUAUUUAAAUGUUGUUUUACUUAAAUAUUUUUUAAGGAGUUAGGAAGGUUUAGGAAGUUGUUUUUUUUUUACUAAAUGUUCAAAAUGCACUGUUCCAGGAUCGGUCCAGCUUUAGGUUGGAUCGAUCCAACUUACAUUUUUUUGAUGAAAUUUCAUCCGUUGGAUCAAGGGCUUCCUUCAAUUUAAAAACCCAAAACUUGCUUCUUGUGUUGUAUGUAGUAAGAGACAUAGCAACAACCAUCCCCUUUGGUUCUCUUCUUCUUUCCUAUUUUGGAGUGUUUGGUUGUCAAGAAAAUCCAACUUUCCUAUUGUUUUCAAUGGAUUUUCUUGAGGAAAAAAAUAGGUUGAUUCAUUCUUUCAUUCAUCUUUCAAUUUCUAAUCUAUUUAGGUUUGGCUAAAAACCCAUUUUUUUCUUGUGUGGAUUCAAUAAGAGAUCGAGAUCAAGCUUGGUGUGGACUCUAAGUGUGCUCCAAAAGAAGAAUGUGGGAAGUUGAAAGUGAAAGGUACUAGUGAAGUGGUCUAUGAAUGAUUGGUAAGCUUGAGUUAGGUAAAACUUUGUAUUCAACUUUUGCUUUUCAUAGUGGACGUUUUUUUAUCAAUUGUAGGCCUGUCGUUUUUUUUUUUUUUUUUAAUCUUUUCGGAAGUUUUCCACGUUAAAAUUUAGUGUCAUUGUCUCAUUGUCUCAUUCUACUCUUUGAUUUAUUUUCAGUUUUUGAUAUCAUUGGUUACUUGGGCAUAUAUGUUGAAUGGAAGAAAAAUGAGUUGAAAUAGGAGUGAUUAUCCAUUGGAUAUCUUGAAUAAUUUUUCUAUUCAUUUUGGUAAUGAUAUCUUGUAGUAAUUGGAAAUGAGUUAAGAAGAGAAUUGUUCUUAUGAAUUAAUUUUGAGAGUGUUGAAGCAUUUGCAUAUAAAUUACAUUUAUAAAUUGUUGGAAAAGUGUUGUUGCAUUCAUACUUGCUUGUGAAUUUUAUUCUUUGUUGAAAAGAAGUUCAUAGACAUUGAGAAAUUUUAAGGUUAGGUAAUUUUUGUUGGGAGAUUUUUUUAAGUUUGUUCAACAACACCUAUUCAAUCCCCUCUCCCCUCUAGGUGUAAUCCAUUAUUGAGAUUCACCUUUAAAAAAGUAUAGUACUAGUAAAAAAAAAAAAGAAAAUAAAGGAUAGUAGCAUGAACAUUUAAUCCUAAAGUGUCAAUAGAUGUAGAUAUAUUUUUAAAAUAAAAAUAAUAAUACCUUUAUAUAAGAUAUAAUAAUUUUUAGAGAUUUAUAUUAAAAAAAUAGUGAUUGUAAAAACUAUUUUAAAAAUUUUAAGGUAUAAAAAAUAUAAAUUAAAUUUAUUAUUUUUGUAUAAGACUCUGCUUUUAUAUAAAAUAUUUUUAUUUUAAAAAUAAAAAAUAAAAAAUGUAUUAGACAUUUAAUAAUUUUUUUAACCCUCUAAAUUAUAUGGGUUGUCUUUCCUCCUACUAUGUCUAAAAUAGAUACUCUAGUGUACUCUUUUGACUUUUUGACUCAAGAAUUUUGAAACUAAAGUUUCUAAAAUUAAGAUUCCAAGGAUUUGCUAAUAGUUGGCAAGGUAAUUGAUUUUGGGUUGAAAGGGUUUAGGGAUGAUGUUUGAAUUAAUGAGUCAAAGGUGUAAGUAUUAAUAAGAAUGUGUAUAAGUUCAAAAGUGUAGGUAGCAGUAGGGCCUGGGUAGAACAGAUUGGUGUUGAGAGUGAAAAGAAGUAGGCACUAAAAUGCACGGGAGCGCACACACUUGCUGAUGGCUGAUUUGGUUUUUUCUUUUUUUUCUAAUUUUUUAUUAUUUUGUUUAAUUGGAAGGAAGAAUGUGCAUGCACCAUCCACACAUGCCUCCAUUGUUUGGUUAAUUGUUUUGUUUUGUUCCUUCUCUUUUUUUUUUCUUUAUUUAAUUUAUCCUCUACUUUCUUUCUUGCCUUUGUCCUUUUUUUUUAACUCACUUUCUUAUGCAACCCAACAAAUUAAUUAGGCCGCACCUAUGCUAAGCUUUCAUCCCUUGGGUUGGCAUUCAUCCUAAGCUCAAGUUCAUUUGUUCAACCCUUAUCCCAUAUUCAAUCCAAACUGUAAUAUUCAAGCCUAUUUUUGAAUCUCUAGUUUGACCAAUGUUGGAAUCAUGUAAGCAAGGUAUCAUACAUGUUAAGAUGUGGGGAAAAAUGGUUAAAACUAUUUCUAACCUUUGUCGCUUUUUUUUUUCUAUCGUUUUUAACAUGUGUUUCCACGAAAUCGUACAAGCAGUAAAUAUUUUUGUUAAUUAAUUUCUUUCCUAUUAACUAACUAAUGUUUGUCAAAGACAUUAAUAACAUCAACUACUAACUAGGUCUAUGAGAUUGUUGUUUGGUAUUGAAAACAUACAUAUAAAUAUUUAAAAUUAUUAAGGGUAUUUAUAUCAAAAAAGAUUACUCUUUCAACAAAAACAUGAGGCGCAUUAAAUUCAUAAAUAUUUGGAUUAUUUUAUUUUUUAAUCAAUUAAUUUUAUUAUUAAUGUCAAUAAAAUAUGAAAUUUAGACCAUUAAACACCAAUAGUCUGUCUGCCCAUUGAUUCGACUCAUGGUAGCUUAGCUUUAAAGGCGUAUCAACAAAAUUUAUACCUUGAAUACUAUUACUAAAGUAGCCAAGCUACUAUAGCAUAGUGGUUCUAGGAUCGUUCACUAGGAAGGGUUUUCGCAAACACAAGUGAUAUUCAAAUUAGGAAAAUAGGUGAUUUUCUUAUGGAUGUUAGCUUUAAAAGAAGAUGUAAAUGUUUUAGAAAGAUUUAAACUAAUCUAAGCUAACAUUAAACACUAAAAUGAAAGGGUGUAAAAACAAGUUUCUCAAAGAUAGGAUAGCUAUGCUCUGGCUCUUAUGCAAAUUGGAAAUCUUAGGAUAGGCUCCUCGCGUUGGGGUUGCAACUAUGGUGAUGCUUGCUUCCCGAACCGGUAUGGAUUUAGCAAAUCAAGUUUUAAUCCUUGAAAAUGGCAAAACAGAUGGUAGUGAAUUUCAUCAAUGGUUAUUCACCUUAGACUUCCUUUGAAUGGCUCGUAAGAGAUAACUAAUGGUCUAAAGCCAAAAGCUUACCAAAUAUUGGCAACUCAAAGUCAUUCCAGGUGAUAAACUCACCUUUCAAUGGCCAUUGAAAUUGGUUCUAAUGGAUUAAUGCAAAACUCGGAAUUGAAAACCUCGCCUUCCAAUAGCUCGUAGGAGAUAACUAAUGGAUAGAAAUCCAAAAGCUUAUCAAGUAUUGGCCGUUGGAAGUUGUCAAAAGGAAAUAAAAACCAAACUUUGCAUUAAUGAACCAUUAAUGAAAAACGACUACCUUACCUUCCGGGUGCGAGAAAUUUCCAUGGGAUUGCAUCCAAGCCAUCACAUAACAUCCAUACUUUGAGAAACUAAAAGUUUUAGCCAAUCAUCCUUUGAGGAAAAACCCUCAGAGGCUGUUUGGCUACUAAGAAAAUAGAAACGGGAGAGCUCUGUAAAAAUUCUAUAUAUUGAUCGAUAUUCAAUUACAACGGAUGCAAGGGAAUAUAUAUAGAGAAGUUUUUCCAAUCCUUCCUAGCUAAGAAAUCUUAUGAUUGGUGUAUUACAAGGAGAAGAAUGGAAAUUUAUACAAAAAUAUCUAAAAGAAAAGAUCUUGUGUGGAGUCGGCAGAAACAGGGGAAAAUUCGCACGUUGGAGUUCCAAUUUCGCACCUUGGUUUGAGGUGUGCGAAAUUCCCACACUUUGGACUGAGGAAUUUCGCACCUUGCACAGUGGUGUGCGAAAUUGUCCCUCAGCUUGAUGCAGUUGUCUUCCGAAGGCCAUAUCUUCCUCAUUUCAGCUCCAAAUCAUACACGGUUUGAAGCGUUGAAUUCUUGACUUCCUGAGCUUUGAAAUGGUAUAUAGCAUGUAGAAAAUGGACUUCAGGAAGUGCUCCAAAAGUGUCAAAGAAGACUGCAGCUGCUGUCCUCUAUUUUCCUCUUUGCUUCUUUUUGCUUCUCUUUGCUUUUCUCCUUGCAUACUUUGAACGACUUUGGCAAAGGGCUAUGGAGCUCCAAAGCUUGGUUCUUCAUGAAUUUGAGCUUCCAAAAGCUUUGCCAUAACUUGUCCAAGUAGCUCCUCCAUCAUUUGGCAUGCUUGAAUUGAUUCAUAAGCUGAUAAAAACAUGUAAACUUGCCACAAAAUGGUUAAAACCAAUUACUAAGGACCUUAAUGAAUUAAUUGGGUUAAAUGAAUAUGAUUACUACUCAAAGGUGCUUAAAACCAUUAUAAUUAGGUCUACAAAAUAGCACUUUUUGGUAGUAAUCACACCCCCCAACCGACUCAUUGCUAGUCCCUUAGCAAUGGAGGAGAUAAAAACUAAGUAAACUAUAAUAAUUACAUAAAAGGGAUCAUGCAAGUCACUCCAAAAAAUGAUAUGAGUGGCAUGAUUGGAUCAAACUCUCACAUGGCAAGUCAAGGAUAUAAAACUCAAUCAUCAAUAAGAGUCAUCAAAUAACUUACCUAUCACAACAUGCAAAGAGCGGGCAUUAUGCAAAUUUGAGUAUCAAAAUAAUUUCCACUCCCAAAGGACCAACACUUAAUCUUCCACAAAAAUCUAUGUGUUAUUUAUUAGUUUCCGAAUAUAGUAUGUCAAACUAAUCUCUCCCCUCAACCUAGUUCUUUUCAAAGCUUAGCAAACUAAUCAACCUCCAAUAGGCUAAGAACGCACCUCUUUUCUUUCAUAAUUUUUUUCUUGUAGGAGUGCAAAGCUUAAAGGCAUUCUUUUCUAAAUUGUCCAUGUAACGGGGGUCCAUCGAUGACUCCCAACCAAUCAAGGUUUAGGGCAUCAAGCUUUAAGGAUUUUUCAACCACUAACUCCUCGGAUUUCACCCCGGACUUUUGAGAAUGAAUUUUAAUACCCAAGCACCUACAGUAUGUUAAACUCCACCUAUUCACCCAUGUAACGAGCAUUGAGGUCGGUGACUCCCAACCAAUUAAGGCUUAGGGCACCAGGUUUUAAAGAUUUUCACCAUAUACCCCUUAGACCUUGCUCGGGUUUCAAGGCAAGCAAACAUUUUUCUUUUUCUUUCUUUUUCCAAAGGCUCAUUGGCCUUUUUCAAGGUGUCCCAACACUAUUAAAAUGAGGUGAAAGGUACCAAGUCUAAAAUUUUCCUAAGUCAAGAGGGAAAUAGUUUUUCAUCUUAUAAUCGGAACCUAGUGUGCACGGUGUGUGAUAAGCUUAAAGUGGAAGAACUAAGCUUGAAUUCAAUAGAAGUUUCAACAAUUCAUCAACUUUAGUAAGCAUAAUACAAACUCUAAGACUAUGGCAAUAAGAUAAGAAUUUAAUUUUUCCCAUUUACUUUUGAGAAUUUUUCCUUAAUAACCAUGGAGAGUAGAAUAAAAACUUAAAAAAUUUUAAAAUUAAGCAAAAAGCAACUAAAUUAAAAUAACUUAGCAUUAAUAACAAAACUUCCUUCCUCAACUCUCCCCCCAACCAAGCUGAACAUUGUCCUCAAUGUUUCAAAAGUGAUUAAAAAAAUAGAGGGAGGAAGUGGUACCUCCUGAGUGGCAUGGAGUCUAAGUUAUGUAGGAGAAACCACAUGUUUCAAAGAAAACAUAAGAGUUAGUGAGUAGAGGAAAUAGAAAAAUGCCAAGUUUAAACAAAAAUGAUGUCUAUAUAUGAUGUAUCAUCAGUAAUACAUCCAAUCCCAGAAUAUAAGACAUCAAAACAUGGAUUUAUGUAUACUAAUAUAAUAAGUAAAUACAAAAAAUAAAGAGAUGAUCAAGUAAUAGAAGGGUCCUGUGGAGCUGAUGCAUUUGUGGUGGCCUUCUGAGUGGGUUGGAUCAGGACUUUGGCCUCUAUUCUGGUAUUCUCCUUGGAUGGCAUAGUCUCCUCUGUUGGGGCUCUCAGUUGGAGCUAUGGGCUUUGAUGGUUUUAGGAGGUAAGAAAUGGAAUGAGAGGCUUGGUGUGUGAUCCCAAGGUGCACGGGGCUGUUCUCUCCUCUAAUGCAUGUUCCUGAGGCUUGGAAAGGAUUUUUCGUGCGAAAUUCCCGCUUAGCUUUGUGUAGUCUGUCUUCAAACGGCUAUAACUUCUUCGUUUCAAAUCCAAAUCAUGUACCGUUUGAAGCACUGGAUUCCUGACUUCCCAAGCUUCAAAAUGAUAUAUGGUAUGAAUAAUUUGAGCUCCAGAAAGCACUCCAAAAACGUGUCCAACAGUAGCGAAAUGGGGUGCGGCUGCAACAUUUCCAUUCAGCUUUGCACAGUCGUCUUCAAACGGCCAUAACUUCUUCAUUUCAAAUCCAAAUCACUCACCGUUUGAAGCAUUGGAUUCCUGACUUCCCAAGCUUUAAAAUGAUAUAUGACAUGAAUAAUUUGAGCUCCAGGAAGUGCUUCAAAAACGUGUAUAACAGUAGCGAAAUUUGGUGCGGCUGCAGCAUUUCCGUUCAGCUUUGCAUAGUUGUCUUCAAAUGGCCAUAACUUCUUCGUUUCAAAUCCAAAUCAUGCACCGUUUGAAGCGCUGGAUUUCUGACUUCCCAAGCUUUAAAAUGACAUAUCAUAUGCAUAAUUUGAGCUCCAGGAAGUGCUUCAAAAAUGUAUCCAACAGGAGCAAAAUUUUCGCACCUUGGACUGGAAAUUUCGCACCUUGGAUUGAGGUGUGCGAAAAUGGCACCCUUUGGACUGAGGAAUUCGCACCUUGUUUCGCACGGUGCGAAAAUGGGCUUGAGGUGUGCGAAAUGGCACUCGUGUGCCAGGAGGUGGUUUCGCACGGUGCGAAAAUUUUCGCACCUUGAAUUGAGGUGUGCGAAAUUCCCGCUUAGCUCGGUCCAGUUUUCUUACAAUGACUAUAACUUUUUCAUUUCAACUCCGAUUUGGACACCGUUUGAAGCGUUGGACUCCUGACUUCCCGAGCUUCGAAACGGUAUAUAGUAUGUAUAAAAUAGACUCGAGGAAGUGCUCCAAAAUAUUUCCCGAAAGUGGCAAUAGAACCAAUGGCCAGAAUUCUCUCUUCUCUUCCUUUCCUUUCAUCAUUUUUGCAAUUCCUCCUACAAUGAUCAUCCAAAAACAUAUGUUAAAAAGAAAGCAUAGAAUUUAAAUGAAGCUGAUAGCAUGUACCCCAAAAAGAAGAUGAACUAUUUAGCUCAUCCUCACUCACACACCCACUUCAGGCUGAAUUCCCCCUGGAUCCCAAACAAAAUUGGCAUCCUUCCCAUUUGGUCCAAGGGAAUUCGUUUCUCUUCUCUUCCCUAGAGAAGUGGAUGCUUUAAAGGGUUCAAGUAACCCUUUAUCAUCUUGAACCUUAUGAUUUUCAAUGGAAGGUUGGUCCAUAGAGUUGUCAUAGCAAUCCCCCACCAAAGUGUCGAUCUUCAACACUUUCCUUGAUCUUUUUGCAUUGGUUCCUUGAAGGUUAUGGUGGGGUUGAGGAGGAAGCUUCCUUUUCCCCCUUGCUAUGUCGAGAUUGGUGAGCUUCUCAAUGGAGUCUUGAACUUUUUCUAUCCUUAGUGAUAGAUCAUUAUAAACCCCCUCCAUUCUUACAUUUAUUGAACUCUCCAUAUUAUUAAUCUUUUCAUUAAGCUGAGAGUUGAUCUUUUGUUGCUCACCUACAAAGUCCUCCAUGACUUUGCUUAUCUUCAAAAUGGCUUGCUCCAAUGAAGAUGUACUCAUUGAUGGUUGAGGUUGAGGUUGGGUUGCAAGGUUGGGAUGGUUUAUAUACUCAAAUGAAGUUGGCAUGGCUUGUGGUUGUGCUUCAGUAUGCACAUUCCUCAAUUCAAACUCUUCUAUCCUUCUAGCCAUAGAUGCUAGCUUUGCCUUCAUGCUCAUGUCUUCAUUCAAAGCAUACUUACUACCCCAUUGGCUUUGUUGAGCUUGCCUUUUCCCUAAUUCAAUCCGAUCCCUCAUGGAUAAGUAUGCAAAUUUGUCCUUCUCAUGAUCAUAAUGAGAGCUUUGAUCUUCAUGUGGAAUGUCCAUUUAUAAAAAAAAAAUGAUAUUCAACUAAGGCUCUUUUCUUCAACUUGUACCAGGGUUCCCUCUUGGUCUCGAAUCCAACAAGGAAUGCACAAAUUGAAAUUAAAACAAAAAUAAAAGAAAAGAAAAUAAAAAAAUUUAACUAAAUAAAAACUAAAAAAAAAAAAAAUUAUAAGAAAACUCACCAAACUUGUGAUGAAGAUCACAAGUUACCCUUAAUGGUUGCUUCACUGUGCUUGUGGCACCUUCCCCGGCAACAGCGCCAUUUGAUUCGACUCAUGAUUCGAUCCCCGGCAACGGCGCCAUUUGAUUCGACUCAUGGUAGCUUAGCUUUAAAGGCGUAUCAACAAAAUUUAUACCUUGAAUACUAUUACUAAAGUAGCCAAGCUACUAUAGCAUAGUGGUUCUAGGAUCGUUCACUAGGAAGGGUUUUCGCAAACACAAGUGAUAUUCAAAUUAGGAAAAUAGGUGAUUUUCUUAUGGAUGUUAGCUUUAAAAGAAGAUGUAAAUGUUUUAGAAAGAUUUAAACUAAUCUAAGCUAACAUUAAACACUAAAAUGAAAGGGUGUAAAAACAAGUUUCUCAAAGAUAGGAUAGCUAUGCUCUGGCUCUUAUGCAAAUUGGAAAUCUUAGGAUAGGCUCCUCGCGUUGGGAUUGCAACUAUGGUGAUGCUUGCUUCCCGAACCGGUAUGGAUUUAGCAAAUCAAGUUUUAAUCCUUGAAAAUGGCAAAACAGAUGGUAGUGAAUUUCAUCAAUGGUUAUUCACCUUAGACUUCCUUUGAAUGGCUCGUAAGAGAUAACUAAUGGUCUAAAGCCAAAAGCUUACCAAAUAUUGGCAACUCAAAGUCAUUCCAGGUGAUAAACUCACCUUUCAAUGGCCAUUGAAAUUGGUUCUAAUGGAUUAAUGCAAAACUCGGAAUUGAAAACCUCGCCUUCCAAUAGCUCGUAGGAGAUAACUAAUGGAUAGAAAUCCAAAAGCUUAUCAAGUAUUGGCCGUUGGAAGUUGUCAAAAGGAAAUAAAAACCAAACUUUGCAUUAAUGAACCAUUAAUGAAAAACGACUACCUUACCUUCCGGGUGCGAGAAAUUUCCAUGGGAUUGCAUCCAAGCCAUCACAUAACAUCCAUACUUUGAGAAACUAAAAGUUUUAGCCAAUCAUCCUUUGAGGAAAAACCCUCAGAGGCUGUUUGGCUACUAAGAAAAUAGAAACGGGAGAGCUCUGUAAAAAUUCUAUAUAUUGAUCGNNNNNNNNNNNNNNNNNNNNNNNNNNNNNNNNNNNNNNNNNNNNNNNNNNNNNNNNNNNNNNNNNNNNNNNNNNNNNNNNNNNNNNNNNNNNNNNNNNNNUAUGGAUUUAGCAAAUCAAGUUUAUCCUUGAAAAUGGCAAAACAGAUGGUAGUGAAUUCAUCAAUGGUUAUUCACUUUAGACUUCCUUGAAUGGCUCGUAAGAGAUAACUAAUGGUCUAAAGCCAAAAGCUUACCAAAUAUUGGCAACUCAAAGUCAUUCCAGGUGAUAAACUCACCUUUCAAUGGCCAUUGAAAUUGGUUCUAAUGGAUUAAUGCAAAACUCGGAAUUGAAAACCUCGCCUUCCAAUAGCUCGUAGGAGAUAACUAAUGGAUAGAAAUCCAAAAGCUUAUCAAGUAUUGGCCGUUGGAAGUUGUCAAAAGGAAAUAAAAACCAAACUUUGCAUUAAUGAACCAUUAAUGAAAAACGACUACCUUACCUUCCGGGUGCGAGAAAUUUCCAUGGGAUUGCAUCCAAGCCAUCACAUAACAUCCAUACUUUGAGAAACUAAAAGUUUUAGCCAAUCAUCCUUUGAGGAAAAACCCUCAGAGGCUGUUUGGCUACUAAGAAAAUAGAAACGGGAGAGCUCUGUAAAAAUUCUAUAUAUUGAUCGAUAUUCAAUUACAACGGAUGCAAGGGAAUAUAUAUAGAGAAGUUUUUCCAAUCCUUCCUAGCUAAGAAAUCUUAUGAUUGGUGUAUUACAAGGAGAAGAAUGGAAAUUUAUACAAAAAUAUCUAAAAGAAAAGAUCUUGUGUGGAGUCGGCAGAAACAGGGGAAAAUUCGCACGUUGGAGUUCCAAUUUCGCACCUUGGUUUGAGGUGUGCGAAAUUCCCACACUUUGGACUGAGGAAUUUCGCACCUUGCACAGUGGUGUGCGAAAUUGUCCCUCAGCUUGAUGCAGUUGUCUUCCGAAGGCCAUAUCUUCCUCAUUUCAGCUCCAAAUCAUACACGGUUUGAAGCGUUGAAUUCUUGACUUCCUGAGCUUUGAAAUGGUAUAUAGCAUGUAGAAAAUGGACUUCGGGAAGUGCUCCAAAAGUGUCAAAGAAGACUGCAGCUGCUGUCCUCUAUUUUCCUCUUUGCUUCUUUUUGCUUCUCUUUGCUUUUCUCCUUGCAUACUUUGAACGACUUUGGCAAAGGGCUAUGGAGCUCCAAAGCUUGGUUCUUCAUGAAUUUGAGCUUCCAAAAGCUUUGCCAUAACUUGUCCAAGUAGCUCCUCCAUCAUUUGGCAUGCUUGAAUUGAUUCAUAAGCUGAUAAAAACAUGUAAACUUGCCAUAAAAUGGUUAAAACCAAUUACUAAGGACCUUAAUGAAUUAAUUGGGUUAAAUGAAUAUGAUUACUACUCAAAGGUGCUUAAAACCAUUAUAAUUAGGUCUACAAAAUAGCACUUUUUGGUAGUAAUCACCCAUUAAACACCAAUCCAUCUUUUUAGUCAAUUGACUUGGCCCAUUCUAUAGUUGUGAUGUCCAUGUCCACCGUCUAACUCAUCUCCUAAAUUUUAUUGAAGUGAUGUUUGUGUCAAUAGUUAAAAUCACUCACCCACACCCCACUUGCAAGUUGCAAGGGAUUGACCCAUCACUACUCUUAUUUAUCCUUACUAAUAAAUGUUUUUUUUCCUUUGUUUUCCUUAUUCAUCCACCUCAAAAUCUCUUUCUAGAAGGUCUAAAAUAAAAACAAUGGAAACCAUUCUUCGAUAUAUAACUUAUAAAUGUUUUAUUUCAAUUAUUUUUCGUAUUUAUAUAAUUAUUUUUAUUUUUUUAAAUAACCCUUAAAAAAAUAAGUGAUAACAAGGCAACUAAAAUAGAUUUUUCAAAAACAUCAUAUUUUUGGAAUAAGUUUUUUAAAAAUUAUUUUCUAUUGGAAAAUUAGUAAUGAUGGUGUAAAAACUUGGUAAAUAAUUUUUUUGUUUUAAUAAUAAAAAAAAAAUUUAAAUAGUUUUCAAACAUAAUCCAACCAUUUAUGUUAUUUUUACCUUCUUUUUUUCAGGUUCAAAAUUUCGAGUUUUCUGUGGACAUAACAUAAAAAAUAAUUAUUUUUCAAACUACGACCCUUUUAAGUUUCAAAUAAAACCCGUCUUUUUUAAAAUAAGUUUACAAUAGGAAAUGAAUUUGUCUUUUAAAAUACAAAAUUUAAAACAAAAAAAAAAUAAUGAUGAAAAGUAUCAUAUUUUCAUAUUUAUUUUUUGAACAACGUCAUCUUAACAAUAUUAAAAAAAAAAAAAAAUCCUUAAAAUUUCCCCCUAAUGGCCCACGAUGUACUUCAUAGCUUCAAUUCCAAUAUCUCAAAUCAAUCUCAAUUGACUAUUGCCAUUAAAUCCUUAUUAAUUAUCUAUUAGAAUGCCCGGCCUUCCCUCAUUCAUUUUUUCACAAAGUUGGUCAACGUUCAUUUAUUUUUUUUUCAAAUAAAUCAUUUAUUUCUCUCAUAGCAAGGAAUAAUUUAAAUUAUUUAAGUCUUUAUGUAAUCGUGUAACAUUGCUAAAAAUUAGGAAAUAGACUAUUCAUGCACAUGAUCUCAAUAUCCCAUGUUCACCCUAAAUCGAUUAAAAAAAACCGUUUAAGUCAAGUCCUAUGUUGAUAUUCGUAAAUGAAAAAGAAUCUAAUAUAAUAUUAAACUUCAUAAAAAUUGGGAUAAAAUAUUUAACAAAUUUUGAUAUAAUAUUAAAUUAUCAAUAACAUUAAAAUUUAAAUGUUACGUGAUACAUCAUCACAUCCAUAUAAUAAAUCAAUUUAAGCUAAUGUUUUAUUUAAUUCUUAAUUUAUUGUUUUAUUUAGUGUCUCAAUAUGUUAAAUAAAUAAAUAAAUUGUGCCCUAAUAAUAAUAGAAUUUUUUUUAUUAAAUUUUUGGUUAAGAACUAAUAUUUUAUAUAAAUUUUAUUUAAAAAAAUCAAUAAAUCACAAGUGAGUUGUGAAACUUGUGAAUCGUAGACAACCAUUUUCGUGAUAUUAAAAAAUUAAAAAUAAAUAAAUAAAUAAAUAAACAAAGCCCCACUUGCAGUAGUGCCCGAAUGAAACAUGCGGGGUUGUAGGUACGAUACCAUGGAGGUCACAUGUAUGGGAACAUUCCACAAGUCUUCUAAAUUGUCAGGGAAAGGCGUCCCUCAUGGUGGUCUCCACAUCGGACGACCCAGAUAGACCGGUGCCUAAACUGAAGGCUGUCACACGUUUACGUGUUUGACCAAGUCUCGCGAGUCUACGCGCCAAUCACCAACCUUAAUUUUAAAGGUUCCUCCGCCCAAUCCUAUGAUGGUACCAUGCGGUCACCUUCACCUUUCCCUAUCCCACUCUCCAUUACACAGCGCGUGGUCACACUCUCCCAAAAAAGGUUCCCAUCCGAAAAAUUCAAACAAAUUUAAAGUACUAAAAAUGGGAAAAUAUUUAAAAUAUUUUUUAAAUAUUUAUUUUUUAUAUAAAAUAAUUAAAUAAAUGAAAUGAUUUUCUUUUUAAUCGUUUUAAAACAGUUUUAAAAAAUAAAAGUGAAAAUAAUUGAAAAAAAAUAUACAAUAAAUUUUGAAAAUAGAAUUACGUUGACAAUAUUCAAAAUGCAACUCACUAUAGGGCGCGUGAGCACAGGACUUGUAGAACACGUUUUAAGCAUUAUAAUAUUAUUUUUUAUUUUCCAUGGAAAAACACGUUCAAAUCCAAACAAUCGGAAUUGGAAUGCCAUGAAUUUCCACAAACCGUGUACUUGCAAGUUGGAAGAAGAUUCAUUUACAACCAAUUACAAUUUUAUUAUUAAUGGGCAGACAGACUUAAAAGUAGCCAUUGGAAAGUGCCUUAAAAGAAAUUAUAAUAUUAAUAAAAAAAAAGAAAAUAAAAGAUUUUAACGUGAACAUUUAAUCCUAAGUAUCAAUAGAUGUAGGUUCAAACAUAUUUUCUAUUUUUUAUUUUUAAAAUAAAAAUGAUAAUAACUUUUAUAUAAGAUAUAAUUUUUUUAAAUAAAUUAUAUUAAAAAAAUAGUGAUUUUAAAAACUAUUUAAAAAAAUUUAAGUAUAAAAAAUAUAAAAUAAUUUUUUUUUAAAUAGAUUAUGCUUGAAUGAGUCAAAUGUGUAAAGAUGAAUAAGAAUGUGGAUAAGUUCAAAAGAGCGGGUAGCUCUGAUCCAGCCGACCCGAAUGGGAAAUUGAGAAAAGAAAAACAUUCUUGGAAAGUGGUUCAGUUCCUUGGAAGUGGGUAUUUUGAGAACCCAACAAGUGUUCAUGUACUUUGAAUUUAUGUUCAAAUCACUUGCUUUGAGAUGGGGUUUUGAAUCGGAAAUGUCAAUGUUUCCGGUGUGAACAUGCAUACAGAAAUUAGUAUUACGUACAAAACAGGUUGAGGUAAAAAAAAAAUCAAAAUCAUGGAAAAUUCAAAGUCUGUUUAACCGGAUGUUUUAAAAAUAGUUUUUUAUUUUUUAAAAUAGAGAAUAAUUCUUACAUUAUCUAAAAAUGAUUUUUAAAAAUAAGGUAGAAUGAAGAACAAUUUUUAAAGAACACGUAAAAGUGUUUUCAUCCCUGGUAAAAAUCAAAAGAAAAAUAUAAAAAAUUUAAAAAAAAAUCUUGAAAAUAAAUAAAAUUGAAUAUAGUAUUAUUUUCUUUCUCUUUUUAAUAUUAAAAAAAAAUCUUAAAAUAUGAUUUUUUCUUUAAAUUACACAUACUUUUUAAAAUUUCAUUUUAACUUCUUUAAAAUUUUUCUUUGAGUAAAUUUUAAAUCAAAUUGUAUUAUUUAUUAUUAAACUUAAUUUCAAUGGUAAAAGAAACAAAUUCUUAGGAAUAAAAUUUAAUAUUAUAUUGAAUUAUUUAAGAGGAAUAUAUAGCGUAAGUCAUAUUAUAUUUUAACUUAAUUUUAAUUAUUAUUUGCCUACCGUGUUGCUUAUUUACAAUUAUAUUUAAUUUUUAUUUAUUUGUUUAGAAUAUUUAUUUGUUUUUCUAAAGCUUAUUUAAUGAUAGAAGAGUAUUCAUAUAUAUAUAAUUUUUGACAAAAAAAUUUAUUAUAAAAAUGGUUGAAAAACAAUUAUGAAGAAUUUAUAAAUUAUUUAGGAGUGAGAAAUCUUGAAAAAGUGCAAUAGAAAAAAAGAAAAUUCAUUUUGUGAUGUGGAAGUCUAAACAAUGAGAAGAUGUAUGAAAUUGGAAGAUUGGACAUAAUAAGUCAAUUGAUUAGUAGAACAAGAGAGAGUUUCAGACACCUAUAAUAGUGUCUAAAUGUAUAGUUUUAAACACUUUAAGUAUGCUCAGAAGUAUAGGCCGGACAUUUAUAAAACAUCCCCUCAUGCAACACAAACAAUAUUCAUAGUACCUCUUUCUUCCAACUCUAAAAGUACAAAAAGAAAUAUAAAAGAUAUCACAAAAUGCAUACCUUUGCACUUGUACCAUUAUUAGAGAUGAUUAUUUGUUUGUCCAAAGAAACAAAACUUUAUUGAUAAAUUCUAUUAGGAUUAUAGAGAGAUUAGAAGAAGAGAAGUGAAGAAAGAAGAUGGUGGUUUGAGAAUUUCAUCAAAGGGUGUUUUUAUCCUAAAAUAUGUAUUAUUUCGAUGGAUUUAAAGAUCAAUUUGGUGGAUGCAAAUAUAAGUUAUGGAAUUUUUUUACAAAAAAAAUAUCCAUCAAUAAAAAGAUUGAAAUACCCUUGCAAAUCAAUAUGCACCCACAUUCUUCCUUUCCUUUAUCAAAUUCUUUUCUUCCAAUCUCUCCACAACCUUAAUAAAUUAAAAUAAUUUUUUUAAAAAUAAAUGGUUUAAAUUUUUAAAUUUUGAAAAUUUAAAAUUUUAAAAAUACAUAAUUGUUGGCAGAUCGGAGGGUUGGCUUCAUCCAUCAACUCCUCUUGUGUUCGUCGUGGACAUUUGGGUUAAUGCACUAUAAGAUUAGGGUAUGCGUCUUUUUUAACAGCACUUGCUUUUAGGAAAGUUGAUAGCGUCUGAGGUUCUACAAUAAUUUUAUUCAAAUCCAAAACUUGUAAUAAAUUAAAAAUAAAAAUAAACCUUUUAAAAAACAAAUUUAAGCUUUUAAAUUAACUUUUGGUUUGACCUUUCAAGGUCAACACUCCCACAUCAUUCUUUUCUUUAGACUUUUUUUUCCCACUUUUUCAUAUGUUUCUCAUGUCUAAUUAUGUCUAAAUUAAUUCUAAAUACUUUCUAAUUAUUUUACAAAAAAAAAUUAUAAAAAAAUAUAUAAGUAAUAAAAUCUAAAAAUUUUCAUGUAGAACAAACUUAAUAUUAUUGUAUGGAUUUUAUAAAAAUAUAUUGAAAUUAACUUUCAACUUAUAGCAAACAACUUUUUAUGAUAAAGAAGCUUAGGUUUGGAGAGGAUAAAAAAAAGGGAAAAGGAUAAUUCAAAAAUAAUUAAAUGGAUUAAUAGGAUUUAUAUUUUGAGGUGGAUAGGUAAGUAUAGUGGAUAUGCAGAUAGUUUUAUUAGAUGUUUGGUGCCCCUGUUUUUAAGUAUUUUGGCCUACAACCCUAAAACCCAAAGUAAUUCUCACCAAAAAAAAAAAAAAAAAAAUUUUUUUUUUUUUUAAUCUUCAACUCUACAAACUCUCAUUUUGAACAUGCACUUUUUAAUUAAUUAAUUUUUUCUACUUUAGAACUCACUCAUCUUCCUAAAUACAAAAACUAAUUAUAAAAUAAAAACUAAUUCAACAAUUUAACUUCAACAUCUUUUUUUUUAAUAAUUCCUUUUCAUAUAAUAUUCCUUACUAACAAAAACUAAUUAUAAUUAAAUGACUUUAAUUUGAUAUAUAUAUAUAUAUAUAUAUAUAUAUAUAUAUAUCAAUAUUAAGAUGUAAAAUCCUAUAAACUUACACUUUAACCACUUGAGCCCAACAAGUGUUUGAUUUAAAAAUUUAUAGUUAUUAAAGAUGUUAAACUCCUUUAAAAAGUAUCAAAUGGUAAUAAAUAAAAAUUAGAGAAAAACCAUUCAAAUGAAGAGAUUUCAUCUAUAAUACGAAGUAAAAUCUAAAAAAGAAAUGUGAAGAAAAAAAUUAUCAUUGACUCUUAACUCUUGCUAAACCAAUCCCACUACCAUCCAAUACUAAAUUGUCUAACAAAUGAGAAUUGAAAGCAUAAAAGAGAAUCAUUGACUAUUGACUCUACCAUCCAAUGUUGAAUUGUCUAACAAAUGAGACAAAUGAGAAUUGAAAGCAUAAAAGAGAAUCAUUGACUAUUGACUCUACCAUCCAAUGUUGAAUUGUCUAACAAAUGAGAAUUGAAAGCAUAAAAGAGAAUCAUUGACUAUUGACUCUACCAUCCAAUGCUGAAUCGUCUAACAAAUGGAAAUUGAAAGCAUAGCAGAGAAUCAUUGACUCUACUUACCCCAUUUUCCUAGAAGUGUUGCCCCUCCCUUCAUUUCAUGAAGUUUCUUAGAAGUUUCAAACUUCUUUACCAUAUAAAGUAUAAAAAAAAUCAUUCUUAUAGCCAUUCACAUGUGUUUCAAGAAAAAUGAAGUUAUUUUGCCCCCAAGAACUACAGAAAUAAAAUCAUGUUAAGAAUUUUAAAUUAUAAUAUUUAUCUAUAAUAAGAUUUAUUUAUAAUUUUUUUUUAAAAAAAUCAUCAUCUAGUUGUUUAACUUAUUUUUUAUUCUUACUUUUUUGUAUUUAUAUUUUAAUUUUAGUUUUAUGUUUAUUUUUAAUAUCUAUUUUUCACUUCUCGGUCAAUUUUUUUUUAUUUGCUUUAAUUUUUUAUUAUUAUUUCUUGUUGAUAUCCUCUUAUAUAUAUAUUAGAAAAAUAUAUAUAAAAGAUAAUAAUAAAAUGAGACACCAUGAAUAAAGUGAAGGAAAAAAAUAAAAAAUAAAAUAAAAUCAAAAUAUUCGUGGAGAAGUAAGGUGCUCUUAGCCUAAUGUGUAAUGAUGAUGAUGGAUGACCCACCAAACCAGAAGAAAAGCAAAAGGUGAGAAAAGAAUCAAUAAAGAGAAACAACUACCCUUAACUUUUUUCAUCACUUUCCCGAAGGUUACUGGAAGUCGCCUUCCUUCCUUCCCAAUUCACAGAGCCCCUAAGUUCCUAACUUUUCUCGUCACUUUCCGGAAGGUCACAACAAGCCACUGCCACUUGCCUUCCCAACUCUUUAUAUACAGAUAAAUGAUAAUAUUUAUCAAUAAUAAGAUUUAUCUAUAAAAUGUUAGAAAAUAAAUAUAUCAAUCCAGUGAAUUUUAUUUUUACUUUUUUUUUAUAUUAUAUAUUUAUCCUUUUAUUUUUUAUUUUUAGUCUUUAUAUUUAUUUUUCACUUCUCGGUCAAAAUUUUUAUUUUCUAUUUAUUUUAAAUUUUAUUUUUAUUUCUUUUUUAAGUACUUAUAUAUAAUAAUAAAUAAAUAAAUAAAUAAAUAAAUAAAAUAGGAGACCAUGAAUAAAGUGAAGAAAAAAUAAAAUUAAAAACUUGGUGGAGAAGUAAAGUGCACGGGUUUGAAGGAUGAAUGUGAAUAGGAGAAAAAGAGAACAAGAGAAAAGCAAAAGGUAAAAGUGUGAGAAAAGAAUCCAUAUUCUGAAAAUGAAAGGAUGAGAUAAAAAUAAAAUAUAUAAAAGAUAAUAGUGAAAUACGAGAGCAUGAUUAUGGCGAAGAAGAAAAAAAUGUUAAAUAAAAUAAAAAAUUUGGUGGUAUCCCAUUUGAAAAUAGAAGGAAACGAAGGUGAUAAGAAAAAAAGAAAAGUGAGAAAAAAAUCUCUAAGUCAAUAGAGAGAGAAAGUUGUCCCUAAUUUUCCUCAUCACUUUUCGGAAUGUCACGGGAAGCUACCGUCUACCUAGCUUUUUAUAUUGUAAUAUUUUUAUUUAUAUUAUAACCACUGUUUUCUUAUACUUAUAGGAUGUCUUAUAAAGUUUUUUUUUUAAAUUUAUUUAUUUUAUUUAUUGGAUUGAUUUUCGUGUGAAAAUUUAUUUUAUUUAAUAAUAAUAAUAAUUUUACUGAUUUUUUUUAAAAAUAUUUGAUAUCUCUUAAAUCAUUCAUAAAAUGAAUUAAUUUUUUAAUAAAAGUAAUUUUAAUUUAGAUUUAAAUUAUUUCUCAAUUAUAUUUAGAUAUAUGCAUAUAAAAAAUAUUAUUUUCUAAUAUUUAAUAUUUAAAAUUUUAUUUUAAUAAUAAUCUCUUUAAAAUAUUAUCACGAUUUAUAUUAGAAUUAAUGGUUUACAUUUUUAUUCUUCUUCCAAAAAUAAAAUUAUAAUGGACUACUUCACGUUAAUAAAAUCAUUUUUUUAUUCUAAUUUAUUAUAAAUUAUAAUAUUAUCAAUAAUAAGAUUUAUCUAUAAAAUAAAUAUAUCAAUCCACUCGUCUUUCUUUUAAUAAAUUUUCAUUUCAUAUUGUGGGUCGACACGUAUCAUUUCUGUUUACUUUAAUUUUUUAUUAAUAUUUUUUAUGUGCUUAAAGAAAAAAUAAAAUAUUAAAUAAAAUAAAAAACUUGGUGGGGAAGUAAAGUAAAGGAGCGUAAUGAUGACGAUUGUAUGGCCCGAGAGAGAGAGAGAGUGGGCCGGCUGAAAAAAUAAAAUAUUAAAUAAAAUAAAAAACUUGGUGGGGAAGUAAAGUAGAGGAGCGUAAUGAUGACGAUUGUAUGGCCCGAGAGAGAGAGAGUGGGCCAGCUGAAAAAAUAAAAUAUUAAAUAAAAUAAAAAACUUGGUGGGGAAGUAAAGUAGAGGAGCGUAAUGAUGACGAUUGUAUGGCCCAAGAGAGAGAGUGGGCCAGCUGAAAAAAUAAAAUAUUAAAUAAAAUAAAAAGCUUGGUGGGGAAGUAAAGUAGAGGAGCGUAAUGCUGACGAUUGUAUGGCCCGAGAGAGAUAGUGGGCCAGCUGAAAAAAUAAAAUAUUAAAUAAAAUAAAAAACUUGGUGGGGAAGUAAAGUAGAGGAGCGUAAUGAUGACGAUUGUAUGGCCCGAGAGAGAGAGUGGGCCAGCUGAAAAAAUAAAAUAUUAAAUAAAAUAAAAAACUUGGUGGGGAAGUAAAGUAGAGGAGCGUAAUGCUGACGAUUGUAUGGCCCGAGAGAGAGAGAGAGAGAGAGUGGGUCAGCUGAAAAAAUAAAAUAUUAAAUAAAAUAAAAAACUUGGUGGGGAAGUAAAGUAGAGGAGCGUAAUGAUGACGAUUGAAUCGGCCGAGAGAGAGAGAGUGGGUCAGCUGCUUUAAUUCAAGAUUGAAUGACCCGAGAGACACAGAGCUGUCCCUAACUUUCCUCUUCACUUCCUGGAAGGCGCCUUGCCUUCCCAACUUCUUAGUUGCACAAUCUCCUCAUUUACUCACUAUCCUGAAGAGAAAUCAACCCCUCUAAACUGUCUUUGUACUUUUGAGAUAGAAACCCACAAUGGCUUCCACAAGCUCCUUCAGAGCCUCUUCUUCUUCUUCUACUCCUUCCAUCCCUCGAACAAGUACUUAUGAUGUUUUCUUGAGUUUUAGAGGCGCAGACACCCGCUCUAAUUUCACUGAUCACCUCUACAGUGCUUUGGGUAGGAGAGGGAUUCGCACCUUCAGAGACGAUAAACUCAGGGAAGGAGAAGCGAUUGGUCCAGAACUCUUGACAGCCAUCGAAGAAUCAAGGUCUUCCGUAAUUGUUUUCUCUGAAAACUAUGCUCAUUCGACAUGGUGUUUGGAUGAGUUGGUAAAGAUCAUGGAGCGCCACAAAGAUCGGGGACAUGCUGUUUUCCCAAUUUUCUAUCACGUGGAUCCAUCCCAUGUACGAAGGAAAACAGAAAGUUUUGGAAAGGCCUUUGCCGGUUAUGAAGGAAACUGGAAGGACAAGAUACCACGGUGGAAGACGGCCUUGACGGAAGCAGCCAAUCUUUCUGGAUGGCAUCAACGGGAUGGGUAACUAUAAUUUCCUUUCAACUAUUUAAAUGAGUAGUUUUGCAUUUAUAGAGUGAUGAUGUGGAUUGAAACAUUUAUAAAAAUACAAAAGCUCAAAUUUUUUAUUUGGAGGUCUACUCCUUAAGCACAAACUUAUCCUCAAAAUGCUUUUAGAUUAAGGUGGUGCAUGUUUUUUUGGCUGAAUAGAAAAAGUCAAAUAUUUUGACUUUUUCUAUUCAGCUAAAAAGUAAUCUAUUAACAUCAUCCAAUAUAAUUAAAUUAAACUAAUGGAUAACAAGUUCAUUUUAGUAAACAUGUUACUUUUAGCUUAAUAGAAAAAAUAAAAAUAUUUAGCUUUUUCUAUUCAGCAAAAAAAAACAAAACAAACAGCACUUCGAGUCUUUUAUGUGUAAAUGUGUUUGAUAUUCUUUUAUACGGAAUGUUCUUAGAACAAGUGUUUUUUAGAAAAUCAGCUAUCUUUUCCACGAAUUUAUUUUUUCUUCAAAAACACUUUUAGAUUAUAAGUACUUUUUAAAAGUAUUUUUAGAGUGCUUUGAGCAGGCAAUUCUAUUUAAAUGCUUUUAGUGAAAGUUUUUUUAAUAAAUAUUUUUGGGAGUAUAUCUCAAAGAAUUAUUAGAAGUGAUUUUUUUUUUACUUUUAAUAAGUAAUUCUAAAUUUUUUAUCAAACGUCUUAAUAUUUUUUCAUAAAGACACUUUUUAUACUUCCCAAACAAACUGUAACUUGAGGUUGUUAACAAGGGGCAUAUAUUUGUGUGCUCAAAAUUUAAAAAUAAAAUAAAAUAAAAUAUUGCUUUUUAGGGCUUUAUUUAUAAGUUGGGUUUAUUCAAGUGUAUCAUUUGGGCAGCCGACUAUGUGUCAUGAAUAAGGAGAAAAUAGGAAAUUGGAGUAUUGAUUUGACCAUUGAAGCAGCCAAUUUAUAUGGAUGACAUCGAUAUUAAUUUAAUGAGCAUGCAAUUUAAGUUUCUUUCACUUUUCAUUCAUUAGUGGGUUUUGUUUAGGAAUUAAAUUAUUAUUAUUAUUGUUAUUUAUUACUAAUAUUAGUGUUUUUUGUUGUUGUUAAUAGUAGUUGCAAUGACAGUAGUAUAAAAAGAAUAGUAGAAUAACAAUUAUAUUGAGUUAGGAUUCAUGAUUAAUGGUAGAAUGAACUUAUUAAAACCCAAUUAAUGAGUUUUACUAUUUUAGAUCAAUUUAUGAGAAUCUAUAUCUAAAAUAAUUUAAUCAAAAUUUAUUACUAUUUUUUCAAUUUUCAAGAUUCAAUUCGCAUUAAUGUUACAAAAAUUAAUCAAUUUAUUUGAAAUUUUGUGUGAAUAAUUAUAUAACAAGUAACAAUAAAAUUAAUGACUAUUACUAUCUAUUAACGAGCUUCAAAAAUUUCAAUUAACCAACCUCUUGUGUAUCAAUAGAACAACUUAAUCAAAUUCUAAAAAUAAUUUGAUUAAUUAUGUAACAAGUAAGAAGUAACAAUAACAAAAUUAUUUAACCAAUUUUAUUUGAGGACAAGUUGAUCAAGUAGUUUGAUUAAUUAUGUACCAACUACCAAUAACAAAAUUAUGUGACGUAAAUUGUUUAGUAGGAAUUCAACUUCCCAGAGAGUUUGUGUGUGUAUAUAUAUAGACAAUAAAGAACAUAGGUUAGGAAGUUAAUUCUUUAUAGAUGAUGCGAAAGGAAAUCAACUCAAAAUAAAAUACAAAUGAAUAACUUGUUUACAAGCCUUUAAUUUUUAAUUUUUAUCAUACAAAUGAAUAAUAAGGAGAUGAUGUUGUGGGAUAAAUAAGUUUUGAAGCUUGAGGAAUUGAACAUGGGGUUUUUAAACUAAAACUUCUUAUAUUAAGGGGUUGAGGCUUCAUGCAUUACAAGAUAUAAAACGAAUGUCAAAGAAUAAAAUAUUUGCUCCUACAAGGUUUCUAAUUGCCAUGGGUUGUUAAAGAGUUUUUGAAAAGUGCAUGAAUGAUAAAGUAAUGUUUCGAUUCAUAAUCAUUGUCCUCUAUCAUGGCACAAAAUUUCCAUUUGAAUCUAAUGCCACACAAGCAGCACAACUAACAAAAUUCAAAAUCCAUGUUUUAGUUUUGUUCUCAUGCAUACUUGAUACAAUGAAAAAGGUCCUAAAAAUGUAAAUGAACUAAUAUCUUUGAUAUAUUCUAUUCUACUUUAAUUUAUUUUUCGUAAAGAUGUCAAAUUUAAUGUGUUUUAUUUACAAUUGUGGCUCAUUGCUUAACAUGUUAUUCUUUUAUAAUUGGCAGGUCUGAGUCCAAUAAAAUUAAAGAAAUAACUGAUAUCAUAUUCCAUCGAUUGAAAUGUAAGAGGCUUGAUGUUGGUGCCAAUUUAGUUGGUAUAGAUUCCCAUGUAAAAGAGAUGAUUUUGCGGUUGCAUAUGGAAUCAAGUGAUGUUCGUAUUGUUGGGAUAUACGGAGUUGGGGGGAUGGGUAAGACUACCAUCGCAAAAGUUAUAUAUAAUGAACUUUCUUGUGAAUUUGAAUGUAUGAGCUUUCUUGAAAAUAUUAGGGAGGUUUCCAAUCCCCAAGUUUUAUAUCACUUACAAAAUCAACUUCUUGGUGAUAUCCUAGAGGGAGAGGGGAGUCAAAAUAUAAAUAGUGUUGCCCACAAAGCAAGUAUGAUAAAGGACAUUCUCUCAUCUAAAAAAGUUUUUAUGGUUCUUGAUGAUGUUGAUGAUCCAAGUCAAUUAGAAAAUUUACUUGGACAUCGUGAAUGGCUUGGAGAAGGAAGUAAAGUCAUCAUAACAACUAGAGAUAAACAUGUGUUAGCUGUACAAGAAGUGGAUGUCUUAUAUGAGGUUAAGGGAUUGAAUUUUAAAGAAGCUCAUGAACUUUUCAGUUUGUAUGCCUUUAAACAAAAUCUUCCCCAAUCAAACUAUAGAGACCUCUCACAUCGUGUUGUAGGCUAUUGUCAAGGGCUUCCAUUAGCUCUAAAAGUUCUAGGUUCUCUCUUAUUCAAGAAGACAAUACCUCAAUGGGAAAGUGAAUUGGAUAAAUUGGACAAAGAACCUGAGAUGAAAAUUCACAAUGUGCUUAAACGAAGCUAUGAUGGAUUAGAUCGUACAGAAAAAAAAAUAUUUCUUGAUGUUGCAUGUUUUUUUAAAGGUGAAGAAGAUAGGGAUUUUGUGUCAAGAAUAUUGGAUGGUUGUCAUUUCCAUGCGGAAAGAGGAAUAAGAAAUCUAAAUGAUCGGUGUCUUAUAACUCUUCCAUACAACCAAAUACAUAUGCAUGAUUUGAUACGACAGACGGGUUGGGAAAUUGUUCGUGAAAAAUUUCCUAAUGAGCCAAACAAAUGGAGCAGAUUGUGGGAUACCCAGGAUAUUCAACGGGCACUUAGAACAUAUGAGGUAAGAGCCAGGUGCAUAAAUUCACUUAAAGCUCUAGUUGAAGAUAUAAACUUCAAUAAUAAUACCAUUCUUGUAUAAGCACUUACAUAUCCAUAUAAGUUUAGUUAAUUUGUAUUUAUGUUUGCCUUAUCCUUGUUAUUUUUCAGGGAAUAGAAGGAGUUGAAACAAUAGACUUGAACUUGUCUGAUUUUGAAAGAGUAUGCUUCAAUUCAAAUGUUUUCUCAAAGAUGACUAAUCUUCGAUUGCUCAGAGUUCAUUCAGAUGACUAUUUCGAUCCUUAUUCUCAUGAUGAUAUGGAGGAGGAGGAGGACGAGGAGGACGAGGAGGAGGAGGAGGAGAAGGAGAAGGUAGAUCGUUAUUGUGAAGAAAUGAUUGAUUCUGUAAUGAAAACUGCUUCUAAAAUGCACCUUGACCCGGAUUUUGAAAUCCCUUCUUUUGAGUUAAGUUAUCUUUGUUGGGAUGGGUAUCCUUUAGGUUUUUUAUCAUCAAAUUUUAAUGGAAAGAACCUUGUUGAACUUCACUUGAAGUGUAGCAACAUAAAACAACUAUGGCAAGGGAAGAAGGUAUUAUUAUCAUUUAAUAAUGACUUUUUUUCCUUUAUAUUGAUUUUAAAAUUUCUAAUAGUUAUUUCUUUUAUUGAAAUUAUUUUCUUUUGGUACAGGAUCUUCAAAGUUUAAAGGUCAUUGAUCUAAGUCACUCAAACAAGCUCGUUCAAAUGCCAGAAUUCUCAAGCAUGCCAAAUUUGGAAGAACUAAUUCUUAAAGGUUGUGUAAGCUUGAUCAAUAUUGACCCAUCUGUUGGAGAUCUCAAGAAGCUUACUACCUUAGAUUUAAGGGGGUGUGUUAAGCUUAAGGGUUUACCAAGUAGCAUUAGCAACUUGGAAGCUCUUGAAUGUCUUGAUCUUACUAGGUGCUCAAGCUUUGACAAGUUUGCAGAAAUUCAAGGAAUUCAAGGAAAUAUGAGUAGUUUAACGCAUCUAUAUUUGCGCAAGACUGCUAUUAGAGAACUUCCAAGUAGCAUUGACUUAGAAUCUGUUGAGAUUCUUGAUCUCUCUGAUUGUUCUAAGUUUGAGAAAUUUCCAGAGAACGGAGCAAACAUGAAAAGUUUAAAUGAUCUUCGUUUAGAGAAUACUGCUAUUAAAGAACUCCCAACAGGUAUUGCCAACUGGGAAUCUCUUGAGAUUCUUGAUCUCUCUUAUUGCUCAAAGUUUGAGAAAUUUCCAGAGAAGGGAGGGAACAUGAAAAGUUUAAAGAAGCUUCGUUUUAAUGGUACUUCUAUUAAGGAUCUGCCUGAUAGCAUUGGAGACUUGGAAUCUCUUGAGAUUCUUGAUCUCUCUUAUUGCUCAAAGUUUGAGAAAUUUCCAGAGAAGGGAGGGAACAUGAAAAGUUUAAAGAAGCUUCGUUUUAAUGGUACUUCUAUUAAGGAUCUGCCUGAUAGCAUUGGAGACUUGGAAUCUCUUGAGAUUCUUGAUCUCUCUUAUUGCUCAAAGUUUGAGAAAUUUCCGGAGAAGGGAGGGAACAUGAAAAGUUUAAAGAAGCUUCAUUUAAAAAAUACUGCUAUUAAGGAUCUGCCGGAUAGCAUUGGAGACUUGGAAUCUCUUGAGAUUCUUGAUCUCUCUAAGUGCUUAAAGUUUGAGAAAUUUCCGGAGAAGGGAGGGAACAUGAAAAGUUUAAAGAAGCUUUCUUUAAUAAAUACUGCUAUUAAGGAUCUGCCGGAUAGCGUUGGAGACUUAGAAUCUCUUGAGAUUCUUCAUCUCUCUGAGUGCUCAAAGUUUGAGAAAUUUCCGGAGAAGGGAGGGAACAUGAAAAGUUUAAAGGAGCUUUAUUUAAGAAAUACUGCUAUUAAGGAUCUGCCUGAUAGCAUUGGAGACUUGGAAUCUCUUGAGUCUCUUGAUCUCUCUGAUUGCUCAAAGUUUGAGAAAUUUCCGGAGAAGGGAGGGAACAUGAAAAAAUUAAAGCAGUUUCUUUAAUAAAUACUGCUAUUAAGGAUCUGCCAGAUAGCAUUGGAGACUUGGAAUCUCUUGAGUCUCUUGAUCUCUCUGAGUGCUCAAAGUUUGAGAAGUUUCCGGAGAAGGGAGGGAACAUGAAAAGUUUAAAGGAGCUUUAUUUAAUAAAUACUGCUAUUAAGGAUCUGCCGGAUAGCAUUGGAGGCUUGGAAUCUCUUAAGAUUCUUAAUUUAAAAAAUACUGCUAUUAAGGAUCUUCCCAACAUUUCUAGGUUGAAAUUUCUUAAAAGACUCAUCCUCUGUGACCGCUCAGACAUGUGGGAAGGAUUAAUAAGCAAUCAGCUUUGCAAUCUGCAAAAACCUAAUAUCAGUCAAUGCGAAAUGGCUCGACAGAUUCCGGUGCUUCCUUCAAGUCUAGAAGAAAUAGACGCACACCAUUGCACAAGCAAGGAAGAUUUAUCAGGUCUGCUCUGGCUUUGCCACCGCAACUGGUUGAAAUCUACAGCAGAGGUAAUGUAAUAAUUUUUUUUAUUUAAUUAUGCCACUUAAACCUUUUUUAUAUAAAGCCAAUAUUUACAUAAUAAUUUGUGCAGGAGUUGAAAAGUUGGAAACUCAGUGCUCGUAUUCCAGAAAGUAGUGGAAUUCAAGAGUGGAGGAUAAGGUAUCAAAACUUGGGAAGUGAAGUAACAGCAAAGCUUCCAAUGAAUUGGUAUGAAGAUCCUGACUUCCUAGGAUUUUUUGUAUCAUGUGUUUAUCAGCCUAGUCAUAAAUCUACUCUCAAGUGUGAAUUGAAUUUACAUGGCAAUGGAUUUGAAUUCAAGGACAGAACCUGGUGUGACUGCUGGUGUGGGUCCCAUGGUAAUUUUAAAGAAUUGAUAGAUCAAGUAUGGGUUUGGUGGUAUCCUAAGAUUGCUAUUCCGAAAGAGCUCCGUAAAUCCACACAUAUUAAUGCUUCAUUUAAGAAUCCUGGGAUAAACAUAAAAAAAUGCGGCAUCAAUCUUAUAUUUGCGGGAGAUCAACGAAAUCAUAUGCCCAUGUUGGAGCAUCCUCAGAAUUCUGGUGACAAUGGAUCAGCAUCACAAGAUACCGAUGGUAAUGUUCAUGGGGCUAAUCAAGAUGAUGAACACUACCAUAUUCCAGCGAUGUUAGAUCUUCUCAGGAAUUUUGGUGACAAUGGAUCAGUAGUACUUGAAGACAAUGAUGGAAACCGUAAGAGAAGACGUGAUGAUUCGUUACCCGAUGUAGUGGAGGAGCCACAUUAUAAAAGAUUGGGAGCACCCAACAUCGAUCUCUCGCUUUGAACUCCAUCACUAGGUGCAUUAUCAACCCUUCUUCAAUAUUCUAACUUCUCUCCUUUUUAAAUUAUUUUUGAAGUCAAUAAACUAUUUUUAUAUGUAUCUUCAAACUUAUUUCAUUAAUUUUCCUCCAUUAUAUAAAAAUUAAAUAAUUUAAAAAUAUAUAAAUCUCUAAUCAAUUUUAAUUAUAUUUUAUUUUCUUUCAUAUUUUCUAUAGAAAAACCAAGUAUAACAAAUAAUUUUUUUUAGUGUUUUUUUUUAUUUCCUAAGUACUCUCUAAGAUUCAAACAUAUUUAUAGUGAUUGAUAUCAUGACUAUGCAUGUACUACAUUUCAUAGAAUUUCUUCAUUUUCAAAAAAUAUGAAAAAUAACUUUAACUAACUUUAAAAGUCAUCAUUAGUUUAAAAACAUGUAUAGUUUUUUUUAUUUUUUAACAUAUAGCAUAUAUAUGGUAGUGAAUUGCUUCUUUUUUUUUUCCAUUAUUUAUUUAUUUAAUUAGUUAAAUAAAAACCUCUACAAAGUGAUUAUGAAGCUCUAGGGAUUCUUCAUUACCUUAUUAGACAUUAAUUAAUUAAUUAAUUAAUUUUUUCAACUUGCUUUAAGAUAAAAUUUGAAUAAGUUAUCAAAGUUAGUUAGAGAAGAUCAUGUACACAAAUUAGAAGUCAAAUUUGAAUGUAUUAUGUGGUAGAUAUAUGGAGAAACAUACUUGAUGGAAGUAAAUAAUAAAACUCCCAUAUAUUGAUUUUAAUAGUUUUAAGAGUCAAAUUGUUUAUGGUUUUUGUAUUUAAGAAUUAAAUUUCUUUAAGCAUGCUAAAACAUGUUUAAACAUGCAUACUUAGUCAUUUCCUGAGAUGGAAGUUUUGGAUUAAUCUUAUAUUUACUUAUGAUUUUGAUAUGCUCACGAAGUUUACCUAACUAUUAAUUAUACUAAUCUUAAGUGAAAUUUGUGAUAGUAUCGAUCAAAACGAAAUCACAUGUGGUAGCUGCAAGUGGAGUUUAUCUUUUUUCCUAUCAACUUAUUGGUAAGUCAUUUUAUUCAUUUAUCCUUUUAGUAUGUGUAGAAAAUUGAUUAUAGUUCUUCAAUUUCUUUACUAUUUUCUCUUUCCCUUGAUCCCUAUUUUGUUCUAUUAUGUUUGGUUUUUGAAAAACUUGAGGGUAAAUAUAAAGAAAAGAAAAUUGAGAAAAAAAAAAAGGAAAUACAAAGUGAAAAAGAAUAAAAACUAGAUUUAAAGUUAAUCAAUUAUUUUCAUAUGUUUGUUCAAUCUUAUUUCAUUUAUUAUGCUUCAUUAUAUAAAAAUUAAAUAAUUUUAAAAUGUAUAUAACUCUAACUAAUUUUAAUUAUAUUUAAUUUUUUUUCCAUAUUUUUCACAAUGAAACCAAACAUUUAUCAUUUUCCUUGACAAUUUUUAUUGUUUCCUUGGUGCUCGAUGGGAUCCAAACAUAAGUUGAAAACCAUCAGGGUAGCCUAGUUGGUCAAGGCGAAUAUUGAGAAGUGUGGUCCUAGUAAGUGGUACAUGGUUAUGGGUUUGAAUCCUGUCACCACUGAUACCUUGAAUUUGCCUAGUGCUAGUUGUUGCGGGUGAUUAACACUUUGAGGUUUGGGUCCCCAUAGAGAGUUCGAAGGGUUUGGUCAUGGAAGGUUCCUUGAUUAUUGAGAAAAAAAAAAACAUAAGUUUUAUGUUUCAGGAGAUUUAAAAAAAAAAAAAAGGUUGUAGCACAAUCCAUAAUUAACUAGGAUAUAUAUUUGUUCUCAUGUGCUUGGUAUAAGGCACUAAGUAUCAUUAUAUUAAAUUAAAUCCUCGAUCUACUUCAUAAGAGUUAGUUAUAAAUUCCUUGCUAUUGAUAUAGGUAAACAAGAAUUUAUAUAUGUUUGAAUUAAUUCUUAAGUUAAUGGUUAAUACCCAUUAAAUAUGUUUUUAGUUCCUUUGAUGAUUAUGUUAUAAUUUGAACAUGUUAGGGGUAUGAUUCUAGCUUCAUUAGCAUGAAGUGUAUCCAAUGAUAUGUGAUUCCCUAUCACUAUGUUUGGAUCCAAGAAAGUGUAUGGGAUGAAAAAUCCUCAUGAAAAUGAUUUUCUCAUAAAAAAAAUCCAAGAAAGUAUGAAGGAACAUGAAAAUGAUUCUCGGAAAUCAAACGCAACCAUGUGAAAUAUACUUGUGUUAAUAAUUAUAAUGUGUGUUUGUUGUACUAUGUUUAUGAAAUUGAAAUGAUGUAUUUUAUAAUUUAUGUAGGUGGAAACCCUAAGGACAAUGAGGAGAAGUUAAUCUCAAGAUACAAGUGAGAUUCCAAAUGUUGCUAAGGUGGUCUACUCUUACCAUCAUGACCAUCAAGAAAGAUGCUACAAUUUGUGUAUUGAAAGUGUGAAUUAGGAAUGUUAAAAAAUGAAAACUUGAAUUGAUAUAUGUUUUUGCCUAUAAGAUGUGUGGUUAUAGGCAAUUCUUAUGGGUAUGUAAUUGACCUUGAUGUUGCAUAUGAAGCAUAUCACCCUCUCUAUAUCUUCAAGCUAAUGGUUGGAGUUUGGAUAGUGAAAGACAAGUGUCAUAGAUUUAAGUAUUUUCAAAGGGCUCAUGUGGCACAUAGACAAUUCAAGUCUCUUGAAGUUGUUAAUUCUUUCACGUUGUAACAAAGGUCUCUAUCACAUUUCACACAUUAUAACCAUCACAUUUUAACUCUGAGUGUUUAGUUUGAAAUACUUUUGCAUUAAACUCUUUUUCAAAAGUAUUAAAUUAAUAUCUUUCUCUAGUCUUACUCGUUUUGGUUUGUCAACUUAAGUGGUUUAUUACUCUCUAGAGCCAACUUUCAACUUAGUCAUUCCCACAUAAUUGUUAUUGAUUCAUGGUCAAUUAACAAAUUCUCUGAUGUUAUGAUUGGUUUUUGAAAAUUUUGAGGAAAAUUAAAUAAAGAGAAAAAGUAUAAGGAAAUAAAUUUGAAGAAGCAUAAAAAAAAAAAAAAAUUAAAAUUAAUAAAUUAUUUUUAUUUGUUAUUUUAAACUCGUUUUACACCUAAUUUUAAUAAUAUUUAUUUACUUUCCCUAUUUUCCAUGAGUUGUCAAAUAUAAAAAAAUUAUUAUUUUUAAUACUUUUUGAUAACUAAACAUAACCUAAUACUUGUCUUUGUAAUUUCAAGGUACCAAUGAUAGAAUCAUACCUAUUAAUGUGGCCGUAUACAUGUGUGGAAUAUUCAUGAUUCAAUACUAUCACUACAUUACAAUUGUGGGAUGGAUCCUAGUAUAUAGUUAACGCAAAGAAGGAUUUUAUUCUAAAAUUAAUAUAAACAAAUAUAAUUUGAUAAUGUAUUUUAAACAUCUUGUAGAUAGUGUUUGGUGAACCAAUUUAAUAAUUUAAUAUAACUUAAUAGUUUAAUUUAUUAUUAAGUAGAUUAACUAUAUUUGGUAGAAUAAGUUAAUAUUACAAUGUAAAUUUAGUGUUAAGUCAAAAUAGUUAAUUUAAGGGUGUUUGGUAAAUCAACUUAAUGACUUAAUAUGAUUUAAUAAUUUAAUUUAAGUCAUUAAAGAGAUUAAAUAUAUUUGAUAAAAUAAUUUAAUACUACAACUUAAAGUUAUUUUUAACUUUAAGUAAUAAGUCAAAAGGAUCAAUUUCAUUGAGACCCCCUGAGGUUUGGUAUAAAUAUACUCGACUAUCAUUGAUUUCAAAUUUCAUCAAUUAGCACCCUUAUAAAUUUUUUUCGUUUUAAAAAAUUAUUUUUUUAAGAGAUUUCAAGUAAAAAUAUUUUAUAUAGGAGUGUUUAACAAUUUACUAAAAACUAAAUUUUAUUCUUUAAAAACUAAAAUUUAUAUAUAUAAUACAUUUAUAGAGGUACCAAUUGAUAAAAUUUGAAACUUACAAUGGCUUAAUGUACUUACUCUAAACCUGAAGGAUCUCAAUAAAAUUAACUCUAAGUCAAAAUAGUUAACUUAUUCUUAAUUUCAAAUCAUUUUUACCUUAUUUACCUACAUUUAUGACUCACUUUUUAUGAUAAAUAUUUUAUGAUUGUAUUUGUAUCUACGAUGCUUUAAAUAUGAAUAUUUAACAAAUAAAUCUAUUGUUUAAGAUUAGUGAAAAUAUAAUGAUUAGUUAAAAUUAAUAAGAAUAAAUAUAUCAAUUUGAAAAUUUAGAAUAAAUCUUAAAUUAACUUUACUAAAUAAUCUUAAUACUUAAAGUAAAAAAUAAUUAAUAAGUUUUAAGUUUACAACUUAAGAAUCAUUUAACUUAAAACCAACUUAAAUCAUUAAAUAAUAAGUAAUAAGUUUUACCAAACACCUACUUAAACAUAGCUUUUAAAGAAAUUAUUUAAUCAAAAGACAAAUAUUAAAAUAUAAAAUAUAAAAAAUAUAAUAAAGGAACAUGCACAAUGCAAAUUGACAUUAUAAAGUCUUUCACACUAUUUUAUUCCUUUUUUUUGUUCACCUUUUUAGAAAACGAUUUUAAUAUUUCCUAGGAAAAUUAUGAUAACACGUAAUUGGUGUUUCCAUAUUUUCUAAUUUUAAAACUCUAUUUUCUGAAAUAUUGAUUUAUGUUUUCUUUACAAAUGAAAACAAUUUAAACAAAAAGGUGCUUUAUAGUUUCCAUUUUUAAAAAUGAUUUUCACUUAUUUUGACUUAAGGCAUUUUCAAGAUAAGAAAAAAAACAAGAAUAAAAGCUAUUUUUAGAGAAUAAAAAUAAAUGAAAAAUGAAAAACAUUUUCCAACCGAAACCCAUUGUUAAUGUUUUCAUCUCAUUGCACCUUUUUCUAAUCACCAUCCCCCUCUUUGAUGGACUAACUCGGAAAAAUUAUCUUGGCACGUGCUUUAAUUUACAUUUGUUAAAUUGGUUUUGACAUACAUUUUCCAUAAUAAAAGCAAAACAAUAGCCCGAGUUACAAACAUGAUUUCCAUGGUUUUUAGGUCUUUAAUCACAAAGUAUUGAUUCCCAAAUUAUAGAUGCUCUAAAUUUAGUGCAUAGGGCAUUCAGACUCUCAGUUCCAUCAACAUCCAUUUUCAUUUUCUCACCUGCCAAAACCCUAUUGUACAAAUUUCCAUUGAACCUGCAGAUCCAUCCAAAGUGAUACCAAACUGUGCUGACAAGGAGCCUUUGUAAGAAUCUGAUACAGCUCCUGCUGUUUCUGAAAGGUUGCUCUUCAUCUCUGAAAUUUUUGAUGCCAUGUGCUCUUUGUAUUUCGAAACUAAAUCAACCAAAGCAUAGAGUUCCCAAGCACAUAUCUGAAUUUCUUCCUCAUUUUGCUUGAUUGCUUCCUGCAACUUCAAUUUGGACGUCUUCAUGACAACAUCAAAGUCUAGUCAGAAUCCCUUGAAUUUUUCAAUAUUAUUCACAUUAAUCAAGAACAAUUAUAGAGCCAGGUAGGAAUUUUUCUUAAGUGUUAUAUAGGCCAUCAAAACUACUUUGUAGGGACUAAUUAUCAUCCAAGAACAAUUAUUCACAUUAGUCAGAACAAGAACAAUUAUUCACAUUUACUUGGAAAAAGAAUCAAAUGUAGUCAAUCCUUUGUAGGGACUAAUUAUCAUCCAAAAAGAAUUUUUCUUAAGUGUUAUAUAGGUCAUCAAAGCUACUUUGGAAAUUUGGGGCCUGACAACCUAUGUGCAAUAACAAUUGACAUCUCCAGCAGAUUUUAUUUUAUUUUUUUAUCCAAAAAAAAUCAUUCAUUGAUAUGAAUUUAGUUACAAACCAAGGUUAAGAAACCCUUUCAAAAUAUAAAGGAUGAUUAAAAGUUGACGAAAAACCUAACAAGAGUAGCAAGAUAACUAUAUUAAUCAAGGAUGAUACAAGAACUUGUACAAAAUAUAGCGACAAUGUACAAGAACUUGUACAAGCAAGCACUAUAACUUGGGAGUGGUGGCGCCUUGAGCCUAGUGUCACGGACUUAGUCGUUCACUAAGCUCGUGCGGCACUUAGACAAGCCAAGACGCUUGAUCUUGCUAAGUCAGCCUUGCUCCCCAAUGCUUAGCUUGCUCGGCUAAGACACUCGCGACUCAAAAGCUUAAGAAGCUUGGUAGGCAACUCUUGAAAGAAUGGAAGCUUUCACUAACUCAAGGAAACCUUUACAAGUGCUUGGAUGCUCACUUGCUUGGUGCCUUGGCCAAAUGAGGCCCUCACCUAUUUAUAGGCACUAAUGGAACUCUCUAGAACCUUGGAGGGUUCCUUACAAUUCAUGAAUAUUCUAGAAUGUCCUACACUAUUCUAGAAUAUUCAAGAGACUUCUAGAUUUCUCUAGAAAGCUUUGGACCCUUCUCAUGCCUUCUACCAUAGUGUAGAGUUGUGUAGACUUCUCUAGGCAUUUCUAGAACCUUCCACACUCUUCCCACUAGUGGCUAAGUGUGGAUGUCUCCAAGGGUCUCUAGAAGCUUCUCACCUCCUAUAUAAGCCAUGGGGAGGGUCAUUUGAAGCAUCUUGUGACACUCUCCCCCACCUAAGCCGCAGACGUCCUCGUCGUGUCUUCUGCCCGGAACCGCUCAAUCUGUUCCUGGAACUGCCAUAGUGCAUUUGCUGGCUCCCAACUAGCCUCGCUUUCUGGUAGUCCCUUCCAUUUCACUAAGUACUCCGUAGCAGGAGGCACACCACGCCUUCUGAUGAUUCGGUCUGCAAUGAUGUGUUCCACCUCCUUGUCAUAGGAGAUCACAACCGCUGUAAGUGCCCUCUUAGAAAGCCCUCGGCUUGGAUCAUCCUUGUCUUCGUGAUAUGGUUUCAAGUAACUCACGUGGAAGACAGGGUGAAUCUUUAACCUUGGCGGUAACUCCACUUUGUAGGACACCUUGCCGACCUUUCCAAGUAUAGGGAAGGGUCCUUCAUACCUCCUCACAAGGCCCUUAUGCACUGGCCUUAGGGAUUUGAAUUGUUGAGGAAGGAGCUUGACAAGCACCAUGUCUCCGACCUUGUACUCCGUGUGACGUCGCUUCUUGUCAGCCCACUUCUUCAUUUUCUUAGCGGCCUUGUCCAAGUACGAGCGUGCUAUGUCAGCUUGCUCAUGCCACCCCUUAGCGAACUUGAAAGCCGCUGGACUUCUCCCUGUGUAGCCUAUCGUUAGCGUGUGAGGAGUUAAGGGUUGCUGCCCUGUGGCUAGCUCGAACGGGCUCUUGUUGGUCGCCUCACUCCUUUGCAAGUUGUAUGAGAAAUGGGCUAUAUCUAGCAACUUAGCUCAAUCCCUCUAGUUGGCACUCACAAAGUGCCUCAAGUAUAGCUCCAGCAAGGCGUUCACCCUCUCAGUCUGCCCAUCUGUCUGUGGGUGAAAGCUGGUGGAGAAGUGAAGCUCCGAACCCAUAAGCUUGAAGAGCUCCGUCCAAAACUUCCCAGUGAAGCGUGGGUCGCGAUCACUGAUGAUGAACUUAGGCAACCCCCAAUACUUGACUACGUGCUUUAGGAAUAGCCUCGCCGUCUCUUCCGCGGUGCAGUCAGUCGGGGCUGCUAUGAAGGUUGCAUACUUAGAGAAUCUAUCCACCACCACUAUGAUAGAGCCGUUGUCCUCUGACUUAGGUAGCCCGAUGAUGAAGUCCAUGGUGACGCUGUCCCAUGGGCGUUCUGCUACAGGUAGUGGCUCUAACAGGCCUCUAGGUUGUCGUUGUUCCACCUUGUCUUGUUGGCACACAAGACAAGUCCUCACAUAGGCCUCAACCUCGUCCCGUAUCUGAGGCCAAUAGUAAGCCGACUCGAGUAGUGCCCUAGUGCGUCGUUGCCUAGGGUGCCCUGCCCACUUGGUGUCAUGGCACUCCUUAAUCAGGUUCCGCCUUAUGUUCCCCCACUUAGGCACGUAGAGUCGUCUCCCUUUGGUGUAGAGUAAGCCAUCCUCCACCCAAAACCGCUUGGUCUUCCCUUCAUGAGCCAGGGCGAUGAGGCUCUUAGCCACUGGAUUAUGUUGCAGUCCCUCCCUUAGAAGAUCCAUUAUGUCUCCUUGGGGCUGACUCGUUAUGGACGCUAGCUCGGCUUUGCGACUUAGGGCGUCGGCCACAUGAUUAGCACUUCCUGGCUUAUACUCCAGCGUAUAGUCGAACUCGGCCAAGAAGUCUUGCCACCUAGCUUGUUUAGGACUCAGCUUCUUCUGUGUCUGGAAGUAGCUAGUGGCCACAUUGUCGGUCUUCACUAUGAAGUGAGACCCUAGCAAAUAGUGCCUCCAGGUGCGCAAGCAGUGAACGAUAGCGGUCAUCUCCUUUUCUUGCACCGUGUAACGCCUCUCCGCGUCGUUUAGCUUGCGACUCUCAAAUGCAAUUGGGUGUCUUUCUUGCAUAAGGACUCCCCCAAUAGCGAAGUCUGAGGCAUCUGUGUGUACCUCAAAGACCUUGGUGUGGUCGGGUAGUGCCAACACUGGCUCCUCAGUCACAGCCUUCUUCAGGUCCUCAAAGGCUUGUUGGCACCUUUCAUCCCAUUCCCAUGCCUUAUUCUUCUUCAGAAGAUCAGUGAGUGGAGCGGCCCUUGCCGAAUAACCCUUUAUGAACCGCCGAUAGUAAUUAACUAAACCAAGGAAAGAUCUGAGUUGAGGUACCUUGGUUGGUGGAUCCCAUUCUUGGAUGGCCUUCACCUUGCUAUCAUCCAUCAUCAGCUUGCCAUCUCUGAUGCGAUGCCCAAGGAAGCUCACUUCCUCCUUAGCAAACGAACACUUCUCCUUCUUCACGUAUAGCUCGUUCUGCCUCAAGAUCUUAAAGACCUUCCUCAAGUGCUCCACGUGCUCCUUUAGAGUGUUACUAUAGAUGACUAUGUCAUCCAAGUACACCACCACGAACUUGUCCAAGUAUGGGUGGAAGAUCUUGUUCAUGAGGGUGCAAAACGUUGCUGGGGCAUUGGUGAGUCCGAAAGGCAUUACUACGAACUCAUAUGAGCCAUACCUGGUCACACAUGUAGUCUUCGGCUCAUCUCCCUCCGCAAUCCUGACUUGGUAGUAGCCUGACCUUAAGUCCAGCUUCGUGAAGUACCUUGCCCUUCCAAGUUGAUCGAACAAGUCAGCAAUGAGCGGGAUGGGAUACUUGUUCUUCAUCGUCACCUUGUUGAGUGCCCGGUAAUCUAUGCACAUUCGUAGGGACCCAUCAUGCUUUUUCUGAAAUAGAACCGGCGCGCCAUAAGGAGCCUUGGAUGGUUGGAUGAACCCCGCAUCUAGCAACUCCUUGAGUUGUCUCCUUAGCUCCUCCAACUCGGGUGGUGCCAUCCUAUAUGGCCCCAUAGCAGGGGGCUUGGCUCCCGGCUCCAGCUCAAUCUUGUGAUCUUCCUCUCUCCUAGGAGGAAGUCUCUUGGGCAACUCGGGCGGCAUAACGUCCUUGAGCUCAUCAAGGACCCCCUCGAUUUCUCUAGGCAUGGGUUCUCCCGACCCAUCAUCCUUUUCUUCCUUUAGGGUGGCGAGGUAGGUCACCUCUUCCCUCUUUAACCCCUUCUUUACUUGCAUAGCGGAUAACAUAGGGGUCUUGAGCGUACCUUCAUUGACCGUAGGGACCAUGCACGACUUCUCCUCCUCUAGGAUAGCCAUUGAGCGUAGGAAAGGUAGUGGCACGGCCUUGACCUUCUGUAGGAAGUCCAUUCCUAGCACCAUCUUGAAGUCAUCCAUGGGUGCCACUGUGAAGUCGACCCUUCCUUCCCACGAGCCGAUGUGCAUAGUCACCCCGCGAGCUACUCCAUGUGAUGGCUUGGCGGCUGAAUUGACUGCCUUGAGCCAUCCUCCUUCCUUGGAUGCUUGGAGCUCCAACCUUCUUGCCUCAUCCUCCGAGACAAAGUUGUGAGUGGCACCUGUGUCCACCAGGGCCUUGGUGGCCUUCCCAUUCACAAGGGCCUCCACAUACAUCAGCCCUUUGCUUUGAGGCGUCUUAGGCAUCGGCUUGGCCUUAAGGGCAGUUAAGAGCUGCAACGAUCCCAUCUUAGCAUCGCCUUCUUGCUCCUUUUCCUCGAUCAUAGCAUUUAAGGCCUUCCUCUUAGGGCAGUCCCGUGCCCAGUGCGGACCAUCGCACAGGAAGCAAUUGGUCCUGGGCGUGAACUCCUUUCGCUUGUCCUUGCCUUUGCCAUCCUUGCCACUAGGGCCUUUGCUUGAUCCUUCCUUAGAGGUAUGGCCUUGCGACCUCUUGUCUCCCCCACCUUUGGCCUGGUUACCCUUGGAUGGUGGCUUGGGCUUGGAGGAGUCUCCCCUUCUAUAAUCUACUAAGGACUCGGCUACUGCCAUGGCCGUGGCUAGGUCUUGGACACCACGUCUCCUCAACUCUUGCUCGGCCCAGCUUUGCAAGUUGUCCAUGAAGUUGAACAGUAGCUCCUCCUCAGCCAUGUUAGGUAUCUCAAGCAUAAGAGUAGAGAAUUCUUUGACAUACUCACGGAUCGAGCCCGUGUGCUUGAGACGCUUCAAACUCUUCCUUGCUAGGUAAGCCACGUCUUCGGGAUAGAAUUGCCUCUUGAUUUCUCUCUUAAAGGCAUCCCAUGUGUCUAUGGUGCACGUCCCUCUCUCUAUGUCGGCAAAUCGUCGACGCCACCAUAGAGUAGCAUUAUCAGUGAGGUAAAGGGUCGCGGUGCGUACCUUAGUGGCUUCAUCCGUUAAUGCAAUUGCCUCAAAGUAACGCUCCAUGUGCCACAAGAAGUUAUCUAGCUCCUUGGCAUCCCUCUUGCCACUGAACGUGUGUGGCUUGGGCACCUCCACCCUUGGUGCCUCAUGAGUGGCCAUGACUCGUGCUGAUACAGCGGUCUUAUAGAUGGCCAACUCUUGUCGAAUCUCUUGGUCUCGGGCCUCCACUCGUGCAGUCAAGGCCUCCAUCCUUGACUCCACACUAGCGAACAUGCUCAUGACCUUGUCUUGGAAAGACAUGAACUCCUCGUGUGACACCGGUUGAACUUGCGAGACCAGCACCCCCUCGCGAAGGUCUUGGAUCUGCUCCCUUAGAUCCUCUAAGCCCUUCUCCAUGCCUUGCUCGAUCAAGUCCACCCCUUCCCGGGUGUCUGCCAUGGCUAGCUCCACCUUGGCUAACCUUGCCUCCAUGUUGGCAACAACAUCAUGAGAUGUAUCCUUCUUACCUCUGCCCCUGCCCCGUGCAGUAGGCUCGGCCUCCCUCCCAUGGGUUUGUUCGCUAGUCUCCUCCACGUUAGAGCCCGACAUGCUUCCCUUAUGCCCGCUUCGUAGCCACGCUCUGAUACCACUUGUCACGGACUUAGUCGUUCACUAAGCUCGUGCGGCACUUAGACAAGCCAAGACGCUUGAUCUUGCUAAGUUAGCCUUGCUCCCCAAUGCUUAGCUUGCUCGGCUAAGACACUCGCGACUCAAAAGCUUAAGAAGCUUGGUAGGCAACUCUUGAAAGAAUGGAAGCUUUCACUAACUCAAGGAAACCUUUACAAGUGCUUGGAUGCUCACUUGCUUGGUGCCUUGGCCAAAUGAGGCCCUCACCUAUUUAUAGGCACUAAUGGAACUCUCUAGAACCUUGGAGGGUUCCUUACAAUUCAUGAAUAUUCUAGAAUGUCCUACACUAUUCUAGAAUAUUCAAGAGACUUCUAGAUUUCUCUAGAAAGCUUUGGACCCUUCUCAUGCCUUCUACCAUAGUGUAGAGUUGUGUGGACUUCUCUAGGCAUUUCUAGAACCUUCCACACUCUUCCCACUAGUGGCUAAGUGUGGAUGUCUCCAAGGGUCUCUAGAAGCUUCUCACCUCCUAUAUAAGCCAUGGGGAGGGUCAUUUGAAGCAUCUUGUAACACUAGGCACACUUAAAGCACGCCUUUUAAAACUAUGAUCAUCCAUUAGACAGGUGGUUAGACCAGGCAGCUCUUGCUAUCAAAUUUUGAGUGACAACUGCUUGUGUAAUUGACACAUCAUUUGCCCUUUGUACCAAAUUUUAGAUUGACCAUCAAGUGGUACUAUACUACUUUCCAAUUAUUUUCUCUCCCAUAUUUCAUUUGAGUCAUUCUGGAAUUUAGCAGUAUUCUAUCCCAAUGGAAUUUCUAGGAACAACAUUUUUCUGUCAAAAUUUGAAUACAUCUAAAUUAUCACCUUUUUGAAUUCCAAUUGUAGUCCAAUCAAUUUAACCGUAGUAAUUGAUUUUCCAAGAAAUUUUAUUAUUGUGCAUUCAACUACUAACAAUUCAAGAAAGCUUUUUUUUUUCUUUUUGGAUAAGUAAAUCACAAUUCAAAAAACAAAUUAAACGAAGGGGAAAGCAAGAUUAUGAACAAUUUUGUCUUUUAGAUUGCAAAGAAAAUACUCGAGAAGCUUACAGUUACAACUUUAGUUUUCCUAGAGUGGCAUCCAUGCAAUAUAACAACCAUUCAAUUGUAUAUGCUACUGCUGGUACUUAAGAAAUGGUAUUGCUCACAAAGUCAGACCACUAGGUAAAGAAGACCUGCUUUGAUUUCUUAUAUAGAUAGAUGGAUACAGAGAGAGAGAGAGAGAGAGAGAGAGAGAGAGAGAGAGUUUGGCCUUUUCUAAGAGCAGCAAAAAGAGGUUGAGUUAAUUUGUACUUCAGUUAAUUGCAUAUUCAAUAGGGGACCAUUGGCUCCAACUAUGUGCACGCUCCCUCCAUCUGUAUCCUAUGUAUGUGUCUAAGAAUUUUAUGGCUCUGUCAUUCUUUCCAAAAAAUUUGUGCUGCAGAGUUCUUCUUUCUUGUAACAUGAUCAAUCUUGUUAAUCUUAUCUAACAUCACCAAUACUUUUAGCUUUCUUUAAAAUUUUUAGGAAAACAAAGCGAAAAUCUGGCUGCUCCUGUUGACACCCUAAAAUCGUAUAAAAAAGGCAUAGUUUUUUAUUCUUCUUGAGUGGCAUAUAAAUGCAUAGCUGCUGAACAAGAAAAAUGAGUUCUAAUUCACUUACUUCAUCACUACGGGAUUGAAGUGCAGCAAGAUGAUUUCUUUUUGCUUCAAUUUUAACAGCAUUUUCAACUAAUUAUUGUUGAAGAGAAAUCAACUCUUCCAACUUUGACAUAGAGCUUUUAUUUAUGUCAUCAGCAAAGGAGUCAAAUGCAGGCUUAAGCGUUGAUUUGUAAUCAAUUCCCAAACCUCAGCAGGCAAAGACCCUUUGGCAUUCAACACUACUGCAAACCAUUUCCUAACUUUAACCUGGAAACCAUCCAAGAGAAAAUACUUCAAUUACACAAUAGAUUGUAGUUUAAUAGGUUGAAAGAGUUGCAUGAGGUGGUAUGCUAAUUUGUCAAUUCAAAGAUGCUCCUGAAAAUUAAGUAUUUAGUGUUGCCUCUUCAUGACUAUUAGUUUACUUCUAAAAGUUAAAGAGAACAUGGUCCAAAGGGAAACAAUAGGCUCCUAAGGCAGGGCUCAGGAGGCAAAGGGUUGGGUGGGUAUGGGAAGGUUCCAAGUUGAAAUUCAUAUACCGAGAGAGAGAGAGCGAGAGAGAGAGAGAGAGAGAGAGAAGGGGGGGGGGGGAGGAGAGGGGAGACUACCUUAAAAAAGGAGGUUGCCAAGGGCAACUGUAUCACCUAUCUCUGUCUAAAUAAAUGAUUAGAAAACUUGUGAGGAUGAAAGUGUUAAAUGGAGAUUUUUUUUAAAAGCCAAAUUGAGAAUGAACAUUAGCUAACCUUAAAAACCUUUUUAUUUUUCGUACUUUGACAAAGCUCCAGAAUGGUUAGCAGUUUGAGAGUAACACUUAGCUUAAAAGGUUACAGAAGAUGAACAAACAUGAAAUCAUAAACCAAUACAAAAGCUGUAAUGUACCCAAAAGAUAAAUGCAGGUAAGGCAAAUUACAACUCAGAAACUACCCAUUGUUGGUGUUGAAUCACAACCCCAAGUAAACAAAUGAAGCUUAAGUUGGCUACUUGGAAAUAAUGCAUGUGACUCAAGAAGACAUAAGCCAUUGAAUGGUUCAGCAACUACAUUCACCUGGUCUGAAUUUUUGUCUACUGAAAUUUUACAUUUUUGUUAGGUAAUUUUUUUUGUCCCUAUUGGGAUUUGAACCUGAAACUUCCACAAACCCUUCCAACUCUUUACCUCUUGAGCCAGGCCUCAAGGGCAUGUUCACUGGAAUAAUUUAAGCAGAGAACAGCAGCUGGAUCCUUCUUAGGAAUCACUGACUAGUCAUGCUAUAACUACAAAGCCAGAUCCUACGUUCUCACUGAAGUUAUACUAAAAUGUUGUAUAUGUUAAUGUAUUUGCUAAGAACAGGAAAAUAUUUCAUAUCACCCACAAAUGACAGACAAAAAAAAUCUUGUAAUCUAAUUCAUGGAGGUAGAUAACCUAAUGUUGAUAAGAAUCACAGUAGACUUCAAUGGAAUAGAGAAAAUCAAUUCCAAGCAUUACCAAACUUAAGAAAGAACACAAUUCUACCAUGUUCAUUAAUUAUCAGAAAGCAUACUGAAGAUUACUAGAAAGACUUUAGAGUAUGCAACUAAAGGAAUUAAGAAAAUCCUAGUGGAGUGGAUUAUAGAGGUAUGAAAGCCAAACAAAGAGGAUAAGGAAAAGAAAACCUCCUGAGAGCCUGGUUGCAUUCAAUUGAAAGAGUUUCAAGCUCCUUAAACUUGUGCCCAAUUGUCGUGUCAAGAUCCCAAGACUUCUCCUCCCAACCAUUCCUUGCACCCUCGGCCUCCGUGAUAUCUCUCUCAACUGCCUGCAACUCCCUCUUCAUCCUCUCUGCAUCUCUUGCAUUAAACGUCUGCAACUCAACCCUCUUCUUCAGCUCUUAAUUAUCCUCGCAAAUUCUAUUUUCUUCUCAACCUUCACCCCCAACUCCUUCUCCUCCAAAAUCUUCUCCACUGAUGCAAUCCUUCCCGAAAAUUCUGCAAUUAUUGCACGAAAUUUUUUCACAUCCUCCUCCAACACCCCCCUCUCCUUCUCCACAACCUCCUUAGCCGAAGGCCCCGACCUCAAUUCCUCCAACCUCCCCUCCCUCUCUGCCAUCUCCUUCUCCAAUGCCUUCACACCUUCCGCCACUGCGUCCCUCUCCCUUUCCAACUUCCCCAUAGACUCCCUAUCCACCGCCUCCAUCCCAUCAUCAUCCCCGUGAAUAUAAUGCAAGUAACUAUCUAAUGCAUACACAAAAGUAUUGUCAAAACACUGCAAAUUCGACACAAGAUGGUCAUUAUACAAUGCGAUCUGAACCAACCAAUGCAUUACGCCUAAAAGGGAAGGCCAAGCAUGCGGGGUUCCGGGGGCUUUGAGAGCGGACUUGUUGAGCUUGAUCAGGAAAUUGAGGUGCUUGAGGAGGAUAGGAAGAUCGUCUUCAAGUUUGGUUGUGGGGAAAUCGAGUUGGGAGAUGAGGAAUUUUAGGGUUUCGGAAAUGUCUUUGGCGGAGGGGAGAGGGGGUUUAAGGGAGAAAGGAGAGGAAUGGGAGGCGAGAAAGGAGUUGAUGGUGCGGAUGGCGGAGAGUUGGUAGGAUCGGUCGGUGAGGGCAUCACCGGCGGAGGAGCGGUUGAUUCCAAGGGAGGAAGGGCGGCUGCUGGCGAAACUAGCGUCAGAGUCGCGGCUGCAUUGGCGGUGGUGGUCAACGGAGGGAGGUGGUGGUGGUGGCGGUGGGCGGAUAAAGUCCUUCGGACGGCGGCGGCCGGUGGCUUUCAUAUUCGGCUGUGAUGGGCUUCUCCCUCUCUCUUCUGAGUUCUUAUGAAUUCUGAAUCUCUCUUUCCCGCCUAUGGAUACCCCUCAGCUAUUUGUCAAUUACACUUAACCACCCUCAAGUUUUUUAAAUUAACCAUAGUGGAGCAGAACAAUCCAUGGAUGAUGUCGUCGAAUCUUGAAAGAUUUUUAUGGUUGAUUAAUGAUGUCAUAGUUAAAAGAAUUAAAUAAAAUGUCUAAAAUAUUCGUUUUAUUUCAUUUCAUCUUACCAUAUAUUUCUAAUUAAUUUUAAUUAAAAGUUUUUAAUAUAAAAAAUUAAUUUGUUUUUAUUAAAUAGUUUACCAUAUUAUCUAAUUAAUCAAUUAUUUUUACUAUCUUUCUUAUCUAAAUAAUCAUUAAGGUUAUGUUUGAUUCCCAAAAAAUACUAAGUAAAGAAAAAAAAUACUAAUAUGUUUGAUUUCCGAAAAUUAUUAAGGAAAAAAAAUAUUAAUCCACUUUUAACCCUUUAAACACCUAACUUCACAUAACCCAAACUUUUAUAAACUUAACUAUGACUUUCCAAUUGAGCGAACAAUAACCUUGAAUCUUCAAUAAAGAGUAAGUCACCAUCUAAAAAGUUUCUUAAGCCAUAAAAUAAUUGGAAUAAAAUUGCUAACAUACAAUCUAAACUCAUUAUCUUAAUAAUCUCCCUCUUUACAAUUUUAUGACAAAACAUCAUUACAUAAUCCCUUCCAGACUCUCAUAAUGGAGUUUGCAUGACACUCAAAUAUGCUCAUCUAAAAAAUGAUUCAAGGGCAAUGCAUUAAGUUGUAGUACUUACCUCCCAGUCCUAUUAACUGCAUACAUAAAAACAACUAUACCAAAGGUAAAACAAUGUGUGGGAUAAAAUAUAAUCGAGUAAGCAAAACAAGGUAGUGAGAAAAUACGAUCAAUGCACUGAAUGUUAUUAAGGAAGCAAAACAAUAUUGUAAGGAAACCAAUGUGCAAAAUCCAAAAAGAAAUAUAUUUGAUUACAUGUAAAUCAACCAAAUCUAAGCAAAGCUUUGCAAGCAACAAUUGGACAAUAAGGGCACUAAGUGCUUUCACCAACCAAAAUAUAUGUAAUAAGGACCAUGAGAACAAGCUUCUACUAUAGAGAAUGGUUCGAGAGAGUUUGACAUAUCACAAAGAUAUAUAUCAUAGGAAAUAUUUAUGUCAAGUGUCUCAAAUUUUUAAAACAUCUAACCAAUAGGUAAUUUGGUUUCCCUUAAUAUCUCAAAUUUAGUUUUCCCCAACGUCUCAAGUAACUUCUCGUAAUAUUGCAAUAAAUACUCCUAAAAAAUUUUCCCUCUAAAAACUUAAACUCUCCCCAUUUUUUAUCUUUUAUAUAUUAUCUUCCCUUAGAUGAAUCUUCCCCUAUAUAGAAUGUCUCUCCUUAAAACCCAUUUAACAAUUCUCCUUCUAGGUCUCUCUCUAUCUCAAUUCUCCCCCUUUUUGUCAUAAAAUGGGCAAAACAAGGUAAGUAGGAAAGGAGACUAAAAGGCAAUAAGGAAUAUAUAUAUAUAUACAUAGGUUCUGGAUACAAAAAUAUGGAAAUAAAGAGCAUACAUCCAAACCAAAACAAAAACAAAAACAAAUAGGAAAGCAAGCAACUAAGCAUUAGGAGCAAAGGAUGGUAAUGGAGAAGUAGAGCUUGAGGCCUUCUGAGAAUGGAUCUAAGAUAUAAUGUAAGUGAGUUGGCCCUCAAUCCCACAAAAACAUGCAUCAUGAUCGUCCAUCUUCAAAUGUAGACUUGAAAUUGAGUCCAUAACCUCUUGAAGUAAGGGAUUGUUAGAUGAAAAAACAAUGAUAAAAGAUGUAUGAGAAGGCCCCCUAUGUCAUUGGCUAUGUUAGCCACGCAAAGCUAGCUUUGGGAAGUCAUCCUUAGUGACUAAAGGCUCUUACUCCAUGGCUCAAAUCUCAUCAUUCUCAGCUAGGGCCUCCUAAGCAACCUUUUAUGCUAUUGAAGUGGGGAUAACAGGGUCUUAAGGAGUUGUAACUGAUUUGAUCAUUGUUGGUUAAGGUUGAUGGUAAUAAGUAUUCUCAAGAUAGACACUAUAAUAUCUCAUGAGUUUAAGACAAUGAGUCUUCCUCCUAGGUGAUCCUAAGAACAUGUGAUCAUGAAAAUAAUGGUUGUAGUAAUUCCUUUAGUGGAAUUUGACAUAUGCUUUUAAAGAGUUAGAGUAUGUUAGUUGAUAAUAAAAUAAGAGAAUUUAAAACUCAAGGAUUAUAGAGGUAAUCUUAAGAAGUUGAUAUAAUUCACCUUAUUAGAUUACAAACACCAAUUCAUAGAGAGUUUACAUGUAAUAAUUAGUAGUUUCUAGACUUAAGAUUCAUAUCUUAAUUUAAUAUCAUAAAAGUACAAUUGAUUUUUUGUAGUGGAAUGUUGAGUCAACUUUAAAAUUGGAUUAUGCAAGAGCCCAUGUUUUCCUAUAGGUCCUAGUUGUCCUCAUACAAGGUCUUACUCCUUGGUGACAUAUUAUUUCAAGGAUGGUUGUGCUCUUUAUUCAUAUAUAUGUGUGUGUGUGUGUGUGUGUGUGUGUGUGUGUGUGUGUGUGUAAGAAUGUUUUGGUAAAAACACAAGGUUACAUAAGAUUAAGUGACCUUGUGGCUAUUUAAUUAAUUAGGACUUAUGGGUUAGAUUAAGUGGCCCAAGCCUAAAAUGAACUUAAGUCACUUAAACCCACAAGUAAGGCUAUAUAAACCUCUUUAUUUAAGGUUCAUAUCCUUUGUUAUUCAGUCUUCCAAAGAGAGAAAACCUUAACCUCUAUCCAUAGAGAGGAUUCCCACCAUUUUUCACAUGCUAAGGUUGAAGAAAGAGAGUCAUUGGGUAAAAGAUCAUGAGGUAUUUGAGAUCCAUUCCAACCUUUUCAUUGAUUAGAACUAAUCCAAGAAUAUCCAUAUCACAUGUAUUUUCUUUAUACUCUAAGAUCCACAUUUUUUUAUAUGUUAAUACCUUUUUUGUAUGGAUUUAGAGAUGCCUAGGAUAGUUUUGCAUGUACCUUAAUGAUCUAAGGCUUAAAAUGAUUUUUCCUAGACAUUCUUACAAAUCCCAAACUAAAAAUUAUGGAUGAAUGUCGUUAUAGACAUGAUUGGCCAAAAUAGAAAGAAACUAUCCAAAUAGAGCUAAUCUCGUUACACAAAACGAGAAAUAUUUGGACUUAUAGUUCAAAUGCUUGAAGAUGUAAAGUCUCUUGGGUAUAAAAAAGUUUUUGUAUGAAAACACAAUAAGAAAAUGAAUUCAUAAGAUAUAAAACACGAUUUGUAGCUUAAGGUUUCUCAUAAAGACCUAGUAUUGCCAACAAGGAAACAUAUUCUCUUGUCAUAGAUAUAAUCACAUUUUGAUUUUAAUUAAUUAGUCAAUUUCAAAAGAACAAGAUAUGCGUCUCAUGCAUGUUACAAUUAUUGCAAAUGUAUGUUGGUGAUUUGAAUCCUAUGGGAACUCCUGAAGAACUCAUAAAAUUGUUAAUUUUUUGAAGAAAUAAUUUGAAAUAAAAGACUUAGGGAAAUUUUUUUGCCUUGGCUGGCAAAUUAAGAAGUUUUCAAAUGGAAUGUUAAUCCAUCAAUUAACUUAUACAGAAAAGGUCUUAAAUCACUUUCAUAUAAAUUAAUCAUAUCCACUAAAUUCUCCAAUGGGAGUUCGUUCAAUAGAAGUGAAAAGAAGCCAUUUCAUUUUAAAAAAUUUAACGAAGAAAUAAAUGAAUUCAUCGAUUGAUAACUUCACAUGUUUCUUAUUUCUAGAAAAUGAUAGUCUUGAUAAUGUUUCAGUUCCAUUUACUUUUAAACAUAAAGAAACAAAUGAUGAAGACAAAGUCAAAUAAAGAGAAUAUGCUAAUGAUAGUAUGCGAGUUGAGGAUGUUCCAAAAUGAUAGAAAUGAGGUGUUUGAAUUCCUAAUGAUGAAAAUCAUGAUGGUGAUAUUUGGUCAUUUUUUUAGCUAUCAUGACGCAAUUGAAAUAAAACAAAUAAGAUAUGUGGUUGUGGAUGGAAAAUGUUGUAACAUUUCAAACAACCCAAAUUUGAAGGAUUUAGAGAAGCCAGUUGAGUCUUCUUUAAUUCAAUAUCAUUUAGCACCAUCGUCACAAUUUUGAAAAUAUUAAAAAAAUUGGUCAAGAUAUAGUGAUUGAACCUCAUAAGGAAACACUUUUAUGAGAUAUUCAAGUGAAGAGUUCACAAUUCUAUAAAUUUUUAAUCCAAAGCAUAUUUGCAAUGUGCUACAUAAUGUACUCUAUUAAUUCAUACCAAGAGUAUAUUGUUGUGUCAUCGACAAAGAAGUUGUUAAUUUUAAAAUGAUAGUAUCAAUACUUUUUUGAAAUUGUCAAUAUAAUGUAAUGGUAUGACUAGAUACGAAUGACCUUUCCUUCUUUCAUGAUUCCAUAGAAUUUUUUGAUUCAUCAUUUAGAUUCAUGAAUUAGUCAUUCUAAUCGACAUUCUAUAUAUAAAUCUCUUUUUACCUCCGUGAAGGCUUCAUGGAUUGUUGGAAGGGGUUUGGUACCAAUGAUCCUCCCGCGGACCUCAUCAAGGUCCUUGUUGAGGCCCAAUAAGAACUUGAAAAGUCAUUUUUUCUCCACAAUAUUUUGAUACUUGGUAGCAUCUUCAAGGCAAUUCCAAUCAUACUCCUUGUAAACAUCUAAUUGUUGCUAGUGGUGACCAAGAAUAUUGUAGUUAUUGGUGAUGGUUAAAUCCCCUUGAUAGAGAUCAUGAAGAACACUCUCGAUAUCAACCUAUUCUACUAUAUUUUCUUUAGUGGAAUAUGUUACUUUAACCGCAUCCCACAUAUCUUUUGCGGUCUUGUAAAGAAGAAAGUUUUCAUCGAUCUCGUUGGUCAUGGAAUUGAUAAGCUAUGAUUUGACCAUAUUAUUCUGCAUCUUCUAAGUUCAGAAUCUGGGACCAUCACUUUUUGGUUGAAUGAUUUCUCUGGUGAGGUAGUCAUCCUUAUCCUUGCUGUCGAUAAACAUAAGAACAGAUUGAGACCAUUGGAGAUAGUAAUUCUUUUUCAACUUGCGACAUGUGAUGGGAAGAAAAAAGCCAUCAGAUCCUCCAUGGUCAUUGGAAGUGAUAGUCUCCAACCUAGAGUUGACUUCAUAGAUUGAUUGUUGACUAUUGGUAGUUAUUUUGGAAGAUUCGUUUGGAUUAGAUUAAUUUGUGACAGGAUCGAAUCACUUCUGGACUAGAUUGGACUGAUGAACCUAGGACAAAUUGUGACUAAGUUGGAGAAGACCAUUCAUGGUGAGAUAGCAAUAGGGGGUUUAAGUCACCUAUUUCUGAAAAAAAACAAGCACCAGAGAAUAGGUGUCGAUCCUAGUGGGAAAUCGCUCUGAUAUCAUGUAGAAAACUUGGUAUAUUUCUAUAUCUCUCUUCAUAGCAUGUACAACGUCAAAAUUAUAUAUGCUAAGAAUCAAAUCAACCAAAUAAAAAUCUAGCUAUAAUUUAGGAGAUACAUGCCUAAGAAAAGGAAAAAAAAAAUCAAAACAGAAGUGAGAAACAAAUCUUGGUUUGAAUACAAAAUAAAAAUCCCAACAAAUUAGGGAUAUUCACAUGAAAAUCAACAUGUUUGGAGAAGAGCAAGAACAAGUUAGGGAUUCAACAUUUGUCUAUAUUAAAUAAGGCGCUUUUGUGCUAAUGGAGUUGGUGAUAUGACACUAAAAGAGGUGCCUUUUGGACACGAUUGAUUAGUGGAAAAUUUAAAAAGGAAAAGGAUGGGUGGUGUUUUGAUGAAGUUAGAGUUGGGUAUGGAGUCGAGCUUUGGAAAUCCAUUAGGAAGGAAUGAAACACUUCCUUGGGUUAUUUUUUUCUUUUGCAGCAAGUGAUAGGAGGGUGAAGUUUUGGAUUGAUAUACGGGGUAGGGAUGAACCGUUGAGUGUUUCCUUCCCCUCUUUUUAUGCCUUAAUUGUUGCAAAAGAGGCUUGGGUUGUGAAUCUUUAGGUUCAACAUGGGGAGAGAGGUCAUUGAAACCCUUGUUUCUCAUGUUCUUUAAAUGAUUGGGAAGUGGAUGAGUUGAGGAUUUAUUUUUCAAGUUGCAAGGAAAAUAAGUUGGUGUGAAAGAACUUGGACAAUAAUAAGUUUUCCAUGAGUCAUUUAUAUGUUGAUUUGGACUUGGGGGUUGUUGUGUCAUUUCCAAGGUGGGUAGUUUAGAAUUCGUGGGUCCCUUCGAAAAUUGACUUUUUUGCAUGGGAGAUAACUUGGGGAAAUUUUUUUAAUUUAGAUCAACUUAAAAAAGAAUGGUAGUCUUUGGUCAAUAGGUGUUUUCUUUGCAAAGAAGAAGAAGAUGUUGGGAUUUUGUUUCUCCUAGAUCUUUCGUAAUAAAUCGAAAAUGUGAUUUGAAAUGUGGUCUACAUUCAUUCCAUCAAUUUAGGAAUGAGGAUUAAUGUUUGGAACCACAUUCGCAUCACUAUCCCAUGUUCUGUGCACACUCGAAGCAGACUUGAUGAUGGAAAGAGUGUUUAAAAAGGGGCAGAGCAUUAAAGGGUAGGGUUCCCUAAGCCUUCAAUCUCUUUUAGUCUUAAAAAACAUCAUCUAAGUGGAGGUUGAGAAAGGUUUAGAAGCACUUAAAACCUGAAAAAUUGAAGACACCAUUUUAACUUGUACAAAUGGCAAUGGUGUGAGGUAUGUUUUCGAUCUGUUUUGAAUUCCACUUAUGAUCUAAUUGCUAUUUAAGGAUUGUUAUGAGCAUGUUUAGAUUAUUUAUGUCCAUUAGUUGGUAUCAGAGCAAUGUAUGCCUCUGCCUUGUUUGUUUUACAAUAUGCGUUUUUCAAUAAAUAAAAAAAAUACAGUCAGUUUGGUAUUUUGGAGUUUAUGGUUUUUAGAAGUUUUUGAUGAAAAAUAUGGUUAGAAAUCAUUAGGAGAUGAGAUUUCUAACAUUUUAGUGUUUAAAAUCGUCAAUCUACUGUCUGGAAUACACGGAAACUGUCGGGUUUCAUUUCAGGUUGCAAAUGGGUCAAACAUACCCGGUUGAAGGUAGAAGACGACUAGGCUUGUCAUUUUGACUAUAAACAAUUAAGAAAUAAAUAAAAAAUAAAUAAGAAAAGGGGUAUUAGCCCAGUUGGUCUCAACUUUGCUUUUCCUCAACCAUUGUCCAAGUUCGACUCUUUCCAACACCAAUCUUUAGUUUUUUUAUUUAUUUUUUAUUUGGAAAUUCAUAAAAUUUAGUGUUUUAAGAUAUGUUAAUUCAUGGGUUUCUUUAUGGAUAUUUUAUGUGCUAGAUUAUUUAUUUUUGUUAGUUAAAUGUAUAUUUUUAUGAUUUAUUAUGCACACAACAUUAAAUUAAAUAAUUUUGCACAUUAAAUUUAUUAUUAAAGGCUCUUUAUGGAUUUAAUUUUAGAUAUUUAUGUACUUAUAAUAUUUAUUUCAUAAUUUUUUGUGUAUGAUUUGUUGUUUUAUUAUACAUGCAAUAUUGAGUUGAAUAAUAUUAGUACAUUGAUAUUGAGUUUUGUGUACAUAUUGCUUAUGGUUUCAUACAAUUUAUAUAAGCUUUUCUUGUGAAUUAAUUAAAUGUCAAGUGAUCCAUAUAAUUUUAAUUAAUUAAGGAGUAGCCACAGCAUCUUUAAUUAUGCAAAAUUAUAUAUUAAGUGUUUUAGGAUCACAUAUAGGAAAAUGAAAUUACGAGUAAUUAAUUAUAUUUGAUAUAAUAAAAUUUUAUCCCACAAUUUUUUUAUAUUAUAUUUAUAUGAUUAAUUAGGAUGGAAUAUCAAAUUAUAUUUCUUAAUUACCCACAGGAAUUAGGAAAGAGAACAUAAUUUGAUAGUUUUAUCAUAAGGUUUUACAUGGAUCUAAUUGAAUUAGAACUUUAGCCCACAAACAAGUUUUAUGUCACUAGAUUCACAAUUUUGGAACAUGAGUUACAUUGGUAAAACAUGAUUUAUGGUUAUUAGUCUUAAUUUUGAAUUAUAAGCAUGUAUAUUUAAUUUUUGUGUAGUCAUGCAACCUGCGAAUUUCUCUAAUAUAAAAUGUGACAUUCCCAAAUUGAAAGGUGAUAACUAUAAGGUUUGGAAGGAAAGAAUUCUCCUUCAUUUGGGGUGCAUGGACAUUGAUUAUGCUAUUAGAAAGGACAAAUUAACCAUUAUUGACACCAACACUACAACAGAAAAGGCUCUUUAUGAACAAUGGGAGCGAUUAAAUCGCCUUAGUUUGAUGUUCAUAAAGACCAAAAUCUCUGAUGGUAUUCGUGGUUAUGUCGAUCAACAUGACAAUGUCAAGGCAUUACUGAAGACUAUUGAUGAGCAAUUUGUGACUUUAGAUAAGGCAUUUUCCAGCACCCUAAUAAUGAAGUUUUCAUUCUUAAGGCUCACCGAUGUGAGUAGUGUGUGAGAGCACAUAAUGCAGAUGAGGGACAUUAUGGCACAAUUGAAGACACUCUUUCACAAUAAUAUAGACCCUUCAAAAUCUCCUACAACACACACAAGGAUAAGUGGUCAAUUAAUGAGUUUUUGACCAUGUGUGUUUAAAAGGAGGGAAGACUGAAAAUGUAAUUAGGUGAGAGUGCAUUAAUGGAAAUGGAAGGAAAGAAUUAAAAUUAGGCAAAAAAGAAAGGGAAAGGUAAAAUACCAUCCCAAGGUGGAAUCAAGAAGGUCAAUAGGUGUUUCUUCUGCAUGAAGAAGGGGCACAUGAAAAAGGGUUGAAACAAAUUCCAGAAAUGGCUUGAGAAGAAAGGUAAACUAAUCUCAUUUGUUUGUUAUGAAUCUAAUAUGGUUAAUGUUAUUUAUAACACAUGGUGGAUUGAUUCUGGUUCUACAAUUCAUGUUUCGAAUACCUUGCAAGGUAUGUGAAACCUAAGAAAGCCAAUGCCAAGUGAGCAAUGCAUUUAUUUAGGAAACAAGAUGCGUUCACAUGUGGAGGCUGUUGGAACAUGCAGCUUAGUUUUAAGUAGUGAUUUUAUUUUGAAUUUAGAAAAGACACUUUAUGUUCCCAGUUUCUUUAGGAAUUUGAUUUCAGUUUCCAGAGUUAUACCUUUGGGUUAUUCCUUUAGUUUUUAUGAGACAUUUUUUAAUUUGUUUUAUAAAUCUAAUCUUGUUGGAAAUGGUACAUUGUCUAAUGGUCUUUUCUCUUUCAAUUUUCAAAAUGAUACCACUAAUAACACUAUGCAUGUUCAUACUAGCAAGGAUUGAAAUAUCGGUUUUUACGGAUAUAUCGGUACUUCGAUUUUACGGAUAUAUCGGAAAUAUCGGAGAAAUAUAGGUGGAUAUUUUUUCACAAAUAUCGGUGGGAUGAAAAUUAUUUAAAAUUAAUAGGAAUGCUUGAAAAAAACUUUAAAAAAUGAUAAAAUAAGUAAGAAUCCAUAUUUUAAAGUUAUAUUGUAAGUGUAAUUGAUAUAUAUAUAUAUAUAUAUAUAUAUAAUUAAGAAGAAAAAUAUCUUAAACAGAGAUAUAUUGGUAGAUUCGAUAUUUGAAUUUUAAAAAUAAUAUAUAUGAAUUUUGAAAGUGUAUAAAAUUAGAAUUGAGUUAAGAAAUAUUUGAUUUUAUUGAAUAAAAACAAUUUGUACAUAAAUAUAAUACAUAUGAGAUUGCAAUAAUCCUUAUACUAAGGAAGAGAUCGAUGUGAUUUCAUUAUAUUAUUAGAUGAAGGGAGUUCAUCUUAUUGAAGACAGUAUUUAUUUUAAAAUUUUUAAAAUACUUUUAUUAAAACAUAUUUUAUUAUAUUUUAAAUGAAAAAUUAAAUUAAUUUAUAUAAAAUAUCUUAUUUGAGAUUUAAUUUUUAAAAUUUUAUUAAAAAUACAUCGUAACAAUUUUUUCUAUUAAUAUUAAUUAAUUUAAUAAUCAAAAUAAGGUUGAUAAUUAAUAAUUAUUUAUAUAGAGAGUGGAAAAUUGUUCUCAUGAUUUUUUUAUUUUUUAUUUUUUAUUUUUUUAUCUCCACUAAAUCUAAAAAUAAAAAAGGCACGCACUUCUCUCGGCAUCAAGAAUCCUUUUCUGAAGUUGUCCUCCAAUGAGAGAAUCCCUAAAAAAAAGCCCUAUUUUCCUCUGCUACUCCUCUCGGCAUCAAGAAUCCUUUUCUGAAGUUGUCCUCCAACGAGAGAAUCCCUAAAAAAAGCCCUAUUUUCCUCUACUUCUCUCAAAUCUCAAUCCUCGCAGGUACUAAUCUAAUCAUGUUAUUAUCAUUAUUUUUUUUGCAACCCCGUUUGAUUCCCAAGAAAAUCCAUUCCCCAUUCGAUUUCCGGGAAAAUUCAUCCUCGUUUGAUUUCCGAGAAAAUCCAUUCAAAACCCCCAAAGAAAACCAAAAAAAUUGCUUUUCUUUUGCUCCCUAUGUUUUCUGGAUCUGUUUUAGGGGUCUCUUUGCUGUUGUGCCAUUGGAUUUAAAUUUCACGAACCCUAAAUCCACGAUUUUUGAGCCAGGCUAAAAAACAUAACUGUGCGGGCUAGACUAGUAGGAAAUAUCGGGAAAUUUUCCGAAAAAUCGGUAAAAAUACCUCUUGUUGCUCCGCCUGUUAGAUCCACUCGCGAUUUUUCUCCGAUUUAUCGGUGCUUCGCCGAUAUUUCGGCGAUUUUGCCGAUUUUUUAGCGAUAUUUCCGUGGAUCGAUAAUCGGUAGCCAUUAUCGUUUCGGUGACGACCGAUAUCCGAUAUUUCUUCGAAAUAUCGGCGAUAUUUCCCGAUUUUUCAAUCCCUGAAUACUAGUACAAAACAAUGUGUUAUGAAUGAAGAUUCCCCUAUGUUGUGGCACCAAAGAUUGGGAAAUAUCUCCAUACAAAGAAUUAAGAGAUUAGUAAAUGAUGGAGUACUUGGUACUUUAGAUUUUACUGAUUUUCACACUUAUGUGGAUUGCAUUAAGGAAAAGUGGACCAACAAUUCUAAGAAGGGUGCCAAGAGGAGCACAAACAUACUAGAGAUCAUACAUUCAGAUAUUUGUUGUCCAAACAUGAACGCAUAUGGUCCGAAGUACUUCACCUCCUUCAUAGAUGAUUACUCACGAUACAUGUAUAUCUACUUGCUUCAUAACAAGAAUGAAGCAUUGGGUGUCUUUAAAGUUUUUAAGGCUGAAGUAGAAAAAUAAUGCGAAAAGCAAAUAAAGAUCGUGAGAACAUAUAGAAGUGGAGAAUAUUAUGGUAGAUACACCGAGGAUGGACAAGCACCUGGUCCAUUUGCGAAGUUUCUUCAAGAGCAUGGGAUUGAUGCUCAAUACACCAUGUCUAGUUCCCCAGACCAAAAUGGUGUGGCUGAAAGAAGAAACCGAGCAUUAAUGGACAUGGUUAGAAGUACGCGUAGCAAUUCCAAGCUUCCUAAAUCCUUGUGGACUGAAACUCUUAAAAUGAUAGUGUAUUUAUUGAACCGAGUUCCAACAAAGGUUGCUCCCAAGAUGCCAUUUGAAUUAUGGAAAGAUUGGAAAUUGAGUUUACAACAUAUACUCGUUUGGGGAUAUCUAUCUGAAGUAAGGGUUUACAACCCACAAGAGAAGAAACUAGACCCAAGGAUCAUUAGUGCGUAUUUCAUUUGAUAUGCCAAAAGGUCUAAAGGGUAUAGAUUCUAUUGUCCAUCUCACAACACUAGGAUUGUGAAGUCAAGAAAUGCUAAGUUUCUUAAGAAUGACUUGAUUAGUGGGAGCGAUCGAUUACAGGACAUUGUUUCUGAAAAAGAUCAUAUUGAUGCUCAAUCAUCCACUUCAAGUGAUAGAUUGAUUGUCGUUCACAACACCUCUCAAGUUCAAACAGGUGAUAGACAACCAAUCAUUAAAGUUCCAUAAAUUGCUGAUGACAAUCCAGUAGAUCAAGUUGUUUAAGAUUCACCGCAAAAAAUUAUUGAACAAUCUGUUGAGCAACGUGAUCCUUAGGAAAAUGUUGAUACAACAUUAAAGAGAUCUACCAAAGCAAGAAAAACAACAAUACCUAGUGAUUAUGUUGUGUAUAUACAAGAAUCAAACUACGACAUUGGAGCCAAAAAUGAUCCUGAAAUGCUUUCACAAGCCAUAAGUUGCAAAGAGUCAAAUUUUAUGCUAUGAUGCUAUGAAAGAUGAGAUGAAUUCUAUGGCAUCUAACGGAGUCUGAAAUCUUGUUGAGUUGUCUGAUGGUGCAAAAUCUAUUAGAUGUAAAUGGCUCUUCAAGACAAAAAAGGAUUCAUUGGGCAACAUUGAAAGAUAUAAAGCAAGACUCAUUGCUAAAUGAUUCACUCAAAAUGAAGGAAUUGACUACAAGGAGACUUUUUCUCCUGUAUCUAAGAAAGAUUCUCUUCGUAUCAUUAUGACAUUAGUUGCACAUUUUGACUUAAAGUUGUAACAAAUGGAUGUGAAAACAACAUUUCUCAAUGGAAAUCUAGAGGAAGAGGUUUACAUGAAACAACUACAAGGAUUUUCCUCUAGUGGUGGUAAGCAUAUGGUAUGCAAGCUUAAAAAAUCCAUAUAUGGAUUGAAACAAGCAUCCCGUUAGUGGUAUUUGAAGUUUCAUGAUGUUAUCUCUUCAUUUAGUUUUGUAGAGAACAUUAUGGAUCAAUGUAUAUAUCAGAAAGUUAGUGGGUAUAAGAUUUGUUUCCUUGUUCUAUAUGUGGAUGACAUUUUACUUGCAACCAAUGAUAAGGGUUUGCUACAUGAGGUGAAACAAUUUCUCUUUGAAAACUUUGACAUGAAGGAUAUGGGUGAUGCGACUUAUGUCAUUGGCAUUAAGAUACAUAGAGACAAAUUUCGAGGCCUUUUGGGUUUGUCUGAAAAGACCUAUAUCAACAAAGUUUUAUAAAGAUUUCAGAUGAAGGAUUGUUCACUAAGUAUAGCUCCCAUUGUGAAGGGUGAUAGGUUCAAUUUGGACCAGCGCCUGAAGAAUGAUCUUGAUCAGGAACAAAUGAAGAACAUUCCUUAUGCUUUUGCUGUUGAAAGCUUGAUGUAUGCUCAGGUCUGCAUAAGACUUGAUACUGCAUUUGCUAUUGGGAUGUUAGGAAGAUAUCAUAGUAAUCUAGGUAUAGACCAUUGGAAAGCUACAAAGAAGGUGAUGAGGUACCUUCAGGGGACCAAAGACUACAUGUUUAUGGAUAGACAAACUGAUAAUUUAGAACUAAUUGGCUACUUUGAUUCAAACUACACUGGAUGCAUUAAUUCACGAAAAUCAACUUCAGGAUAUGUCUUUAUGCUAGCCGGUGGAGCUAUUUCUUGGAGAAGUGCAAAGCAAACUUUGACUGCAAUUUCCACUAUGGAGGUUGAGUUUAUGUCUUGUUUUGAGGCUACUUCACAUGGUGUAUGGUUAAAGAGUUUCAUUUCUAAGCUUAGAGUUGUGGAUUCAAUUUCUAGGCCAUUGAAGAUAUAUUAUGACAAUUCAACUACAGUAUUUAUGGCUAAGAAUAACAAAAGUAGCAGUUGAAACAAGCACAUCGACAUCAAGUAGCAGUUGAAACAAGAACAUGGGAUAGUUGCUCAAUACACCAUGCCUGGUUCCCCAGACCAAAAUGGUGUGGCUGAAAGAAGAAACCGAACAUUAAUGGACAUGGUUAAGAGUAUGCGUAGCAACUCUAAGCUUCCUCAAUCCUUGUGGACUAAAGCUCUUAAAAUGAUAGUGUAUCUAUUGAACCCAAUUCAAACAAAGGUUGUCCUCAAGACGCCAUUUGAAUUAUGGAAAUAUUGGAAAUCGAGUUAGCGACAUAUACAUGUUUGGGGAUGCCCGUCUAAAGUAAAAGUUUACAACUCACAAGAGAAGAAACUAGACCCAAGGACCAUUAUUGCGUAUUUCAUUGGAUAUAAUGAAAGGUCUAAAGGGUAUAGAUUCUAUUAUCCAUCUCACAACACUAGGAUUGUGGAGUCAAGAAAUGCUAAGUUUCUUGAGAAUAACUUGAUUAGUGGGAGCAAUCAAUUUCAAGACAUUGCUUCUGAAAAAGAUCAUAUUAAUGUUCAACCAUGAACUUCAAGUGAUAGAUUGAUUGUCAUUCACAACGCCCCUUAAGUUCAAACAGGUGAUCGACAACCAAUCAUUGAAGUUCCACAAAUUGCUGAUGACAAUCCAAUAGAUCAAGUUGUUCAAGAUUCGCCAGAAAUUGUUAAACAACUUAUUGAGCAAUGUGAUCCUUAGGAAAAUGUUGAUACAACUUUAAGGAGAUCUACUAGAGCAAGAAAAACAUCAAUACCUAGUGAUUAUGUUGUGUAUCUGUAAGAAUCAGACUACAACAUUAGAACCGAAAAUGAUCCUGAAACGUUUUCACAAGCCAUAAGUUGCAAAGAGUCAAAUUUAUGGUAUGAUGCUAUGAAAAAUGAGAUGAAUUCUAUGGCAUCUAACAGAGUCUGGAAUCUUGUUGAGUUGCCUAAUGAUGCAAAAGCCAUUAGAUGUAAAUUGGUUUUCAAGACGAAGAAGGAUUCAUUGGGCAACAUUGAAAGAUAUAAAGAAAGACUCGUUGCUAAAGGAUUCAUUCAAAAUGAAGGAAUUGAUUACAAGGAGACUUUUUUUCCUGUAUCUAAGAAAGAUUCUCUUCGUAUCAUUAUGAUAUUAGUUGCACAUUUUGACUUAGAGUUGCAAAAAAUGGAUGUAAAAAUGACAUUUCUCAAUGGAAAUCUAGAGGAAGAGGUUUACAUGAAACAACUAGAAGGAUUUUCCUCUAGUAGUGGUGAGCAUCUGGUAUGCAAGCUUAAGAAAUUCAUAUAUGGAUUGAAACAAGCAUCUCGUCAAUGGUAUUUGAAGUUUCAUGAUGUUACCUCUUCAUUUGGUUUCGUGGAGAACAUUAUGGAUCAAUAUAUAUAUAUAUAUAUAUAUAUAUAUAUAUAUAUAUAUAUAUAUAUAUAUAUAUAUAUAUCAGAAAGUCAGUGGGAGUAAGAUUUGUUUCCUUGUUCUGUAUGUGGAUGACAUUUUACUUGCAACCAAUGAUAAGGGUUUGCUACAUGAGGUGAAACAAUUUCUCUUUAAAAACUUUGACAUGAAGGAUAUGGGUGAUGCGAUUUAUGUCAUUGACAUUAAGAUACAUAGAGACAAAUUCCAAGGCCUUUUGGGUUUGUCUCAAGAGACCUAUAUCAACAAAGUUUUAGAGAGAUUUCAGAUGAAGGAUUGUUCACCAAGUAUAGCUCCCAGUGUGAAAGGCGAUAGGUUCAAUUUAGACCAGCGCCCGAAGAAUGAUUAAGAGGAUAAACAAAUGAAUAACAUUCCUUAUGCUUCUACUGUUUGAAGCUUGAUGUAUGCUCAAGUCUACACAAAAUCGGACAUUGUAUUUGUUGUUGGGAUGUUAGGAAGAUAUCAUAGUGAUCCAGGUAUAGACCAUUGGAAAGCUGCAAAAAAGGUGAUGAGGUACCUUUAGGGAACCAAAGACUACAUGCUUAUGUAUAGAUGGACUGAUAAUUUAGAAUUGAUUAGCUACUCUUAUUUGGACUACACUGGUUGCACUAAUUCGCGAAAAUCAACUUCAGGAUAUGUCUUUAUGCUAGCCGAUAGAGCUAUUUCUUGGAGAAGCGCAAAACAAACUUUGACUACAACUUCCACUAUGGAGAUUGAGUUCGUGUCUUGUUUUGAGGCUGCCUCGCAUGGUGUAUGGUUAAAGAGUUUCAUUUCUAGGCUUAGAGUUGUGGAUUCAAUUUCUAGGUCAUUGAAGAUAUAUUGCGACAAUUCAGUUGCAGUUUUUAUGGCUAAGAACAACAAAAGUAGUAGUCGAAACAAGCACAUCGACAUCAAGUAUUUAGCCAUAAGAGAACGUGUUAAAGAGAAAACAGUGGUUAUUGAACACGUUAGCACUGAAUUGAUGAUUGACGAUCCUUUGACUAAAGACAUGCCACCGUUGAAAUUUAAGGAUCAUGUAGACAAAUUGGGACUUGGUUCCUUUGUGUGAUUUUUGUUGUAAGAACGAAUGUUAUUUUCAAUGAAACUCUAUUUGUGAUGUUUUCUCAUAUUUGAUUUUCUUUGUGUACACUUUUAUUCAUUUAUUGAGAAAUAUCAUUAAUGUUUGGACCUAGAAUAAACGCAGGGUUUAUUCAUUAAGUUAUAUGGGCUAGUGUUUAAGAGACAUAAUGCAUUGUGAUACAUGAAAGAUAAUACUCGGUUUUAGAGGCCUUAUCGCCAUUAUUCGUGUGUUUUGUUUCUUGCUAUGGUGAAUGAUGGAAUAUAUGGACCAAGUGGGAGAAUAUUGGGAUUUUGUUUCUCUUGGAUCUUUAGCAAUAAACCAAAGACGUGAUUCGGAAUGUGGUCCACAUUCAUUCCAUCAAUUUAGGAACGAGGAUUAACUUUCGGAACCACGUUCGUAUCACUACCCCAUGUUCUAUGCAAGCUCGAGGCAGACUCGGUGAUGGAGAGAGUCUUUAAAAAGGGGCAAAGCACUAAAUGGUGGGGUUCCCUAAGCCUUCAAUCUCUUUUAGUCUUAAAAAAACACCUUCUAAGUAGAGGUUGAGAAGGUCUAGAAGCACCUGAAACCUGAAAAAUUGAAGACAUUGUUUUAACUGUAAGAAUGGCAAUGGUGGGAGGUAUGUUUUCGGUUUGUUUUCAAUUCCGCUUAUGAUCUAAUUGUUAUUUAAGGAUUGUUAUGAUCAUGUUUAGAUUAUUUAUGUCCAUCAGAAGAAUCCAUAGAUCACAUCCUCCUUUAUUGUUCUCUAGUUAAGAUCCUUUGACAGUUGUUUGAUCUCUUUGGUAUUUAUUGGGUGUAAGUUGCUAUGGUAAAGGAGGCUUUUUUAGGGUGGCACGGUUCUUUUGUGGGCAAAAUGAGGAAAAAAGUUUGGAGAGUGGCUCCUUUAAAUUUAUUUUGGAUGUUUGAAAGGAGAGAAAUCUCAAGUCAAUUGAGAGUAAACAACAUUUUGUUCAUUUUUUAGAAGAUUAUUUUUUUUUAGAAAUUUGUUUUCUUGGGUAAAAUAUUAUAUAGAGAUUGAUUCUGUCUUUACUUGAUUUUAUUGAGUGGCUGGGUUGUAGUUAAGGGAGGGGGUUGUUGAGGGUUUUUUCUUAUUUCUGUGCUAUUAGACACUUUUUUUAUAUGUCCUAUGUAUUGUAGAGUGUCUUUGUGGCGUUUUUAUUUUUUAACACAUUUGGUUUUAUUUAUCGAAAAAGGCAAAAAAAAAGUAUGGUGGCAAUUCGACCCUUGCAUUGUUCAAGUGGUAAAGUUCGAUAGUUCCAUGUAAAAGCGCACCACAAAUUUAAAAAAAAAAAAAAAAAAACACAAAAACAAAAACAAAAUGGCGGCAAUUCAAUAAGCAGCCUAACAUCCUCUUGGCCACAUCCUUUAGAACAACCUAACAAUUUGCAUUACAGAACUACAUACCCUCUAUUUCACUUGAUUAUUGAUUUGGGUGGGCCUGUUAUUGAUACUUGUAUCACCCAUAACAAAGUUACAGCCUGACUAUGGCAUGUUGUGGCUGACUGAUAAGCAUGGUAAUAUAUUUCUGGGAACAAAGUUCAAAUUUUAACUACUUGCAACACUCUUUCAACUUUGUUGUUUCUUUCACUCAUGCAGUAAUGGAUAUUUGCUAGUUUCUUCUAGAAGCAUUUUUAACUAUUUUAAGUGGUUAUUGGAAUCUUGGAUUACAUUUGGUGUUAAGUCCCAAAAUGUGGACCUUGAACUUUUUUGAGCCCCAUAAAGAUGUUAAAACCAUGGAUCUAUGAAUUUUCAAUAACAAUACAGCAUUUUAUUCAAAAAAACAUAUAGCAGUUGGGAUUCAAAACUCAAAUAAGGGCUAUGAGCUUGCAGCUGAUAUAUGGAGCCUUGGAUGCAAUGUGUUAGAGAUAUUGACUCGUUGACCCCCAUAUUCCCACUUGGAAGGCAUAGGUAUGACAUUUCGUAGAUAUACAACAUUAUUUUCUUUAAUAUUUUUUCUUGUUUUGUUCUUCAGUCUAUGCUCUUCAAUUACUUGUUAUUCAAAUUGAUGAUAUGGAAAUUGGUUGUGUUUGGCUCUGACUUUGAAAAUGUUGAUGAUUUUAAAGUAAGGGUGAAGAUCUUGACCCAAAGUCUACCCAUUUUUGAAGGAUUCAACAUAAAAACACUAAAAUAAAAAACAUGUCUGAAAUUAUUUGGUUGAUUGAAUCCAAGAGCUUCUCAAAUCCACGCACCUUAUCAUUUGGUGAUUAUCAGCACAUGGGUUUAAGUGGAAAGAAGGUUCAAUCUGAAUCCAUUUAUCUUUGGAUAAUUUGCAAUUAUGGAUUAUAUUUUUCAUUUUUAUGUAUUGUUAUUUCAUGCAAGACUGUUUAGUUUCUUUCUUUUUCUCUAUAGUUCCUUUUGUAAUUUCUUCAAUCGACUUUGUUUAGAGAAUGCCACUCAAUAUCUGUCUUGUCUUGGCUGUCAUGUAUGAAUACCAUGGAUUUAUCAAUAUUUUCUUUUAUGUUAUCAGACACUCCAAUUUACAAGUGCAGGACUAAAUAGGCUCAAAUCAUUGGCAACAACUUUUCUCAGUUGUCCUAUGACAUUUUGUAGUCACUCCAGAUUUUUCCUUCUUUUAAAUUUCUUCUUUUGUAAUAAUCUGGGUGAAGGAGCCUCACAUUCCUGAUUGUGUGACCUUCCUUGAUGAAGGACAGUGCAGAUGAUGCUAGAACUCAUGGUAGUAGAUUCAAAAUCUUGUUGAAUUGCCAAUUGAUAACGUUUUGAAACACCAGACAUUUUAUCACCGAAUUGGAAGUUGAAUGUUUCUGAAUAAGGUUUUGACUUGAUUAUUGCUUGUGUUAUCUAGGAAGCUCUGAAGGCACCCAAACUGCCUCUGGAACUUUUCUUUCUUGAAACUGUAAGCUGAAUACACGUUCACACGUUCUCACUUCAUGAUAUGGUCCAACACUUUGACCACGUCCUCCACCAUCUCAUCUUCCGCUGCGAUUAAGGAGCACGUUCCACCAACUGCUCAACAUGGUGGCAAGAGGCAACGUGGUUUGAUGGAAGCCACUGUUAUAAAGUUUUUCAGAAAAUGGUCCUGAACUCACUCUGUUAUUAUCUUCAAAAAAACACCAUCUAAAAAAGAGAGAUCAGAGUUUGGAAAUCUGGGUUUUUGAAACCAACUACAAUGGCUGGAGGUAAGUAGACUAUUCUUAGUCUUUUCGGUUUUGAUUCAUAUUGCAAGUACAUUGGAAUCGAAUAUAGCAUAUAAACUUUCUUACAUUUGGUAUCAGAGCCAUAAAUCUUGCCUCUGCUUUGUAUUGUUUCUGAGUGAAAAAUUCUUGUUUUUAUGAUCUCUUGAUAAUUAUUUAAACGAUUGCUGCUGGAGAUCCAUAUAUAGUUGGCAUCAUUCAUUUAUAAAAGGCCAUUACAGGCGUUCAAAAGAUGCCAUUUUCUGGCGCUCCAGUAGCGCUAUUAAGGCGUCAUUUUCAGGCGCACCAGUGACUCCGUUUCAGGUGCCAUUUUAGAUGCGCUUCAGGCCCCAUACCUGGCACUGUUCAGUUGCCAUUUUUGGGGCUGCAACCAGCGCCAUACCAGCGCCAAUUUUCAGGCGCGUUGAAGUGCCAUUUUUUGGGGCUAUAACCAACGCCGUUCAAGCACUGUUACUAGGCGUCGUUCAGGCUCCAUUUAAGGCGCACCUUAGCCACCAUCUCAACGCCGUUCAGGCGCCAUUAGAAACGCCAUUUUUUUGGGCUGCAAGUCGUCGUUCGCACGCCGUGUUGAAGCACUGCAGACGGCUUCAUGGCUUGGACUGCAUCCAGCAAGGGUGCAGUCCACGUGGGUGGCGGCGAGAACGUCGCUGCCGGUGUUGAAGCAGUCCACUGGGUGGCAGAAAAAAUAGGAUCUUGGGUUUCGGUUGCAGGUGAUAUUAAAAUAGUGAGGAAUCUAGAGAGAGAUGGGGCUCCACUAAGGUUAUGGGCCUUUAUAUAACUGGCUAUUGGGCCCAUUAGGUUCAAAAAUGGGCAAUGGCCCAUUUUACAAAAAUAAAAGGCAUUAAAUUGGGGCAUGUAUAAAUGUAAAAAAUUGGGCCAGUUUAUGCUCUUUUUGGCCUGAUUUUUUAUUUAUUUAUUUAUUUUUAUUUUAACUAUAUUGGGUAUGGAAUUGAUUGUGUUUUAUUUGGAUUUAGGCACUCAUUCAUAAUCCAAAACCUUUAAAAUUAUCAUGUAAAUUUUAUACAUGCAAAAUAAAUAAUUAUAUACUGCUUUAUAUGUUUGUAGCCUAAAUUAAAGUUGUAGCUUUUAAUGCAUGCAAUUGUUGCCUAAAAUUUAGUUAGAUAUAUUAAAAUUAUAUCAUAUAGUUUUAAUGUCUAGUGAAACCAUGUGAUUUUUAAAUAAUUAAGGAAUAGCCACAGCAUCCUUAAUUAUAUAAAAAUUAUAUAUUAAAUAAAUAAGGAUCACAUUAUGGACAUUAAUUGUAAUUAAUUAUAUAAAUAUGAUGAUUUUACCCCACAGGGUUUUCAUUAUGUUUAUAUAAUUAAUUAGGAUAAAAUAUUAAAAUUAAUUUUUUCCUAAUUUACCCACAGGAGUUAGGAAGAAUUAAUUUAAUAGGUUUAUCAUAAGGAUUAUAGACAAAAAAAAAAUAUCAAACUAUAUUCAUAAUUCAAUAAAAUAGUUUGAUAAAGUCUAUCAUAAAGAUAAUUAAUCUUAUUGAAUUAAAGAUUUAGCCCACAGACAAUUUUUAAUAAAAUUAGAUUCAAUUUUAAGCAUGUUCUACAUUGGUAAAGCAUGAAUUUAUAUUAAAGCCUAAAAUUUUUAAUAAGCUUGUAAUCCUUUUGUGCAGUUUUAUCUAGCAUAUCUGAUAUUCGUUGUGAGGUUCCCGAACUUAGAGGAGAUAACUUUAAGAUAUGGAAGGAGAGAAUUCUUCUUCAAUUAGGGUGCAUGGACAUAGAUUAUGCUAUAAGGAAAGAUGAACCGCAUAAGAUCACUGAUACCAGCACACCUGAACAAAUUUUAUUGUACGAACGCUGGGAGAAAUCUAAUCGCCUUAGCGUGAUGUACAUUAAGACAAAAAUCAGUGCUGGUAUACGUGGUUCAAUCGAGCAACAUGAGAAUGUCCAUGAAUUGCUAAAGGCUAUUGACGAGCAAUUCGUCACUUCAGAUAAAGCCUUGGCAAGCACCCUAAUUAUGAAGUUCACAUCCCUGAAGCUCACCGGUAUAAGAGGUGUGCGUGAACAUAUCAUGGAGAUGAGGGACAUUGUGGCUCAAUUGAAGAAACUCGAGGUAGAAAUAUCUGAAUCUUUCUUGGUGCACUUUAUCCUUAACACUCUUCCACCUCAGUAUGGACCUUUCAAAAUCUCUUACAACACACAUAAGGAUAAGUGGUCUAUCAAUGAAUUGAUGACCAUGUGUGUUCAAGAGGAAGGAAGGUUAUUGAUGGAACAGGGAGAAAGUGCCAUGCUGGUGACGCAAAGGAAAGGAAAGAAAGGAAAAUCUCAAGCUAGUCAGAAAGGAAAGCAACAAAUUCCUCCUAAAUCUGACAUUAAGAAAGACGAAAAGUGUUUUUUCUGUAAAAAGAAAGGACAUGUGAAGAAGAAAUGUCUGAAAUUUCAGAAUUGGCUUGAGAAGAAAGGUAACCCUACCUCAUUUGUUUGCUAUGAAUCUAAUAUGGUUAAUGUAAACACCAACACAUGGUGGAUUGAUUCUGGAUCUACAAUCCACAUUUCAAAUUCCUUGCAGGGUAUGCAAAACCUAAGGAAGCCAGUGACAAGUGAGCAAUUCAUCUUAUCCGGAAACAAGAUGGGCUCGCAUAUGGAAGCAAUAGGGACAUGUUAUUUAACUUUAAAUAGUGGUUUUGUUUUAGAAUUGCAAAAGACUUUUUAUGUACCAAGUUUCUCACGAAACUUGAUUUCAGUUUCUAGACUUGUACCGUUUGGAUAUUCCUUUCAUUUUUCAGAAACAUCUUUCAAUUUGAUUUAUAAAUCUGAAUGUGUUGGGAAUGGUAUCUUGUCUGAUGGUCUUUAUUGUAUAUUCUUACAAAAUGAUACUGCUCAUAAUUCAUUGCAUGUCCAAACUGGCAUUAAGAGAUGUGUUGUAAAAGAGGAUUCCUCUACAUUGUGGCACCGGAGAUUAGGUCAUAUCUCCAUAGAUAGAAUCAAAAGAUUGGUGAAUGAUGGGGUACUUAGUACUCUAGAUUUUACUGACUUUGAGACUUGUGUGGACUGCAUUAAGGGUAAGCAGACCAAUAAGUCAAAGAGAGGUGCUACUAAGAGUUCCACCAUACUAGAGAUCAUACAUACUGAUAUAUGUAGUCUUGACAUGGACUCUCAUGGUCAGAAAUACUUCAUCUCUUUCAUAGAUGAUUUCUCACGAUACAUGUAUCUCUACAUACUUCAUAAUAAAAAUGAAGCUUUAGAUGCCUUUAAAGUCUUCAAGGCAGAAGUAGAGAAACAAUAUGGUAAACAAAUUAAGAUUGUGAGAUCAGAUAGAGGUGGAGAAUAUUAUGGUAGAUACUUGGAAGAUGGACAAUCACCUGGACCAUUUGCGAAGUUUCUUCAAGAGCAUGGGAUUGUUGCCCAAUACACCAUGCCUGGUUCUCCAGACCAAAAUGGUGUAGCAGAAAGAAGAAACCGAACUUUAUUGGACAUGGCGAGGAGUAUGCUUAGCAGCUCAAAACUUCCUAAAUUCUUAUGGACUGAAACACUUAAGACAGCUGUGUAUAUAUUAAACCGAGUUCCAACCAAGGCUGUCCCAAAGACGCCAUUUGAGUUAUUGAAAGGUUGGAAACCGAGUUUGCGACAUAUGCGCGUUUGGGGAUGCUCGUCUGAAGUGAGAAUUUAUAAUCCACAAGAGAAGAAACUGGACCCAAGGACUAUUAGUGGGUAUUUCAUUGGAUAUGCUGAAAAGUCUAAGGGGUACAGAUUUUACUGUCCAUCUCACAGCACUAGGAUUGUGGAAUCGAGAAAUGCUAAAUUUCUUGAAUAUGACUUGGUCAGUGGGAGCGAUCAAUUUAGAAACAUAGUUUCUGAUAUUGAUCAUACAGAGUCUCAACCUUCCACUUCAAGUGAUAGAUUGUUUAUUGUUCAUAACACCCCUCAAGUACAAUCGGGUGUAGAACGAACAAUCACUGAAGUUCAACCAGUCGUUGAAGUUCCACAAGUUGUUGACAACAUUCCAGUAGAUCAAGUUGAUCAGGAGUUUCCUGAUACUUCUGGACAACAAGUUGAACCUCAUACUUCCUUAGAAGAUAUUGGUGCAACCUUAAGAAGGUCUACUCGAACUAAGAGGUCAGCAAUUCCUAAUGAUUAUGUAGUGUAUCUACAGGAAUGUGACUACAAUAUAGGAGCCGAAAAUGAUCCCGAAUCUUUUUCACAAGCCAUGAGUUGCAAAGAAUCAGAAUUGUGGUACAAUGCCAUGAAGGAUGAGAUGAGUUCCAUGAAGUGCAAUGAUGUUUGGGACCUUGUUGAGUUGCCUAAUGGUGUAAAAACCAUUGGUUGUAAAUGGGUUUUUAAGACAAAGAAAGACUCAUUAGGCAACAUUGAAAGAUACAAGGCCAGACUUGUUGCAAAGGGUUCACUCAGAAAGAAGGAAUCGAUUACACGGAAACCUUUUCUCCUGUAUCUAAGAAAGAUUCCUUGCGCAUUAUAUUGGCAUUAGUAGCCCACUUUGAUUUAGAAUUGCAACAAAUGGAUGUGAAAACAGCAUUUCUUAAUGGAGAGCUAGAGGAUGAGGUUUACAUGAAACAACCUGAAGGAUUCCCCUCUAGUGAUGGUGAGCAAUUGGUUUGUAAGCUUAAGAAAUCCAUAUACGGUUUGAAGCAAGCAUCCCGCCAAUGGUAUUUAAAAUUCCAUAACAUAAUUUCUUCAUUCGGUUUUGUUGAAAAUGUUAUGGAUCAAUGCAUAUACCUUAAGGUCAGUGGGAGUAAAGUUUGUUUUCUUGUUUUAUACGUGGAUGACAUCUUACUUGCAACCAAUGAUAAGGGUUUACUUCAUGAGGUAAAACAAUUCCUCUCUAAAAAUUUCGACAUGAAGGAUAUGGGCGAGGCAUCUUAUGUCAUUGGCAUUAAGAUCCAUAGAGACAGAUUUAAAGGUAUCUUAGGUUUGUCUCAAGAAACCUAUAUCAAUAAAGUUUUGGAGAGAUUUCGAAUGAAGAAUUGUUCACCUAGUGUUUCUCCUAUAGUGAAGGGUGAUAGGUUCAAUCUGGACCAAUGCCCGAAAAACGAUCUUGAGAGGGAACAAAUGAAGAACAUUCCAUAUGCUUCUGCAGUCGGAAGUUUGAUGUAUGCUCAGGUUUGCACAAGGCCUGACAUUACAUUUGCUGUUGGAAUGUUAGGACGAUAUCAGAGUAACCCAGGUAUAGACCACUGGAAAGCUGCAAAGAAAGUGAUGAGAUAUCUUCAAGGAACCAAAGAUUACAAGCUUAUGUACAGACGAACAAGCAAUUUAGAGGUAGUUGGCUACUCAGAUUCAGACUUUGCUGGCUGUGUUGAUUCACGUAAAUCAACAUCUGGAUACAUUUUUAUAUUGGCCGGUGGAGCUAUAUCUUAGAGGAGCGUUAAGCAGACCAUGACUGCUACUUCUACUAUGGAAGCUGAGUUCAUAUCUUGUUUUGAGGCUACUUCACAUGGUGUAUGGCUUAAGAGUUUCAUUUCCGGGCUUAGAGUUAUGGAUUCAAUAUCUAGGCCAUUGAGUAUAUAUUGCGACAAUUCAGCUGCAGUCUUUAUGGCGAAGAACAAUAAAAGUGGAAGUCGAAGCAAACACAUCGACAUUAAGUAUUUAGCCAUAAGAGAACGUGUUAAAGAAAAGAAAGUGGUUAUUGAGCACAUUAGCACUGAAUUGAUGAUCGCUGAUCCUUUGACUAAGGGCAUGCCACCAUUGAAAUUCAAGGAUCAUGUAGUGAACAUGGGACUUAGUUCCCUUAUGUAGUUUCUAUUGUACAAACUCUUAUUAUGAUGUUUUCUCAUAUUAAUGUGCACUUUUUAUUUAAUUUUGAGAAAAUUCAACUUCAUUGGACCAAGAAUGAACAUAGGGUUUAUUCAUUAAGUAAUAUUGCCACAUAAAGUAUAAUGUUAAGAAAUGAGUACAUUGUAAUACAUGGAAGGUAACACUCGUUAAAUAGAGGACUUAUCGCCAUGAUUCAUGUAUUUGUUACUUAAUGGGACAAUUGAUGGACUAAAUUAGGACAUUAGGUUAAAGGGGUGGACCAAGUGGGAGAAUGUAAGCUGAAUACACGUUCACACGUUCUCACUUCAUGAUAUGGUCCAACACUUUGACCACGUCCUCCACCAUCUCAUCUUCCGCUGCGAUUAAGGAGCACGUUCCACCAACUGCUCAACAUGGUGGCAAGAGGCAACGUGGUUUGAUGGAAGCCACUGUUAUAAAGUUUUUCAGAAAAUGGUCCCGAACUCACUCUGUUAUUAUCUUCAGAAAAACACCAUCUAAAAAAGAGAGAUCAGAGUUUGGAAAUCUGGGUUUUUGAAACCAACUACAAUGGCUGGAGGUAAGUAGACUAUUCUUAGUCUUUUCGGUUUUGAUUCAUAUUGCAAGUACAUUGGAAUCGAAUAUAGCAUAUAAACUUUCUUACAGAAACUUGACCAAUGACUCAUCUUUGGGCUAGAAAACAGGUUUUACAAAAGCAUCCUUGGCAUAAGGUUUGAUAUUAAUUUUUCUUCCAGCUAAGUUUGAAAAGCAAGAUUUUAGACUUGUAGAUUUGCGCUCUUCCUUCAAAUCAAGUACUUUGUGUAUGCAAAUAUUGACCAUGCAUCUUGCUUUGUGUUGUCCUGCAUCAUUACUCAACCUUAUAUUCCUUGAAUGCUCUACUCUUGUAUUCAUAAGAUAUGAUAACCAGACUUGUGUUAAUAUGCUUCUUGAUAUUGCUGUAGAUCUUGCCACUUAAGAAAUCAAGUUUUAGUGUUAUCUAUUUCAAGUCCUAUGCAAAGUUAAUUGGAAGGUUUCUGUUUAGAAAUGGGAAUGAAGGGGUGGAUCACAAUAUUCUGUGAAAGAGAGGAAUAAAACCUCCUGACAAAAGUGCGUUUUUGUUUCCAUGAGAAUGGUUUUUUAUUCCUAUUCGUAUUUCUAAUAUAGGUAGACUAAGCACAUUUAUGAAUGAAAAAUGAAAUGGAUUUCGAGCUUCCAUUCCCAUUCCUAUUCCAGAGUACCAAACAUGCCUUUGGUAUCUAAGGGAAAAAAAUUGUGUCACCUGAUAAUCAAUCUUACAACUUGGAAUGCAGCAUGCCUUUGCCAUGUAUGCCUCUAAGACGAGGGGAGGGGGCUUGGAUCCCGACCAGCAGACUCGUCGAAGGGUGGGGGGCAUAGCGGGUAUGUUCCUGAGGGGGUUGAAACCUCAGGGCACUUGGAAUGCAGCAUGCCUUUGCCAUGUAUGCCUCUAAGACGAGGGGAGGGGGCUUGGAUCCCAACCAGCAGACUCGUCGAAGGGUGGGGGGCAUAGCGGGUAUGCUCCUGAGGGGGUUGAAACCUUAGGGCCGGGGUCGGGGAAAGGGGAGAGGGGAGUGUGCUUGGUGUGGGGGAGAGACGAAUCAGGGCAACAUAGGAUUGAAUCUCAGUAGAUCAUGGUAGCAAGGCCACUCUGCCACUUACAAUACCCUAUCGCGUAUUUAAGUCAUUUGCAAAGGAUUCUACCUGCAUCUCUGAUAUUAUAUUUUGAGUUCUAAUAAGGGAAUAUCUCUUUGUGGCUUGGCAGAUGCAAGCGUUAUUUAGGAUUGGCAAGGGUGAACCUCCUCCUGUUUCUAAUUCCUUGUCAUCAGAUGCCCGAGAUUCUAUCCUCAAAUGCUUGCAAGUCAACCCUGGUGAUGGGCCUACUGGUCAGUUACUGGACCAUUCAUUUGUCAGGAGCCCACAACACACUUUCUCUGGCCCUCAAUCUCCUCGUACAAAUGGAAUACGACCUUAAAAGCUUUUGAUCUUGCUACGGAGCAUCAAAUACAUAGAGGUAAAAUAAAACACUUUUACGUCUUUUCCACUUUUUCGUAUAUUUCUCAUGUGUAAUUACGUCUAAAUUCAUUCUAAAUAUUUUCUAAUUAUUUUACAAAAAAAUAAUUAUAAAAAAUUAUAUAAGUAAUAAAAUCUAUUUUUUUUUUUUUCAUGUAGAACUAACUGAUCAAUAUUAUUGUAUGGAUUUUAUAACAAUAUAUUAAAAUUAACUUUCAACUUCAUAUCAAACAACUUUUUAUGAUAAAGAAGCUUAGGUUUGGAGAGGAUAAAAAAAAUGGAAAAGGAUAAUUAAAAAAUAAUUAAAUAGAUUAAUAGGAUUUAUAUUUUAAGGCGGAUAUGUAGAGAGUUUUAUUAGAUGUUUUUAAGUAUGCUGGCCAACCACCCUAAAACCCAAAAUAAUUGUCACCAAGUUCCCAAAAAACAAUGACCCCUAAAAGUUGGCCUGCACCUCUCAUUAUUUUAAUUUUUUUUUCUUUUUUCUUUUUUUCUUUUUUUUCUUUUUUUUGGUAAUCUUUUCAACUCUUCAUACUCUCAUUUUUAUCAUUCACUUUUUAAUUUGUUUAUUUGUUCUACUUUAGAACUCACUCAUAUUCCCAAAUACAAAAAUUCUUUAUAUUUACACAACAAUUUAACUUAACAUCUUUUUUUUUAAGAAUUCUUUUUCAUAUAAUAUUCCUUACUAACAAAAACUAAUUUUAAUGAAACAACUUUAAUUUGAUAUAUAUAAAUAUGAAGAUAUAUACUCCUAAACUUACACUUUAGCCACUUGAGUCCAACAAGGGUUUGAUUUAAAAAAUUUGUAGUUCUUAAAGAUGUUAAACUCCUUUAAAAAGCAUCAAAUGGUAAUAAAUAGGAACUAGAGAAAACCAUUCAAAUAAGCAGAUUUCAUCUAUAAUACGAAGUAAAAUCCAAAAUAGAAAUGUGAAGAAAAAAAUUAUCAUUGACUCUUGACUCUUUGACUCUUGCCAAACCAAUCCCACUACCAUCUAAUGCUAAAUUGUCUAACAAAUGGGAAUUGAAAGCAUAGAACAGAAUCAUUGACUCUUGACUCUUCCCAAACCAAUUCCACUACCAUCCAAUGUUAAAUUGUCUAACAAAUGGAAAUUGAAAGUAUAAAAGAGAAUCAUUGACUCUACUUAGCCCAUUAUCUAAAAGAGGCUACCUCUCUCCUUCUUUCAUGAAGUUUCUUAGAAAUUUCAAGCUUCUUUAUCAUAUAAAGUAUAAAAAAGAAUCACUCUUAACCCAUUACAUUAAAAAUCCUACCCCUUCUCUCCUUUCAUAAAGUUUCCUAGAAAUUUCAAGCUUCUUUGUCAUAUAAAGUAUAAAAGAGAAUCAUUGACUCAUUGUAACCCAUUAUCAAGUGUUGUCUCUCCUUUCUAAAGGUUAAUGCCCUUGUAGCCAUUCACAUGUGUUUCAAGAAAAAUGAAGUUAUUUUGCCCCCAAGAACUAUAGAAAUAAAAUUUUGUUAAGAAAUUUAAAAUAUAAAAAUAAAAAUUUUAAAUAAGAGUAUUUUAUAUAAUUUUUUUCAUAUUUUCUAAAAUUAAAUAUCCAAUUUUUAAUUAUCUCAAAAGCUAGAGAAGCUCCAAAAAAGAAAAAUAAUGUCUUGCAAUUAGAUAACUAAUUCAAAACAAUCCAAAUACUUCUUGAUCCACUUGUGGUUAACAUUCCAUUAAAAUUAUGUCAAAUUUAUUAAAAUCUACUUGCAUUUAUUUAUUUAAAAUUAUUCAAAGCAUUCUCAAUACUUUAUUCUUUUUUUUUUUUUUUGAAAAAAAAAAUUGUAUCACGUUUCUAGAAAAGAAUUAUUAAUAUAUAUUGAUUUUCUUAUAAAUAUUUUUCAUUAAAUUUUAAAACUUGUUUUUACUUUAACUUUAAAUGGGUUUGUAUGCUUGUGUUUUUAUUUUUCCUUUUCAAUCAAAUGAAUUAAUUUAUAAUAUGGGAAUGUCUACUUGAACUCAGUAUUUUAUUUAUUUCCUUUUUUAACUUUAUUUUAGUAAAUGCAUCCUUGAUCAAUAAUUUGAUGAUUGUUUUAAAAUCAAAUAGUGAAGAUAAAAUUUUGAUAAUUAAAAAACAAUUGACUUACUACAUCACUUACAUGAAAUAUUGAUUUGUUGUUUGAAGUUUUUUGGCAUUAUAUUUAAUUCAUCAUAAUAAGACAGUUUUUUACUCAAUAAUUUAUGUAGAAUAAUAAAUAAAUUAAGGAGCGCUUUAUUAAAAAUCAGUUUUAAUAGAAAAAUAUAAGUUGGAUAUUCAUUUUGAUUAAAAAUAAAAUUAUAAUUUGAUUUAAUUAGAAAAUGAAUUUUUUUCUUGUUAAUUUAAUUUUAAUUUGUAAUCCUGUUAAUAGGGAAAAUAAGAUAGUUUUCAUGUCUUUUUAAUUGAAAAAAUGAUGAUUUUGGUUGUAAUUUGUGAAUUUAUUUUAAUUUGUAAAAAGAAAAUAUUAUUCUAUUAGUUAAAUCAAUUUUGAUAAGAAUACUUAAUUUUAUGAAUAUAAUAAUAAUUGUUAAAGUAAUCUUAUAUGUGCAAAAUUUUAAAAUCUUGUAAAAAAUAAACAAAAAGAUAAGAAAAUAUGCAAACAAAAUUUUAUGAACUAGAAAUUUUGUAGGGUACAAUUCUUUGGAAUAAUACUCAUUAAAAAAAUAAUAUUUUCCUUUUAUUUGAUCACUUUCAUCACAACCCAAUGGAUAACAUGUUUUCACUUGCAAUUGUUUUUAUAUUAAGCUUUUAUAUAAGACUUUAUGUCAUGUGCUCAUGUGGACAACUCUUCAAAGGUGUAGAGUCACUUGCCUUGGAGGAUAUAUAGAAGCUCUCAAUGCAUACCUUAUAUGUUCAUCUCCACUACUAAAUAUUAUAUAAUCUAUUCUUGUUGCCAUGGGUUAAAAAACGUGAGUUGAUAUAGUCAAUCAUUUACUCAUCUUUCUACUGCUUGGUAUUUGUGAACUUCAUUAUGCUUAUCGUUGGUUGGGAAAAGUAAUUGUCUUCAUGCUUCAUUUGAUCACAACUGUCAAUAGGUUUAGGCUCAAGAUCCAUGUACCAAUCAAAAGCACACAUUUGGAGGGAACACACAAAUUGUUUGAGUAAGAGGUCACCCUCAUGCUAGCAUUGUUGCAAGUUUGGAUGAAUCAGACAUUGCAUUGCUUUGGAAUUCCUUUUCCAUCAAAUUAUUGAAACUUUAGAGGUUAAUAACUCAUAGGUAUUUGUAGGUUAUCAAUUUUCGUACUGUAAGGUUUAAAGCACACGAGUGUACUUCAUGACGAUCCACCAUACUAUUCUCCGAUGGUGUUACGUAUCAUGUUUUAACUCACUCAUUUAAAUUGGAAAUCUAUUAAUUUUUCAAUGAAAAUAAUUUUAAUUUGGCUUUAAGUUAUUUCUCGGUUAUAUAUAGAUAUAUGAGCAUACACAAGGUUUUUUUUUAAUAUUUAUUAUUUGAAUUUUAUUUUAUUCAUAAUCUCUUUAGAAUAUUAUUUGUUGGAAUUAAUUGCUAUGUUGUUAUUCUUCCAAAAAUAUUUUUUUUUGCUUAAAAAAUGAAUUUCUUCGAACACUAAAUUCGCUACUUUAAGUUAAUAAAAUCAUUUCCUUUUUUUUGGUUUCCUUUUAUUUAUUUAUUUUAAAUUAUAAUAUUUAUCAAUAAUAAGAUUUGUCUAUAAAAUGUUAAAAAAAAAAAUCAUCCUCUCAUUGUUUAACUUAUUUUUUAUUUUUACUUUUUUGUAUUUAUAUUUUAAUUUUAGUUUUAUGUUUAUUUUUAAUAUUUAUUUUUCACUUCUCGGUCAGAAUUUUUCUUUUUUUAUUUAUUUUUUUAAAUUUAUUAUUAUUAUUUCUUGUUGACAUCCUUUUUUUUAUAUAUAUAUAUAUAUAUAUAUAAACGUAAUAAUAAAAUAAAACACCAUGAAUAAAGUGAAGGAAAAAACUAACAUGUGAAAAAAAAUUAAAAAACUUGGUGGAGAAGUGUAGUGCGAGAGCCUAAUGUCUAAUGAUGAUGGAAUAAUCCCACCAAACCCGAAGAAAAGUAAAAGGUGAUAAGAAAAAGAGAAAGUGAGAAAAUAAUAAAUAAGAAGAAAGAGUUGCUUUUAACUUUCUUCAUUACUGUCCUGAAGGUCACCGGAAGUCACCUGCCAUCCCAAUUUAUAGAGAGAUGCCCCUAAUUUUCCUCGUCACUUUUCAGAAGGUCAUAGGAAGCCACCUGCCUUCCCAACUCUUUAUGUAUAGAUAAAUGAUAAUAUUUAUUAAUAAUAAGAUUUAUCUAUAAAAUGUUAGAAAAUGAAUAUAUCAAUCCAGUGAAUUUAAUUUUUACUUUUUUCUUUUUAUAUAUUUAUCAUUUAAUUUUUGCUUUUAUUUUUUUUCUUUUUAGUCUUAUAUUUAUUUUUCACUUCUCGAUCAAAAUUUUUAUUUUCUAUUUACUUCUAUUUUUUAUUUCUUUUUUAAGUACUUAUAUAUAAUAAUAAUUAAUAAAUAAAAUAGGAGACCAUGAAUAAGGUGAAGAAAAAAUAAAAUAAAAAAACUUGCUGGAGAAGUAAAGUGCAGGAGUUUGAAGGAUGAAUGUAAACAAGAGAAAAAAGAGAGCAAGAGAAAAGCAAAAGGUAAUAACAAAAAGAGAAAAGUGAGAAAAUAAUCAAUAUAGAGAGAGAGAGAGAGAGAGGGAGAGAGAGUGGCCCCUAACUUUCCUCAUCACUUUACAAAGUUCACAAGAAGCCAUCUGCCUUCCCGGAACUUUCUAUAUUGUAAACUAGGGUUGCUCACUAUCUUCAAGAGAAAUCAAGCCUCAAACUGUCUCUUGUAGUUUUGAGAAAUCAGGCCAAUUUAGUGAAUGAAAUUCUUACUCAAUUUCUUUGCCAAAGAUAUCGUUCAUUCUGAUAUGUUUUUUUUAUAAAUGUUUUAUUUCUUUUCAGUUUUUGAUCUUGAGGUAUUUUUUCUAAAUAAUUUGUUUUUUUAGAUAGAUCAUUUUAUAUAUCCUUCUUAUUUUAAAUAAAACAAGUUUCCAAUGACAAAUUUUUUAAGAGUUUUUAAUGUGAAAUUUUCUAAAAUUUUAUCUUUUUGUCAUAAUGUUUCCUUUUGUUGAUAUUUUUUUUGCAAAGUCAAAGAGAUAAUGUGAAAUAAUAACUAAUUUAAUAUAAGGUUAGCAAUUUAAACCUCACAACUAUAAAAAUGCAAGUGAAAAUAGAAGUGAAGGUGGAAAUUCUUUGGUUGGUCAGAUGAGAGGACUUGGUAGAGAUAAUUUUUAGAUGUAAGUAAGUAGAAAUGUUUAUAGGAUGGCGAAAGAAUUAGUAAAGAAAUUUGUUGAAUGUAACACAAAAAUUUCUUAGAUGAAUUGGUAAAGAAAUUUGUUGGAUGUAAUGGAGAAAUUUAUUAAUAAUCACAUGAUUAGUAGUAGAGAAUUUUCUGGAUGGCCAUAUAUAAAUGUGAAUAGUGGACAAUUUCUUAGAUGUCACACAAUUAGUAGAAUAGAGAAUUUUCNNNNNNNNNNNNNNNNNNNNNNNNNNNNNNNNNNNNNNNNNNNNNNNNNNNNNNNNNNNNNNNNNNNNNNNNNNNNNNNNNNNNNNNNNNNNNNNNNNNNAAAGAAAUUUGUUGGAUGUAAUGGAGAAAUUUAUUAAAUAAUCACAUGAUUAGUAGGUAGAGAAUUUUCUUGGAUGGCCAUAAUAAUUAAAUGUGAAUAGGUGGACAAAUUUCUUAGAUGGUCACACAAAUUAGUAGAUAGAGAAUUUUCUUCUAUUGUCAUAAUUGAAUAUGAAUAGGUGGACAAUUUCUUAGAUGGUUACAUGAAUUGCUAGGUGAGAAUUUUCUUGGAUGACCACAAUCAUUGAAUGUGAAUAGGAGGAAAAGUUUCUUGGAAGGUGACAAAGAUUGGUGGAAAAAUUUUCAAUCAAGUUGAGAAAUUUCUUCCAUGAUAACAAGAAUUGAUGGGGAAAUUUCUUAAAGGUGGAUAAUUAGGUUGAGAAUUUUUUUGGAUGGCAACAAGAAUUGGUGAAGAAAUAUUUUGGAAGGAUAGAGGAAACUACAAAAAGUUCCAUUUGUUUCAAACAACAUUAAAAGUGUGUUUAGUAAUGUUUUCAUUUGAAGUACUUUUAGUGAAUGUGUUUUUUUUAGAAAUAUUUUUGGAAGAAUCACUUGUAAAGUGUUUUAGGAAACAUUACAAGCGAUUUUUUAACAUUUUAAAUGUGUUUUCUAAAUUUUAUUAAAUACUUGGUUUUUCUUUUAAAAAAAAAUGUUUUUUGGUUUUAUGCUAGAAGUGAAUUUUUAAAUUUUAUCAAAUAUAUGAUUUUUCUUCAAAAACGUUUUUUAUGCUAUAAGUGCUUUAUAAAAGCACUACCAUGACCUUGACCUUUUGCCUCUAAUAAGGCUAAAGUGAUGACUAGUUGGUGAUUGCGUAUCUCUGCUAGUUUUAGCAAGUGAAUGUGCUCGCUUACUUGCUUUGCUAAAAAUGCAAUGAAUGUCUUUGCUUUGCUGUAGUCAUAGGACUCAUAGAGGUGUUGUGUCUUAACUUUGCAUACUAGAAAUUUGUACGCGUAAAAUUUGAAAGUCCUAUAAAAAAUAAGUAAAAAGAUGAGAAAAAUAUAUAAACAAAAUUAUUUGUAUUAGAAAAUUUUGAAGGUACAAUUUUCUAGAAUAAUAUUCUUUACAAAAUAAUAAUUUUUUUCUUAUUUGAUCACAAUCCAUAAAAAUAUAUAAACAAAAUUAUUUGUAUUAAAAAAAUUUUAAGGUAAAGUUUUUGGCUUAUUAUCAAAUUACUUUUGUUGAACUUUGAAUACAUAUUUAGUAUUUUGUAUGCUUCCCCAAAUUUACAAGAAUAUCUUAUGAAACCUCUUUUUAGUUCUCUUUUAAAUUUGAGAUCUCAAAUACUUUAUUGCUCAAAGCCCUAGAGCUUAAGGAAUACCACAGAGAACCGCUAACAUAUAUGCAUUUUGACGCUAAGUAUGGAAAACAAAAAAACAUAUUCUUUUUCUAAAAAAUUUAUAAUAUAAAAUAAAAUAAAAUAAAAUAAUAUUUUAAAAAAUUAUAAAAUUAGUUAAAAUUAAAUAAUUUAAUUUUACUUUAGUUUCAAUAUAUUUACAUUUAAAUACCAUAUAUAUUUCAUUUAAUAAUAUUUAAAAUAUUAUUAUAUUUAUACUUAUGCAUGAUUUAAUUUAAUAAUAUUAAAGAUAAAAAAUAAAUAUUAUUGAUUUUUAAUUUGGUUAUAUAUAUUUUAAAAUUUUUUAUUAUUUUUAAAUUUAAUAAUAUAUAAAUUAUAUAUUUACCAUAUCAUCAAUUCUAGGUGAUUUAACUAUUAGUCUAACUAGUGAACCGUGAACCAAUAAUUUUUUCGAUUUAUUAUCCGAUCUGAUUCCAAAAACAUUGUUUAAUAUUUAAUAUUUCAAUUUUAUGUUAUUAAUGAUCUCAUUAGAAUAUUAUCAAGGUUUUUAUCAGAAUUAAUUGUUAUGUUGUUAUUUUUCCAAAAUAAAUUUUUUUUCUUCUUAAAAACUAAGUUUCUUCCCACACUAAAUUCACUACUUCAAGUUAAUAAAAUCAUUUCCUCUUAUUCCAGGUAGCUUUUAUUUAUUUAUUUUAAGUUACAAUAUUUAUCAAUAAUGAAAUUUGUCUAUAAAAUAUUAAAAAAUAAAUACAUCACUAAUUCUAAAUAUAUCAAUCCAUCCCCUUAUUCUUUAAAUUAUUUUAAUUUUUAAUUUUUAAAAUUUAUAUUUAUAUUUUUUUAUUUUAUUUUUAGUUUUAUAUUUAUUUUUCACUUCUCGAUCAUAAAUUUUCUUUUUUAUUUACUUUAAUUUUUUAUUAUUAUUUCUUGUUGAUGUCCUUAUAUAUAUAUUCGAAAAAAUAUAUAAAACAUAAUAAUAAAAUAGGAGAGCAUGAAUAAAUUAAGUGAAGGAAAAAAAUGUUAAAUAAAAAAUAAAAAAAAUAAAACUUGNGGGAGAAGUAAUUGAAUAANNNNNNNNNNNNNNNNNNNNNNNNNNNNNNNNNNNNNNNNNNNNNNNNNNNNNNNNNNNNNNNNNNNNNNNNNNNNNNNNNNNNNNNNNNNNNNNNNNNNAAAAUAAAAACUUGGUGGAGAAGUAAUUGAAUAAUCGAAAUUCAAUUACUUUCCCGUCACUUUUCAGAAGUUGACAAAAAGCCACCUCCUUCCCAACUUUUUAUAUUAUAAAUUAGGGUUGCUCACUAUCCUCAAUAAAAAUCAAGUCACAAAUUAUGAGGUACAAUUGUUUGAAGUAAUAUUUUUUUAUAAAAAGAAUAUUCUUUUAUUGGAUGAUUUUAAUCACAGUCCAAAGAAUGAUGAUACCAGUUUCUUCUUCAAAUUGACAUCCAAUUCAAGACUUAUUUUUGAAUGACAUUUGUUGAAUUUUGGGAAUGAUGAAGAAGAUAUGUAUAGUAUUUAAAUUAUUCCUCAAUUAUAUAUGUAUAUAUGUAUAUAGAAAAGAUUAUUUUUUAAUAUUUAAUAUUUGAAAUUUAUUUUAGUAAUGAUCUCUUUAGAAUAUUAUCACGAUUUUUAUUGGAAUUAAUUGCUACUUUCUUAUUCUUCCUUCUUCCAAAAAAUAAAACUAUUUUUUUGCUUUAAAAAUAAAGCCCUUCCAAUACUAAAUUGACUACUUCAAAUUAAUAAAAUAAUUUCUUCUUAUUUUAGUUUACUACAAUUGGUCAAUAAUAAGAUUUAUCGAUAGAAUAUUAGAAAAUAAAUAUAUUAUUAAUUCUAAAUAGAUGAACCCAUUCUUCUUUAAUAAAUUUUAUUAUAAUUAUUUAAUAAACAAUUAAUAUCUACCUAUUUUAUGAUUUUAUUUUAAAACAUUUAUAUUUAUUUAAAUAAUUAUAUUAAUUGGUAAAAUCAUAUUUGUUUUCUUAGAGAGAGGAUAAGAUUAAAUUUUAUUAUUUGUUUAAAAAAACAUAACAUUUCAAAUUGUAAUUCAAAGACAUACAAUCUAUAUCAAGUUUUAUAAUAAAUUAAUACAUUAUUUAUUUAUUUCCUAUAUUUAUUUUUAUUAAUAGCUAACUUUGUUUAAAUUUGAAGUUAAGUCUUAUAAUAAUUUAAUAAAUUUAUUAUUUAUUUUUAUAUAUUUGCUCUUAUUAAUUUUUUUCUUCUUCUUUUUUAUCAAUAAAUUAAAAUAUGAAUUCAAAUAUAUAACGAUUGUUUUUAAGAUAUUGAAAUUAGAAGGAUUAUCAUAUGUCUAUACAUAUCUUCUAAUAUUAAUAUUUGGAAUAAAAAGUUUAGAUAAUACAUAAUAAGUAAUUAAUUAUUUCUUAUUAAAUUAAUUAGUCAUAAUGAAUAUAAUUAUAAUUAAUUUAAUUUAUUGUUUACUAUUAAAUAAACAAGCAUAUUAUAUUAUUUGUAGAAUUUUGAAAAGUAAAAUACCUAUUCAAAUAAGAUUUAUAAAUUUUAUAAAAUUAAAUCAAGAAAAAGUAUACUUUAAUCAUAGUUUUCUUCCAAAUAUGGAAGUGGGGACAUUUAUGAAUAUUGACAAAAAGAAUAGACCUUUGUGACACAUCAUAAUUAGAAAAUAAGUAAGUUUUAAAUUAAAAAGAAACUUUAAUUUUAAGUUAGAUAAUUAUUUGAAUUUUAAAAUCAAUGUAUCAUUAUCUACAAUUUUAUAUAAAUAUAGAAAUUAUUUAGAGUGAAAAAGGAAAAGAAAAAAAGAGUUGGAUAGUAUUUUCUAGUUUUGUUGUGAUGAUAAUUAGUCAUCACCAAAUCUAUCAAAAGAACAAUAUCUUCAUUAGGAAAAUGAAGUAAAACAAUUAUUAUUUUUUGUCCUAUAUAUAUAUAUAUAUAUAUAUAUAUAUAUAUAUAUAUAUAUAUAUAUAUUUAUUUAUAUAUAUUUCAUUUCAUAAAUUGAAUUUUUUAAAAAUAAAAAAUAAUAAUUUAGAUUACCAAAAAGUUUAUAUUUUAAUUUUAUAUAUUUAAUAAAUAAUAAUUUUAUCAUCAUUAAUAUUUGUUUGUGAUGAAUAUCUUUUUUAUUUUUCUUUUAAUUAAAAAAUGGAAAUGGAAAAGAGGAUGUGAUUGGAAUUUCUUUUUAAAUUUAUUAUUUUCAUUCAAAUAAGUGUAAUUAUUUUAUACCCUACAAUUUCUUUAUUUUUCACUCUUCAAACGCCAAAAAAAAUUCUAAUUGUAAAGAAAAAAUUGAAUUAUUUAUAUGAAUUCUAUAGCUAUUCAUAAUAGUAAAAAAAAUUAUUAAAAAUCAUUAUCUAAGCAUACUUCUUAUCUAUAAUUCAAUAUAAAUAAAAAAGUUAUUUACAAAAAACAAAAAUAAAUUAAACUCUUUUUAAGGAUUUUACUAAAUACCCUCAUAAAAAAAAUAUCCUCAUGUUUCAAAAGUUCAUUGAAAUACAAUUUUCGCAUAGUAAUUGAAGGAGAUAUUGACAAUUGUGCAAACAAGUUUGAAGCAUUUCUAAAAAGGAAUCGACAAAUUUGAGAAAAGAGUUAGGGAAAGUUGUGUUUUCAUGGACCAAUUUGCUAAAUAUAUGGUUUUUGGAACCCAGAUUUAUGGAAUAUGAAAAAUAUAUUUCAAUGUGGAAACUUAUAUCAGAUUCAUGCACUCUGAGCCUGCUGUAUUUUUUCUACCGAAAUUGCCCCUCCAGGUAUCCACAUCAGCAACCCAUCUCAGCAAGGGUUGAAACUGAACCGGUUGAAAACUCCAAAAUCAAAUGUUAAGCUUCCCACAAAAACACCUAGCCGACGGUUCUUUCUUCCCUCUUUCUCAUUUGAUACCCAUUCCUCUCAGUUGUCUUCACUCCGUCACCAAGGCGAUUUGAGAUUCCCAGAAAAACGGUGUAGCCGACGCUUGAAGACCCUUGCCGACGGUUCUUUCUUCCUUCUCUCUCAUUCCAUACCCAUUCUUCUCAUCUGUCUUCACUUCGUCAGCGAGGCGAUUUGAGCUUCCCAGAAAAACGGUUAGGUCUUUCUUCCCUCUCUCUCAUUCCUUACCUGUUCCUCUCAUCUGUUUUCACUUUGUCACGGAGGCGAAGCAGAGAACCAUGUAGAGUGUUAAAAAAGUUCUGUCAUUUCAGUUGAGAAUGGCUUAAUCCCAUUUGUUUCAUCUCAGAUUUUCUGUCUCGAGGUAACGCAUUCCUUCCUUCUGUCAUUUCAGUUGAGAAGGGCUUAAUCCCAUUUGUUUCAUCUCAGAUUUUCUGUCUCGAGGUAACCCAUUCCUUCCUUGUUUUGCAUUCGCAUUUACAUUCACGUAAAUAUGUUGUUUGUGUGGGUUUUUUAUGAACUAGGUGUGGCUCAAAUGUUGGCAUUUAGGAGUUGGUACUAAAUUUUUAAAUCUAUUCGUAAUAAAUCAUCAUCAAUUUUUUCAAUUCCAUGCAUUUUUUGAGUUUUUACUGUUUUAUUUGGAUUGGCAAAUUCUCGAAAAUCUAUUGUUUUGAUAUAAAAUGAAGGCAAGAAUAUGGGUUGGGAAUUGUUUUUGUUGUGGUUUAGAAUUGGGAAAAACAUAUUUUGAAUUGGUUUGCCAAAAAAGGAAUUUUUUUUUCCCCAAACUGUUUUUGGGUAUUGGGAAACAAUGCAUUUUUAGUGAAACCCAUUUAUUGGAUUGUGUUUUUGGAUUGGGUUAUGCAGUGGAUUACCAAAAUGGAACACUUUUUGGGGAUGAUGUAUUUCUUUUGAGAGCGAAAUAAGUGCUUCUGAAAUGGUGAUUUAUAGAUUCGAAAUUACUCAUGUUUUUGGGUUUUUGUGAUAUUCAUGGUUAGUGGGUGCUAACGUUUUCGUUGUUGUUUUUUUAUUUUUAUUUUGUAUUUGUUUUAUAUGUAUAGUUUAAAUUCACGGCCCAUUUCUUCAAAUAUUUUUGGUUAGUAUAUGUUACUCUUCUUGUUGAUUAGUAAUUGAUAUUGAUUUAGAGAUCUCUUCUCGUUGCUCUCGUUGUCAUAUGUCUGGCCACAAUAGAAAAACCUGCAGGAAACCUUUGCCCUAAAUGCAUAUUUGUCACCUUAUUGCAUUAUGUAGAUCUUGUCUUACUCUAUUUCAAGUAUCUUUAGUGAAUUGGUUGUCACCAAAUCAGCGUUACUAUGUUCAUUGAGUUAAGUUAUAUUGCUUUGAUUAUUAAUUUCUUUCACAAUGUCCGAACUAUGGUUGCACUACAGUUUGUUUUAUUGGUAUUUACUCCAACCGCAUGUAUUGCCUCCCAUUACAUUGCUUAAACCAAUUUAACCAAACUGCAGCAUAUGUUUCCAUGUAUAAAGACUACUGCUUUGUUGUACUAUAUAGUACGCCUACGCAAUAACAUGAAUUGUAUACCAUUGAAUCAAUGUAUUUUGUUAUUCUUAGUUUUUCCCUCAUUUCCCCUUUCUGUCGCCGCCACAGCUUAUCUUCACUUGUUUGUUAGUCUUCUCAUAGUUUUGACAGUUCCGAUUUGUUCAUUAGUGCAUACUGACUUUAAACUAAUUGUACAGGAGCGUGUUGAAAAUUUGGGAAACAUUUUUUUCCAUCAGUGUUCAUAGUUUUCUUCUUCAUGUUUCAGAGCUGUUGAUCUUGUGCUAAACCAAUGACAUUAAUAUAUAUCACAAUAAUCUAUUUGAAGUCAUACGUGUCUCAUUUUUACUCCUUUGUACAACUUUCAUAUCCAUAGGCUUCAAUGUUCAUAAGGCCAUUGAUUACUUUGUAGGUUUCGAAACUCGCCGAUUCAGUAUCGCCAUCCAAACAUACUGAUUAUACACAUGGCAACAGAAAAGAGAAAAAGGAAGGAGCAUGUUCCACCAACAUGCACACAGGUGGGUAAAACAGAUUUCAUUGAACAAUGGCUCCAAUCUUCAAAUUCAGCUUAAUUGGAAAUUUGCAUAUAUUGGAUUUUUUUUGUCACUAACCCAUAUUUCAUUUUAACUGUAGGUUAAGCUUCCUAAGUCCCGAUGUUCUGGGAAGAAAUUCAUAACUGCCAUUGCACGCCUAGCCCCUGAAAAAUAGCAAGCCAUUAGAGAGAUGGGCUUUGGGGGCCUACUGACUUUUGCUUGCCACGAACUAAGAUAUGAGCUAUGCGGGUGGCUCAUAUCUCAAUAUGACUUUACCUACCAUAGACUUAAUAUGGAAACCGGCAAUGCUAUCACUGUCAAUGAAGAACAUGUCAACAAAGUGAUGGGCAUCCCUAACUUCGGGGUAGACGUGGUUAUCCUUAAGAGAACAACCCCGUCCAAUCGCACAUACACUCUCAGGGUACUGGAGCAAAACCUUGAGAACUUGCCCGUGUGUGAUGAAUUUUUAAAAUCAUUUUUAAUUUUUUCAUGUGCCACUCUACUGGCACCUAAUUCAAAGCUUGAAGGAAGCCAUGACCUUUGGGACACCAUAUGGGAUGGUGAUGUUGGUGUCCAAAGGAAUUGGGAAAAGUUUCUGCUGAAACACUUAGAAGAUGGAAUCAAGGAAUAUCGACAAAAGCAGCCUACUUACAUCCGAGGCUGCCUCAUGUUCCUCCAGGUACAGUUUAGGCUCCAACCCCUUUUGCAAUUAGUAUGAACUUAGUUUACAUUUUAAUUUGAAUGUCAUGCUUACUGCAAUUUGCUGUUUUAAUGCUCCUUGUUUCAUAUACUUCCCUUGGACAGCUGUUCUACAUGGCAUACUUCUACAUGCCAUCAGUCAAUGUUGAAGUGACCAGCCCGCUAGCUGCUGCAUGGACUGACGAUGUAAUGAAACGCCGAUUAGCAGCUGAAAUAUCAACAUUCGAUGGUUAUGGAUAUGUGCAUGUAUGCUCUAACUUAACAAAGCUUUCCCUACUAGUUAAAUUACCAUAUUAGCCUCGCACCAGUAAUAACCAAUUUGUUGAUUCCCUCAUUUAAAUAAUGAUGCAAGACACAGGCACAGGAGCGAGCACAAAGCACAACCAAUAUGAAUAUACCAUCAGUAGCCUCAACCUCUACAGCUGAUGACGAGGCUACAGAGGUAGUUCUUCUUCACUAACCACUCAUACAAGUUCUUCUAUACAAUGCAUACAAUACUAUUCUAAAACUAUUCUGUUUUCCACUAUGUAAUAGGUAAUUGAAGCCCGUGUCAUUGACACAUCGGAGAGUAUGGUACGAUUAGCUUCCUCUCUGGCGCGGGAUGUUGCUGCACUAUGUUCCCGCCGAAGUGGACCAGAGGGGAUAUCUUCAAUCCCUUGCCCAAAAGCACAGCACCACGCUGAAUAUCAACCAAUGCGCGAAACACCGGGCAAGCAGACGUCAGCUGAUGAAAUGGAACCACAAGAUAACCUCGCACCAACCCCCCAUUCUCCAAUUGGAAUGGAACCGUCACCAGAAGCCACUCAUUCCGAGCCAAUGGCCCCACAGUCUCAUGCAGAGGCAUCGCUUCCACCACAAGUGACAACAGAAGAAGUGCGAGAAUGUGAUAGGGUAGGUGGGAGUGGUAAUCAAGCCAUUAAACCUUCAUCUAUCAACAGAUUUAAGCGGACUUGUAAGAGGAUAGUGAAGCGUCCUCCCACUUGCAAAAGUCCAUUUGUCACCCAAUGCGUUAAACAAUUCCCUAAAAUCCCCCAUGCUCAUCGGGUAGUAGCAGAUUACGCUUUGGCAGAAAUUGGUGAUCCUAGGUACAUUUCAUUUUUCUAAAAAUAAUUCUUGCAAUCAUUUAAUAUGUGAAUAACUUUACAUCAUUAUGACAUUAUUCAUUUUCAAUCAUUCUAGCGAGAUUUUAUGCGAGAUGUAUGGGAUGUACAUUACCCGAGAAGAAAUUUCUUGUCUAAAUGCAGGGCGGUGGGUUAAUUCAGUAGUAAGUUACUUAUCUUUAUGUUGAAUUAAAUUCAAAAUUAAUAGGUCAUAUAAUGUAUAAAGUGUUGAUGGGGUUGUAAAAUAUGUUCAUUUCUACAACUUUGCCAAAUUGUGGCGAUUGUCUCUCGCAUGAUGAAUGGACAGCAAGCACCACCAGCGCGCACACACUAUUUUGAUCCUUCGUUCUCGGUGAACCCUCUAAUAUCCUAAAUUGACAUAGUCUCAAAAUAGAAUAGCAUUUGUUGAUGUUUGUAUUGAUAACCCCACUCGUGAACAGGUGAUUCUGACCAACUUGAAAACAAAUGCAACCAGCCAAGUGAUCAUGGAUAGAUGUCGCAUGUAUCUGGAUGCUGGUAUAUUGGGCCAUGAUUUGGGGACAUGUGACAUGGUAAAUAACGGUUGUUAAAUUUCAUUUCCAUAGUAAUAUAUGCAAUGGCAUUGGACAUGACUAUUAUCUUAUACCAUAAAAGGUAAUAACUCUUUUAUGAUCAUGCAGAUGUUCAUCCCAGUUUGUGAGAACAAUCACUGGCACAUGCAUGUAGUUAAUUUUGCAGCUGGACGAGUUGAAAUUCUUUCAUCUUUGCCCUUGAGGCGAGGAAACAGUAUUAGUGCUGCAACAAAGCGAUUAUCUAUGGCAAUCAAUAAAGCACUGCAUGCAUAUGCAAUUCAUAUGGACGUGGAUGUCUCGACUUUUGAGCAUGUCCAACCACACCUUGUGCAACAACUGAAUGGGUAAAAUAUUCAUAUAUUCUAACCAAAACGGACAUUUGAGGUGAAUUUUUUUUCUUAGAUUUCUAUGAUAUACAUGACAAGCCUAAAUGUGAUGUGUUAUAGGUUUGACUGUGGUAUCCUUGCCCUAAAAUUCAUGAAAUUUUGGAAUGGGGCCACCUUAACUACUUCAGUGGCAGAGGUUAGAGCUAGUUUACAUCCUAAUUGGUUUUGUUUUUUUUUAAAAAAAAAAACAGUAUAAAAUAAGUUUUUCCCAUUUCUGUAGGACAAGCUCAACAUGUACAGACUCCAGCUUGUUGUGGAACUAGUGCUCAAUGAACGCAACACUGUUAGAGAUAAAAUUAUGGCCUCCUGUCAUUUGUGACUUCAUGGUUGAUGAUAAGUUUUUUCCUAUCUGAAGCUACUUACCAUAUAAAGCAAUACUUGAUUGUAGUUUGUCCACAAAUGACUGAAUUCAUAUCCUGUUAUGUGAUGAUGUGAUUUUGUUCCCAUUCUAAAACCAUUAUUUAUGUUCUAUAUUUAUUGUAUCUUAUUAAGUAUACCACAUCCCAUUGUAAUAGUGACAGUAUGGUGAUGCUGAAUGUCAGAACUUUAUGUACAACAAUGGGCAACGCGUAAGGGAAAGAAAGACUGCAUGGUGAUGCUAUUGCUAUAGCUUACAAGAGGGAGUAAUAUCAGAAUGAGUCAUAUGUUAUCCUCUUUCUUCGGAUUGUAUGAAGCAAACUUGGUUUACCAUAUGAUCAAAAUUAGGUUUAUUUGGUUUGUUGACUAUAUUACAAACAUUUGGCUGAUGUACACAUUCCAAGGACUAUGUUUGUGUUUUGUUUUAUACAGGAAAUCCUAAUAUAGAUAAGGCAUUUGUUACAUAUCCUUUCAAUUUUUUCCCUGUUCCAUCCCAAUGUCCUCUCCAAAUAUAGUUCAAAAAUAAUGAUCCUUUGUUGAAGUAGAAUGUUACAAACCAUGGUGACAAAUUUAGGUGUCAUGGGUGAUGGUGAAGACAUUGGAUGGUAUUCGUAAUGAAUCAUUGAAGACUAUUGGCACUGGUCAUUUUUUUAGAUUGUCAUGUGCUGAGAUAAUUCUUUGUUACAUAUCACGAGUUUUUUUUCUUUUAGUUAAUAAUAUUAAGUGAUGAUCUGGCAUUUCAUCAUGUUCUUAAUAUUUGGCUUAGCUCUUACUCAUGAAGAAUAUUUCUCCUCAUCCUUCGGUCCCUAACUUAACAUCAUUAGGGAAAUGAGAAUUCUAAUGUUGAUCUUGUAGGGCUGGCACUCGCUCUCCCAAAGAAAGAGCAUCCCCAUUUGCAAAAAGUUAUAUAGGGUUCCAAAAUGGUUUUGCAUGUAGCAUGUUUUGCUUCCAACAAUCUAUAGGUUGUGAUAGGCAAAUAAAUAUAUGUUACAAAACCAAAAAAAAAAAUUGGUUCACAUGAUCACAUUCCAUAUCCAACCACAACCCUUCAAAAUCUAGAUGAAUACCAAAAUGGGAAGACAACUGUUUACUUAAAUAAAUAGUCACAACAAAAUAUUGACAAAAGAACAACAUUUCUCGAAUGUCCAUUUAGGUAGUACAUGAGGUACAUUAAGGUAGUACCUAAGGGUCUUAAGGUCGUACCUCAUGUGCAUUAAGGUAGUACCUUCAAUUUCUGAUGAUUACAUAAGCUAUCGAAUGAGUCAGCAAGAGGAACAUAACAAUGGCAUGCUGUAAAUAUUAAUGCAAUGAACUAAUUGUAGCUUAAGUUAUAGAAGAGCAACAUUUCUCCAAGGUGCCUUAAGGUAGUACUUGAGGUACAUUAAGGUAGUACCUAAGGUUAUUAAGGUAGUACCUCAUGUGCAUUAAGGUAGUACCUCCAAUUUUUUAUGAUUACAUAACUGACCGAAUGAGUGAGCAAUAAGAAUAUAAUAAUGGCAUGCUGUAAUAUGUAAUGCAAUGAACUAAUUCUGACUUAAAUCAUAGAAGAGCAUCAUUUCUCUAAGGUGCCUUAAGGUAGUACCUCAGGUACAUUAAGGUAGUACCUCAUGUCAUUAAGGUAGUACCUCAUGUGCAUUAAGGUAGUACCUCAAAUUUUUUAUGAUUACAUAACCUACCGAAUGAGUAAGUUAUAAAAACAUAACAAUGGCAUGCUGUUAUAUGUAAUGCAGCAUGACAUUGUUAUGUUCUCAUAGGUUACUCCAACGGUACCUUAUGUAAUCAUAAGAAAUUUCAGGUACUACCUUAAUGCACAUAAGGUACUACCUUAAUGGUCUUCAGGUACUACCUUAAUGUACAUAAAGUACUACCUUAACGAACCUGCGAGAAAUGUAGCCACUUUGUGGCUUUAGAUUUUUAUUAGUUAAUUUCAUGACCUAUUGCAGCAUGACAUUGUUAUGUUCUCAUAGGUUACUCCAACGGUACCUUAUGUAAUCAUAAGAAAUUUCAGGUACUACCUUAAUGUACAUAAGGUACUACCUUAACGCACCUGCGAGAAAUGUAGCCACUUUGUGGCUUCAGAUUUUUAUUAGUUAAUUUCAUGACCUAUUGCAGCAUGACAUUGUUAUGUUCUCAUAGGUUACUCCAACGGUACCUUAUGUAAUCAUAAGAAAUUUCAGGUACUACCUUAAUGCACAUAAGGUACUACCUUAAUGGUCUUCAGGUACUACCUUAAUGUACAUAAGGUACUACCUUAACGCACCUGCGAGAAAUGUAGCCACUUUGUGGCUUCAGACUUUUAUUAGUUAAUUUCAUUACCUAUUGCAGAAUGACACUACCUUAAACCAUAUUCGAUAAAUUUUACUCUCCCGACAAUUUUUCACUCUCAAUAUUUAUUUAAUCAUACUGUUGUUUUCUCAUUUUUCUGGUUAUGUCAAGUUACGAUGGUUGUGGUUGGAUACGGAAGGUGAUCAUGCGAAGCAAAUAUUUAUUGGUUUUCUACCACAUUUAUUUUUUCUAUAACAACCUGUACAUGGUUUGAAGCAUAAAAUUAGCAAAAUGCACAAUCAUUUAGGAACCCUGAGUAGCCCGUGCCAAUGAGAAUGUGCAAUAGUCCUGAACCCUGGUAGUAAAUCACCAAUAACAUUAACACAAGAUGAUAUGUAAAAGCUUACACAAUAAGUAAAUAUGAAAGGAAAGUCGUCAAACAAUUUACUAAUGUGUGUAUGGAAGGAUAAACUGAAACUGCAUCAGUGUACAAACAAAUAGGUUCCAAUCUAUGUUUGUUGUUCUCUUAUGAAAGUAGUACCAUACCCCAUAAUCAACCUAUCACUGUGGAUCACAUCUUACAAUCACAGUUGUUGUCCAAUCAGUCGCCAAUACAACACUGACCAGCACCCUUAACUAUAAUAAAAGAACAAAUACUGAGUGUUGUCCAUGUUCCUACUCCCUUACUUUACAAUAUUGAAGGAAAAAUGAACAGCCCUAUUACAUUGCUGUGACUGCAUCCCAUAUGCUCCAGCAGCAGGAUUACCAGGUACUCUUCCUUUCCCUUACACGUUGGCCAUUCUUGUACAUAAAGUCCUCAUAUUCAGCAUAAUUCAUUUUAACUGUUACAAUGGGAUGUGGAAUACUUCAUCAGAUACAUCACAUAUAGAACAUAAAUAAUGGUUUUACAAUUGUAACAAAUCACAUCAGCACACAACAUGAUAUGAAUUAAUAAAUUUUGGACAUACUUAAAUCAACCCUUGGUCAUUUUGGUACGUAGCAGCAGAUAGGAAGAAACUUAUCAUGAACUAUGAAGUCACAAAUGACAUGCGGCCAUGAUUGUAUCUCUGACACUGUUGCAUUCAUUGAGGACUAUUUGCAGCUCUAGCUGGAGUCUGUACAUGUUCGUCUUGUCCUACGGAAAUGGGAAAAAAUUAUUCCAUGCGGUUGGGAAAAUAACACUCAAAUCAAAGGACAAAUAUGCACAUAAUUAAAUGAAACAGGCUAGCUGACACUGAUAUUAGCAACCAGCCUCUGAAAAAUGCCACCAAAUGAUGCCACUCAUUCAAAGUAUUUAUUUUCGGAUAAUUAAAUGAUGCCACCAAAUGAUACAUGGGAACACAAACUGCAGUAUGGUUGAAAUGGCUUAAGCAAUGUAAUCUUACCAAAUACAUGGGAUUUGAGUAAAUACCAUUAAAACAAGAUGUGGUGCAAACAUAGUUCGGACUUUGUGAAAGAACUGAAUCAGCAGAGAAAUAUAAUGUAACUCAAUGAACAUUGGAGGUGAAUGGAAAGGCACAAAACAUUCAAAUAGUAACGAUGAUUGGGUGACAACCAGUUAGUUGAAAUAGAGUAAUACAAGAUCAGCAUAAUGCAAUAAGUAGACAGAUAUGCAUUUAGGGCAAAGGAUUUUUGCAGGUUUUUCUAUUGUGGCCGGACAUAUGACAACGAGAGCAAUAAACAGGUCGUUUAUCUUGAAAUUGAGACUCAAUGCGCUUCUUCCUUGGCCUUCCGAGAGGGCGCUUUGUAUGUGGAGGCUUUAGAGAGAAGAACACCUCCCCGGUGAUAGAUCGAACCAAACCAUCAUCGUCCACAGUAGGCAUGUCAUGGGUCUCUAUGCCGGAGAAAGAGCCCCCAUAUAUCAACUCUUGCAUUGGGUAUUUGUAGCAAUCAUCGACGAAAUCAGUAACAUUUUGACCAAUGGAAAUAAUGACGGCUGUGGCAUGCUCACAAGGGAUUCCCAACAUCUGCCAACCCCUACAAGUGCAUGUAUGGUUCAGAAUGUCUACAUUCAACAAGGCUCUCCCGAUACAUACCCCAAAUACUCCAUUCUUGAACGGUGUGACUGGAUACACCGCACCCUUUGCAAUAUUUUCCUGCACCUUAGCUUCAAUUUUUGGCCCUAUACACCCUUUCCAAUUCUUAGACUCUUCUUGAUGCUUCACAAGCAUAGAAGCUAACUUGGACAUGUGCUCCAAUAAAAAGUUACAAAUAGAGUGAUGUCUUUCAAUCCGUAACCAAGCAUUAAAUGACUCGGCAAGGUUCGUAGUCAUUUUAUCCCAUCUUUGUUUUGGGAAUUUUGACAUGGCCCAAUGGUGCGGCGCAUUUUCUUCAACCCAUGUGGCUAAAGCCUCGUUGUAUUUUUUUAGUUCAACCAUGGAAACGUUAUAAUCAUGUUCUAGCCUUCCAUACGCAAUGCUAUCUAGGAAUUGCAAUGCAUUUUCUUUACCCUUGUUCCCUCGUGUGUUAUGCUUGGACAAGAAACUACUAAAAUUCUCCUUUAGGUGACGGUAGCAAUAAGCAUGGUUUUCAAUGCCAAACACCUCAGGAACACUACGAAGCAAAGCAUGAUGUCUAUCUGAGAUAAUAAUAACUUCCUUGUUUCCCACAACUAUCUUCAGUUUUUCCAAGAACCAUAACCAAUCUUCAUAAUUUUCCGAGCUCAUCACUCCAAAGGCUAAGAGGAACAUGGAGUCAUUAGCAUCGUAAGAGGUGGCUGAAAAUAGAGCACCGCCAUAAGGCCCACUCAUAUGGGCCGAAUCAAUUGCAAUGAUUGGUCGACACCCCCUUACAAACCCUUCGAUAGAUAUUGAAUGAGCAACAAAAAGCUUCUCAAAAUGGUCAUCAUUGGAAUAACUCAGCUCAACACUCGAUCCCGGAUUUGUUGCAAGCAUUCUUUCACACAUCCAUGGCAACAAUUUGUAAUAAUUCUUGGGUUGUCCAUAAAUGCGCUCCUUAGCCUUCUCCUUCAUUUGCCAUGCUUGUAGGUAAGUUAACUGGAUGCCAUGUUGCCUUACAAAGUCCUUACAAAUUUGGCGUGGUUGGUAUUCAGGAGUAGAUCGAAUGACAUCAUCAAUGACCAACGAUGCACGAGUGGAUCUCACUAAAGGCUGAGACAAGACAACAUCUUCCAAGCAAUGGUUAUGCACAUUUCGGAAUGUGUGUACUUGAACAAUGUUUGAAUCCCCUAUUGCACGCGCAGUGAUUUUCCAAGGACAAUCUUCAAUUGUGCAUACUACGGUCAUGUGUUUUGGACUAUUCCUUUUGUAAGAAUAUCGAAAUUUUCCAGCCAAAGACAUCAAAUAGAUUGCAUCUCGAAACUCCGACGCAUUUGGGAAGGUAUGUCCACUACCUACAAUUGAAUGUUCGAACCGGCUUGGUUGAAGUUGAACGGUAUUUGUCAUAGCACAUCUUUGGGAAAACCCAACUGACUGAAUUGUGGGCGACUCAUUAGAGAUGUGUAAUGGGGGCUGGCCAAUAGAGGAAACAUGAGCUGAGUUUGAAGCAACAAUGGGGGUUGGGCCACUGCAAAAAACAUAAGGAAAAAAUUUGAUCAUCCAUCAAUCUAAGUGUGAAAAGCGAUUAUACAAAAGGGAACAUUAUUGUGGAAGGACAUUAGGCACCUAGUAGGGCAAAUGAAGUCAUCACCACAUUCAGUACAAUGGGAGAUGUAGACAUGACAAAACAUGUCGUUGAAUUUGAACAUAUUGACUAUGUCGCCAUCAUUAUGCAGUGGCAAUAGACAUGAUGGGUCAAACUUGACUGUGAAUUCCAAUUUAAUGGAAUUGGAAUCCAAGUUCAAUACACCACAUACUUUUGAAACGAAUUCAGAUUGUGAGAUAUUCUUGCUAACAACACUGCAAUUGGUCCGACCUCCCUUAUAUUCGACGGACCCAACAGCAGUCUUAACAAGCUCACCACCUUCAUGAAUGUAACAAAACAUCUCCUCUUCCAUUUUCUUAUUGACAUAAAGAUUUGUUAAAAAUAAUACAACAAUGAAAGAUUGAGGAAUUAUGCAUGUUGAUUCCAUAGACUUUAAGGUUCAAACAUGCUAAUUAGCUGAUGCACACAAUUAAGGUUCAAACAUGCUAAUUGGCCGAUGCACACAAGUAGUGUACAAGUCCAACUACGGUAGUACCUAAGGAUAUCUAACCUAGUACUUAAAGAUUACUAAGGUUAGACCUAAGGUUAAUUAAGAUAGUACCUAUGGUACAGUCUCAAGUAAAGGUACGGGGGAACCAAAUGAGCAGAGUAGUCAAACACAUAAUGUCAUGAUAGCUUGUAUGUGGAAGUGAAUACAAUUUAAUUUAUGCAUGACUUGAAAACAGCCUGUAGGUCCUAUGUUUGACAAACUGAACCCCAUUGGGUUAACAAUAAAGACAACUUUUAUUCACAUAUGAAUUAUUUGAAUAUUAAAAAAUGAAGUUUCCAGUCGUCACACAACUUGUACCCAAUAUUGGUUCAGGUAGUACCUGAUGUUGACUAAUGCAGUACAUACAGUCGAUUAAGGUCGUACAUUCAGGAAUAAUGAGGUAGUACAUAAGCUUAACUUACCAGUACAAUAAGGUUAACCAACUGAUCACCAAAACAAACAAUAUAUAGAUAAAAAUGCAUUUCAUCCAUUCUGACCAGCAUUCCCUAUUUUCUAUUUAUGUUAUGAAGGGAAUUAAACCAAUGCAUGGAUACCAAUAGUUCCUAUAUAGCCUUUCCUAUUACCAUCUUCUAAAACGGAUCUCUGAAUCAAUAUCAAUUACUAAUCAACAAGAACAUUAACAUAUAGUAACCAUACAUAUGUUACUAUAUGUUUGAAGAAAUGGGACGUGAUUUGAAACUAUACAUAUAAAACAAAAACAAAAAAACACAACAAAAACUUUAGCACCCAUCAACCAUCAAUAUCACAAAAACCCAAAAAAUUGAGUAAUUUGGAACAACUUUCCCAUCUAAAAAUCACCAUUUAUUAAGAACUUUUUUCGCUCUCAAAAUGAAAACUUCAUCCAGAAAAAUUGUUCCCUUUUGGUCAUCCACUGCAUAGCUUAAUCCAAAAACACAAUCCAAUAAAUGGGUUUCACUAAAAAUGCAUUGUUUCCCAAUACCCAAAAACACCACUAGGAAAAAAAAAAUUCCUUUUUUGCUAAUCAAUUCAAAAUAUGUUUUUCUCAGUUCUAAGCCAAAACAAAAACAAAUGUCUUUUUCAACGAAACAAUUCCUAACCCAUAUUCUUGUCUUUACUUUAUAUCAAAACAACAGAGUUGCGAUAAUUUGUCAAUCCAAAAAAAACAGUACAAAAUCAGAUUUGCAAAAAGACGAUGAUGAUUCAUUACCAACAUAUUUAAAAUUUCAGUACCAACUCCUAAAUGCCAACAUUUCAACCACGCCUGGUUUAGAAAAAACCCACACAAACAGCAGAUUUUCAUGAAUGAGAAUGCGAAUGCAAAACACGGAACAAAUGGCUUACCUCGAUAGAGAAAAUCUAAGAUGUGACAAAUCGGAUUAAGACCUUCUCAACUGAAAUCUGCUUCGCCUCGGUGACGGAGUGAAGAAAUAUGAGAGGAAUGGGUAUCAAAUCAGAGAGAGGGAAGAAAGAACCCUCGACUACACUAUUUUUAUGGGAUUUUCUGCUUCGCCUUGGUGACCGAGUGAAGACAGAUGAGAGGAAUGGGUGCCAAAAUGAGAGAGAGGGAAGAAAGAACGGUCGAUCGGCUAGGGUUUUCUUGUGGGAACUUCUGCUUCGCCUUGGUGACGGACUGCAGAAAGAUGAGAGGAAUGGGUAUCAAAUGAGAAAGAGGGAAGAAAGAACCAUCGGCUAGGGUGUUUUUGUGGGAAGCUCAACAUUUGAUUUUGGAGUUUUCAACCGGUUCAGUUUCAACCCGUGCUGAGAUGGGUUGCUGAUGUGGAUACCUGGAGGGGCAAUUUCGGUAGAAAAAAUACAGCAGGCUCAGAGUGCAUGAAUCUGAUAUAAGUUUCCACAUUGAAAUAUAUUUUUCAUAUUCCAUAAAUCUGGGUUCCAAAAACCAUAUAUUUAGCAAAUUGGUCCAUGAAAACACAACUUUCCCAAAGAGUUAUUAGGCUCAAGCCCUUGUAUUAAAUGUAGGAUUAUAAAAUAUUUAAAAGAGGAAGCCUCGGGCCCACCAACUGCACCCAAACUUAAGUAGAAAUCAGUUUUACUUUUUACAGGAAGGUGCCUUGAAAUUGGAUGAAAUCACUAAAUUGCCAUCAAUAUUCUAAUCUUCCAAAUGAAAGGAUGGUAGUUUAAAAAAUAUAUGAAGAAAAUAAAAUUAAAUAAUAAUAAUAACAAAAUAUAUUAAAGAUAAUAGUAAGAUAGGAGAGCAUGAAUAUAAUGAAGAAAAAAAAUGUUAAAUAAAAUAAAAAACUUGGUGGUGUCCCACUUGAAAAUAGAAAAAAAAGAAAAAAGAAAAACGAAGGUAAUAAGAAAAAGAAAAAAGUGAGAAAAGAAUAUCUAAGUCAAUAGAGAGAGAGAGCGUUACCCUUAAUUUUCCUCGUCACUUUUCCGAAGGUCAUAGGAAGCUACCUGUCUUCCCAACUUUUUAUAUUGUAAUGUCCUUUUUAUAUUGUACAUGCUUUUCUAUACUCACAGGAUGUCUUAUAAAGUUUUUUCUUUUUUCAAUUUAUUCAUUUUAUUUCUUGGAUUGAUUUUCAUGUGAAAAUUCAUUUUAUUUUAAAAAAAUAAUUAUUUUACUGAUUUUUUUAAAUAUUUGAUAUCUCUUAAAUCAUUCAUAAAAUGAAUUAAUUUUUUAAUAAAAGUAUUUUUAAUUUAGAUUUAAAUUAUUUUUCAAUUAUAUUUAGAUGUAUGCAUAUAAAAAAGAUUAUUUUCUAAUAUUUAAUAUUUAAAAUUUUAUUUUAAUAAUAAUCUCUUUAGAAUAUUAUCACGAUUUUUAUUAGAAUUAAUGGUUACAUUUUUAUUCUUCCUUCUUCCAAAAAUAUUUGUACUUCAAAGAUAAAGCUCUUCCAAUAUAAAUGACCCGAGAGACACAGAGCUGUCCCUAACUUUCCUCUUCACUUCCUGGAAGCCGCCUUGCCUUCCCAAUUUCUUAGAUUAUAAGUUAGGGUUGCACAAUCUCCUCAUUCACUCACUAUCCUGAAGGGAAAUCAACCCCUCUAAACUGUCUUUGUAGUUUUGAGAUAGAAACCCAGAAUGGCUUCCACAAGCUCCUUCAGAGCCUCUUCUUCUUCUUCUACUCCUGCCAUCCCUCGAACAAGUACUUAUGAUGUUUUCUUGAGUUUUAGAGGCGAAGACACCCGCUAUAAUUUCACUGAUCACCUCUACAGUGCUUUGGGUAGGAGAGGGAUUCACACCUUCAGAGACGAUAAACUCAGGAGAGGAGAAGCGAUUGCUCCAGAACUCUUGAAAGCCAUUGAAGAAUCAAGGUCUUCCGUAAUUGUUUUCUCUGAAAACUAUGCUCAUUCGAGAUGGUGUUUGGAUGAGUUGGUAAAGAUCAUGGAG